Molecule: long non-coding RNA, 315633 nt
Filed under: Ananas comosus (pineapple)
Lineage: Eukaryota; Viridiplantae; Streptophyta; Magnoliopsida; Poales; Bromeliaceae
Description: long non-coding RNA (ACOM_LNC012089)
Source: RNAcentral
CCGCGAAGUUAGAGGCAAUACACUUUGAUUAAACUCCAAUAUUUUAGAGUUAAUAUAAAAUCCAAUCAUUACACUUUCGCUUACAAGUCAAAUAGACCCCGUCUCUCACGAGCCUAUUUUCUAUAGUCCAACCGGCCUAAGAUUUGCUAGGUCCACUAAGACUCAACCCUAGACUCUGAUACCAAUAUAAUCUAUCACGCACCGAGGCCCAGCGGAAGCCCGCCCGGCAUGUGUCCAGACCCGCCAUAUACCCACAAUAUAUAAGGCGUCUACAACAAAGCGAUAAUUAAAGCAACAAUAACAAGUAUCUAGAGAUAUCAAAGCAUGUUUACAACUAAAUUCUAAUGACAGGUAGAAUAUAAAAGGGCUAAACAACUAUCAUAAUCCACAAGUAGAUACAUCAAGAUCUCAAAUACAAGUGCUAGAUAUACGAAAAUGGUGGUCUCUACACAUAGGUACAAAACUCUUAUCCUCUCCAAAUAAAAACAAAAACAAAAAGAGAGGUGAACCACAUAAUAGCAAUACCCCUCGCUAACUAGCUAGUGGCGAUCCCUUUACCGCGAUCCCGAGCCUCUCCCGGUGCGGAUGGCUCUGUAACAAAAACAUCAACAUAGAGGGCGUGAGAACUAUUAAUCAAUAGUUCCCAGUGGGUAAGCCGCCGACAUCAGCGAAAUACACUACUAGGUUAUGGAGGCAUAAAUAGUAAGAUCUAACAUUUAAUGAAAUGGACAGCAUGUAUAUUAAACAUGAAUAAAUCUUAUUAACUACUAUGCCUCUACUUAGCAUGAAUGUCCACAAGUAUGAGUGCUAUUCUAACAAGAAUAAGCAUAUAUAUAAAUAGCAUGAUGUCCAUAAAUGCAACUAGUAAAAUGUCAACAUUUACAAUUAGUCUAAUGUCCAUAUUGCAUUUUAGUUCAACAUUGUUCCAAUCAUAGAGGACCUACACAAGGUAGUCCGGCUUGCGCCGUGCCUAAUGGCCCCAUGGUAGUCAACAUUUCCACCCUAGGGAUGAGCUUCCCCAACGGCAUCCCAUUUCGGCGCCCAAUCCCGCACGGGCUAGCAUAUGUCGCAAUGUCUAUCUCCGGAGUGCUGGCUUGUUGUGAGCGACCCUCACAAUCAUCCGUCUCAAGUCUAAUGUUAUCAUGUCUAAAAUAUGGUAUAACAGUUAGUAACUCAAUGGCUUAUCACUAUGUCAUCAAGAAGGAGUUUAACAAUUUACUAAGUUAAAUGCCUCUUUAUAACAUUUUUGUCCACUAUGUCAAACAUGAGUUCUAUGUCUAAGAGCAUAUUUUUCUUGUCAUUUUCAUUACAUGAAACAUGAUUUUAAGCCAUAUCAAAGAAUGCUAUUUACAUAUAUGAUUACUAUACACGUAUCUCUCUACUACAUAGAGGUGAUUUUUCAUGAAACAUAACACAUUUAUUUUAAGCAUUCUAAAACUCACAUAUGCCCUAUCUAGCAUGAAUAUGCAUGAUUUUCUAUUUUACAAUAAAGAAAAUAGCAUAGGGGGAGUUCACCCAUUUCGGUGAGGUCAAACCCACCAAAAACUCCUCGGAUCCCCUUCGUUUGCGCGAACGAAAGUUUCCACAAGUCUCCUACCUUCCUAGAGAUAAUUCUAAGAGAGGUAGACGAAAUGAACGAACACUACACGAGUUCAUCUUUAACCAAUCCAAGAAAAGGGCAAAACUCACCUUGUAUGGUGAAAAACCCUCACAAUCUCCAAAUGGACGCUAGAGUACUUCAAAUCCAACCUAGAUGAAGGUUCUACACCUAUCAAUUAAGCCCUAAAAGCCACAAAUCAAAAACCCCCAAAUAAAAUCCUAGAUUUCACAUUCUAGGUUUUCAUCUCAAGAAAGCUACCAAAAUAAGAUCUAAGGUACUAACCUCUCAAUAAGCUCCAAACCAAGCUUGAAAUGAGCUAAGGUUGAAGAUUUAUUCUCUAGCAAGCUCCACUCUCUAAUCCAAGGCUUCUCCAAUGGUGGAAAUCCAAAUGAAGCAAGAAGGAGAGGAAAAAAGAGAUUAAUCCAAGCAAAAACCUCAAGAAAUGAGAGAAAAUCAAGGGAGAGGAGCUCUACCUGUGCUCUCCAUGGUUUAGGGCUCAAAAGAGCUCUCCAAAGGGCUGUAGGGGGUUAUAUAGAGAUGUAACAAUCUCAAAAAGACCCUCCAACAAUAUGCAGUCUGCAUCUGCACUGCGUACUAGUGACACGGGAUGGAGUACCGGUACCAGGCAGCAGCACGCGCAAACCCGAGUCUCGGGUAAGCAAGAAAACACACUGCGUACCGGUACUCUCACGAUGCAGUAUCAGUACCAGCUCCAGUACCUGUACUCAGGCAAUGCAGUACCGGUACUCUGCUCUGCAGAGCUCAACCCGAAAGCAGCCCCAAUUCCUGCAAUUUAGAGGUUUGGUGCUAAGUUUUAAUCCUCACUCCUCGGGAUGCGAGUCAUAGGUCGGAACACAGUCAACAACCAUCCAGAAUACCUGAAAAAACUCAGAACACUGCUCAAACAGUCGAACCUUGCAAUUUGCUAAAGUCCAGUGUGUUAAAUUCUUCCCUCCUAUAAAGGAGUUUCGUCCGCGAAACUAAAAAGCAAGUUACCUCAAAACUCCAUCUGAAAAAGAUGGGAAUAGUGUUCCUGCAGUGCGUUUUCUAAUUCCCACGUGGCCUUGCGUUCAUCGUGGUUGCUCUAAAGAACCUUCACAUAAGGAAUAUCAUGAUUUCGAAGCUUCUUCACCUCGCGGGUCAAAAUUCUCACCGGUUGCUCUUCAAAGCUCAAGUUAUCUCUCAGCUCUAAUGGUAUAGCUUCCAAAACGUGAGCCGGAUCGAAAAUAUACUUCCGAAGGACCGAUACAUGAAAGACAUUGUACACUCCCGAUAGGUUCGGUAGUAGAGCGAGUCGAUAUGCUACCGGCCCUACACGCUCCAAAAUCUCAUACGGUCCAAUAAAGCGGAGACUCAACUUACCCCGAAUGCCAAAUCUUCUAACUCCCUUAGUUGGCGAGACCUUCAAGAAUACAUGAUCUCCAACUUUGAAUUCCAAAUCUCAUCGACGCUUAUCGGCAUAGCUCCUCUGUCUACUUUAAGCCGUCAACAGUCGCUCUCGAGUAAUGCGAACCUUGUCCUCUACUUCCUAGAGCACAUCGGGGCCUAAGGCCAAACUCUCGCCAACUUCACUCCAAUGAAGUGGCGAUCUACACUUCCGUCUAUAAAGUGCUUCAAAGGCGCCCUACAGGCUCCUCCAAAAGUGAGAUACAAAUUUGGGAUCUCGAUCAGACACUAUAGAAGUAGGCACUCCAUGAAGCCGCACAAUCUACACUUGUGCGAGCUUCUCUCCUGUCCAAGUCGUGUGAAUAGGUAUAAAAUGAGCCGAUUUCGUUAACCUAUCCACAAUCACCCAAAUAGCAUCAUGCCUGGCCUGAGAGCGAGGCAAACCCAUAACAAAAUCCAUGGUGAUCCUUUCCCACUUCCACAUGGGAAUAGGUAAACUCUGAAGUUUUCCCGAGGCCAGUCGGUGCUCAGCUUUCACUUAUUGACAAGUUAAAUAUCGAGCUAUAAACUCGCCAAUAUCCUUUUUCAUCUUCGGCCACCAAUAAAGUAACUUCAAAUCCUUAUACAUUUUUGUGCCUCCCGGAUGUAUAGCAUAAGGUGCACAGUGAGCUUCAAGAAGAAUAUCCUCUUUAAUUCCCGAUUCCGCCGGUACACAAAUCCGCCCACGGAACCGCAACAACCCUUGGUCAUCCAUAAUGAAAUCACCGGUGUAACCAUCAACCACCUUAGCUCGAACCUUUUGCAACUGCACAUCGUGAACUUGCUUUUCUUUAAUCCUUUCCAAUAAGGUAGGUUGCACCACCAAUACCAUCAGUCUCAAGGGUGUAUCAGGAACCACUACUUCCAACUCCCACCGUUUUAUUUGUUCAAUCAACGGCGGUUGAGUCACCACAAGCAUCGCUAAGUUAUCCGUCGAUUUCCAACUUAGCGUAUCCGCCACUACGUUAGCGUUGCCCGGGUGGUAAAGAAUCGUCAGAUCAUAAUCCUUGAGUAGCUCCAACCAUCUGCGCUGUCUCAAGUUCAACUCCUUCUGAGUGAAUAAAUACUUUAAGCUCUUAUGAUCCGUGUACACUUCACAGCGCUCGCCAUAAAGAUAGUGACGCCAUAGCUUUAAUGCAAAGACUACGGCCGUCAACUCUAAAUCAUGUGUAGGAUAGUUUCUCUUAUAUUCCUUCAAUUGGCGAAAAGCAUACGCGAUCACCUUCUCAUCCUGCAUCAAGACAAAGCCCAAUCUAUUAAAAGAUGCAUCACUAUAAAUCACAUACCCUGCUCCUGCAACUGGUAAGGUCAAGUCGGGGCGGUUGUCAAUCGUUCCUUCAACUCUUGAAAGCUUCUCUCGCACGCAUAAUUCUAAAUGAACUUAGUGCCUUUGUGCGUGAGCCGCGUGAGCCGCGUGAGGGGAGUAGAUAACUUUGCAAAUCCCUCAACAAAUCUCCGGUAGUAGCCGGCCAAUCCAAGAAAGCUUCGAAUCUUGGUGACGCUCGUCGGUCUAGGCCAAUCCUUGAUAGCUCCAAUCUUUCUAGAAUCCACGGCUAUACCCUAUCCCGAAAUUAAGUGUCCUAGGAAUGCCACCUCUCGAAGCCAAAAUUCACACUUUUUCAGCUUGGCAUAAAGCUUCCUUUCCCGAAGCACUUGAAGUAUAAGUCUUAGAUGCUCCUCGUGAUCCCCAUCACUUCGGGAAUAAAUCAAGAUGUCGUCGAUAAACACCACGACGAAUCUGUCCAAAUAAGGCUUGAAAAUACGGUUCAUUAGAUCCAUAAAAGGUGCCGGGGCAUUAGUAAGCCCAAACGGCAUAAAGGUAAACACAUAAUGUCUAUAACGUAUUCUAAAGGCCGUCUUCGAUACAUCCUCAGGCUUGAUCUUUAACUGGUGGAAUCCCGACUGCAAGUCUAUCCUGGAAUACACACUUGAUUCCUGAAGCUGAUCAAAUAGAUCAUUAAUCCUCGGCAACAGAUACUUGUUCUUGAUCGUGACUUUAUUAAGUUCACGAUAAUCCACGCACAAACGAAGUGAUCCGUCCUUUUUCUUGACAAAUAAAAUCGGUGCCCCCCAAGGUGAAACACUCGGUUGAACGAAGCCUUUAUCCAAUAAAUCCUACAACUGUGCCCUCAGCUCUUUCAACCCCGCCGGUGCCAUCCUACGGGGUGCCUUUGAGAUUGGGGUAGUCCCAGGGAUGAGAUCUAUCACAAACUCAAUCUCCCUAUCAGGUGGCAUACCUGAUAGCUCUGCUGGAAACACAUCACAAAACUCCUGCACCACCGGAAUAUCCUCAAUCCUAGGGGUAUCAUCAUCACCCCUCAGUACCACACUAGCCAAAUAGGCUAUACAACCCCUGCUGAUCAACUGUCUAGCUCGAGACGAGCUCAUCGUCAUCGCAAAUAGCGAACUCUAACAUCCCCUGAACACCACUUCCUUCUGCCCCGGUUCUCUAAAUGUGACCGUUCGAUUCUUGCAAUAGAUAGUGGCGAAGUAUCUCGUCAGCCAAUCCAUGCCCAAAACCACGUCAAACUCACCGAGUUUAUGCAAUGCAAGUAAAUCCACGGGCAUAACCCAAUUUCCUACCCGAACAGGGCAAUUGGGGCAAAACUCCUGAAUGUCCAAAGUGUGGUCGGAUACUACAACACGUCCCGGAUACAACAAAAAAACUAGUGGGAUGCCAUGCAACUCGGCGAACAGCCGAUCUAUGAAUGAAUGCGAUGCACCGGUAUCAAACAAAGCUCGAACUCUAAUGCCAUUUAAUAAAAUGAUUCCUGCCAUCACAUCCUCGGCCACUGCCACCUCCUCUGUCUGGGCCGCAUACAUGCGCCCACUCGGGGUCUGUCGUGACCCCUCAGUCAGUCGCUGGACGGGUGGCCGCUCAGACUAAUAGUGUGUCGACGGAGUCCCUUGGCUAGUAGCUGGUAAAACCGGUGCCAAUGCAGAUGAUGAUGCCGGUGACGAACCCCUUGGGCACUCGGUACAAAAGUGGCCUUCCUGGCCACAAAGGAAACACCUGCCUCCCCGCUGUGGAAACUGCGGUAGAAUGUGGGGACCACUGUAGAUCACACACUGGGGAGGUCGGCGACGAUUAGAACCUUCUUGCUCCGCAGAUGAGCCACGCCUUCUCAACUGGCUUCUCGGGGGUCUCGGCGGCCUCCUGGAGCGCGCCUGACUUGCACCCUCAGCCGCGGACCUUUUGCCCUUACCCUUGUCAAAGCCUUCCCUUCGCUCCUGCACAUCCACUGUGCCCCUCUCCAUAAUGAGAGCGCGGUUCACCACCUCCGGGUAGGUUUGCAGUUUCGACGAUUGCACAAACCAGAAGAUCGAUGGUCGAAGUCCACUCUCAAAAAUACGGGCCUUGUCCUCGUUGUCCCGCAUGACAAAAGGCACGCAAUGGUGAAGCCGGGAGAACUCGCGCUCGUACUUAGCUACUGUUCGCUCACCCUGGCACAAGCUGCGCAAAUCUCUCUCCAUUUGCCUCUUGGCGCUGUCGGGGAAAUAGUGCGCCAAUAGAAGCUCCUUGAACCGCUUCCAACUAAUAGCAGAUAGAUCGGUGUUGGGGUUAUCUCGGAUAUCCAACCACCAACGAUAGGCCUCGCCGUCCAGGUGGUGAGUGGCGAGCCAAACUCUGUCGCUCUCCUCCACGAAGGUAUCAUAGAAAAGCUUCUCCAUGUGUAUCAACCACUUCUCCACGAUCCAGUAGUCGACCUUCUCUCCAUCGAAGAUUCGGAGAUUGCACCUCUUAAACUUUAAGGCGAUCCAAAAAUCGGUCCCGCUCCUCCCACACAACCAUCACGGAAAAAACUGCCCCCGCUAGAGGCUCCUGAAUAGGUGGUGCCGCAACCACCUCCUCCCGAGGCGCGACCACGGGUGCCACACGUGAAGAGCUGGGCGCGGGAGAUGGCGCUCUCGAUGCUACAUCCUCUGCUGGCGUGGGUGGUGUGGGAGCCUGAAUGUUCCUAGAAGCCGCCUGCUGAAGUAGCAAGUCCUUGAGCCGCUUCAUCCUUGCUUCCUGUCGGCGCGCCACAUCGGCUUGUUGCUGUGCCGCCGUUGCCUGCUCGGCCACCAAGUCGGUUAGGACCGAAAGCUGUGUCCUCAGCUCGCGGACCUCACUAGAUCCGGAGGUAGCUAAGGUCUCCACCUCCUCGAAGUUUGCCGCAUUAUCCGCUCCAACAGAUUUAGAGCGAGUCAUCGGCAUUAUCACUACAACAACAUAAAAGCGCAAGUUAGUAAAACCCACGUUAUCGCAACCCUACUCAAAAAGAUUAAUGCCCCAAAUAAUGCGAAAGUAAGGAAGUGUUCUUUACUACUAACUCCCGAUGUUACGUUGUCGGCCGCCAACGUAAUCCUCCGUGAAGUUAGAGGAAAUACACUUCGAUUAAACUCCAACAUUUUAGAGUUAAUAUAAAACCCAAUCAUUAUACUUUCACUUACAAGUCAAAUAGACCCCGUUUCUCACGAGCCUAUUUCCUAUAGUCCAAUCGGCCUAAGGAUUGCUAGGUCUACUAAGACUCAACCCUAGGCUCUGAUACCAAUAUAAUCUGUCUCGCCCCGGGGCCCAGCGGAAGCCCGCCCGGCGCGUGUCCAGACCCGCCAUAUGCCCACAACAUAUAAGGUGUCUACAACAAAGUGAUAAUUAAAGCAACAAUAACAAGCAUCUAGAGAUAUCGGAGCAUGUUUACAACUAAAUUCUAAUGACAAGUAGAAUAUAAACGAGCUAAACAACUAUCAUAAUCCACAAGUAGAUACAUCAAUAUUUCAAAUACAAGUGCUAGAUAUACAAAAAUGGUGGUCUCUAUACAUAGGUACAAAACUCUCAUCCUCUCCAAAUAAAAAUAAAAAGAGAGGUGAACCACCUAAUAGUAAUACCCCUCGCUAACUAGCUAGUGGCGAUUCCUUUACCGCGAUCCCGAGCCUCUCCGGGUGCGAAUGGCUCUGUAACAAAAACAUCAACAUAGAGGGCAUAAGAACUAUUAAUCAAUAGUUUCCAGUAAGUAAGCCGCCGACAUCAGCGAAAUACACCACUAGAUUAUGGUGGCAUAAAUAGUAAGAUCUAACAUUUAAUAAAAUGGACAGCAUGUAUAUUAAACAUGAAUAAAACUUAUUAACUACUAUACCUCUACUUAGCAUGAAUGUCCACAAGUAUGAGUGCAUUCUAACAUGAAUAAGCAUAUAUAUAAAUAGCAUGAUGUCCACAAAUGCAACUAGUAGAAUGUCAACAUUUACAAUUAGUCUAAUGUCCAUAUUGCAUUUUAGUUCAAAUUGUUCCAAUCAUAUAGGACCUACACAAGGUAGUCAGGCUUGCGCCGUGCCUAAUGGCCCCAUGAUAGUCAACAUUGCCACCUUAGGAAUGAGCCUCCCCCACGAUAUCCUAUUUCGGCGCCCAAUCCCGCACGGGUGAGCAUAUGUCGCGAUGUCUAUCUCCGAAGUGCCGGCUUGUGGGGAGCGACCCUCACAAGCAUGUGCGAUGAGCACAAUGGCAAGCAAGCUUAAUCAUUUGUCUCAAGUCCAAUGUCAUCAUAUCUAAAAUAUGGUAUAAAAGUUAGUAACCCAAUGACCUAUCACUAUGUCAUCAAGUAGGAGUUUAACAAUUUACUAAGUUAAAUGCCUCUUUAUGACAUUUUUGUCCACUAUGUCAAACAUGAGUUCUAUGUCCAAGAGCAUAUUUUUCUUGUCAUUAUCAUUACAUGAAACAUGAUUUUAAGCCAUAUCAAAGAAUGCUAUUUACAUGUAUGAUUACUAUACACAUAUCUCUCUACUACAUAGAUGUGAUUUUUUAUGAAACAUAAUACAUGUAUUUUAAGCAUUCUAAAAUUCACAUAUGCUCUAUCUAGCAUGAAUAUGCACGAUUUUUCAUUUUACAAUAAAGAAAAUAACAUAGGGGGAGUUCACCCAUUUCGGUGUGGUCAAACUGUCACGCGCCGAGCCCCCGCCUAUUUCGUUGGAUUCGAGCACGCCAACAGACCGCCGAACGGACAGGGUUUUUCCUGUACCGCGGACAGAGUCUUCCCUGUACGUCCAAGCCGUCACAAUCCAUACAAUGCGCGAGGUUCCAACCAGGAACAACAUUCAAACAUAGAUUGCAUAAGGAAGGUAUCGAAAACAUAAAUACAUCUAUGCUAUUACAAGCAUUCAUCUCAGUUUUUAUUUUACAAUACAUUAACUUCGAUUCUUACUACCAAAUAUAAUCCAGAUUUUACAAAUCAUUACAUUCUUGUCUUUUCAUCAUUAUACCCCUAAGCUAAGCCGACUUAAGUUACUACUAUCUCUGGCCUCAGUGGUAGGGUGCUAUCUAUAGAGCUACGCCUUUUUCUUGCGCCGCCGCGCCGCUCGCGUGUGAACCUGAAACUCCCAAAAUCAUGUGGGGUGAGAACUAUAUAAAUAUAGUUCCCAGUGGGUACGGUCACCCAAGGGAAGAGCUCGACCCACCAGGUCCAAAGGAGGCACUGCAAACAUGUUAGUUCCACAGAUAUAUAUAUAUAUAUAUAUAUAUAUAUAUAUAUAUAUAUAUAUAUAUAUAUAUAUAUAUAUAUAUAUAUAUAAAAAUAUAUAUAUAUAUAUAUAUAUAUANUAUAUAUAUAUAAAACAUCAUAUAAGUCAUGUUCAUGCCUCACAACAUGCAACUAUGCAAAUCAUGCAACUCAUGCAAGUAGAUCACUCGUUCUACUCACUAUCACUUGCCAUUCUUUAUCAUUUACCAUUAUUUAAUACUAGCCAUUCUUUAUCACUUGCGAUUCUUAGUUCUUUAACAUUCUUUAUUCUUUGACAUUCUCUACUUUUUUCUAAGGUUACCUUUACCUUAGCCAACUAUGCCACUCGACUCGGUCUUGAGUCAAUCAACCGCGGAUAAUCCGCGCUUUGUCAGGCUCGAGGUGAAGAACGUCUCACAUGCACCUCAGCCUUAAAUCCACAAGCCACAUCGCCCAACGGGUCGCCCAGAGCUGCGUACACUCGUGGUCAGGGACCCCCGGUGGGAGAGGAACAUGCCGCAUAAACCCACAGCCGAGAUCCUCGAUAUGGAGGGGAACAUGCCACAUACACCCUUGCGCUCAAUCACAAUCCUCGAAGUUCUUCCGGUGGGAGAGGAACAUGCCACAUGCACCCGCGGCAAAAAACUAUCGAGCUCACAAGUCUUGGGAUUCCGGAAUCCACUUUCCAAAGCUCAAGGGUUGGUCUUACCCAAUGUCAUUACCGUCUUUAGGUUUGGCUCAUACAUAUCCUAGUGGUCACUCUACCACUAUGAUCCAUAACAACUCAUGACCUAGGUUACUCAACACUAGGUCCAAUGUCCUUUCCAUCCUAGGUCCACUUGACUCUAGGUUCAAUGUUAUUCAUCUCAUAACCUAGAUUUACUUGACUCUAAGUUCAAUUCUCAACCUAUGUUUAAUGACACUAGGUUUCAAUGCCACUCAUGAAUCACCUAUGUUCAAUGACACUAGGUUUCAAUGCCACUCAUGAUUCUUGUCAUCCUAGUUAUCCACACUUAGGAUUCUUUACAUGCCAUACUUGUCGAGUUCUUUACUAUACUUAGAGUUCAUCAACUCAAGUUCAACAUUCAUGUCAUUCUAGCAUAUUCUCACAAUAUGUCCUCAUGCAUAUAUUCUUUAGCAUCACAUACACAUGCCUAUGUUCUUAUCAAAAUGGUAGUCAACAUAUCUCAUGCAUACAUUGGCAUAUAUCUUAUGCAUUUAUUAGCAUCUAUCACAUGCAUAGGGAUGUCAAUGGGUAUGGAUACCCGAAAUUUUAUCCGAACCCGAACCCGAAUGAAACGGAUAUAUCUGAUGGAUAUGGAUAUGGAUUUGGAUACGGAUAUAAAAAAUAAAAACCCGACGGAUAUGGAUUCGAAUAUGGAUUUUGAUUGUACCCGACCCGAACCCGAACCCGACCCGAACCCGAAUUUAUUUUGUAUUAUAUAUAAUAUAUAUAUAAAAAUUUGAUGUUAUAUUUGAAUUUGUAUUUUAAAAUUUUAAAUUUAAUAUAAUAUAUUUUGAAAUAUUGAAAAAAGAAAUAAUUGUUUCGGGUUCAAAUUUUUCUGUUCGGGUUCGGGUUCGGGUUUCGGAUUUUUGGUCGGGUUCGGGUUUGGAUAUGGAUUUUUAAAAUCCGUCGGGUUCGGGUUCGGGUUCGGGUCUCGGGUUUGGAGUCGGGUUUGGGUUCCGGUUUUUAAAAAUCCGCCCUCUACACAUGCAUUCAUUAGCAUCUAUCACAUGCUUUCAUCAUUAGCAUAUAUCGUAUACAUUCAUCUAGCAUUUGGCUUAUGCAUUCACUUAACAUCUAACUCAUACAUUCACUUGCUUUGCAAUUUGCUACCAUUACAUGCAUCAAUGACGAAACACACUAUACUUUGGCAUGGAAGCGACCUAAUCGCUUCGAUGAGCACAACCCACCUCUUAACAGUCUCCGAUUGUUUGUAGUCACUUGCAAUCGGGCUCCCGCGGCACACGUUGUCCGGUUCAGCUCCAACUCGCAAUUGAUCGCCGAACGCCCAACAAUCCGCGACCUAGGGUCUUCAAGGGCCUUUCUCUAACCUUCAAUUAGAGAAUAAUAGGAUUAUAAUAGAUCAAAACCUUCAUUUGCCCAAAACCCCAAUUCUAUCCCCAGCAUAAGCAUAUUCUCCAAAUAACCCAAAAUUCAUGGAGAAAAUAUGCUAGAAAUACUCUAGAGAUCAUUAGAAUCUUAUACAUAAAGGAUUUAAUUGAAAUCCCAACAGUUACCAAAAUGCGAACGCCGAGUCGAAAGCACCCCGCUCCACUGGGCGCACGGAGACUCGAUCCGUUGCUCCACACACGUUCCCAAGCUUCUUCUCCACCAACCCUCCGAAUUUGGAAGAGAGAUCUAGAGAGAGGAGAGAGCUUCUCUCUCUACCACCAUGAAUGUGUGUGUGUGUUCUUUGGGCUGUGGGAGGAAGAAAAAGGGAUGGCCCCAUUUUUAAGUCAACCCCCACCCAAUUUACAACACUGCCCCUACUCAAACUGGGCAAUUUUCGAGCUCGGGGUCCGGACCCUGGCAACUAGUGUCCGGACCCCGUAGGUCCAGACAGCCCAGUAAUUUAGUACUUAGCCAAAUAUCAGCAUUUUUCAGCUUUUUCUCCGUUUUCGCUCGUUUUCGUUCGUUUGACCUCCGAUUCAUCUCAAAUCGCACCGAGACCCCCAAAACACAUUUUCGACCGCGUUUAAACCUUCUUUUCAUCCACGCUUUGCCGGAUUUUAGGCAAAGUCCAACAUAGCUUUUCGGAUUCCGUUUUCGCGCCCAACGCGCACCGAAAACACCCGAAUGCUCUCGAACUUUACCGGGACAAUUCUAAUAGUUUCUAACAUCCACCGAAACUUCAUAACUUUAGAAGUUCAGUAUAUCACACAAACCCACCAGGAACUCCUCGGAACCCCUUCAUUUGCGCAAACGAAGGUGUCCACAAGUCUCCUAACUCCCUAGAGAUAAUUCUAAGAGGGUUAGACGAAAUGAACGAACACUACACGAGUUCAUCUUUAACCAACCCAAGAAAAGGACAAAACUCACCUUGUAUGGUGAAAAACCCUCACAAUCUCCGAAUGGAAGCUAGAGUACUUCAAAUCCAAUCUAGAUGAAGGUUCUACACCUAUCAAUUAAGCCUCAAAAACCAUAAAUCAAAAACUCCCAAAUAAAAUCCUAGAUUUCAAAUUCUAGGUUUUCAUCUCAAGAAAGCUACCAAAACAAGAUCUAAGGUACUAACCUCUCAAUAAGCACCAAACUAAGCUUGAAAUGUGCUAAGGUUGAAGAUUUAUUCUCUAGCAAGCUCCACUCUCCAAUCCAAGGCUUCUCCAAUGGUGGAAAUCCAACAUGAAGCAAGGAGGAGAGGAAAAGAGAGAUCAAUCCAAGCAGAAACCUUAAGAAAGGAGAGAAAAUCAAGGGAGAGGGGCUCUACUUGUGCUCUCCACGGUUUAGGGCUCAAAAGAGCUCUCCAAAGUGUUGUAGGGGUUAUAUAGAAAUGUAACAAUCUCAAAAAGACUCUCCAACAACGUGCAGUUUGCAUCUGCACUGCGUACCAGUGACACGGGAUGGAGUACCGGUACCAGGUAGCAGCACGCGCAAACCCGAGCCUCGGGUAAGCGAGAAAACACACUGCGUACCGGUACUCUCACGAUGCUGUAUCGGUAUCUGCUCCAGUACUGGUACUUAGGCAAUGCAGUACCGGUACUCUGCUCUGCAGAGCUCAACAAAAGAGCAGCCCCAAUUCCUGCAAUUUAGAGGUUUGGUGCUAAGUUUUAAUCCUCACUCCUCGGGAUGCGAGUCAUAGGUCGGAACACAGUCAACGACCCUCAAGAAUACCUGGGAAAACUCAGAACACUGCUCAAACAGUCGAACCUUGCAAUUUGCUAAAGUCCAGUGUGUUACAGUAGAAGGUGUUGAAAACUCCCAUAAUGUCAUCUUUAAGGAGGUUCCAGAAUCGCUAGUAGAAUAACAUCGGUAGUCCAUCAGGAUCAGGGGCCUUCUCAGAAGCACUAGAGAAAACGGCUCUCCUUACUUUGCUUAAAGUGAACGGUGCCUGAAUACUUGAGAGGUCCAAAUGUUCAUCACCAUAGGGUGCCUAGAGAUUAAUACCGGCAGAGGGAACAUGUUCCACACCCAGCUGGUUGAGGAAGAAGAAGAAGAGGUGCUCUGCGAUCAACUCAGGCGAGGAAAGAGUGGCAGAGCCGUUCGAAAGUUUAGAAAUGAAAUUUUUGUUCCUGCGAGCAUUGGCCUUGAGGAGAAAAAAUUUUGUAUUGGCAGCUCCAACCUUAAGCCAUUGAACUCUAGAUUUCUGCUUCCACUUAAUCUCCUCUUGUAAGCAAAGGUCUUCGUAUCUGGCCUUAAGCUUCGGUCUCAAACUGCGCUCAAGGGCCAUUAGGAGUCUUCCUUAUUCUGCUUUGUCAAGCCAGUCGAUCCAGAGAAGACAUCGUUUAGCCUAUUCCCUUAUUGUUGAAGAGAGACCUGCGCUCCAAGAUCGAAGAGCAGAUUGGACAGAUUUGAUUUUCUAUGAGAAAAGAUUCACGGGGUCGGAAUUAGGCAAAAUCGAAUUCCACGCCAUGGAGACUACAUCCAUGACAGCAGGGUGACGUAGCCAGUAGCUCUCAAAUCUGAAUUGAUUGGCAUGAGGAAUGAAGGUGUAGGCUGAAAGUACCAAGGGCGUGUGGUCAAAUCGCGGUCGCGGGAGGGCUCGUAGGGUGGAUCGGGGAAAAACAAGUAGCCAGGCACUGGAGAUAAAAGUGCAAUCCAGACGCUCUAGAGUCGAAACACCCCUACCAUUAGACCAUGUGAAAGAUUUAUUUUGGAUGGGAAGAUCAACCAACCCAAUCUCAUGUACGACCUCUCUGAAGUUCAAGAUGUCAGUCACGCUUGCGGUGGGUCCAUUCUUGUCCUGAACGGAGAGUGGGACUUUGAAGUCGCCGAGCACAGUCCACACUCCAGAGAACAACUCACCAAUGGAGCGAAGUUCAUGAAAAAAGUCAGCUUUUAGAUUGGCCGCAGUAGGGCCGUAGACGCUCGAAAUCGUGAAUGAUUUUCUAUCCACUUUCCUCUUAAGCACCACAGUGAGCGAGAAUCUGCCAGCCCAUUCCUAAACACAGUUGAAGAGAGACGAAUUCCAUGCAGUGAGGAGACCGCCUCUAGUCCCCUCUGCAUUUUGAGUUCGAAAGUCAUGCAGGUGAAACCCAGAGAAGGAGCAAAACUUGAUAGUAGAAGUAGAGGAUAAUUUAGUUUCUUGAAAGCAUACAACACAGCAUUUGGAAUAUCGAAUGAAGGAUUUGACGACAGUGCACUUAGAGAGGUCAUUGAGGCCCCGUUAGGAAACGAAAGAUUCUGUUCCUAGCCAUUGAGAAAAAGAACAGCGACCUAGACUCAAAGCGAGGAGAGGCAGAAGCUACACCCCAGUCGUGUUCGCACCAAUAAUACUAGCAGCAGUGAUCCAGCAGGUAAGCACAACACCAACAUCUAUGUCGGUAAUUCCGCAGACGGUCUUGAUUAGUUGUAUCUCUUCAAGAGUAAGGGGGUGUAGCACACUGGACCUUUGCAAAUUGCGAGGUUCGAGUGUUUGGAAGUAUUUCGAAUGUUGUCCGACCUUUGCAAAUUGGCUUGUAGAAUGUUGUCCGACCUAAAAAGUUCGAAAACUGGAAUUCUGGACAAGUCCUGAGAGUUUUUACUCUCGGGGACCGAUCCCUGGAAGGAGAGACCGGUCCCCCAGUGAGCAGUGUUGCGGCAGCCCUGAGGCAACCGGUCCCUGGCGGGCGAGACCGGUCCCCGAGCGCGCCUUCGCAGUAAGAGACCGGUCCCGCGUAGGGAGAGACCGGUUCCCGAACGUUGGUUCUCCGGGUUCGCAGCGAGAGACCGGUCCCUGCUGGGGAGAGACGGGUCCCUCUGGGCGAAAACUGCCCAGUUCGGGCUGAUGCAAUUUUAGAUUUUUGAGGGACCUAGCUGGAUUUUGUUACAAUAGAGGGUCUAUAUGACCCAUCCCCUCUCUCUUCUUCUCAUUUCCCUCCUCACACUCUCCCCACACCCUUGUUAGAGAGAGAGAGAGGGAGAAAGAGAAGAAGAAGGAGGAGAAGGUUUUGGUGGACUUGGAGCAUUUCUUUGCCUCUCUUCCUCUUCCCACCUUGUUGGUGCUUGAAGGCUUGGACUUGGAGCUUGCAUAGGAGGAGAUCUUCACCCUUUGAGCUUGGAUUGAAGCUUCUUUGAGGUUGGUAGCCCUUUCUCUCCAUCUAGACUUGGAUUUGAGGCUUUCUUUGUGUUGGAACCCUAGAAUGAGGUUUAGGGUUGAUUUUGGGGCUUUUUGAAUUUAGGGCUUUUGGGGCUAAAUUAGUUGGUUUAGAACCUUCCUUGGGCUCGGAGUGGAAGGGUUCUAGCUCUCUUUUAGAGCUUUGGAAGAGAUUUCUUCUCUUGAUGUGAGAAUUGACCCCUUUUGCUUCUAGGUUAAUGUUUGAUAGUAUAAGAUGAUCGUAAUGCCCGUGUAUCUUGUCGCUCAAUACUUUUAGGGUAUUUUGAGACUCGAGGACAACUUCGUUCGGCGAAACGAGGCCCUACGCGACGGUUCGGUGGGUUUGAUCUAGCCUAUAUAUGAGAAAUUCUCACAUAUGGUUAUAUAUAUGUUCCGUAAAUGGGAAAAGCAUGCAUAUUCAUACUAAAUGUAUUUAUUAUGAUUUUUAGAAUGCUUAAAAUGCAUAUGUUACAUAUGAUGAAAUUUUGGACUCUAUGUAGUAGAAAGUUGCUUGGGAGAUCUAUGGUUGCAUUUAGCAUUCUUUAUGAGACUUGGUUCCAUACUUCUAUAGUGUAAAUGAGUUCGGAUUCAUACAUUUAAACUUAAGUUUACUUGUAACAUGAAAGAUGACAAAAUUGCCAUUUAGAAGGUGUGUGAACUAGAGAGCUAAUGUCUUCAAGUGGCAUUGAGCUCGGGACAUGUGUGAACCUAGUGGAUAGGGCCAUUGAGGAAUGUGGAACAUGCUUAAACAUUAAAUUUCUAAGUGUCAUAGAGGGGCACUAGACCUAGAGAAUGUUGGAACUUCAUUUGUGACUUAGAACUAGAUCUUCGAGAUGCUAGUGACUAUACCAUGUUAGAGACAUGAGGGUUGGAUACUUGAGACUUGGACUAUGCUUGCUUGCCAUUUGUGCUCAUUCGCACAUGCUUGUGAGGGUCGCUCCCUACAAGCCGGCACUCCGGAGUUUGCCUUCGCGACCUAUGUUCGCUCGUGCGAUAUUGAGAAGCCUACGNNNNNNNNNNNNNNNNNNNNNNCCCCUUGUUGGCUUGGAUUUUGGUGGAUUUACUCUUCUUUUUGCCUUUUGUGCUAUUUCCUCCAUGGUAGAGAGCUUGGUGCUUGGAGUUGAGCUUGGUUUGAGGAAGAUCACCACUUCUAAAGGGUUUUGAUCAUUGUUUUGGAGCUUCUAGAAGGUAAGCAACAUUUCCUUUCCCCUAGAAUUGGGUUUUGGUGUUCUCUACUAGAUGGAACCCUAGAAUGAGAGAUUAGGGUUGUUUUUGGGGCUUUUUGAUUAGAAGCUUUUGGAACCAAUCUAAUGGGAUUAGAACUUUGGAAUAGGUUCCUUUGAAUGUGAUUUGCCCUUCCUUUGAGCUUUGGAGAGGGAUUUCUACUCUUGAAGUGAGUUUUGGCCCUUUUUGCUUCUAGGUUAAUGUUUGAUCUUAUAGUUGAACGUAACGCCCGUGUAUCUCUUCGCUCAAUACUUUUAGGGUAUUUUGAGACUCGAGGACAACUUCGUUCGGCGAAACGAGGCCCUACGCGACGGUUCGGUGGGUUUGACCUAGCCUAUAUAUGAGAAAUUCUCACAUAUGGUUAUAUAUGUUCCGUAAAUGGGAAAAGCAUGUAUAUUCAUACUAAAUGUAUUUAUUAUGAUUUUUAGAAUGCUUAAAAUGCAUAUGUUACAUAUGAUGAAAUUUUGGACCUCUAUGUAGUAGAGAGUUGUUUGGGAGAUCUAUGGUUGCAUUUAGUAUUCUUUAUGAGACUUGAUUCCAUGCUUCUAUAGUGUAAAUGAGUUCGGAUUCAUGCAUUUAAACUUUAGUUUACUUGUGACAUGAAAGAUGACAAAAUUGCCAUUUAGAAGAUGUGUGAACUAGAGAGCUAAUGUCAUCAAGCGGCAUUGAGCUCGGGACAUGUGUGAACCUAGUGGAUAGGGCCAUUGAGGAAUGUGGAACAUGCUUAAACAUUAAAUGUCUAAGUGUCAUAAAGGGGCACUAGACCUAGAGAAUGUUGGAACUUCAUUUGUGACUUAGAACUAGAUCUGCGAGAUGCUAGUGACUAUACCAUGUUAGAGACAUGAGGGUUGGAUACUUGAGACUUGGACUAUGCUUGCUUGCCAUUUGUGCUCAUUCGCACAUGCUUGUGAGGGUCGCUCCCUACAAGUCGGCACUCCGGAGUUAGCCUUCGCGAUCUAUGUUCGCUCGUACGAUAUUGAGAAGCCUACGGGGUCGGGUGGGACAGACACAUUCCAAGAGUAGGGAUGUUGGGCUACCACAGGCACUUAGGCGGCACAAGCUGGACUACCUUUGGUAGGUCCUUGAUUGGAAAUGAAAAUCGACACGGUGUUGAGAAUGAAUAAUCGCUACUAGAUAGGCUUAGUAGUUGGAUUAGGUGACAUACUCAUGACAUAGCAAUAGGGUAUAUAGUACACUUGCCGGUUUCAUGCAUUGCAUCAUAGUAUACUGGGUUAUCUUGAUAGAGCGUACUCCUUAUAUUUUGGCAUAUGGUAUUGUGAGAUUUACUUGUUCAUUAUGUUGAGGCAUAUUAGUAUGCAUUGGAUAUAUUAUCUUAUAAUAGCGUAGAUGUACAUCACCAUGACAUCAUGCUUAUUGGAGACAUAGUAGUAUAGCCUUUCAUUCAUGUUUUCUUUUAGCAGUUUUUGUGUUCGCUAUUUAUUGCAUAUUACUAUAUGUCGUUACUUACCCUUUUCUUUUGGGGCCUAGUGGUGCAUUGAGCUGAGGUCAGUAAUUGCCCACUGGGAACUAUAAAUUAUAGUUCUCACGCCCUCUUUUUCUCGAUGUUUUCAGAGCCUUCUACCUCUCGAUAUUUUACCUUUUUACCGAGAGGUUGAGGGUUUUACCAGUGUACUAGAGACCACCAUUUUUGUACUAGAGACAGAUAUUGUACUACUUGUGGUUUCUUUUAUUGUCUAGCUUUAUUUCUUUACUUUGGUGUAAAUGAUAGAACUUUACUCGCUCUGAUAUCAUUAGUUGCUAGUUAUUUCACUUCUUUUAUUUGUUCUAUCUCUUGCUUUACUUCCGCUUUUGUUGUAGACGCCUUAUAUGUGUAGACAUAUGGCGGGUCUGGGCACGCUAUCGGGAGGGCCUUCGCCGAUCCCAGGGCGUGACAGGGGGUGUACGGGGUCUCUCUUUAGAGGGGAAGCAGAGUUUAUUCCAGCGAUAUCACUCUUCAACGAAGGAGCAUUAUCCUUCCCGACAUUCAUAUUGGAGGCUCCCGAAUCCUUCCCGGCAUGCGUAUCAGAAUCUCCCGAAUUCAGCCCUAUACCUGGAAGCUGUGACUGGGCCAAGUGAGGUAGGUCCUCAGAGGAUGAAGCAUCAACAGGAGUAGCGUUGGACAGGCUGGCGACCUUCAAUGCGAGAUUCAUCACUUUUAUUUUCUAGCACCUUAAAUCCUGAGCUUUCUGCAGGGAAGACUUCUUGUUAUCUCUGUUUUUGGCGCAGACUACUUUUGAAAUUGAAACGUUUUUUGGUGGUGGAGCGGUGAUGAAGGUGAGAGUCCAGUUCUAUGGGAGGCGUCUCCGAUCUCAGAAGCGAGGCGGAAUGAUAUGAUGAGACCCCGCCCAAGGGAGGCUCAUCGGUAAACAUGGGGGGGGGAGGGGGGAUUGUUGGGCUUUGGGUCCACAAGUAAGGUGGGCUCAGUGAUGGGACUGGCGGACUUAGUCAAAGACCCAAGAGGAAGUUUGGGCGAGGUAGAAGCCAGGAUAGGUUGUGUAACACACUGGACCUAUGCAAAUUUUAAGUGUUUGAUUUGUGUUCCGAGCUUUUUCACAUUUUCUGGAGGGUCGUUGAUAGUGUUCCGACCUAUGGCUCGCAUCCCGAGAAUCGAGGUUUAGAACUUGGCACUAAGGUCUCCGAAGUGAAGAACUUAGGCUGCUCUUGGGUUGGACUCUACAGAGCAGAGUACCGGUACAACAUUGAGCUUGUACCGGAAUGGGAGGUGGUACCGGUACAACAUCGGGUUUGUACCGGUAUCGAGCGCCGUUUUCUGUCAACCCGAGGCUCGGGUUUGCGCCUACUGUGACCUUGUACCGGUACAACUUCCCGUGUACUGGUACGCAGUGCAAACUACAGUCUGCUUAUUUUUUAGGGUUGAUUUUGAUAUUGUAGCCUUAUUACAUAUACCCUCCAUGGCCCAUGGAGGUCCCCUGAGCUGAGACCAGUAGAGAAGAAGUUAAGGGAGCUCUCCCCUUCCCCUCUUUCAUUUCCUUUCACUUUAGUUGGGAUUUUUGAAGAUUGAACCUUUCCUUUUGCUUCUUGGUGCCAUUUCCAUCAUGAGAAAAGCUUUGACUUGGUGUUUGGAGCUUGUUUGAGAGAAGGUUUUCAACCCUAGUUGGUUCCUAGGGUGGUUUGAAGCUUCUAAAGAGGUUAGUAACAUGUUUCUUUCAUUAGAUUCAUAUUUUGAUGGAUUUCUUGAGAUGAAAUCCUAGAAUGUGAGAUUUAGGAUUUAUUUUAGAAAUUUUUUAUUAGAGACUUUUGGAUCCCAAUUGAAUGGUUUAGAACCUUUGUUUAGGUUAGAUUUGCAGGGAUCUUACUCUCAUUUGGAGAUUGAGAGAGAAUUUCAGUUUUGCCCAUUUUCCUUAGGUUGGUUAUUGUUUGAUCUUAGGGUUGUUCGUUCGUAGCGUUUAACUCUCUUAGUUUAACUUUUAGGGUGCUAGGAGGCUUGUGGACAUCAUCUUUUGAGCGAACGAAGGUCUACGAGGAGUUUUGGUGGGUUUGGCCUCAUCGAAAAUAGAAAAACUCCACCUAUGUCGAUAUUUAAUUGCCGUAAAAUAGAAAUGCAUGCAUAUUCACGCUACAUUGAGCAUACGAGAUGUUUGGAAUGCUUAAAAUACAUAUGUUAUAUAUGAUGAAAAAUUGCCUCGAUGUAGCAGAGAGAGAUAUGUGCAUUGUAGCCUUGCAUAUGGUUAGCAUUCUAUUUAAUGGUUUGGAAUCAUGUUUCUUGCAAAGAAAUAACUUAUAUAAUAUGCUCUUAAACUUAGAACUCAUAUUGGACAUAGUGGAUAAGAAUGUCAUAAAGUGGCAUUGAUCUUGAUGAAUGCAUUGACAUAGUAAGUUACAAUGUCAUAAAAGGGCAUUGGACUUAGUAAACAGCUAAACCUUUACCUUGAGACAUUGAACUGGACCUUUGGGGUUACUAGUGUUUAUUACCAUGAUUGAGACAUGAUGACCGAGUAUCUGAGAUGACUAUCACGCUUGCUUGCCAUUUGUGCUCAUUCGCACAUGCUUGUGAGGGUCGCUCCCUACAAGUCGGCACUUCGGAGUUGGCCUGUGCGACAUACGCUCGCCGUGCGUGAUUGAGGACCUACUGGGUCACCGUGGGAUAGUCACAUUCCUAGUGAAUACUGGACUACCCGGGGCCAUUAGGCGGCACAAGCUGGACUACACUCAUGUAGGUCCUAUUUUGGAAAUGAAAAUUUGACAAAGAACAACUAAAUGAUAAUCACUACUAGACUAGUACAUAGUAGUUGGAUUCCUUUGGCAUGCUUGUAGCAUAGUAUUGGACAUUUAGUUGACAUUCUUGGACAUAUAGUAUACUUGUGACUUGUUUGAACACACUAGUUCAUGCAUUUAAUGUACUUGCUCAUGAUAGCUAGAAGCAUCAUUUUUAUCAUCAUGCUUACUUGCGACAUAGUAGUGGUAGUAAAUUAUAUUGUUAAAUCUACUCGUUGAUUUCCUUCUUUAGUGCUUAUUUACUCUACUUAUGCUUUUGGGGCCUAGUGGUGCUUCCUCGCUGAGGUCAGUAAUUGCCCACUGGGAACUAUUAAUUAUAGUUCUCACGCCCCCUGUUUGAUAUUUUCUUUCAGAGCCAUCCGCACCGGGAGAGGCUAGGAAUCGCGGCAAGGGAGUCGCGUCUAGCUAGAUCUCAGGGAUCUCUUCUAUUAGAUGGUUAUCUCUCUUUUUGUAUAGUUGGGGAGAGAGCGAGUUGUACCAAUGUAUAGAGACCACAAUUUUUGUAUAUCUAGUACUUGUAUUUGAGACUUAUUGUUGUAUUACUCUAUAUUUUACCUUAGUGGUUAGCUCUCUUUUCAUCCUACUUGUUGUUAGAUUCUAGUUGUAUACUUUCUCUGAUAUCUCUAGAUACUUGUUACUUCUUGUUUAUUUAUCGCUAUCGUUGUAGACGCCUUAUAUGUGCAGGCAUAUGGCGAGUCUGGACACGCACCGGACGGGCCUCUGCUGGGCCCCGGGGCGUGACAAAUUAUUUUGGUAUCAGAGCCUAGGGUUAAGUCUUAAUGGACCUAGCAAACCUUAGGCCGGUUGGACUAUAGGAAUUAGACUCGUGAGAGAUGCAGUCUAUUUGACUUAUAAGGGAAGUAUUAUGAUUGGGUUUCUUUGAUAACUCUAAAAAGUGGAUUUGAAUUGAAGUGUAUAACUUCUAACUUCGCGGAGGGUUACAUUGGCGGCCGACAACGUAACAUCGGGAGUUAGUAGUAGAGAACACUUCUUUACUUUCGCAUGAUUUUGGGUUUUACUUGUUUAAGCGGGGUUGCGAUAGCGUGAGUUUUACUAACUUGCGCUUUUAUAUUGUUGUAGUGACGAUGCCGGUUACUCGCUCUAAAUCUAUUGGGGCGGAGAACGCAGCAAACCUCCAGGAGGUGGAGACCUCCACUACUUCCGGAUCUAGUGAGGUCCGCAAUUUGAGGACUCAGCUUGCGGUCCUCAUUGAUUUGGUUGCUCAGCAGGCAGCGGCGGCUCAGUGGCAGGCCGAGGUGGCGCUCCGACAGGAGUCGCAGAUAAAGCGGCUGGAGGGCUUACUAUUUCAGCAGGCGGCUGUGAGAGAGACUCAGGAUCCAACACCACCCGCGCCGCGCUAGUAGUGGACGUGGCACCGCGGGCGCCGUCCCCUGCGCCCGGUGUUCCACGAGUGGCGCCUUUUGUUGAGCCUCGGGAGGAGGUUUUUGCGGCAGCACCUGUGUAACGUACCGGACAUCAAAAAUUAUGAGGACACGGUGUAUGUUAGGUUCGAUGGCUAAUCCGAUGAUUCCGGUGAAGUCUGGUGAAGUUGGAAACUUUGGUGCGUUUCGGUGCGCGUAGGCGCGAAAACGGAACCCGGAAGGUUACGUUGGGCCGCGAGCUAAGUCCAACACUAGUGUGGAUGAAAAGAUGAUGGAGACAUGUUCAAAAAUAUGUUUAGUGAGCCUCGGUUCUAUUUGAAAAGAAUCGGAAGUUUAACGAGCGAAUUAGAGUUGAAACGGACCUAAGAUUGCACUCUGGAGCAUUGUGUACCGGUACAGGUUGAUGGCUGUACCGGUACAGCAAGCGACCCGAGGUAAAGGCUGCUCUCGGGUUGGCUGUUGCGCGAGUCGUGUACCGGUGAUACCAACCCGUGUACCGGUACGCGGUGGACCCGACAGCAAAAAUUAGUCUGCUGUGAUUAUAAUUGAUUGGAGGGGUUUAUUUGCAAUUGUUACCUAAUGUAAUAGCCCUAAACCCCUCUCCCUCACAGCAGAUCUCUCUCUCUCCCUCUCUCGUGUCUCUCUCUCUCUCUCUCUCAGCCGAUUGCAAGAGAGGGGAAGGAAAAGAAGAAAAAAAAAAAGAAAAAGAAGAUAAGGAAGGAGAAGAAGGAGCUUACCUUUAUCUUCAUCUUCCUCAUGCUUGGAGCACGCUUGUGAGGUAAGCUUUUUGUCUCCUCUCAUGGUGGGAUUAGGGUUAGGGUUUGGUUUUUAAACCCUAAUACUUAGAGAUUUGAAACUUCUUGCAUGUUUAAAAGCCUCUUGAGACCUAGAACACCAUGAAAUCCAUGGUUCUCUCAUGAUGCUCUAAUGGUGGAUUUCUAGGGUUUGUUCUAAACACCCUAGAAAUGAUUCAUAUGCUCCUAGUUGAGCUCCUAGAUGAUAAACAAGCUCUCUUUUGCUUGUUUUAUAGAUCAAAUCCGGGGUAUUGUGCAUAUGUCACGUUAGGGCAUCCCAAAGAGGGGUUUUGCUCAUAUGAAGUUUUGAUCUAUUUUGACCCCUUGGAAACCUAAUUGGGGACCUAACAAACGCGUUGGUGAAGUCGGUUUGACCAUUCGUCGAGUGUGCGCGAAGUUAUUGACAAGAUAGUGUUUUGUCGUACAGAUGGCCGCAGCACGCAAGAUAAACGCCUAAAAAUCGUGGGAUCGGAACCGGAGCACCUUGGAGUCAGGGAGUAAACUUCGGAAAAGACGGAUCGCGAUUCGGAGGUCAUUUGGAGGUCGCGCAAGAGUUCGGGCCAAACCGGGCAACGGUUGCCGCGGGAGGCCGAUUGCAAGUGUCGACAAGCAAUCGGAGCGUAAGUCAAGGUGGGUUGUGUUUACCGAAGCGACUAGGUCGCCCUUAUGUCUAAGAAAUGUUAAGAAUCCUCAUUGAUGCAUAUAAUGUAAAUGUGGUUUGUGGAUUAUGCAUAUAAUCAAUGCUAGUUCGUGUAUGUUAAUAGUAUAAUGCAAAAUGCCAAGUAACGCAUGAUAAUAAUGAUAUGAUGCGAAUGCCAAGAUAGAUGCAUACAAAAUGAUAUAGAGAUCAUGAAUGCAAGUAGGAAUAAUAUACAAGAGCAUGAUUAGCAUUGUGAGAUCGUAAAUGCACAAAAUGAACGUUAUGUUAAGCUACCACAUAGAGUAUAUGACAUAUGGUGGUCGUGUUGUAUGUAAAGAAUGACAAAUAAAGGACAUGUGUAUGUGGACAUUAAAUACAUAUAGAUCGAGUGGCAUCGAACCUAGAGUCGGGAACCUAGGUUAAACAAGAAUGAAUGUGAACCUAAUGUUAGUAAAUAUAGGUUGGACAAAGGAAAUAAUGGACCUAGUGUUGAUGAACAUAAGUUAAAUAAGAAUGGCAUUAAACCUAAUGUUAGAGAACAUAGGUUGUGAGAUAAAAAUAACGAACCUAGAAUCACAUGAACCUAGGUGAGCAAAGGUAAUGAACCUAGAGUUAAUAACCUAGGCUAUGAGUAUGGUAACAACGAACCUAAAGUAUUAACUUAGGUUGAAUAGAGGCUUGGACCUAGAUAGGUCAAUUCCAUAGGGUUAAGACCAACCCUUGAGUAAUGAGAAAUGGAUUCCGGAAUCCCUAAGAAUGAUUGCUGCUAGUGCAGCAGCUGCUAGUGCAGCGGAUGCGACUGAGUGAUGACUGCGGGUAUGUGUGGUUCUCCUCGCCUGGCAGUGACUCAUUGGGUACGUGUGAUUCUCCUCGCCCGGUUCGAGUAUGAGAUUGGGGACGCGGGUAUGUGUGGUUCUCCUCGCCCGUAGGUCCAUUGAGCGACUUGUGGUCCAGGGUUCGACGGUAUAUCCUCACCCUGUGAGUAGACCUAUAGUCGAGAGGAUCUUAGGCUGAGGUGCAUGUGAGACGUCCUUCGCCUCGAGCCUUACAGAGCGCGGAGUAUCCGCAGUUGAUUGACUCAAGACCAAGUCGGGUGGCAUAGAUGAUUAAGGUAGAGAGACCUUAGAUAUGAGUUGUCAAUGACUAUGGCAAAGAAUAAGAAUGCUAGUAAUAAUUAAGAAUGUAAAUGAGUAAAGAAUCGCCAACGGGCGUAGUGUAAAGAAUGAUAAGGAAUAAAGAGUAAAGAUUCGCCAAUGAGCGUAAUGUAAGAAAGGAUAAUGAAAUAACAAAGUGUAAAGAAUGGCUUCGAGUAGAAUUAAAAUAAUCUACUUGCAUAAGUACAGGUGUUGCAUAUUGCAUUUUGGGAGGCAGGACAUCUUAGUUCAAUAUCUGUUAUAUAACUGUUAUAUGUUAUUGGACUAACUUGUUACAGGGCCUCAUUAGACAUAUCGACCGAGCUUUUCCCUUGGGUGGCCGUACCCACUGAGAACCAUGGAGUUGGUUCUCACCCCACGUUGUUUUGGGGUGUUUACAAGUAUACACGUGAGCGUCGCGGUGGCGCGAGGCAAGGGCGUAGCUCCGUAGAUGGUGAACCAUGGAGUUUACAGGUAUACAUAUCGACCGAGCUUUUCCCUUGGGUGGCCGUACCCACUGAGAACCAUGGAGUUGGUUCUCACCCCAGAGACUGAGAUAGCAGUACCCGAGUCGGUGGUCUAGCUGGGGAGGUUUAAAGACAAGAGCAAACUUUGAUCAUGUUGUAAUAAAUUAAAAUAAUUGAGAUUGUAUUUGGAAGAUGAGUGUAAAAGAAAAUUGUGUGCAAAAAUGUAUGUAAGUUGAAUGUUGUAAUAACUUAGUAGUAUUAUGUUUUUGAUACUUCCUUAUGCAAUCUAUGAAUGAAUACUGUUCCUGAUCGGAACCUCUUGUAUCGUCUUGAUUGCGACACCUUGGACGUACAGGGGAGACUCUAUCCGUUCGGCGGUCUGUUAGCGUACCCGAAUUCGGCCAAAUAGGCGGGGCGCGAGGCGUGACAACCUGCUCAGGUGCCCCCGGCAAGAGCGGCUUUUCCGAUAAUAGUCGAGGGAGCGGAGAGAGACCGGCUUAUGGAUCGCCUCAACGAGUUCAGGAGGUGCAAUCCGCGGAUUUUCGACGGGGAGAAAGUCGACCAGUGGAUAGUAGAGAAGUGGCUCAUGCAUAUGGAGAAGUUAUUCCACGACACCUUCGUGUAGGAGAGUUACAGAGUUUGGCUCGCCACACAUUAUCUUGACGACGAGGCCUAUCGCUGGUGGCUGGAUAUUCAGGACAACCCGGAUACGGAUUUAUCGGUGAUCUCUUGGAAAAGGUUCAAGGAGCUUCUGAUGGCUAAGUACUUUCCAGAGAGCGUUAAGAGAAAGAUGGAGCAGGACUUGCGCGGCUUACACCAGGGGGAGCGGAUUGUGGCCGAGUACGAGAGGGAGUUCUCUCGACUUCUACACUGCGUGCCUUUUGUCGUGCGGGACGACGAGGACAAGGCCUGCAUCUUCGAGCGAGGACUUCGGCCGUCCAUCUUUCGAUUUGUGCAAUCCUCCAAUCUCUAGACUUACCGUGAUGUGGUGAACCGCGCGCUCUUCGUGGAGAGCGGUGCGGCGGAUUUGCAGGAGCGUCGAGAGGGCUUGGACAAGGGUAAGGGCAAAAGGCCCACGGCUGAGGGUGCGAGUCAGACGCACUCUGGGAGGCCGCCGAGAUACCCUAGGAGCCAGUCUCGUGGGCGCGGCUUGACCGCGCAGCGUGGAGGGUCUGAACUUCCUCGGGCUCCUCGUUGUGUGAUCUGUAGUGGUCCCCACCCUCUGCGGCAGUGCACACAGCGUAGGGGCAAGUAUUAUUUGUGUGGCCAGGGGGGCCACUUCCAGUCUCAUUGCCUUAGGGGUUCACUUCCAGCACCAUCAUCAGCAUCAGCACUGGCUUCACCGGGUCCCAGCCAGAGGACUUCUUAGGCUCAGUACCAGAUCGGGCGGCCACCUGUCCAGCGCCAGACCGAGGGGUCAUGACAGGCCCCGAGCGGGCGCAUGUAUGCGGCCCAGACAGAGGAGGCGGCAACAACCGAGAAUGUGGUAGCAGGUAUCAUUUUAUUAUAUGGCAUUCGAGUUCGAGCAUUAUUUGAUACUAAUGCAUCGUAUUCAUUCAUAGAUCGGCUAUUUGCCGAGUUGUAUAGCAUCCCGUUAGUUUCCUUAUUCAUCCGGGACGUAUCAUUGUUCCCGACCACUCCUUGGACAUUAGGGAGUUUUGCCCUAGUUGCCCUGUUCUGGUAGGAGAGUAGAUCAUGCCCGUGGAUCUUUUAGCCUUGCGUAAACUCGAGGAGUUUAACGUAGUUUUGGGCAUGGAUUGGUUGACCAAGUAUUUCGCCACUAUCGAUUGCAAGAAUCGAACGGUCACCUUUAGAGAGCCGGAGUAGGAGGAAGUUGUGUUUAGAGGAUGUCAGAGCUCGCUAUUUGCGAUAAUGAUUAACUCCUCUCGAGCUAGGUAGUUGAUCAGCAGGGGUUGCAUAGCCUAUUUGGCUAGUGUGGUACUGAGGGGUGAGGAUGACACCCCUAGGAUUGAGGACAUCCCGGUAGUGCGGGAGUUUUGUGAUGUGUUUCCAGCGGAGCUUCCAGGUAUGCCACCUGAUAGUAAGAUUGAGUUUGUGGUAGAUCUCAUCCCUAGGACUACUUCAAUCUCAAAGGCGCCCUAUAGGAUGGCACCAGCAGAGUUGAAGGAGCUAAGGGCACAGUUGCAAGAUUUGUUGGAUAAGAGCUUCGUUCGGCCGAGUAUUUCACCUUGGGGAGCACCGGUUUUAUUUCUUAAGAAGAAGGACGGAUCAUUUCACUUGUGCGUGGACUAUCGUGAACUUAAUAAAGUCACGAUUAAUAAUAAGUAUCUGUUGCCGAGGAUUGAUGAUCUUUUUGAUCAGCUUCAAGGAUCGAGUGUGUAUUCCAAGAUAGACUUGCAGUCAGGAUACUAUCAGCUGAAGAUUAAACCCGAGAAUGUUUCUGUUUCUAAGACGGCUUUCAGAACACGGUAUGGACAUUAUGAGUUUACAGUUAUACCGUUUGGGCUUACUAAUGCCCCAGCAGUUUUUAUGGAUCUAAUGAACCAUGUUUUUAAGCCUUAUCUAGACAAGUUCUCGUAGUGUUCAUCGACGAUAUUUUGGUCUAUUUUCGAAGUGAUAUGGAUCACGAGGAACAUUUGAGGCUUGUACUUCAAGUACUUCGGGAAAAGAACCUCUAUGCCAAGUUGAAAAAGUGUAAGUUUUGGCUUUGAGAGGUGGCUUUUCUUGGACAUUUGAUUUCGGAAUCAGGUACAGCCGUGGAUCCUAGGAAGACUGAAGCUAUCAAGGAUUGGCCUAGACCGACAAGUGUCACAGAGAUUCGGAGCUUCCUUGGAUUGGCCGGCUACUACCGGAGAUUCGUUGAUGAAUUUGCAAAGUUAUCUACUUCCCUCACGCGGCUCAUGCAUAAGGACACCAAGUUUAUUUGGAAUGAUGCGUGUGAUAGAAGCUUCCAAGAGUUGAAGCAUAGAUUGACGACCGCCCCGAUCCUAACCUUGCCAAUUGCUAGAGCAGAGUAUGUGGUUUAUAGUGAUGCUUCCUUUAAUGAAUUAGGCUGUGUUUUGAUGCAGGACAGGAAGGUGAUCGCGUAUGCUUCUCGCCAAUUGAAGGAAUACUAAAAAAAUUAUCCUACACACGAUUUGGAGUUGGCGGCCGUAGUCUUUGCAUUGAAGUUAUGGCGCCAUUAUCUUUAUGGCGAGCGGUGUGAAGUAUAUACGGAUCAUAAGAGUUUAAAGUACUUAUUCACUCAGAAGGAGUUGAACUUGAGGCAGCGCAGAUGGUUGGAGCUACUCAAGGAUUAUAAUUUGACUAUUCUCUACCACCCGGGCAAGGCUAACGUGGUGGUGGAUGCGCUAAGUUGGAAAUCGACAAAUAACUUAACGAUGCUAGUGGUCACUCAACCACCGCUGAUUGAGCAGAUGAAUCGGUUAGAGUUGGAGGUGGUGGCUCCUGAUACACCCUUGAGACUGAUGACAUUGGUGGUGCAACCUAUACUUUUCGAUAGAAUUAAAGAAUGGCAAGUUCACGAUGUGGAGUUGCAAAAGGUUUGAACUAAGAUGAUUGAUGGUUACACCGGUGAUUUCUGAGUGGAUGAUCUAAGGAUAUUGCAUUUCCGUGGGCAGAUUUGUGUACCGAUGGAAGCGGCAAUUAAAAAGGACAUUCUUCAAGAAGCUCACCGUGCACCCUAUGCUAUACAUCCAAGAGGCAGCAAGAUGUAUAAGGAUUUGAAACUACUUUAUUGGUGGCCUGGGAUGAAAAAGGACGUUGGCGAGUUUGUUGCUAGAUGUUUAACUUGCCAACAAGUGAAGGCUGAGCAUCAGUUACCUGUAGAAAAAUUGCAGAGUUUACCGAUUACCGUUUGGAAGUAGGAAAAGAUCACCAUGGACUUUAUGAUAGUAUUGCCCCGCUCUCAGGCCGGGCAUGAUGCUAUACAGGUAUAUUUAGACGAGAUAGUGUGACUUCACGGGGUACCUACUUCGAUAGUUUUAGCUCGAGAUCCCCGGUUUGUAUCUCACUUUUGGAGGAGUCUACAGGAUGCCUUGGACACGCGCUUGGAUUUCAGUACAGCUUUCAACCCUCAGAGUGAUUGGCAGUCAGAGCGCACUAUUCAGACUCUUGAGGAUAUGCUUCGAGCUUGCGUGAUAGACUUCCAGGGAGAAUGGUCAUAGCAUUUACCGAUGGCAGAGUUUGCUUAUAACAAUAGUUAUCGAGCAAGCAUCAAGAUGGCACCCUUCGAGGCACUUUAUAGACGAAAGUUAGAUCGCCACUUCAUCGAAGUGAAGUCGGCGAGAGAUUGGCUUUAGGCCCUGAUGUGCUCGAGGAAACAGAGGACAAGAUUCGCAUUGCUCGGGAGCGAUUGUUGACAACCCAGAAUAGGCAAAAGAGUUAUGUUGAUAAGCGUCAACGAGACUUGGAGUUUCUAGUCGGAGACCAUGUCUUUUUGAAAGUCUCGCCGGCCGAAGGAAUGAGAAAAUUCGGCAUCCGAGGUAAGUUGAGCCCCCGAUUCAUUGGACCAUAUGAGAUUUUGGAGCGUGUAAGCCCGGUGGCGUAUCGACUUGCUCUACCGCCAAACCUAUCGGGCGUGCACAAUGUUUUCCGUGUAUCGGUUCUCCGAAAGUAUAUCCACGACCCGGCUCAUGUUUUGGAGGUUAUACCAGUAGAGCUGAGAGAGGAUUUGAGCUUUGAAGAGCAACCUGUGAGAAUUUUGGCUCGUAAGGUGAAAAAAUUUCGGAAUCGAAAUAUUCCGUAUGUGAAGGUGCUUUGGAGCAACCACGAUGAACGCGAGGUCACAUGGCAAUUGGAGAGCGCACUGCAGGAGCGCUAUUUCCAUCUUUUUCAGAUGGAGUCUUGAGGUACUUUGCUUUUGAGUUUCGCGGACGAAACUUCUUUUGAGGAGGGGUGAAGGUAAUACACUGGACCUAUACAAAUUGCGAGGUUCGAGUGUUUGAUUUGUGUUCCGAGCUUUUCCACAUUUUCUGGAGGGUCGUUGACAGCGUUCCGACCUAUGGCUCGCAUCCCGAGAAUCGAGGUUUAGAACUUGGCACUAAGGUCUCCGAAGUGAAAAACUUAGGCUGCUCUAGGGUUGGACUCUGUAGAGCAGAGUACCGGUACAUCAUUGAGCUUGUACCGGAAUGGGAGGUGGUUCCGGUACAACAUCUGGUUUGUACCGGUAUCCAGCGCCAUUUUCUGUCAACCUGAGGCUUGGAUUUGUGCGUACUGUGGCCUUGUACCGGUACAACUUUUCGUAUACCGGUACGCAGUGUAGACUGCAGUCUGCUUAUUUUUUAGGGGUGUUUUUGAUAUUAUAGCCUUAUUACAUAUUCCCCCCACGCCCCAUGGAGGUCCCCUGAGCUGAGACCAGUGGAGAAGAAGGUAAGGGAGCUCUCCCCUUCCCCUCUUUCAUUUUCUUUCAUUUUAGUUAGGAUUUUUGUAGAUUGAACCCUACUUUUUGCUUCUUGGUGCUAUUUCCACCAUGGGAGAAGCUUUGGCUUGGUGUUUGGAGCUUGUUUGAGAGAAGGUUUUCAAUCCUAGCUGGUUCCUAGGGUGGUUUGAAGAUUCUAAAAAAAUUAGUAACAUGUUUCUUUCAUUAGAUUCAUAUUUUGAUGGAUUUCUUGAAAUGAAACCCUAAAAUGUGAGAUUUAGGAUUUAUUUUGGAAAUUUUUGAUUAGAGGCUUUUGGAUCCCAAUUGAAUGGUUUAGAACCCUUAUUUAGGUUGGAUUUGCAAGGAUCUUACUAUCAUUUGGAGAUUAAGAGAGAAUUUCACCAUCCAAGGUGAGUUUUGCCCCUUUUGCUUGGGUUGGUUAAUGUUUGAUCUUAGGGUUAUUCGUUCGUAGUGUUUAACUCUCUUAGUUUAACCUUUAGGGUGCUAGGAGGCUUGUGGACAUCAUCUUUUGCGCGAACGAAGGGCUACAAGGAGUUUUGGUGGGUUUGACCUCAUCGAAAAUAGAAAACUCCACCUAUGUCGAUUUUUAAUUGCCGUAAAAUAGAAAUGCAUGCAUAUUCACGCUAGAUAGAGCAUACGAGAUGUUUGGAAUGCUUAAAAUACAUGUAUUAUGUAUGAUGAAAAAUUGCCUCUAUGUAGUAGAGAGAGAUAUGUGCAUUGUAGCCUUGCAUAUGGUUAGCAUUCUAUUUAAUGGUUUGGAAUCAUGUUUCUUGCAAAAAAAUGAUUUAUAUAAUAUGCUCUUGAACUUAGAACUCAUAUUGGACAUAGUGGAUAAGAAUGUCAUAAAGUGGCAUUGAUCUUGAUGAAUGUAUUGACAUAGUAAGUUACAAUGUCAUAAAGGGGCAUUGGACUUAGUAAAUGGUUAAACCUUUAUCUUGAGACAUUGAACUGGACCUUUGGGGUUACUAGUGUUUAUUACCAUGAUUGAGACAUGAUGACCGAGUAUCUGAGAUAACUAUCACACUUGCUUGCCAUUUGUGCUCAUUCACACAUACUUGUGAGGGUCGCUCCCUACAAGCCGACACUCCGGAGUUGGCCUAUGCGACAUACGCUCGUCGUGCGGGAUUGAGGACCUACUGGGUCACCGUGAGACAGUCACAUUCCUAGUGAAUGCUGGACUACCCGGGGCCAUUAGGCGGCACAAGCUGGACUACACUCGUGUAGGUCCUAUUUUGGAAAUGAAAAUUUGACAAAGAACAACUAAAUGAUAAUCACUACUAGACUAGUACAUAGUAGUUGGAUUCCUUUGGCAUGCUUGUAGCAUAGUAUUGGACAUUUAGUUGACAUUCUUUGACAUAUAGUGUACUUGUGACAUGUUUGAACACACUAGUUCAUGCAUUGAAUGUACUUGCUCAUGAUAGCUAGAAGCAUCAAUUUUAUCAUCAUGCUUACUUGCGACAUAGUAGUGAUAGUAAAUUAUAUUGUUAAUUAUACUCGUUGAUUUCCUUCUUUAAUGCUUAUUUACUCUAUUUAUGCUUUUGGGGCCUAGUGGUGCUUCCUCGCUGAGGUCAGUAAUUGCUCACUGGGAACUACUAAUUAUAGUUCUCACGCCCCCUAUUUGAUAUUUUCUUUCAGAGCCAUCCGAACCGAGAGAGGCUAGGGAUCGCGGCAAGGGAGUCGAGUCUAGCUAGAUCGCAGGGAUCUCUUCUAUUAGAUGGUUAUCUCUCUUUUUGUAUAGUUGGGGAGAGAGCGAGUUGUGCCCGUGUAUAGAGACCACAAUUUUUGUAUAUCUAGUACUUGUAUUUGAGACUUAUUGUUGUAUUACUCUAUAUUUUACCAUAGUGGUUAGUUCUCUUUUCAUCCUACUUGUUGUUAGAUUCUAGUUGUAUACUUGCUCUGAUAUCUUUAGAUACUUGUUACUUCGUGUUUAUUUAUCGCUAUCGUUGUAGACGCCUUAUAUGUGCAGGCAUAUGGCGGGUCUGGACAUGCAUCGGGCGGGCCUCUGUCGGGCCCUGGGGCGUGACAGGUUGGGCCACAUCUACAUCCAAACAUUCCUUUUUCUGAUGAUCCAGAUUCNUGUUGUUAGAUUCUAGUUGUAUACUUGCUCUGAUAUCUUUAGAUACUUGUUACUUCGUGUUUAUUUAUCGCUAUCGUUGUAGACGCCUUAUAUGUACAUGCAUCGGGCGGGCCUCUGUCGGGCCCUGGGGCGUGACAGGUUGGGCCACAUCUACAUCCAAACAUUCCUUUUUCUGAUGAUCCAGAUUCGCAUUGGAAGUGGAAGAGGUUGGGACAAGCACACGAUCUGCCUGAGACAAGACGGCCCCUUGACCUACCAACACGUUAGGUAGCUGGUCACGGGAGUCCACAGUCCCACUGACAUGGGCAGGCCUGCUCCCGUCAGCCUGGCUAUAAUGCUCCGGGAGCUAGCUACCCACUGGAUUUGAAUUUGAAAAAGACCCCCUGACCGGCCUCCAGGUCCGCCGGCGAAGCACGGAGAUCCUCAAGCGACUAGUCCAGUCAGAAGCCCUCCGCCGUCCGCCGAGGAGGGAUCCCUGCCGGGGUACUGUGGGGAAAGCCUGACCCCGGUAGGCGAGGACCGAGUUAAACCCAGUCUGCCGGAUGAACCCUUCUUGCGCUUCUAAAGAGGCGAGACUUAGGUGCUCAUCAAGUUCCUCCCCAAGUAGAAUGGGAUUUGCCUCCUCACAAGAUUCUAUCUCGAUGGGAACAGAAAAGCUUCUGUCUUCCACCGUGAGAUCUAUCGUCUCCGGGAUAACAUUAACAUUCUGGCAACGGACCAAGAGACGGAAGUAGGAUACGUUGGAGUGCUGCUCACUGUGGAUAUCAACAUCCCAAAGCUCACCAAAUUCGCAAACAGCAGCCUUUACAUCUUCUUUGUUCCAGCAGAGGAUGGGCCAAUUGUGCAAUCUGAUCCAUACUUUGUGUCGAAGAUAGCCUCUCUCUCUCUCCUCCAGCACCACCCAGUUAGAGAAAUGGAAAUUAAAAUCCUCGAACCUGAAGGGACUUCUUCUGAUGGCUGACUCCCUCACUGCCCAACUAGGGAAGACGACUGCUCGUGUCGAUGGAAGGAAAGAAGCCACCCUGAAAUCCGAGCUGGAUACCCCAAACCUGGCUGCCAGCCCCCGAGUAAGAAUAUCGUCAAUGUCUUCAGGGUGUGGGCUAGGGAUAUCAACCUGAGCGAUGCAGCCAGAAAGAGGUGGUUGCCCCGCAGUGGGAGGUCUAGUAGGGAGAAAUACUGCCGCGGUGGAAGGCCGAGAGCUUGAAGGACCCGGCUUUAUGGAUAGACGGCGGGAUGCUGCCAUCGAAGAACGACGAGAGUUGGCCAUGGUGCGAUGGUGUGAUGCUGCAGCAGAUGAGGGCCGCGUGAUAGAGGCACAUGGGUCUUUCGCUGGAGUAGGCCUGGAUGAUCCAAGAACAUGCUUAGGGUGACAAAGGGUUUGGCGCCAUUUACAGAGCGAAGCAGGGUGGCCUAUCCUCAUACAUAGGAGGCAGCGUUGUGGCUCCUUGCAGUGAGCGGCGAAGUGACCCCUCUCGAAGCACCGAUAACAGCAACCCAUAAGAGAUGGGUUAAGGAGGAAUUUAGGAGGAAGACGCGGUAAGAAAUGGUUUGCGGCAAAAGCAUGGGGUCUAAGGGCGGCUCGAAAAGGAGUAGUCGCAGAAUGGGACAAAAUGGCAUUUUUGUAGGAAAAGUUGGGCCUAACACGUGCCCGACACAUGGACCUAGGUGGAGGAGCUAGGACAGGGGGUGGUGGGGUAAGAUGUUUGCGGGAGUCGAGACAAAAGGGGUGGUCAAGAAGCUUGCGGUAAGACGAAAGGAGCGGGGGGGAAGGGUUGGACGAGAAGCCAUAAUGUAUUUGUAUAUGUAUAUGUGUAAAUGUAUGUGUAUAUGUAUAUAUAUAAGUGUAUGUCUAUGUGUAUGUAUAUGUGUAAAAUUUUAUAAAAUAAUCCAAAUUAUGUAAAUUUUUAUAAAAAUUCUACUUAACAUCAAUAAUAAAAUCUGUAAUGUAUCAAACGUUUGGCUAAAUUGACAAAAUACUAAUCAAAAUUAUACUAGACAUAAUUAAAAUAGGUUUAGGAAAGGCUUUGACUAGUUUGGAACGAGUUGGAAUCAAUUCAAAUUGAAAAGAGUUUUUAUUAAAGUUGAAUUUUGAGUUUCAGAUUUUUUGGAUGUCCGGAACAAGGUUUCAGGCAUCCAAAACCAUUUCAAAAGGUCCAACUGAGUGCCUGGACCAAGCGAACACUUUACCUGAGUGCUUGGGUUGCGAGAGAAUAACAUUCAGGCGUCCUAAUGGUCUCCCCAGCGUCUAAAACAUAUUCUGGAUGUCACAAUGGGCAUCCAAACUCCUACUGGACACUCAGCGAGCUCGGGUUCGUGGAGAAAUAAAGAAUUGGGCGUCUGAAUGUGGUGGGCAGUGUCCAAAACAUCUUCUGGUGAUUUUCGCGGGCACCCAAACUCCUUCUGGACGCUUAACUUGAGAGCAGGAAUUGUGGAGCUUGUUAAAUAAAUAGGCACCUGGUUGCAUUAUGGUUGCCCGAAACAAGAAUUAGGUGGACUAAGCGGGCGCAUGGAUCAUCUUCCGGACACUGCAAUUCAAAUAUGGAGGGUUAAUUUUGUAAUUUGAAUGAGUUUCAUGAUUAACCUGCAGUCAGUAAUGUAAGAUAGUCAAUCCUCUUCCUAGCAAUAUUUCGGGAGUUAUCUUGUACUAUUAGUAGUGCUGAAUUACGUACCAAUCAGGUUACUUGCGGGAUGAACCAAAUACAACAAUUUGAAAAAAUUACUAUAAAAUAUAUAUAAGUCUAGCUACUAUACCCUUAUGAGUAUAGACUCUAUUGUACUCAUAAGUUUCGGUCGUUAAAUAUACUCCUUUAAUAAUUUCCACCUGUUGGAUCAUACUAUUCAUGCCAGCUAACUACUCAAUCUUAGAAAAUCACUAUUAUUCUAAUCAGGGAUUACUAUAUAUUAUCACAACCGCAUAUUCUUAAUUUCUUCCCACAAUCAAAAAUUUGUAAGUACAAAAAAUGUUAUAUUUAUUAAAAUAUAAUUAUUUUAAUUCUAAAAUAUUAUAUAAUUCUAACCGAACAACAACGCAAACCAAAAGCCCCCUCAAAACUUUUAAACAGAAACUGUAUGGCAACACUGCCCUUAACAAGUAUUAAAGCAGGCGCUACUUAAUAAUUAAAGUAAGGACAGCAGGUGCACUGUGAAGGGCAAAAAUUUUCUGGGCAUCGUCCCCAAAUUAUUAGUUUGGGGAUGAUGCCGAUGGGUGCCGCGUGGCCCAUCUGACGGUUGCCCUCCCUCUUCCUAUGUUGCUUUUGAAAGAUUUAUCCGACACAAAAAAAAAUCGCAGUGAAAAUUAAAAUUGUAUUUUCGAAAAACAAAAAUCCAUAUUACAUAUGAAUAAAAAAAAAAAACAAAUCAAUCCAAUGCUGGCGAAUUAUUCUCAUGUUACAAUGUAAAAUAAUAAUCUAACCUAAACAGAUUUGAAGUUCAGGCUACAUCACCUCGGACCAGCUAAGGUCUAUUGAUCUACUGUACGAUUGAAACUGAAAUUCCGAUUAGCCGCGCACGUGCGUGGCCUCUACGCGUAUCCAUAUGGAAUUGAUACAAAUCCAAUGCCUUCCGUCGCACGGAACAGAUGAGUCGCAGAUUACAAAGACGGUGCUAGCAGUCUUCUGAUAUCUACGUUCCCUUUAGGGCCCGUUUGGUUCGAGUUAUGUAAUAUUACAAAGCACCUGCAUGCUUACUUUAUCUACGUUCGCUAACAAGCACCUGCAUGCUUACUUUAUUGUCCCUACACUAAUGACUUGAGAUUCGUCACCUCAAUAUAGAAGUGUAGCAUACACCGGCCUAUCCGGAAAUAUCAUUGUCCGUAUAUUAUUCCUAUGGCUAGUAGCGUUUAAGAAUCUUAUACAAAGAAAUAUAUAUCUCAAAUUCUUAACUCUUAGAAAUAUAUUUUUUUAACGAAGAUUCAAUGGACGAUUCAUAUAAAUAUAUUGUAUGUACUGCUAACAAUAAAUAUGAAUAAAAUUUAUCCUUUAUUAAAUAAAAAAAAUACUUAAUAUAUUCACAAGUCUAUGUCACCGAUUGACUUUAGGGUAUAUCACUAACAGCUUUUUCUCUUUUUCUCUAAAAACACGGGGCAUUAAUUUUUUUUUUCUUUUCAUUCAUGGGUGCCGUCGGAUGGCCCACGUGGCACGCAUCCGCAUUGUUGUCCCACUGUUGACGAGAGCGCAACUUACGAAAUUUACUGAAGCAAGGACGGCGGGGCAAACGGCUGAGACGUCGCAAUCCUGGACUUACUUUGGGGUCCACAAAUAAUUUCGGCAGCAGAUGCUGACGGAAGGCAUCACACGUCAUCAGAGUCCAUAGCUGCGGCUGCUGUGCUUCUUCCUUCUAUAUUCUAUAUUUUAUAUCAUUUCAUUAUUUUCCAUUUCUUUGACCCUGGACUGUUUUGUUUUUUUUAUUUAAUGCUCGAAAACAACUAGAUAGCGACAGUUGACUCAGCGCCUCACCUCGUCCGCAACACACAAACCAAACAUAAAUCAAGGACUCUGUGGACCCCCAUAUAUAGAUGCUCUCCUCUUACGGAUUAUAACUGGUAAAUUGGGACGUGCUUUGGACUCUACUAGUGCUAUUAGUUUAGCUAUUUUUAGACUGAUUCUAUUACGAGUACGUAUCCCUGGUAUAAAAUUAAUGUUAUUAUAUUAGUAUUAGUAUUAGUAUCAUGCUUGAUAAUAUGAUAAUAAAUUAAACAUCAUAUCUGUGGCAUAUCACCAUAUUGUCAAUUAGUAAAUGAGCCAUACGACUUGAUUUCAAUAAUUUUAAACAUUUGAGCUAGAAAAAAAUUCGAACCAAAGUGUUCACUUCCUAGUACGAGGACGAAGAGUAAAACUUAGCCAGUAAAAAUAGAUGGUUGUGUUGGAGAAAAAAUCCAAAAUUUUCUAAUUAUUAUUAUUUACUAUUCUAAUUAAUAAGUUGGAACGUACGGAUUAAAGGAGUGGGCCUCUAACGUUCCCAUCUCAAGUCCUCAUAUAUAAUGCCUCUUGCACUGUUCAUAUGACAUGAACAUUGGAGAGAGAGAAGAAAAAAGAGAAAGAAGUAUUUUUAUUCUCUAUUUUAUUCAAUUUCUUAAUCCUUUUAGUCAUCGGGUGUUGAAAGAGUUUCCGUCAACCUCUUUCACGAUCGUGCUCGCAGGAGGAGGAAUUUCGGUCGUAUCUUGGGGUAUUGUUCCCGGUUAAUCCCGCACGUAAGGACGAGAAUACGCCUUAGGGCAGUGCCUCGCACGCUUCCGGAUCAAAUUUUCUAUUUGGAUUUAGCAAUUAUCUGUAAGUUGUAUUUAUUUAUUUUUAUAAUAAAAUUUAGUUAGAUUUAAAUCACAAUCAGAUUUUCGUUGCGGUAUUUGUUCCAACAGGUUUCCUUUUCUCUAAUGUUUUAUAUCACCCCUUUGGCAAUUUUUUAUACACAAAAAUCUUAUAUGUAAUAGCAAUUUUGUAUAAAAUCAAGAUUAUAUGGCUAAAAUAUAGAAAACUCUAUUAUAAAGCCUUAUUUAUUCACUUCUUCUCUCUGAUUUUUAAAAAUCUUUAUUUUGCCUUCUUAAAAUUUUAAAUUUUUGCUCUUAGCUCAGCCGUCAAUAUCCCAUCACUAUUUCGUUAAUAUUUUAUAUUAGGGAUAAUUGCCUAUACACCCCUCAUGCGUUCGGAAAUAUCCGAUCUACCCCUACUUUUUUUUUCUUUCUAAAAUGCCCCUCAUAUGUUCCACCGUUAUUCCAAAAUACCCUCGCAGUUAUCCCCUGUUAGCUUAACUCGGGUUAAACAUGAGUUAAAUGUAUACUAGAGUUAAAACCUAUAUAAAAUACCUAUUUUACCCCUAACUUAUUAUGCCAAUUCCUUAAGUUAUCCUCUUUCUCUCCCAAAGUCCCAACUUGAUCGCCGGCUCCUCCGCCUCCAUGUCGCCGGCUCCCGCUGCCGGCGGGGCGGAAGCGGCGGCGCCUCCUGAGCACGGAGAGUGGGUUCUUCGCCCUCGCCAAGACCUUCGCCGCAGGCAUCAUCCUCGCCACGGGCUUCGUCCACAUGCUCCACGACGUCGAGGCCGCGCUCACUGGCCCCUGCCUCCUCCGCUUCCCCCGGCGCUGCUUUCCCUUCUCCGACUUCGUCGCCAUGGCCGCCGCCCUCACCACCCUCGUCCUCUACUUCCUCGCCACCCAGUUCUACGAGCGCAAGCACCGCGCCGCCGCCGCCGCCGAGACCGACGCCACGGCAGAGGACGACGAGGGGCGCUCCAUCACCACGGCGGCGCUGGAGCCACCCGUGGACGAGGACGAGGACGAGGGCUCCGCCAAGGGCGGCGACGCGGUGCACAUCGUCAGGAUGCGCGCGCACGCGGCGGCGCACGGCCACAGCCACCACCACCACGGCCACGCCCACGGCCACGCGCACGAGGAUGGGGACGAGGGCCAGGUCUCCUUGCACGUGCGCCACAUCGUCGCCCCCCAGGUGCCAAUCUAAAGUCUAAACCACCCCUAUUAGCUGUACAUAUCAUCCUGUCACUAAUGACAAUUAUUAAAUAAUUAGCGCUUAAUUAUUUAAUAACUAUGUUCCUGUAAAUCAACUGUCGUGUUUUCUGAUGAUAAUAAUAAUAAUAAUAACUAAUAGAUUUAUUCAUAUAGUAUUUUAUUUUUAUAUAGAAAUAUUAUUAUAUAAUAUUUUAUUUAUAAAUUUGUAAUUAUUUAUUAAUAUUUUUAAAUAUAUAACUCUUAUAUAUUAUUAAUAUAAGUUUAUUAUAAUUUUAAAUAUAUUUAAUCUAUUAUUAAAUAUUAUAAUAAUAAUAUAUAUAGUAUAAUACCGAAUUUUUAAAAAUUAUAUAUAAAAAUUAUAUUUGAUCCCGAAUUUUUAAUUGGUGAACGUAUAAUACCCGUAUAAAUCACGUAUCCGAAUAACUGCCGAAUCCGUUUUUUAGCCGUAUUUUUCAAUGAAUUUAAAAAUUAAAAGACGAAUUUUAUCCGAAUUAUAUCCGUACCGAAUUUUUGCCGAAUCCGAAUUAACUAACUAUGCCUCCAGCUACCAAGGUUGGUUUAACUGCGAUCGAUCUCGACGUGCUUAAUUAAUUAAUUUAUAUUUGAAGGGCAAAUAAGAAAAAUAUUUGCUAUAUAAAGGGUAUAUAAGAAAAGUUAGUUACGGUAGAAGGGUAUAUUGGAAUGGGCAAAAUGGUAAUUUUACCGAGAUAACGGUAGCUCCCUAACGGAGCUUAACUCCAGGGGUAUAUUAGAAAGACUUGGAAUAUAAGAAGGGUAUUUUCAAUAUUAGCCUUCUAAGAGGGGUAUAUAAGAAAACCGGAAACUUUUCAGGGGUAUAUAGGCAAUUGCCCCUUUAUAUUAUGUAAUCUAAAAUAUCCAAGAUGCCCUUGAAGUCUCCUCUGCCUCCGCCUUGACGGUACCGCGCCCUCCGCAGCUGGUGAAGAAGGUGAUGACGUGUAAGGACUGAGACUUUUGCAGUGUAGCUAAACUCUCAGUUGACGAUGCUUUUAUGUGUAAUUUAAUUACAAAAGCACUCGUCAAGUUUCGGGCGAAAAUGAGUUAAAACGGAGAUUCUACGCGAUUUCCAAGUUUCACUUAAAGUGAAUAGUAACUCGAUUUUCCGGAGAAGCCACGGUAUGAAGUUGGCUUCAGGCUCGUAUCGGACUCCGUUCCUAGCGGUCCAAUAGCUCGUUUCGAUCGGUUCAGCUGUUCUGGAACCAAUGGCGCUGACGGAUUUUGAGUUUGACGCACGAAUUUCGAGAAAAUCCAAAAAUACAUGUUUUAUAUGUAUUUAUGUGUGUGUUUCCUUCUAUUGGAAGAAGGUUGGAUUUUGUCGUGAAUCCGUGGUCGAUCGAGAUGAAACGAAAUCGCAGCUUUGUUGUCUCCGUCGUACUGAUCGCACUGGUGCGAACCGUUCGCGAAUCUGACGGACGGAUCUGCGGAGAUCGCGCGUUGAUCGAGGAGAGGUCGGUAGUGGCAAAACGGUAUUUUCGCGAAAGUCGCGAUAUUUUAUGUAUCGUUUCGCGAGGGAUCGCACGUGGAGGGGCGUUCAUGCGUUUUAGUCGUACUGUGAGGGUCUCGGAUUGAAAUUCUGAUGUUUGAGGGGCUUUCUUGCGAGUUGUACCUUGUUUAUAUAGUGGUUCCUAGGGUUUUGAUCCCCUAACCCUAACCCUAGCCAGCCCCCAGCUACCCUAGUCGCCCCAGCCACCUUCACCCUUCCCCCUGCCCUUGCUGCACCAGCCCCGGCCGCCGCCGGCUGAGCCCCGGCCGCCGCCGAGCCACCACUUCUCUUCCUUCCCUCUCUUUCUCUCUCCCUCUCUCCUCUCGGGUUGUGUGAAGGCCCGGGGCUGCGUCUCCUGCAGACCCUCCCCCUGGACUUCACCGUGCUCCGGCAAAUCAUCCCCGCCGACCGCCGCCGUCGCCUGCGCCGCCGCAGCCGCUCCAGCCGCCUGCAGCAGCCCAGGCCGAGCCUGGCCGAGCCGGGUUGCCGCAGCCACCAGCGCGCCGCCGCCGCCUGGAAACUCUCCCGCCGACGUCCACGGAGCCCCGGCACCCCUUCCCGCCGGUCGCCGCCGCCCCAGCGCGCCGCCGCCGCCGCCUCGGCCGGCUGCAGCCGCCCAACCCGAGCCCGAGCCGAAGCUGUGUGCGGCCCCUUUCCUCGCGCCGCCGCCGCCCUGAGCCACCUGUGCCGCCCUCCCCCGACCUCCUGCAGCCCGCCUCCGCCGUCCCGGAGCUCCCCGGCCGCCGCCGUGGCCGCAGCAACUCCUGGAACCCGAGCCCGAUCUCGUGCGGGCUCGGUUUGCUCCGCCGCCGCCGCCGCCGCUUCCAGCCGCCAACUGAGGUGAGCACGGUGUUCCUCACCUCCCCCUCACCCGACUCAGGGCCCCGCGCGCGCCGCCGUGCCGCCGGAGGCCGGCCGGAGCAAGGUUGCUCCGGCCAAGCCCGAAAUAGGGCUUAUUUGAGUGGGUUUCUUGUUCUGGGCUUCCCGAGCUUCCCCGAUCUCUACGGAAGGGAGCACGAUGAUCCUGGCAAGUUGCUGAUCAUCGUGCUCACCUUGGUUUCUGUCGGGAAGGCCCCGUUCCGCUGUUUUGGCGAUGUCGCUCCGUUUCAGCCUUUUUGGCUGCUGUUUCGGGUUUGUGCUUGUUUUUCCGGCGAUCCGAGGCUGUUCCGAUGCCUCCGGAGGUGAGCACGGUGACCGCUGGUCAGUGCUGAUCACAAUGCUCACCUUCCCUUGGAUCAGAAGUGUCCGGUUAGUUCUGUUCGGCGCGAUCUUCCCUGACUGCGCGCUAUUCGCUGAACCUUCGGGUUGCUCCCGCGCUUCCCACAGCGAGCCGCUGUGCUCCGGAUCGUGAGCACGGACUCCGGUACGUCGAGACCUGUCAGUACGUGUCUCUGCGGACUUCGAAAGUCCUCGGUUUGCGUGAACGAGCCGCUUGAUCGCUCAAAUUACAUAAAAUGAUGAGAUUUUAUGUAAUUAGAGGGUCUUUUAUGCAUUUGUGCUUUGCGUGGCUACUGUGGGCAGUGUGUGGGAGUUUGUAAUGACCGCUGGACUGAUUGUCCAUGGUCCGUUAGCUUUCGCGGAAAUCGGUAGGUCGAUUUCGGUGCGUUUUUCGGCGAAAUUCGCCGAAAGAACGCGGUUUCGGUUCGGAUCCUUUCCGACGGUGUUUGGUUGCUUCGUGUUUUGUCGCUGAGCCUUGUUGGCUGGUCACCAUCGUCAUUUUGUGGGUUCGAUGAUGAUAGGUGAGCGACGGAGGGUUCCGGUGUCGAAAUAGACACUUCCGGGAACCCGGAUUCGUACGAUUAUCCGGCGAUGAUCGUAUUGCUGUGUGACCUUGCGUUCGCUGCCAAGGCAUCCAAAUUGGAAUGUUUUGGGGCAGCGGGUGACUCGUGGUAUGAGUCGGUGAGUUCGGGACACUUAGUGGGUCCCGACGGCGUCCCGGUGUGGUUUUCGGGACUUCCGGCGAGUUACGGUAAUCGGUAUUGGGAAACCGAUCUUUGUGGAAUCGUUUGUGGGGUUGUGGAUACUGUGAUUAUUAGUUGUGGGUUAGAUACUAACCCGGUGGACCCUCUAUAGGUCCUGUCGACAUUCUUUUGCAGUCAGGAGACAGACGCGACAUCCUUACAGGUGGGUACUUCGAUCCGACGUCGGUACAGUGGUGCACGCUUGGUGAUGGUUUCUUACCCUUACUCUUCUGUUGUUACUAUCGCAUAGUAUAUUGAGCCUUGCACCCUUGUUUAUUCGUUAUACUCUACUCGUUGUUUGCAUGCUUAGUAUCCUGAGUAGGAGUAGAGUAGUUCUAUCUACAUGCGUAUCUGUUGACCUAGUUGGUUGGUUGUUGCAUUCCGUAUCUGUUGACCUGGUUGGUCGGUUCUCGUACUUCGUUUCGGUGACCUGAUUGGUCGGUUCUCGUACAUCGUUCGAUGACCCUUGAGGUCGGUAUACCCUAAGGGGUGGGAUUGUCGGUUAGCACCGACGGAUGAUUAUAGUUUACACAGUUCCACCGACGGAUGAUGACCUAUGAGGUCGGUGUACCCUGAGGGGUUGGAUUGUCGGCUAGUGGCCGACGGUAAUUCGGGAUUCUAUUGAUAUACUCUGGUGACCUAUUCGUCAGUUCGUCGUGCAUAUGUGUUAGUUGACUUUAGUAGUCAGUACUUGUAUACCUUGGUAGGAUGUUGAGUUGUUCCCUCUUAGUUGACCUGAGUAGUCGUUUCUUGUGCUUCUAUAUAGUUUGAUGACCUAUUGGUCGGUUUGCCCCGAGGGGCGGUGCUUGUCGGCUAGUUACCGACAUUUUGCUAUUGAUCAUAUCCGCAUUGAUCACCACAGCUCGAGUGCAUUUCACGUACACCAGCGGGUUGAUCCCCCGCAGGAGGGUGUUCUUUUCCGAAAAAGUGGUCAUACAUCCGACCCGUGAGCCCAGCGGUGUUCUCUUUGUGCUAGGGUUACAUGCCAAGUGCGAGCAGGUAGUGGCUUUUGCCUGAGGUCCUUAGACCGACACGGCGGUUUAGAUUGGGUACUUUUGGACUACUUGUCCGGUUGACGCAUAUAACUAUAGUAGCAGUGGUCACUUGUAUAUCUUCAGUUCUUUCGUUACAUUGUCUUGCUACUAUAGUCUUGUUACAUGUAUACAUUCAGUUGUUCAUUACAGUAUCGAUAGUUGUACUUUCUUUCAUAUAUAUGUCACUUUCAUUCAUUAUUAUUGCUACUGUAUUUUCUACUGACCCGUACUGUUGUUUAGCUCUUACUGAUCCGGUAAGUACUCCUCGCCUUCAUCGGCUUGCGGUACCCACUGGGAGGGGAGACAUGUUUACAUGUUCUCACCUCCCCCACCAUUUUUCAGGUAUUGCAGGCGAUGAGUUUUGGGACGAGACGUGAGGUACGUUCGUAGCGGUCGAUAGAGCUUCCAACCCAAGUUAUCGAUUUAGUUUUUAUCCUUACUAUUCUAUUGUUAUAGCCUAGUUAGUUUAUAUGGUUCAGUUAGAUGAUCAUACUUGAUGUUUGAACGUUGUGAGCUGGUUGAAUUUGUGGAUUUGUGGAAUUGUGGAUUUGGUUUAUGGAUCUUCAGUUUUGGGAUGUUUGUAUACUUUGUGGUUCUCGGAUUUGUAUUUAUGGAUUUACGCAUCGUGGUUUUCUACCCCUCGAGGUAGUCGGUUUUCAAAAUAGAGUUUCCGUGUGGGAAACAGUUUUCAAAAGGUUUUCAAAUGGUUUUUCAUGAUGAAUGAAUUAGAGUUCAAAAAUAAAAGCUUCUGUGUGGGGAGCACUUUUAAAUAGGAUGGUUAUUGUAUUGUGCAUUGCAUCAUCCAGCGCCUAAGGAGUGCUUAGAGGCAUGCAUCAUUCUAAGGAUUGUUAGCUGUAUGGAAAUACAUAUCAUGCUUUGCUUGUUGAUUGGUAAAUGUAGGUUGUGGUUGAGAUCCUGUUGUAUCCGUUGGUACGCCGUGCAAAUACAAAGGAGACUCUGCCCGAGUGGACAGAGGAACUUUGUAUUUGUGGCGGGUCUGUACGUCACGUGGGCCAGGUUGAAAAAAAAAAAAAAAUGGCACGCUUUCCGCAACUCUGAGUUUUAAAAAUGGUAAUGGCUUUUAAAAUCAGCCCCGGGGCGUGACAUGACGACACAGGCAAUGUAUUCUUGUCACGCCCCGAACUCGGUCCUAUUUGGCCGGUUCGAGCACGUCGAACAGACGCCGAAUGGACAGCACCUCUCUUGUCCGCCCAAGGCUCAACACAAGUAUAUUUCAAGUAGAGAAAUUUGCACAUGCGGAAACAUAUAUAAUUGGUUUGCACGAGGGCAAACAAUAGCCAAAGUGAAAGUACUAACUAAACAUGUAUACAAGUAAUAUGAUUAACUUUUAACCACAUACAUGCAUUCAACUUAUACAUUUACAUUCUUUUCUUUAACAUUAUUUUUUCUCUUUAUUCAUCACAUGAUAUCCCAAAAUAUAACUCUUUGCAUUUAAAUAUAAACUCUUUUACAUCAUUUAUUUAAACAUCUAUAAUCAUCAAAGUACAAAAGAUGAUAUAUAAAGGUAUGCAACUACAAAAUAUAAAACCCAACUCGAGUGGUCUCUGUCUGUGGCACGAUACCCUUACCGCGAUCGUCGGCUGGCUCGCUCGGUCCCAGCUCUGUGAAAAAAGGGGGGUGAGAACUACAACAAAAUUCCCAGUGGGUUCGGCUGCCGACCUCGCCGACUUUCCCACUAGAUCUAAAUCAGGCAUAAUAGAAAGAUAGAUAAAUAGUAACCAACUAACAAAUGCAGCUAAUAUGCCUGAACAAUAUAAUCAACGAUUAUGCUCAAUAGAAUGCUCAUGAUGAAUGCAAGGUCACUUUCCAAUUCCCAAUCUCGUGGCUAACCCGUAGGUUUCGCCCUCAAUAGACUCACCAACUCAUAAUCCCAAAUAUCGGAGAUACUACUACGACCCGAUGGAACCGUCCACUGGGGAGACUACUACGACCCGAUGGGACCGUCCACUGGGGAGACUACUACGACCCAGUGAUGACAACUCCGGAGCUCAUCGCUCGAGGGGGAGCUACCACCCUCCAAGUAAGGACUUAUAGGCGAGUAUGAUUCAAUCCUUAACUAUAAGGAUUCCAAGUUCAAUCCAUUCCUUAACUAUAAGGAAGCAGUGCUCAUAUGACCCUUAACUAUAAGGUUGCUAUGUCAUUAUGUCAUUGUAAUGACUGAGAUUUUUGAUUUAUUGAUUAAACCCUUUUGUUUGACGAUGUUCUUGUGUGUAAUAUAAUUAUAAGUGUACUCGUCAAAUUUUAGGAGAAAACGAGCUAAAACGGAGAAGUUACGUGACCCGGAAGUCUGACUUAAGUGAAUAGUAACUCCGAUUUUUCGGAGAGGCCGUAGAGUAGAGUAGACUUUCGACGCGUAUCGAACUCCGAAUAUAGCCUUCCAAUAGCUCGAUUUCAACCGCUCGACUAUCCCGGACCCAGUGGCACUGACAGAUUUGGAUUUGGAUGCACGAAUUUCGAGAAAAAGGGGUUUAAUGGUUUUUGCAUAUAUUUGUCUAUAUGUAGUUUUUGGUGGAACCUGGGAGGGAAGGUUUUGUCGCAAAUCGGGAAUCUUUUCGGGCAAAACAAGAUGCUAGAUUCGAUGCCUCUGUCGUGCUGAUCGCGCUGGUGCAAUCCGAUCGAAAAUCCGACGGACGGAUCUUCGGGAAUCGCGAAAAGUCCGCGAAGGGGCUGAUUUGAAUAAUCGGAUUAUUCGCGAAAAGGCCCCAUAUUUUAUGCGUCGAAUUGCGAGUUUUCGAACUUAGAGGGACUAUCACGCUUUGUGCGACUGCUGGUUGAGAGCUGGGAUUAAUUCGACUCCUUUCGAGGGGGUUUUCCGCAAGUUUUCCAUACCUAUAUAUAGGUGGAUCUAGGGUUUUUUUUUGGAUCUAACCCUAACCGUAGAACCCCCAGCCGCACCUGUCAUCCCAGCAACUCCCUGCCCCGCCAGUGCUCGCGUUCCGGCCGCCGUCGAGCAGCCCCGGCCGCCGGAAACAGCCUGCAGCCAACUUUCCCUCCUCUCUUGGACCACCUCACCACCGGCUUAAGUUUGGUGCUUGGAGAGCCUUGUUAGCCCGAGCACCACCUUCCCCUGGUCGAGACCUUCCUCAGGCGUCCUCUCCCGCCGGCCCCGGCCAACCCCGAACGUUGCCGGAGCCGCCGGAAGAGGCUGCAGCCAGCCGGGUCUGCCCAGACCCGAGCCAGGCCGAGCUCAGGUUGCGGGCCUUGGGACCGCACUUCCCCUGCGGCCAAAGCCCCCUGUCGACCCCGGCGAUCUCCUGCAACCCGGCGCGUGCGUCCCCGGCCGUCCCCGCGCCUCGCCGGCCGCCGCCAAGGCCUCCAGCCGCCGCUCGGGUCCUGUGCGGGCGGACCUUGGAGCCGCGCCACUCCCGAGCGCCGCUGUUGCCCCCUGAGGUGGGCACCACCUCCUCCUCGGUCUCCGGCACCGGAUUAUCGCCGCCCCGACCUCCCCCGGUCGCCGCCUUGCCGCCGGCAAGCUCCAACCCGAGAGGAAGUCGGCGGGCCCGAUCUCCGUCGCCGCGCCACCGGCUGCUGCCCGCCGCCGGCCAGCACCUCCCCCGGACCUCCCCGACCUGCUGCUCCCAUCACCGGCCGGAGUGCCCGCCGUCCGAUCGCCGGCGGCCAUCCCUAGCUCCCACAGCUCCGGUGAGUAAUUUACUUUGGUUCCAGCACUGCUGUUUUGCGUUCCGGUCACUUUUCCGGUGAUCCGAUGACUCCCUGGCACCUCGGGAGGUGAGCACGGUGAUCGUGGGCUCGUGCUGAACACGAUGCUCACCUCCAUUUAGGUUAACGGUGCCCUGGUUAGUGAGAAAAGGAUGUUUUCCACAGUAUGCGCACGGAUUCGCUGAGGGUCGCGUCGCUCGUGCGCGCGUGGUUGCUGCCGGCAGUGCUUCGAAAGGUGAGCACGGCCUCAGGCAUGCUGAAACCUUGCAGCAAGUGCGAUGGUAACCUCCACAGAUCCCUGGUUUGCUGGUACGACCCGUUAAAGCCAUGAAAUCACAUAAAAUAAUGUGAUUUCAUGGGCCAUUAGGGAUCCGUUUGCGUUUCGCUUCGUCGUGGCUGCUGUUGGCAGCAGGUUAAGGCUUAAGAUAACCUCUGGACUGAUCGUCCAAGGCCCCAAGUCUUUGCGGAAAUCUAUCGGUCAUUUUCGGAGCGUUUUUCGGCGAAAUCCGCCGAUAGAACGCGCGUUUGACUCGGAAUUCAUCCGACGGUGCCUCGUGGUUGACUGUAGCGUCGCUGAGCCUUGUUGGCUGGUCACCCGUGUCGUCUCGAGGGUUCAGAAACGACGGGUGAGCGACGGUGGAGUUCCGGUACGGUUUUCGGGACUUCCGGCUGGUUCGGAAGUUGCGUUUGAGAAACCGAUUUCAAAGGGGUUAUGAUUUUGGGAUUUGUGUGAGAAUGGUCGUGUUAUUGUGUUCGUGGGUUAGACACUAACCUGGUGAACCCUUCGUAGGUCCGGUCGCUUCGUCUCCGCCUUAGCGAGACCGUUUCAGCUUUAUACAGGUGGGUACUUCGAUCCGAAGUCGGUACAGCGGUGCACGCUCGGUGAUGUCUUCCUUUAUCCUAUCUUUUACAUCGUCUAUUCAUAUUGUUUACUCGUUACAUAUUGAGCCUUGCACCAUACUGUCUUUAUUUAUUCUGCCCGGUUGUCCUAUGCGUAGUACUCUAUGUAGGGGUAGAGUAGAUGGCUUUAGUAUAUAUUAUACGUGACCUGAUUGGUCGGUUCUUCUGUUGCAUCGGUGACCUGUUUGGUCGUUCGUUACUUUUCGUACAUUGACCUAUCUCGAUCGGUUCACGUUGUACUUGAUGACCUAUACGGUCGGUUUGCCCAGAGGGGCAGUGAUUGUCGGCUGGUUGCCGACGGUUGGCUAUUGAGCAUAUCAGCAUCGAUCGUCACCACUCGUUCGCAUUUCACGAACACCAGCGGUCUGAUCCACCGCAGGGGGUGUUCUUUUCCGGAAAAGUGGUUGGGUUUGCCCACCCGUGAGCUCAGAGGUUACGACUGGGUAUAUGCAGGUUGAGUGAUUGUGGCAUUAGCCUGAGGUCUCCGGACCAACAAGGCAGGUUCAGAUUGGGUAUCGUUGGACUAUCCACCAGUUGAUGCAUACAUACAGUAGCAGUAGUUCAUUACUUGUACUUCAGUUCCUUACUCGUACUUUCUGUUCUUAUAUCUUAGUAGCUACUGUAGUUGUUUACCCUUACUGUUGUUUAGCCUCCUUUGCUGGUGCGUACCCUCGCCCUCGUCGGCUUGCGGUACCCACUGGGAGGGGAGACAUGUUUACAUGUUCUCACCCCCCCGCCCCCAUUACAGGUGACGUCGCAGGUCCGAGUGGGACGGCAGGUGAGGAGCGAGUCUAGCGCGCGUUAGAGCUCCGUCCCGUUUGGUUAUCUCCUUUCCCCUUGCUUGAAUAAAUAGUAAACUUUUAUUACGGUUCAGUUUCAUUCCGUACUUGAGAAAUUGGUUUUUUCGCUGGCUUUACGUAUGGUGAUAAAAAGAGAUUUAUGGACUUUUCAAAGUAAAAUGGCUUUCUACCCCUCGUGGUAGCGCUUGUUUUUUUUAAAGAAAAGGAUUUUCAUAUUCGAUACAGUUUUCAAUGAUUUUUCUACCCCUCGUGGUAGUAUUUUAAAAGAUAAAGGUUUCCGUGUGGGAAACAGUUUUAAAAGGAGCUUUUAAUGGAUUUCCGAGACUUAGUAUUUCAAAACUUGUUUUCGGGAAGGAAACGUUUCAAAUGAUAGAUUUGGAUUUAUGUUAAAAACUAUGAAUACCGUCGUGUUGUGAAUGGUGAAUGUAUGGACGUCUGUAUGUGCGGAUGAGGUUGUAUGUUCAUAUGGUUGUGGUUGUAUUCUGGAUGUACUCUGGUUGUAUAUUUGUACUUGUGCGACGCCGUGCAAAUACAGGGGAGACUCUGUCCGUGUGAACAGUGGAUUCCCUGUAUUUGUGGCGGAUCUGACAUACCCUGGGGUCAGGUGUUUCCAAAAAAAAAAAAAAAAAUUUCUGUCGUUUCCGCUGUUUUUCCAAACAAAAAGGGACCCCGGGGCGUGACAGAUUAAAAUGGUAUCAGAGACAAGUUACAACCACAACCCCAUUCACAGACUGUUUUUGAAAAUAAAAAUAAACUGAACCAUUGGUUAGGUUGACCCUAGGAAGACCCACGAUGUAUAGGCACGUGAGUGCGGGGUUUUGGGAUUAUGCCCCGAUUCGAGUCGGUCGAGUCGGUUAUUCGGCUAACGGUGCUUUUGUGUUACAGAUGGCUCGUGGUAGACCUCCUCUUCGUGGUCGUGGCGGUGGACGCGCCGCAGAGGGCUCUAUCAAUAGCCCUGGAGAGCAGGCCCCGAGAGACAGAGGCAGGGGCAGGGGCAGAGGGGAGCAGAUUGGCCCAGAUCAGCAGGGCGAUACUCGUGCCCAGCAGCUCGAGGCUGAGGUAGCAGCGAUGAGGGGUCAGAUGACAGCCCUCACUGGGGCGGUUCAGCAGCUCCAGCAGCUUUUACAGCAGCACGCUGCAGCUGCUGUUCCCCCGGUACCACCCCCGACGCCGCCGGUUCCUGAGACAGCUGCCCCUCAGGUGGCGCCUGCACAGACGGCCCCUCCGGCCGUCCCGAGGACGACGACGACCACCACGACGGUUCCAGCUGGGGAUACUGAUACCACAGCAGCAGAGGGCGCCCGUAUGCGUGCGAAGCUGAUCGAGUUCAGGAAGUUCGACCCGCCGAAAUACGCGGGGAAGAAGGAAGAGAAUGGAGUUCUCGAGCGCUGGCUGACCGACAUGGAGAAACUACUUGAGGACUUAUUCAUCGAUGAGCAGGACCGCGUCCCCUUGGCCGCCCACUUUCUGGACGGGGACGCAAGCUCUUGGUGGCGCCGACAUCUAUCGCUCAAGCUGGGCAAUGUUUUCCCGCCCUGGGGGGAGUUCCGGAGACUCCUCCACGAGCAAUUCUUUCGGGACAACUCAAAAUUGGAGCUGGAGCGCGAGCUAGAGCGUCUUCAGCAGGGGAACCGUACCGUAGCUGAGUACGAGCAGGACUUCUCUCGCAUUGUGGAGCUGAUCCCCUUCGUCAUCCGAGACGAGCGCCACAAGACGAGAGUCUUCGCGAGAGGCUUGAGACCCAACAUCAGGAUGCUGCUGGCUUCUCAUGGCACGAUGACAUUUGACGAGUGCUUGGACCGAGCCCUCGUCAUCCAGAGCGAGUCUACCGAGGUCCGAGCUGCAAAGGAGGCCUCGGAGUGAUCGGGGAAUAGAAAGCGUUCCCAUUCUAAGACUGGUGGCGGCUCCUCUUCCAACAGUAACCGGCCGCCAAAGCAUCCGCGCACUCAGCAGACAGCAAAGAGUGCGCCCUCCGGUAACCAGCAGAGGGGCGAUCGACCUUGUGUGAUCUGCGGUGAGGCACAUCGGGUGGUCCAAUGUUCGCAGAGGAGGGACCACUGUUUCCGUUGUGGCCAGCCGGGCCACCUGCGAGCUCAGUGUCCUAGAGGUGGCGGGACUUCUCAGAGUGCUGUCUCCUCCCCGGCUGCACCCCGACAGAGCCGCGGAGCCCCGAGUGCAGCUGCUUCGUCCGGGCGUCCCCCCUUACCUCGGCAAACUGAGGGGACGCGCCAGGCAUCUGGUGGGAGAGUCUUCGCCCUGACUCAGCACGAGGGCACUGGUGGCGACGUCCUUGCAGGUAUUGUCACCCUCAACCUUACUCGUGCUAGAGCCAUUUUCGAUACUGGAGCAUCGCACUCUUUUAUUUCGCAUUCAUUUGCAUGUGAGCAUGGUCUUUCCUCGCAACCACUCGAUGUAUCACUUCGGAUCGAGACACCUGGAGGUGAUCUUACUGCUGUCAGCUGUAUCUCGUCGUACCCCGUCUUCUUGGAUGAUCGGUCUUUUCUAGCUGAUCUGGUGGUUAUCCCGAUGAAGAAAUUCAACCUGGUGCUUGGGAUGGACUGGUUCACCAGGCACCACGCUACUAUCGACUGCGAGCGGAGGAUGGUGAUUCUUACCGAGCCUGGUGGUGAAGUAUUCGUCUACCGAGCAUGUAAGAGCUCUUAUUUCGCUGCGACUAUCUCUUCUGCGAGGGCAAAAAGGUUGUUGAAUGCCGGGUGUGUGGCUUAUCUGGCUUCGGUAGACGUAUCUCGCCGAGCUGCACCAUCUUUGGAGGAGAUUCCUGUAGUUCGGGAAUUCCCAGACGUUUUUCCAGCCGAGCUUCCAGGGAUACCUCCGAACCGGGAGAUCGAAUUCUUCAUCGAGCUUGUCCUGGGCACUGCACCGAUCUCGAAGGCCCCCUAUCGUAUGGCCUUCGCUGAGCUGAAGGAGCUGAAGGCGCAGCUUGAGGAUCUGCUUGACAAAGGGUUCAUCAGACCUAGUGUGUCUCCCUGGGGUGUCCCUGUCCUCUUCGUCAAGAAGAAGGACGGUAGUCUUCGUCUGUGCAUCGACUACCGGGAGCUCAACAAGGUCACGGUGAAGAACAGGUAUCCCCUGCCCAGGAUUGACGAUCUUUUCGACCAGCUGCAAGGAUCGUCGGUGUACUCCAAGAUUGAUCUGCAGUCCGGGUACCAUCAGCUUAAGAUCCGGGCUGAGGAUGUGCCGAAGACCACCUUCCGGACUCGUUACGGCCACUACGAGUUCACGGUGAUGCCUUUCGGGCUCACCAAUGCUCCGGCAGCCUUCAUGGACAUGAUGAACGGGGUCUUUCGGGCUUAUCUGGAUCAGUUUGUCGUGAUUUUCAUAGAUGACAUCCUGAUCUACUAGCGGAGUGAUGAGGAGCACGAGGAUCAUCUCCGACGAGUAUUGCAGAUACUUCGGGAGCACAGAUUGUAUGCUAAGCUCAAGAAGUGCGAUUUCUGGCUCCGUGAGGUGGCAUUCUUGGGGCAUAUUAUAACUCCGGCAGGCAUUUCGGUGGACCCGAAGAAGAUAGCCUCGGUGGUUGAGUGGCCUGAACCAACUUCGGUGACCGAAGUCCGGAGUUUUCUGGGUUUGGCAGGGUAUUAUCGGCGAUUCGUCGAGGGCUUCUCCAAAAUCGCCACACCGCUUCACAAGCUCACGAGGAAAGGAGAGCGGUUCCGGUGGACUCCGCAGUGUCAGCAGAGUUUCGAUGAGCUGAAGGAUCGAUUGACUCGCGCACCAGUUCUUACCCUACCGCGGCCUGGUGAGGACUUUGUGGUUUACUGUGAUGCCUCCCGGGUCGGCUUGGGGUGCGUACUUAUGCAGCGGGAUCGAGUCAUCGCUUACGCCUCUCGACAGCUGAAGCCCUAUGAGCAGAAUUAUCCGACUCAUGACCUGGAGCUUGCAGCGGUCGUUUUUGCCCUUGAGCUGUGGAGGCAUUAUCUGUAUGGAGCUCACUGCGAGGUGUUCACUGAUCAUCAGAGCCUGAAGUACCUCUUCACCCAGAAAGAGUUGAACCUCAGGCAGAGGCGUUGGCUCGAGCUCUUGAAGGACUACGACAUCACGAUCCAGUAUCAUCCGGGAAAGGCGAACGCGGUGGCGGACGCCUUGAGCCGGAAACAGCCUUCAGCUGAGAUGUCCUUCAUGAUCACGAGCCAGGAUCGACUUGUGGAGGAGUUCCGCCGUCUUGAGAUCGAGGUUGUCCCCACCGGAGCUACGGCUCAAUUGAUGACUCUGGUGGUACAACCGACUUUGGCAGAGCGGAUUUUGUUCGGUCAGCACAGCGACCCGUAUUUGCUUAAAGUACGGGCGGAGGUCGAGCAGGGCCAGGACGGGGAUUUCACUAUCCACUCCGAUGGAUCUCUGCGCUUUAGAGGCAGAUGGUGCGUGCCUAGUGAUUCGGAGCUGAGGAACGACAUCCUAUCCAGGCGCACCAAUCCCCUUACACAGUUCAUCCAGGCGGAACCAAGAUGUACCGCGACUUGAAGCAAAACUGUUGGUGGCCUGGGAUGAAGCUUGAUGUGGCCCAGUUCGUGGCUCGGUGCUUGAUUUGUCAGCAGGUGAAAGCCGAGCACCAGCGACCGGCAGGAAAGCUGCAACCACUUCCGAUUCCUGUGUGGAAGUGGGAGCAGAUCACUAUGGAUUUCGUCACCGGAUUACCUCGAUCACAGCGAGGUCAUGAUGCGAUCUGGGUUAUAGUGGAUCGGCUGACGAAAUCGGCCCACUUCUUGCCGAUUCAUACGACGUGGUCCCGUGAUCGACUGGCACAGUUAUAUAUCGAUGAGAUCGUCCGACUUCAUGGUGUGCCAGUGUCGAUUGUGUCUGAUCGGGACACUCGCUUCGUUUCCCACUUCUAGAGGAGCUUGCAGCAGGCUUUGGGUACGAAGCUGAACUUCAGUACGGCUUUCCAUCCUCAGAGUGACGGUCAGUCAGAGCGAGUCAUCCAGACUCUUGAGGACAUGCUUCGCGCAUGCGUCCUGGAUUACGGUGAUGGAUGGUUUCGGUAUUUACCGUUGGUGGAGUUCGCCUAUAAUAACAGUUUUCAGGCGAGCAUCGGGAUCGCACCGUACGAGGCGUUGUAUGGGCGUCGAUGUCGUUCUCCUAUCUGUUGGGACGAUGUCGGAGAACGCCGGUUGGUAGGGCCAGACUUAGUAGAGGACGCAGAGGCAAAGAUCCGCAUUGCGAGAGAGCGGCUUCAAACUGCACAGAGUAGACAGCGGAGCUACGCGGACCAGCGGAGGCGUGACCUGGAGUUUCAGGUCGGUGAGCAUGUGCUGCUCAAGGUGUCGCCUUCCAGGGGAAUCAAACGGUUCGGUAUGCGGAACAAGCUUAGUCCGCGAUUCGUGGGACCGUUUGAGAUCCUAGAGCGCGUUGGUCCGGUGGCUUACAGAUUGGCUCUUCCUCCGAGUCUCGCCCGAGUGCACAACGUUUUUCACGUGUCUAUGCUUCGGAAGUACAUUCCGGAUCCGUCCCACAUCAUCAGUCUGACAUCCAUUCAGUUACGGGAGGAUCUGAGCUAUGAUGAGGCUCCGUUGCAGAUCUUGGCACGCGAGGUGAAGCAGUUGCGGAAUAGGAGCAUUCCGUAUGUCAAGGUCCAAUGGGAGAAUCACGAGGAGCGCGAGGCUACUUGGGAGCUCGAAUCGUCUAUGCGGGAGCGUUAUCCGCAGUUGUUUGCGGGGGAGUCUUGAUUUAAGUUUCGAGGACUAAACUUCUUGUAAGGAGGGGAUAAUGUAAUAACUGAGAUUUUGAUUGAGUGAUUAAACCCUUUUGUUUGACGAUGUUUUUGUGUGUAACAUAAUUAUAAGUGUACUCGUCAAAUUUCAGGCUGCCGCCCUGCGCCGCUCGCCCUUUUUCCGUUUUUUCCCUUCGUGCCGUCGUCCCUCCGGUUUUCCCGGGGCCGCCCCGGCGUCGCGUGUGGCGUUCUGGUGCGUCUCGGCCUCCUCCUCCUCCGUCCUCGCUCGUUUCGCCGGUUCCCUGUGUCUGGCCCUCGCUGGGCUGCUGAUUUUGCGUUUGCCCGCCCGCUUUCGCGCCCACUCCCCCCGUCCCUGUUUUCUCUGGAGUCUUUGGCGUGUGUGUUUCCUUCUCUUGGCCGACGCGUUGGCUUUUGUCGUGCACUCGUGGUCGCUCGGUGACUCGCCGGGUCGCUUUGCUGUCUCCGCGGCUGCUGAUCGCCCGGUGGGACUCCCGUUCGCACACGACUCUGCCGGACGGCAUCUGCGGCACUCCGUCGUUGCUGCCGGCGCGGUCGGUGUUGCCCCACGGUCAUUUCGCCCCUCGCCCCCUCUUUUCUUCCCGUUUUGCGUGCGCUCGUCCUGGCGGGGUCUAUUUUGCGUUGUUCCUCACCUGCUUGUGCGGGCCAGUCUCCACUCCUGCCGUUGCGCGGCUUUUCCGCCUUUGCCUUCUACAUCCCCUGUUGUCUUUUCAGGUUCUGCUACUAGAAACCCUAACACUAGCCCCUGCACUUCAUCCUCUUCCACUGCCUGUUGCGUACGCCCAGGGCCACCGCCGACUGAGCCCCGGCCGGCCAGCCGCCGCCGGAGCCAUUUCUUCCUCCUCUCCUAUCUCUCUGGCCUGGCUCCCAGGUCUCUCCUAUCCUCUCUCGGGCGUUCGGAGCCAGAGCCGACGCUCGCCUUGCUCCCGGCCAUCGCUGGUGUCUGCCCUGUCCCGCUUGUACGAGCUCGCGACCCGCCGCGCUCCUCACGCCAGACCGGCCACCCGGCGGCCGGAGAGGCGAAAGGGCGCUCCUGCAGCCGCUUGGCCGACCCACAGCAGUUCCCUCCAGGCGCCGCCGCGCCGUGUACUUUCAGCAGCCUUCGCCCGGGAGCCGUGGCGACCCCUUCCGCCCGGCGCCACCGCCGAGCUCUGCGGUGCCGCGCGCCAGCACGCGUGCUUGGCAGCCGCGGGCGCCUGCCGUCACCUCCUUGCUGGCGAUCGUGUGCAAUCUAGCUCUUGGCGGCCACUUUAUUCUCUUUUCUGAGUUCUUUUUCUAGUGUGUUCCUUUGAGCCGCGGUCAUCCUGCCGCUCUUUCGUCUGUGUGUCUUUUCGCUUUUUCUUGUGUUUGUGUCACCUCUUUUUUUUCGUUUCUUUGUUUCUUUUCCUGUCCGCCUGCUGUCCGUCCGUUUGUUGUGGGUGUACCUUAUCUGCUCUGUCUGUUCCCUUGUUCUUUGAUCGUCCUCUGCCUUGCCCGCCGAUGGCCUUUUUUUUGCAUGGGUGUCUCUGGUAUUACCUCUGAUUGUCGUAACUUUUCUUUUGGUUUGGCUGUGCCUUUUGUGGUGGUUUCCUACUCGCUUUGCCUUUUUUUCUCUUUGCCUUGCGUUUUUUUUGUCCAGCCCUUGCUUGAACGUGAUUGGUGGAAUGCUAGUCGUGUGUUCUCCUGUCCCUUCUCCUUUCCUUUGCUGUACCGCAGUUUUUUUGUUUUCCGGUGGCCCCCGGCCGCGCCGGGCUCACCGGAGGCCGGCCCGAGCAAGCUUGCUCCGGCCAAGCCGAAAUAGGGCUGUUUGGGCUGUUCUGUCUGUCCUCGGCGAGCGAUCCGACGCUCGCCCCGACCUCCCUCACGGACGGAGCACGGUGCAUCCGUGGCAAGAUGCCUGAUCAUCGUCGCUCACCUUAGAUUCUGUUGGGGAGACUCGCCGGCUGUCUGCUCGUGAUCCGGCCCGGCUGUUCAGACCCCGGGAGCCUGUUGGCUGCUGUUCUUGGUUCUGCAGCACGGCUUUCAUGCCCGGCAAUCCGCCGCAGCCUCUCACUGAUGCCUCCGGACGGUGAGCACGGUGCAUCGCCUGGUCUGUGCUGAUGCACAUUGCUCACCUCACCUUUGGAUCAACAGUCGUGCCGGCUCAGCGCCCUGUUUGGCCGCGAUCCACUGGCUCCCCCGAACCGUCGACGCCGCCGCGCGCUGCUUCGCGAGAACUGUCCGGGUAGCUCCCCGCGCGCUCCCCACCAGUGCACUGUGUCCUCGCGACGUACCAUGAGCCACGGCAUCGCGGCCGGCACGUCGAGGACCCUGUCAGCUCAGGUUGCUCGCGGAACUUAGAGCCUCCUCAGUUUGUGACGAACGACGGCCUCAGUAGGGAUGCCCUGAUAUCUACAUAAAAUUAUGAUUGUAUGGUAAACAGUUAGGCGCCUUUUUGUGCAAUUGGUACGCCUUGUGCCACUGUGGGCCCCGCGUGUCAAGGGUGUGUUCUUUGGAACCAUCUGGCAACUGAUUGCCAUGAUCCUGCUAGCUUUCUUUGCGAAAAUCCGAACGACAGGUCGGAGAUUUCCGGUGCGUCUUUUCCGACGAAUAUCCUCGAAAAGAACGCGAUUCGCAUCGUUUCUCGAUUCUUUGACGGUGUUUUUCUCUGUGCUUCUGGUUGCCUGCAGCUUGUUGUGUCACCAUCAUUAAUUCUGUAGGUCUACGAUGAUGACCUGUGCAGCGACCGGCAGGGGUUCGCUGUGAAAUACGACACUUGGCGAACCCGAAUCGCUACAAUUAUCCGCGAUAAUCUAGUGUGAGGUGCUAUCUGUGUCUGCAUGCCAAAACAUCCACAAUUCCCCAAGUCGCUCUUUGGGGCAGCCGCGUUGACUCCGUCGGCACCGCGAGUCGGUGAGUUGGGCACACUCUAGUGCGCGCGACCGACGCCGCCCGUGAUCUAAGUUUUCGGGACUUCCCGGCGCACGCUACCGGUACAGCGGACUUCAUUACGGGAAACCUAUUCCUUCGUGGCAAUCGUCUUCUGGGGUUGUGGAUACCUGUGAUACUAUUUAGUUGUGGGUUUAGCAUCUGACCUCACACCCGGCUGGACACUGCUAUCAAGGUCCUGCCUCGACAUUCUUUUGCAGGUCAGGAGACAGUGGUCCAUCCCGAACAUGGGGUACUCGAGCGACCGCGCGCCUCGAUCCGACGUCGGGUCCGAUGUGCAGCUCGGUGAUAUUUCUCUCUAUCCUGUUCUUCUAUUGCUAUUCCUGUCGUUAUUCACUACGAUGAGGCUGUCAGAACCGCCUUGCAUCCGCGUUGUUCUUAUACAAUACUCUACUCAUCACCCUGUCUUCUAUGCCUAGAUCAUGGUAGGAGAGAGAGUAGCUUUAUGCCCUUAUCCAGGCUGCAUACCGGCUGACCUGCAUUGGUCGGCUCGUACUCGUUUCGGUACCUGAUUGUCGCCUUCUCCCGUACUUUGUCUCGGUCGACCGAUUGGUCGCUCUCUAGUACUUGCCCAUUUCGGUGACCUACGUUUAUCGGUGCUUUGAUCGUUGCAUAUCUGCUUGACCUGGUUGGCGGUCUGUUGCAUUAGUAUCGGUUGGUCUCCUUCUCUGACACUUCCGUCCGUUGACUGACCGUUUGAGGUCGCUGUAGUCCUGCAGGGGCUAGGAUGCUGUCCCGGACCCAUUAGCAGCCGACGGUAGAUCGUAAUUAAUGACUCGAAAUGCACUUGCUUGUAUCGAUUCUUGCAUAUUAUACAGUAGUGUAACGCUAUAGAUCAGUAUGCCUACAUGCUUUCUGGUAGCGCAAUGUUGAGUUGUUGCCAUCCCAGUGGUGAUCUUGUAUCAGUACUUGCAUACAUUGGAGAGGACUGCUAGAGGCCCUCGUGCGGCGCAGCCUAGUUGACCUGAGUGCGGUCGGCCUUGCUGUGCUGCUGAUCUUUAUCGAGUUUGAUGACCUAGAAUCGAUAGUUAGCACCAGAGCACAGCAUGGAAUACGCGUCGCCACCAACGACCCGCAGCAUGAGUUUCCGACAAUAUCCUGAUUGGGAUCCAAUACACCACACAAGCAUUCACUACCAGCAAGUUGAUCACCCCGCAGAAGGGUGUUUUGUCAUCUCGGCACAGUCAGAUAAAACACCCGGGACGCAGCAGCGUGCUUCUCUUUGUGCUAGGUUCGACUUAUACAGAGUAGCACAGAAUGCAUGAGCACUCUAUGACCCAACGGGGCUAUAGGAUUACAUUUGGACUCAUCCCAGCACCUAUUAGCAGGACUAUCAACAACAUACAAACAACAACACAAAUCACAACAUCAAUAGACAGAAUGAUAACAUCACAGUACGGAAAGUAGUCAUUUCAUAGAUAUAUACACCCAUACGACAACACGAGCGUGCUACUGAUAAUACCCAUAACGUAUCGUACCUCCAAUCAGCAUGAUACCCCCACUAAUAUACAUAUAUUCUGCAACACGGACCACACACAUGAGGAGAGGAGCGAGCAGAAACAAAUAUAAACAAUGUUCUCACCUCCCACACACAUAUUUUCAGGAUAUCGGCCGCACAACUGGGGGCAGACUGAGGUAAGUGAUGUAGGACGAGUAGAACAUCCGACACCAAGGAUUACCUUUGUCGUUACGUUGUACGUGGCACCCUUCUAACAAUUAUUGUCUGAACUAUAAUAAGUAGUUGACAUUAAUGUGGUUCAGGUAAUUAUCUUACAUUCGAAUGUGAUUUCUUUGGGAUUUGUAAAUAACACGGUUUUCUACCUCGUCGUGUAGCGUUUUUAAAGGAAAUAAAGGUUUUUCCUGUGUAAGGAAACAGCUUUUGCAAAAAGACUUUUGUUGGUUUUCUGCUCUCUAUACCGUUGAAUGAAAACUGCUGAUGUGAACUGGUGAAGUAUGGAAUGUAUAUAGGUUAUACUUUAUAUUCUAUGGCUGUGGUUGUAUCCUCGGCUGUACUGUGAAUAUUUGACGACCGCCCGUGCAAAACAGGGAGACUCUGUCCGUUGGAACAAGUCGGAUGUGCCCCUCGUAUUGUGGCGGAUCUGGCAAAUAACUCCUCGGGUCAGGAUUUCAAAAAAAAAAAAAAAAACACAUGUCCAGCCACGUUCUUCCGCUUUGUUUUUUAAACUGCAAAAAGACCCGGGGCGUGACAGUCAAUAGAUCAUCAAGCGAAAAAUUAUAAUGUCACGCCCCGGGGUCCCUUUUCGGUCUGGAAAGACAGCGGAAACGACUAAAUUUUUUUUUUUUAAAUACUGACCCCAGGGUAUGUCAGAUCCGCCACAAAUACAGGGAAUCCACUGUCUCACCACGACAGAGCUCCCUGUAUUGCACGGCGUCGCACAAGUACAGAUAGACAAUCAGAGCAACCAGAAUACAACCACAACCAUAUGAACAUCAAUCCCAACUACACAAGCAGACGUUCAUGCACAUUCACCAUCACUCAAACGCGACAGUAUUCCAAGUUUUUAAAACAUAAAUCCAGAACUAUCAUUUGAAUGGUUCCCACACAGAAACUUUUAUCUUUUAAACGCUACUCACGAGGGUAGAAAGACAUUUGAAAACUGUAUGAAGAAUAUGAAAACUCUUACUUUUAAAACGAGCGUACCCGACGAGUAAGAAACCAUCUUUCUUGAAAAGCUCAUAAAUCUCUUUUAUUACGAAAACCAGCACGAAAACUGAACAUUCAAUGUACCAAAUGAAACUGAACGUAAUUAAAAGUUUACCUAAUAUUUCAAGCAAGGAGAAAGAGAUAACCGAACGGGACGGAGCUCUAUCGCGCGCUAGACUCGCUCCUCACCUGCCGUCCCACUCGACCUGCGACGUCACCCUGUAACACGGGGCGGGUGAGAACAAUGUAAACAUGUCUCCCCUCCAGUGGGUACCCGCAAGCCGACGAGGGCGAGGGAACGCACACCAGCAAAGGAGGCUAAGCAACAGUAAAGGUAAACAACUACAGUAGCUACUAUGAUGUUAAGAAACAGAAAGUACAAGUAAGGAACUGAUGACAAGUAAUGAACUACUGCUACUGUAGUAUCCAUCAACUGGUGGAUAGUCCAAAGAUACCCAAUCUAACCUGCCUUGUUAGUCCGGAGACCUCAGGCUAAUGUCACAAUCACAUCACCUGCAUAUACCCAGUCGUAAACCUCUGAGCUCACGGGUGGGCAAACCCAACCCUUUUCCGGAAAAGAACACCCCCUGCGGUGGAUCAGACCGCUAGUUGGUCGUGAAAUGCGAACGAGUGGUGACGAUCGAUGCUGAUAUGCUCAAUAGCCAACCGUCGGCAACCAGCCACACGACCGUAUAGGUCAUCAAGUCAAAGUAACCGACGACCGAUAGGUCAAAGUAAGUAGUGAACGACCAAAUAGGUCACGAUGCAACAGGAGAACCGACCAAUCAGGUCACAAGUAUAGUAUAUACUAAUGGCAACUACUCUACCCCUACACAGAAUACUACGCAUAGGACAACCGGCAGAGUAAAUAAAGACAGUAUGGUGCAAGGCGUCAACAUGUAACAAGUAACAAUAUGAAUAGACGAUGUAAAAAGAUAGGGUAAAGGAAGACAUCACGAGCGUGCACACCGCUGUAGCGACUUCGGAUCGAAGUAACCCACCUGUAUAAAGCUGAAAUGGUCUCGCCUAAGGCGGAGACGAAGCGAACCGGACCUACGAAGGUCCACCGGGUUGAGUCUAACCCACGAAUACAAUAACACGACAAUCUCACACAAAUCCCAAAAUCAUAACCCCACGAAUCGGUUUCUCAAACGCAACUUCCGAAUCAGGCCGGAGUCCCGAAAACCGUACCGGAACUCCACCGUCGCUCACACCCGUCGUUUCUGAACCCUCGAGACGACACGGGGACCACCAACAGAGCUCAGCGACGCUAAGCGCGUCAAUCACGAGGCACCGUCGGAUGAAUUCCGAGUCGAACGCGCGUUCUAUCGCGGAUUUCGCCGAAAAACGCUCGAAAUGACCGAUAGAUUUCCGCAAAGGCUUGGGGCUUGGACGAUAGUCCAGAGGUUAUCUUAAGCUUUACCUGCUGCCAACAGCAGCCACGACGAAGCGAAACGCAAACGGAUCCUAAUGACCCAUGAAAUCACAUCAUUUUAUGUGAUUUCAGGCUCUAAACGGGCCGUACCAGCAAACCAGGGAUCUACGGAGGUUGCCAUCGCACUUGCUGCAAGUUUCGGCAUGCCUGAGGCCGUGCUCACCUUUCGAGCACUGCCGGCAGCAACCAUGCCGCGCACGACGAGCGACCUCAGCGAAUCAGUGCGCACAGCGCGAAGAUCGCACACUACUCAUUACCACAGGGCACCGUUAAUCUAAAUGGAGGUGAGCAUCGUGUUCGGCACGAGCCACGAUGACCGUGCUCACCUCCCGAGGCGCCAGGGAGUCCUCGGAUCACCGGACAAGUGACCGGAACGCAAACAACAGUGCGGAACAACAAAUGCUACUCACCGGAGCUGUGGGAGCUAGGGAGGCCGCCGGCGAUCGGACGGCGGGCACUCCGGCCGGUGUGGAGCAGCAGGUCGGGAGGUCCGGGGGAAGGGCCGGCGGCGGGGGCAGCAGCCGGUGGCGCGCGGCGGCAGAUCGGGCCCACCCUACUCCCUCUCGGGUUUGGGGCUUGGCGGCGAGGCGGCGACCGGGGACGGUCGGGCGGCACUGUUCCGGGCCGGAGACCAAGGGGGAGGUGGUGCUCACCUCAGAGGACAACGGCAGCCCUCUGAAUGGCGCGGCUCCAAGUCGCCCGCACAGACCCGAGCCGGCGGAAGACCUUGGCGGCCGCGGCGGGGCGCGGGAGGCCGGGAACGCACGCGCCGGGUUGCUGGAGGCUCGCCGGAGGUCGACGAGGGAGGCUUGGCCGCAGGGGAGGUGCGGUCCCAAGGCCCGCAACCCGAGCUCGGCCCGCUCGGUUCCGGGCAGACCCGCUGGUUACAGCUCUUCCGGCGCUUCCGCGACGCUCAGGGGUGGCCGGCGUCCGGGAAGGGCGCCUGAGGUGGAAGAGGCGGGGCUUGCCUCCCGAGGCAUGGAGACCCUCCACAAGCCCUGCGUGUCUAAAGAGGCCGAGGAGAGAGGAAGCCGGUCCGAGGCAAGUUUCCGCCGCGCCGCGGCAGCCUGGCGGCGGUCGCGAACGUGAGCCACGCGGGUAGGGCAAGGGGCUGCUGCGUGGCGAAGGGCGUGCUGGUCAGCUGGGGGGGGUUCAUGGUUAGGGUUAGCUCAAAAAACCCUAGUUAACCAUAGAACUAAAUAGCUGAGGAAGACUUCGGAAAACCCCCUCGAACAAGAGUCAAUUUAAUCACCCUCUCAGUCCAAGCCAGUCCGUACAAACGCGAAGUCCCCCCUGAGUCUCGUCACAGUACCCGCAAAAUCGGCGCAUUAAAAAUACGGUGCCUUGUCGCGAAUAAUCGAUUAUUCAAAUAUCACCCCCUUCGCCGGACAUUUCGCCGAUUCCCCGAGGAUCCGGUCCAUCGGAUUUCCGAUCGGAUCUGCACAGCCGCGAUCAGCACGCCAGAGGCACGAAUCUAGCAUCUCGUUAUCAUCCAAAAGAUUUCCGGAUUUGCGACAAAACCUUCCUUCCUAGGUCCACCAAAACAACAUAUAGGACAAUUAAUAUGCAAAAACCACUAUACCUUUUUCUCGAAAUCCUGCCUCCAAAUUCAAAUCUGUUAGUGCAAAGGGUUCCAGGAAUUAGUUCGACAGUCCUGAAAACGACUAUGGACAGGCUAUAUUCGGCAGUCCGAUACGCGUCGAAAAUCCACUUUACUCCGCGGCCUCUCCGGAAAACCGGAGUACUAUUCACUUAAGUCAGACUUCCGGGUCGUAACUUCUCCCGUUUUAACCUCCCGUUUUCCUCCCGAAGNNNNNNNNNNNNNNNNNNNNNNNNNNNNNNNNNNNNNNNNNNNNNNNNNNNNNNNNNNNNNNNNNNNNNNNNNNNNNNNNNNNNNNNNNNNNNNNNNNNNCCCCGAAAUUUGCAAACCGAGAGCAGCCUAAGUCCUCCACUUUGGCGACCUUAGUGCUACUUGAAAUACCACAAUUCUCGGGAUACGAGCCAUAGGUCUGAACACUGUCUACGACCCACCAGAAAAUCUGAAAAAACUCAUAACACCAGCCAUACACUCGAACCUCGCAGUUUGCAAAGGUCCAGUGCGUUACAAGAUAUUUCGUUGGUUCUUACGAAUUUGAUCGUAUGCGAUCGUCUCUUUUUCCGGAGAGAAAAUGGGGCGUAUAUAUAGGAUAACGGAACCCCCAAAUAUCCUGAAUCUCAUAUAGAUUAGGAUAAGGAUCAGGAUAUCUACUAACAUAUAAUAGAUAUCCAUUAAUAAAUACGUUUCUUAACUGAUAAGAAACAUAUGAUUCAUUCUUGUCCUAAACUUAUUAGGAAAAAUUCCAAUCCACAUCUUAAGUGGAUCGGGUUAAAUUAAAACCCGCCAAUGUGGACACACCACAUGGCUACAAUCUCCCACUUGGCCACAUUGGCCAAUUCUCUCUUAUUCAUUCAUCUCUUCAUACGGGUAAUGGAGCGUGCGACCUGACGAAAGAAACACAUGCAGGAGUGCUAUAUUAAGUCACCACCAAACUAACAUAGCACAUCACUAACUUACUUCGUCUAUGCCCUAGACGUUUCAACACACACCGGAUCAAGCAUCACAAAGUCCCUCUCCUGUAAUGACAGGGUUCGACCCCACCGUUAUUUCUCGUACUCAUGAUUAUCUCAAGUAACACAACCGAGAUAACCGCCCAGGCAAUGAGUCACAAGACUUACGUGGUGUGUUAUCGAAACAUCUUUCUCAGCCCCUCGCGUUAAUUCGUAUUGGUCCAAGCACUUUACUAGACAUGCUCCGCGAGAUCGUAUUUUCUCAUGACCCUGAGAUACAUGCUAAGUUAGUUACUUUGGACCUCCACUUCAUAACGUAGUUCUAAGUCGAGGGCACAAAAGGGUUAGUGCUCACACAGUGACAUGGAGGGAAGAACUUAUAUCACUCUACUAACUGGUCGACAAGCACAUACAAUAUGAUAUGUAUGCUAUGGCGGAGCUCCCACUCAAUGGGUCAUGUCACGCCAAACAAAAAAAAAAAAUGCCAUACGAACCUUGGUUCUAGUAACCAACGAAGGUAUUAAGCCUAUCAACAACCACAAGUCAUCUUCCUAACCUGAGCAUUCAUAGGUUCGGCACUAUACAGCCGAUAUGAAAUUUUAACAAUGUAUAAAUUUCAUAAUCCACUCAUUUAAGUCUGCAUCUUAAACUAAUAUAGACGCGAGCUUUAAAUUAUAACUCAAACACUUCAUUCAUAACAUAAUAUGAAACAAAGUAAAUCAUAUUACAUACUAACAUAAUUUAAUAUGAUUAUCUAGUCUCAAUCCUGCUCACACUUAUGGUUCCAGCGCGAUCACCCUGGUGGUGGGCCGAUCUAGCCUGUGACUUAACAAAUGUCCUACAAUAUCAAUUACCUAUUCUCAUUAAAAGCAGAAAACAUAUUUUCAAAUAUAAUAAAGCGUCAAGACUACAAAAUAAUAAUGUCCAUAUCAAAAACCUACUAAGACCCGCAAACUCCUAUCGUAGUCUGGAACAUAGUCAUCCUACUAUCUUCGGCUUGUCAACGGAUCAGCCAACAUCCAUAGUGUGAGAUAUUGUCUAAGAAAUGACCCUCGCCUAGCCUGAAUCAUUCUCUCGAAUGUAGUGAAAACGAUACUUCAAUAUGCUUGUCCUGCCUGAUCACUUGGAAUCUUUCACAUUACUCAGGGCCCAUGUCUGUCAAACGACAUCUCGACAAGAUUUUCAUGUUUCUCGAUCUCACGAUGUCGAAUGCUGGGAGAAAUCUUCCUCAGCCAACAUAGCAGCUUCCUUAACGGCAGCUAGAACAAGCAACAAUACUCCGCUUCCAUGUAUGAACAAGGCAACACCAGCUCUGCUUCUUACUGAACCAGGAAAUUGCACUACCUCCAAGCAUAAACACAUAGCCGAAGUGAACCCUGCGCUCGAUCUCUAUCACUCACCCAAUCAGCAUCACUGAUAUUCAUUUCAAUCUCAGGUCCCCACCUUGAAAACAAGAACGAAAUCGCUGGUUCCUUUAAAUAUCGACAGUUAAUUCUCCUUGGACCGCUUCCAAUGAAUAGGUUCCUCGGAUUUGCUUUGGUAACGACUUACCAACCUAACAGCAAAAGCAAAUGUUUAGUUGAGUACACAUCAUAGCGUACAUAAACUGCCAAUUUGCACUCCGCUAAUUGAAAUGAAACCCUACUCAUUUUGCUUCUUUCUUUUAUCCUUUUAGCGCAUGAUCAAAACUUUAGAGUGUGAUUCUUUCCCAUUGGAAGUGCCAUACAGGUUUUGCAAUGAUGCAUCCUAAAACGCUCAUAGAAAUCUUUUAAUAUAAGUUAUCUGAGAAAACCAAGAAGCUUUCUAGAGCGAAUCACGGAUACUUCACUCCAAGCACAGUAACUCGCCUCAUCCCAUGUCUUUCAUUUCAAAAUUGAGAGACAAACCCAGUCCUUAAAUGUAUUGAUUAACAUCCAUGUCAUUUCAGCGAACAGGUAUAUCUUCGACUGUUAUAAGAGAGAAACAAAAUCCCAUUCUCUGUCUUCCUUGACAUAUACACAGUGCCUCCUCUAUCAUGAACACUUUACCGAUAGAGUAAAUGGGCUUCAUAAAACCUGAAAAUAUCCACUGUCUCGGACGACUGCUUGAGACGUAAAUGGAUCUUUUAAAAGACACAAACUUUUGUCUUCUUGAACCUUUGAGUACAAAACCCUUAGUUGAUGGCAUAUAAAUUCUCCUCCCCACAAUUCUCCCAUUAGUAAAAGCUUCCUAUGACACUCAUUUGGAAUAAUUCCAUAAUCUAGGCGCCACUAAGGCUAGAAAUCAAACGAAUAGAGAAUAAAUCGCACAACGGGAGUCAUAACCUCGUUGUAAUCCACUCCUUCCUCUGAUUAGACCUUUAUAGGCCACGGCCGACCUUGUAUUAUCGAUUGAUCCACCGCCGCUUGCGCUUAAUUUUUAAACCCAUUUAUUUUACAAUAGACUUUCGCCCAGGCGCAAUGUCAACCAAUUCCCAGUACUUGUUCUUGCUCAAGAUCCAUCUCAUCUUUCAAUAGGCGCCACCAUCUCACUGCAAGCUACCGUCUGCAAUACAUUCUUUUAAAUGUAAUCAGUCAUACAUCAUCGAGCGCAGUGACAUAACAAUAAAUCCCUUCGAUCUCAAAAAUGGUCGACGGGAAUAUGUCCACGUUCACUUCUUCGUAAAGAGGUCAAAUACUAACCGAACCUUCCCAAGUAGCUCUCACUCAAAGAAGCACUCACACUAGCCCGGAUAGGAUCGCCUACCCCACUUCCUUCAGCGACUUUCGAGAGGUGAUCGAUCACCCCAACAUGCAGAUAGUGUAGCAUCGUCCUGUAACAUCAUACAAUCCGAAUGUCUCCUUUCGCAUUUCCACCAUGCUUGGAAAAUCCUUUCUAGGAAUUCUACAUCAAACGAACUGCAAUCUCGUCAUUACCCACCAUGCUGGGUGUAUCACCAUAUCAUCCACAUACCCUUGCGAAUUUUUAGAUAUCGAUGAACCCAUCUUGCUCGCCUAGGCCGAUUCCCCAGAAUGCUAAUGUGAAUAGGCUGUGAACAUAUCUAUUAACCCUAAAAGGGCGUAAUAGUGUAAACUUGGUUUUCUAAGCCGCCCCAAACUACAUCUGGUAGAUGCACUGAUUUGCUAGAAGACUCAUUAAAGAUAUUAGGCUUCGAGUACGAAAGAGCAUCUCCCCAAAAAUUAUGAAUUUCGCCUGCGCUAUCAUCGAAUGACCAUGUCUAAUAAGUACGGUUCCUUCGCUCUGCAACACGGUAUUUUGCGGAGUACAAAAUAAUGAGCUGUCUAUUAAUAUCCCUUUUGCUCAUAGAAGCCUUGACCUGAUCAGACAAUACUUCACGACCUCUGGUUCAGUGCGAAGCACCUUACACUUUCUUUCAUUUGCAUUCUCACCCACAACAACGAACGCUUGAAGCAAUCUAAAGCUUCAGAAUCGUGAGAAAGCAAAUACACAUAUCAUAAACAGAGAAUAAUCAUGCAAUGAAUGAUGAGAAAAAUCAACACUAUGCCGGGCCUCACAUUUCAUCUGCCCAUCAAAUCGUCUUAGUGGAUAGCUCUAAAGAAGAGCAACGAGUAGCUUAGCUGAAGGCUUUCUACAUUGCCUUCGCCAGCCAUCAAGGCUCCUACACAGUAUAGGCCAAGCUUUUGCAAGAAGACCCCAAAAGCCAUUCUUCGAGCCGGUCUAUUUAUUCUUCUUGACCUAUUAUGGCCUAAUUCUGGCAAUGCAUUUAACGCGAUUCAUCACAGAGAGUAGAAGAAGUAAGAACACAAAUCAAACUAAUCAUCCUCCAAAUCCUAAUAUUAUAAGAACACCAAUCCAACAACUAAUUACGGAUAUUGUAGCUAACAGCUGGACCUGUGCAAUAUUGCGAGAUUCGAUGUUGAUGUAGCUACAUCGACACUUUUUCACACUUGGUGGAAGGCCGUAGAUGUAUUCCGGCCUACAAUUCGAUCUUCUAAUUAUUUGGUUUGGCUUUGUUCUAGAGAGUUUCACUCUCCGGACCGUCCCUAAUUAUAGAACUGUCACUCAUUCAGCUCAGUAUUUCUGCUCAGCUGGCGACGGCAACGACGGUCCCUGGCAGGUGAGACCGAGUCCGUCAGCUGCUGGUUUUGCGGCGGGGAGAGACAUGGUCCCGUGCUGGGAGAGGAUAGACCGUCUCCCAAAUGUUGGAUUUUCGACGGCAUGGCUUUGAGAGACGCGGCCCUAAGUUGGGAGACGGUCCGCUCGGGCACGAAAACCUGCCUAAGUACGCGGCUGAUGUGAAUUUAGUUUUGAGGGGCUUAUUUCUAUAAUUGGUUGCACUAGAUUGGUCUCUAUGUCCCUUUCACUUCUCCUCUCCUCCCUCUUUCUAUGCUUUCACAGUCCCAUGUCUAGAGAGAGAAGAAGAGAGGGAGAAGGAAAGGAAGAGAAGGAGAAAGAAGAUCUGCUGUAAGGGCCUUGAGCAUCAACUUCUCCAUUUUUCUCCACAUUUGGGGUACUUGGAUGCCUGCUUUUGAACCUUGGGGACCAAUCUUCAACACCUAUGAAGACUUACUGUUUGGCAGCUUCCUAGAGGUAUGUGGCUAUUUUCUCCUCUAGACCUAGUUUUGGAGUUUUUUUGCUUGAUUGAAACCUCUAAUUGGAUGCUAGGUUAGAUUGGGGCUUUUUUGUUUGAGGCCUUAGAAACCUAGUUGAUGGGUUUGGAAAUCUUUUAUGCGUUGAUUUGAAGAACUCUAAUUCCAAUUUGAUUUGAGCAGGGUUCUCACCUAGGUAGUUUUCUAACUAUAGCCUAUGUUGUUUAUUGAUGACUUAGGGUGUAAUCGGAAUUUGUUUGACUCCUGUUCUACAUCUUUAGAGUGCUAGAGACUAGUCGACACUAUUCGUCGAACUUACAGAGAGUUUCGGUAAUCAUCGUGGGUUUGGCUCUAAUGAACAUGGGGCAAAAUGGCCCCUACGUUUCUAUAACUCGUCGUAAAGUAUUUUUGAAUGCAAAUCCUAGCUAAAUAUGAAUUGAUGUGAAUUUUAGAACACACUUGAAAUGAUGCCCUUAUAUCAGAAAUUUGCACUCAUAUAUGUAAUCUAUUUGUGUAACUGCAUUAGCAUUGUGAAGGUAGUUGACUUGCAAGUUGAGAACAUGUCUCCUAAUGUUUACAAUGAGUAGAUUAUGUUUAUUCAUCAAACUUAGAUACCAAUCUUGCUCAUUAAACAAAGUGUCCAUAAAGGGCACUUGAAGCCUUAACUAUGAAAAUACAACAAUAGAACAUAGUUGAUAUGCCAUCUGAACAUCGACUAUAUUUCUAUGUUAAGAUGACAUGAAUACAUAGUAUAGGCCUUUGUAAUUCUAUAGCAUUCCAUGUUCAUGUACAUGAGACUUGGUAGCUUAGACAUCGACUUAUACGUCAUGACUUUGCCAUAUUGUGACUCAAUUCGCACAUGGUAGAGAGGGUCUCCUACAACCGGCACUUUCCGAGUGCCAUCGCUGAUACGUUCGCCGUGCGGAUUGGGCGCGCGAAGUAAUCCGUGGAAAGCGCUCAUUCAGGGAUGGGGAUGUUACUACCACGGGGCCAUUAGGCAUGUAAAGCCAAUAGGCCUUCGGUGGUCGUUAUGCAGACAGCUUCGGGUGGGUCCAAUCAAAGUUGAAGACUGUAAACAAUUAAAUGACAAGUUGGACAUGAUUAGAAUAGUAAUACCAAUGACACCUUACUAAUUUACAAUAUGACCAUUGAUUACUGCAUACUUAUGCAUUUGCAUGUUGAAUACGCUUGUGCACAUACUUGUGUAAAUUGCCUCUUACCUAUGCAAACAUGCUAAAGUAGAGAUAUCAUGUUGAAUAGUAUUCAUAUUAUUUCAUUAGUUGUUCUUAUCGCUUUGCUUUACUCUUGUACACUGACGCACACUUUUGUUAUUUUGGGCGCUAGUGCGCAUUUCAACUAAUCAGUAAUUGCCCACUGUGGAACUAUUGUAUAAUAGUUCUCACACCACUUGUCUAUGUUUUCUUUUCAGAUGCUUCGGCAAUCGCGAGGCACGGGAGCCGCGCAAGAGUGUCCGCGUAGCUACUCGGGAGAGAUCCGUUUGCGAUAGUGCCUACUCCUUCUUUGUUUGUGUUGAGAGAGGGAGAGUUUUGGCACCAUGUAUAGAGAACCACCUUGUAUUCAGAUUUUACUUGCUUUGGACUCCUUUUGUAUUACCUUAUGUUCUACCUACAGAUUAUUAGUUUUAUGAUCUUCUUCUUGUUGUAACACUUCGUAGAUGUUUGCUCUAUACACUUAGAUGCUUUCUUUUAUUGCUUAUUAAUCGCUUUUAUUUUAGACGCCUGUAUGUUAUAGAACGUACGCGGUCUCGACACGCCGGGCGGCUAACGCUGGUUCCGGGCGUGACACAUAUCCAAAUAAAGUACAUGAAAGAAAAUAUCAAGGCGGUCUCUCUGUCAAAAUCAGAAAUGAAUAUCCUAGAUGCAAACAAAACUAAAACUAACAUAGAUUAUAUCGAAUUCCGAUGCAAUAUAGCACGUCCUGAAGAAGUAAUGUGCGCCACCACGCAACUUAGUUGUAUACCGAUUCCUAGAUUCUUGCUUCGUGCCAUUCCCAAGGAUGACAAAACUGUGUCCAGAACGGUACUUCAGUGAUAAUUUACGAACCCCACUCGGUCACGAACAUACGUGUUUGUUACAUCCUUUUUCGCUCAGGCCUGUUUGUUUCCCUGUAAAAUGGCCCCGAAAAAAUUUUCAACGGAAAAAUACAAUUCCGAGGUUGUUUGUCCGUAAAAAUUUUUUUGGAAAAUUCUUUUUACACGAUACCAAGAAAACUGAGAUUUUUUUUUCCGCUUUAAACGAGCGAAAAUGAAAACACAUUUUUCCGGGCUUGGAGGGCGGGUUCACAGGUGCGCGGUCCACGAGCGCACACCCACCUUCGUGGACCGGCGAAGAAGAGUCCACUGGGUGCGGUGGACCUCUCUCCCCCAUCUUCUUUUUUUAUAUAUAUUAUAUAUAUAUAUAUAUAUAAAUAUAUAUUUAUAUAUGUAUAUAUAUUUAAAAUAAUAUUUUAUUUAUAAAUAUAUUUAUUAUAUAAUAUUUUAUAUCUAUUAAUUUAUUUUAUAGUAUUAAAUAUAUAUUAUUAAAUAUUAUAUUAUAUAUUUAAUUAUUGCAUAAUAUAUUUUAAAUAUUUUUUAUUUUAAAUAUAAACUAUAAUAUUAAUAUAUAUAAUAUGAUAAUAAUUAUAUAUUAAUAAUAUAAAAUAUGUAAAAUAAAAAAAAAUAUAUAAUAAUUUUUAUUUAUAAUUUUUUUUUCCUUUCAACCAAACAACCGUCGUGGAAAACUACUUUUCUUUUCCUACAAACCAAACAUAAACGACGUAAAACAUUUUUUCCACUGAUAAUUUUUUUUCCAUCGAAAAUUUUUUUUCCACAGUUUUACGUGGAACCAAACACACCCUCAGGACAAUUCCGAGCGAAAUGACCCUUCUUCUUGCAGUUGUAGCAUUUUAGCUUUGUAGCAUCCUUAUUGCCAGUGCGCUUGCCUCUGCGGCGCUUUCCAACUCUACCCUGAGGAGCUUGAUUCCAUUUCUUUUGCGCUCCAUUGUUGUGAUGCUUUUUGCGCUUGGGUGCAAUGCCACUGCGCUUCUUGGAGCGUGCAACAAGAGCGUCAGAACAGUUCACUUCUAAGCGCUCUGCCUCGAGCUCGAGAUGGCGCGAGAUGUCAUUAAACGUUUUAAUGUUCUCGCUGUGCGUCAUCAGAAGCUUCAUCUGGGACCAUUCAGUAUCAGGUAGUGAAUGAAUCACUGCUAGAACUUGUUGCUCAUCAGUGAGCUCGUUUCCAGCAGUCUUAAGGUCCCGAAUCAUGGCGCUCAUCACACGAAGGUACUCAGCCAUUGAAUGCUUCGGGUCUUUAAUAUACUGUAGAACUUGAGAUUUAAGGUACGUAGCCUCGUAGAUGAAGUUUGACCAAAAGUAAUCUUCAAAUUGUCCCACAUGUCCUUGGCAGUUUCAAAGAUCUCAAACUGUCCAAUGAGGUCGUCUUGUAUGGCACAUAACAAAGUAAACCGAGCAGUUCGAUUCUCAUUGACCCAUUUGUUAUAGAUCUCUUUAUCAUACUCAGAAGUAGUGCCUUCGGCAGGCAGAACUCUUUUGACAGAAAGGGUUUCUAGAACCCCUUGUUCAUUGAGCAAGUAUUGCAUUUUCCUAUGCCAGAUAUCAUAAUUCAUUCCAUCUAGCUUAUCACUCCUGGUGAGGAUCACCUAUGAUGUUCUUGGAAGUCAUUUCAUUACAUUCAAAAAAAAAAGGUUUGGACAUUAGGCACAUAUUUUCAAAAAAUUAACAAGAUUGGAACAUUAUCCUUGACACAACGGGAUCAAAAACUUCACUAUGCUCGUAAUCAUCACCCCAAUGUCGGUUCAAAAUACUACAAUCUUAUUAAUUUUCUAUUAAUUUUGAAACUUAUCCAAAAUUUGGAACUCAUCCAUAUUGAAGAACAUAUCUUUUCUUGAAAAAACAUUCAUACGAGGAGAACUAAUCUCAUAAUAUCAUCACACAGAUAAAAAAUAAGUACUUAUGCCAAAAUUUAAUUUGAAAAACGUCGACGCUGCGCAAAACACAUUCCUUUACAUGGCCUUAAUUAUUACAUUACUUUUGCAUAAUUAAAACCUACUACAUCACUACAAGAUGUACAUCAGAAAAAAAUAAUAUUCUACAGGAAUGUUGCACAUGUCGAACCCGUUUUUCUAAAAAUUAAAUUUUGUUGAAAAAAUUACCGAAAUAACAUAAGUACUUAUAUGCUAAUAAAAAAUCAUGCCAUAUAAGCACAAAAAAAAAAAAACCACAUAGGAUAAAUGACACAUGCAUAUUCCAAAAAAAUGGUAUAGGAAAAAAAAAAUAUAUAUCCUAAAAAAAUAUGCGGGAAAUAUCCGCAUAGGAUUGAGUAAACUAUGAUUUAUAAAUUGCGGUUCGGCUCUGGUAGUAGUCCCAAUCGCUAGGGUUUUGAUUUUGCUGGUCUAAGCCCUUCCUCCGCGUCGUCUUCUUCCCCAGCGAGCCUCUACUGCCCACUAGGGUUCCGGCGAUCUCCGUCGCUAACGAGCUCCGACAAUGGCGCGGAACGAGGAGAAGGCGCAGUCGAUGCUGAACCGCUUCAUCGCCAUGAAGCAGGAGGAGAAGCGCAAGCCCAAGGAGCGGCGUCCCUACCUCGCCUCGGAGUGCCGCGACCUCGCGGAGGCCGAUCGUUGGCGAUCCGAGAUCCUCCGCGAGAUCGGCGCGAAGGUCGCGGAAAUCCAGAACGAGGGCCUCGGCGAGCACCGCCUCCGCGACCUCAACGACGAGAUCAACAAGCUCCUCCGUGAGCGCGCCCACUGGGAGCGCCGCAUCGUCGAGCUCGGCGGCCCCAACUACGCCCGCGGCGCCCCCAGGAUGACCGACCUCGAGGGCAACAUCGUCGACGUCCCGAACCCUAGCGGCCGCGGCCCCGGAUACCGCUACUUUGGCGCUGCGAAGAAGCUCCCCGGCGUCCGCGAGCUCUUCGAGAAGCCCCCGGAGGCGAAAAGGCGCCGCACGCGCUACGACAUCUACAAGCGCAUCGACGCGAGCUACUACGGCUACCGCGAUGACGAGGACGGGGUCCUCGAGAGGCUUGAAGCCCCUGCGGAGGCGGAGAUGCGGGAGAAGGCCGUGGCAGAGUGGCGCCGCCUUGAGAGCAUUAGAAGGGAGGCCAUGAAGGCCGUGAAGAGCGGAGAGGUCGCCACUGCGGGGGCUCCAGAGGCAGCAGCAGCGGCAGCAGCAGCAACGGAGGUGCUUUUCGAAGGGGAAGAGGAUGUGGUGGAUGAGGAGAGGAGGUUGGAGAGGGAGAGGGAGGAGAGGGAGCAGAGCAAGGAGAGCGAGUUUGUGGCGCACGUGCCGCUGCCGGACGAGAAGGAGAUCGAGAGGAUGAUUGUGGAGAAGAAGAAGGAGGAGCUGCUGAGCAGGUACACGAGCGACGUGCUCCAGGAGGAGCAGAAAGAGGCCAUGGCCAUGCUCAAUGUCCGGCGGUAGAGUUCGAGUACGAUUUUAUCUCUGAGUUCUUCUUUUUCAUGAAUCUCAUUACCAUAAUUUUUCUUGCUUAUCUCUGUUUUUCCUUUCCUCUGGGAGUCUAUACAUAUAGCAUCACCCUUUUCUUUUAAGUUGAAAGUUGAAACAUAUAUAUAUUUUUCUUUUUAGUUUGAGAAUAUUUAUGCUUGUGAUUUCUUUGCAUUUUUAUGCUUAUUUUAUUUUAUAUGGCUAUUUUGGAAUUUUCUUAUGUAAAACAUCAAUUUAAACUAGUCUUGCUUAGAGCGUUUUAUUUUUAUUAGGAGUACAACCAGUAGUGGAGCGAAUCUGCCCCCAACAUUUUAUAGUCCGCCAGCUACAUAUCGAAAUGAAUAAUAUUAUUUAAGCCAUUGGUACAACUAAAUGUACAUUCUUGAGUAGCGGAAAAUUCCUAAUAACUUUAGAUUCGAUCCAUCUUUAAUAAAAUAUAUAUUUCAUCUCUGUUGGCACUGUAAAACAGUCUAUUUAACUCAUUUUUUCUGUACAUUUUUGCUCAAAAGGGUAGUUUUUAUUGUUUCAAAGUGGCAUAAGGAGAAUUGUUUUAUUCUAAAUGAAGAAAAAUCUCAAACCAAGUAAGCUUUAUAUUCUAAGGUAGCAGCAAACCAAGUGGACACGACCAACCAAUGACUUGUGGUAGGUUUCCUUACUGAAAAGGAUUCCUGUGAGUUCUGACAUUAUCAACUUUCAAUAUACUAUAAAAACUUGAUACUAUGCACUUCUAUGAAGCUUUCUUUGUAAGGGUUUUACUAUAUUCAAGUAAUUAUAUUUGGUAAUCUAGGGAGUUGAAUUAUUGCUUUAAUUAGAUUAAUAUGAUUGCAGAAAAUGGUGUAAAAAAUAGAGUUUAGUUUGAAAAACUGAGCCAAUAUAUCUAAAUGUUGAUUAAAGUCCUAAUUACAGAAGUUUUUGUCUAAUUGCAGUUGAAAGUCCUAAUUAUAGAAGUUGGAUCAGUAGUUAUGCUAUAGUUGGGGGAGAAAACCCCUUUAUGGUGCUCGAUUUACUAAUAGGAUUUUUUCUUUUUCUUGUUUAGUUUAGAAGUUGACCUAAGAAACACAAAUACAAACAAAACACAAAAGUUUUGAAGUCCUCCAGAGUUUUGUUCCUAAACUUCCAGAUAGAUAUAUGCCAUUAAAAGUAAUUGAACAAAUAUCUCAUUGAUAAAUAUUUUCUUACAAUAGUAUACUAUUGAAAAAAGGGAAAGAAAAUUCGUAUACGUGGCAAGUGAAAUUGGGUGAUAGUUUUAUAGAUUGAAGAACAAUAGUGCUGUAGCUUUGUAUGGGUCUCAGCUAAUAGCAAGCUUAACACCAACGACAACAAAAUACAGAAAUGUAUUGAAAUAAUUUUGCAGAUUAGCACUUAGGGGCGCGCCCGAAUAUCCUAAUUAUACAAAACAUAAUUACCUUGCUAAAGGCCUUAUUAUAAGCCUUAUUGACAAUGGAAGAGAUAAUACAUUAAAUGCAGCUUGUUAAAGGCCUAUUAUCUUGCAUCUCCUUUUGUGGUGGAGAGCAUUUGAGAUUGGUAAAAGAAAGGAAUUAAUUUGAUAGUAGAUCUAUUUUUUAACAGUUGGAAGAAAUCAGUAGAAAACAUACUCAUGUUGUUGAAACCUUAGUACUUUUUGUCUCCAUAAGCUCUUAGAGGCAUUAUGACACUGAAGGAGGCUAGUAAUUCACAUGAAAAUAUUAGAUCGAACAAUUAGGGUGCAGUAAGCAAACAUCAAAAAUUGAGCUCAAAUUGUGACACCUCAGGCUAGCGAAUAAUCCCAUAUUGGAUAGGUGAGAGCUUGUUGUGGGGUAUAAGACUUGGUUUUCUAGAGCUAAUAAUCAGGCUUAAGCAGGGCUAGGGAGUCGCAUGUGACCUUCUGGGAAGUGACAACGGUCUCGAAGAGGUUUGCCAGCUGAAAGUGUGAGACGAGGUCUCACAUCACCUGGCAAUCCUAGGUUAUGUGUGUGAUUGAGCCCAACGAGAACGUUAGGGCUUAAAAAGUGGGAGUCUUUGACACCCCAAGCUAGCAAAUAAUCCCACUUCGAACAGCUAGGGGCUUUUGAUGUGGGGUAUAUAAGGCGGGAUAAUUUAGAGCUUAUAAUCGGGCUUAAACAUUUUGGGCUGGUGGAUUUGGGCCCAACAGGUUAUUAGGGCUAGGGUGCUACAGUAAAGCUAGUAGUGAGCUUUGGGAUAGGUGCCCCCGGGACAUGACACAAAUAUUGAGCAAAAAGAUCUCAAGUUGGAAUGCAUAUUGAGAUGGCAUGGAAGAAAUGCAAAUCCUUUUCCAAGGCUUUUUUGCACUACUGAUUAAAGUACUUCAAUUGUUACUUGUUUGAUAUUUCUUAUGCAUAUGUGAAUUUUGCUAAAAUUUUAUUGUCCGAUGCACUUAAAAAAAAAAAAAACAAAAAAUAAUAAGGCUUAGACCAGUCUAUCUAUAAAAUAAUGUGAUAUAAAAGCACAAAAACAACUAAAAGCAAGUAAUAUGUUGUCUAAAGCAUUAAAACUAAAUGCGAUUUCAAAUAAAAGUUAUCCUGCAAAUGGUUACAGAGUAGGCCAUCCGAACUUUGUCAAUUGUUACAUUAAAAUCUCAUCAAAGAAGAGGAAAGAACGAGCAUUUUUAAAGUAAUCAUCAAGGCUAUAGAGCCAAAUCAUAAACUUAACAUUAAGGUCUUCUCUGAUAUCGUGUUUAUUUUUUAUUUUUUAAAUAGAAUUUUAUAUAUAAAAAAGUGUAGGAGUGGACAGUGGAUUGCUUGCAAUCCUCUCAUUGAAACUAUUUCCUUAACAACAAACAACAAAAACGUGAAAAUAACUUUUCUUUGCUUCCAAUGUUUUUUUUUAAACAAGUUGUCUUUACCACUUGACUGGAUGCAUUGACUACAAGAAUUAGUAUUUUUUACGACCAAGUUUUAACGAUAGGAGUCAAAUUUGGUCGUUAAAAAUGGCCAGAUAAGGUUGAGGGGAAUUAACUAGACCUUUAGCGACCAAUAUUAUUUUGGUCGUCUUAUGCGAGGCUUAUCCCGUCGUUAAUGGUGCUGAAUUUUUGUGCAACCCUUACACGCAACCUCUUUCCCAAUUAACAGAGUAAGUUCUUCUCCCUCUUUCUCUCCUUCUCUCUUUCUCUCUCGCACAAAACUCUGUGCCUCUUCACCUUCCUCUUAAUUUCUUCCCUUCUUCCUACCCCACAAGCAAACCCUAACCCACCAGAAGCCACACCCGGGCGGCCCUGUUCGUCAGCGCAUGCGAGCACUCCAUCAGCCUGAAGCGGAUCUUGCACGCAGCAGCCCCUCUCACUAGUUCGUCGACGCGAGCCCUCCGACAGGCUGAAGCACCCGUACGCAGCAGCCCCUCUCACUAGUCCAUUGAUUGAAUUGGAUCAUCUUGAUCGUGGGAUUAAGUUCUAAUUUCUAGGAUUCUUGUAUUGGGAUUAAUGGACAUGCUGAAAUUGAUCUUGAAAUUGAUCUUUUAUCAUGUAAUGCAUCAACAUUUCUUGGUGGUCAUUGUUGGUAAACUACUAAUUUUGCUAAAAUACUUGGAUAUGACUAUUGGGGAGACCCUCUAAUCUUAGUUGAAGAGAAUUUGGAGACAAAAGAGAGUGAUCGGAAGAAAAUCUUGUUUAUAUUUUGGCCUCAGGUGAUAUUCUUGCAUUUCUGGGUUGUAGUCUUAAGGCUUUGUAAAAAUAUACAGUGGGGAGUACUGAGUACACAUUUCCUAGUUCUUCUGCUGCUCUAAUCUUAUAUCAGAUUUGCCUUUUUUAUUGCUUAUUAUUGUGUAAGAUGUUCUUGAUUACAGCUGACAAUUUAGUAAUUCUUUAUGGUUUCACUUUAGAGUGUCUGGCGUGAUUUCACUCAAUGCUUAAAAUCAGUAGCUAAUGAAUGAGAACAUUGCAAUUGGAAAUUAGUUGAAAUUUCUCAAAAUAAUCUGUUUCCUUUUGUGAAAGUGCUUAGGAGAAAAAACUAAAAAGCUGGGUAGAUAAUGAAUAGAUCAUGCAGCAAAAGAACAUGUUCUUUGAUAUUAAUUUUUCAUAAUGAUAUCAAGGUGACCAGGAAAGUUUGUUCUUUUCUCAUUGGGUCGGGCAAGCGGCUGUUUUAUGUCUUAGCAGUAGUUUACUGUUUGUUUUAGUUAUUUUCAGGGCUAGGGUAGGACUUAAGUAGUAUAAUAUCUCUUAAAAGAAACUAAAGUUGAGUCAGCUAAUGUAAUAUCUGAUUGAUAAAAACUUUGAUAGUUUUGCAAGUUAUGCUGCUUAUGCAUAUCUAUACAUAUAUUAAAAGUCCAGUUUUACUGUGGCCUACGUGUCCUCUUCUUGGCGCCCCGCUCCUCUCGCGCCCCUUCGAAGCGUCCCCGCGUUUGGCGGGGGCUUUGGUGGCCCCCACAGCAGGGCGGGCGUCAGCAGCGGUCACGUGUGCUGGAACCCGCAGCGGGCGGGCGGCAGCGGCUGGCGUCGGGCGCGCGGCAGGCGCCUACGUGUAGCCUUCCCAGCGCCCCCCUCCUUUCUGCCGUUACUCCCCGAGCGGGGCCUCCCGGCUCUCUCUCUCUCUCUCUGCGCGUGGGGGGUGCGGGUCGCUCGCAGAUGGCGGGGCCCUUCGCCCCUCCCCCCGUCUCUCUCUCUCUCUCUCUCUCUGCGCGCGGGGGGUGCGGGUCGCCCGCAGCCCUCCUCUCUCCGAUCCGGGCCCCCACCUCCUCCUCUCUCCGAUCCGGGCCCCCCCUGUCGGGUGUUUGUCGGGCCCUACCCUGACCUCCUCCUACGUCCAAUGUGGAGGGUCGCGCUUCUCCCCGCAGCUCCCGCAAACACCGGGCCUUUGUCGCCCUGCUAUGGUAUGCCUCCUUCCACCCCUCUCGAUCCCUGCCGCUGUCGAAACUUCCUCGCCCAAUUCCAUGGCUUGCUCUUUGUCGCCUUUCUUUCUCUCUCUCUCUCUCUCUCUACUGAGAGGAGCAAGGGGAGCUCCAAAAAUUGUCCGUUUUGUUGCGCCCCUCAUAUGUUUGAUGCAAUGCCUACUAGAGUCUUUUCUUUGAUUCUCUCCCCACUAUCAAAUUUUUUUGAUUUUGCUAUGCUUGCUCUUGCAAUCUAUUGCUUAAUUGAAAUUUUAUGCGUUGUAUGAUUCUUAUAUAUUCUUUCGUAUUGCUUACUUUAUCCAAAAAAAAGAGUCAAGAACUUUUAUUUGAAAAAGAAUUUUGAUAAUAGGCGGUGGUGAUGAGGUAAAACAUCACAAUGUAUUCGGAAGUUCGAUUCUUGAUUAUAGGUUUCAUACAUUGAUAAUGAAGUUUCAUAUGGUCUCUAUCUUCUCUUUUAAGUAUUUUUCGAAUUCACAUUAGAAGGUUUGGACGGCGAAGGUUUCAUACAUUGAUGGUGAAGUUUCAUAAGGUCUCUAUCUUCUCUUUUAAGUAUUUUUCGAAUUCAUAUUAGAAGGUUUGGAUGGUGAGGCAGUAUGGAUGGCCACAUGGCAACCACUGCAGCUUUCAAUCCUUUACAAAAGUUUGCUUUGCACUUGAAGAGAAGAGUAGAAACUAUUUUAGUAUGUAAAUUAAUAUUGAAUAUGAGCCUUCUUUUCCACGUUGCCUUCUAAAUAUUUUUUUAAUGUUAUUUUAUAUUCUCUAGAUUUAUUCUAGCUCACCCGACUUUUUCAAAAUAUUUUGGAAUCACUAAUUAUCCAUUUCUUUUUGUCGCUACUCUUUAUGCUUAAUUUGCAAGUAUUCUCCAGAGUGGCCUACAUCUUUUACUUUCUUAUUCAUAUUCUGCGGUUGUGCAUCAUGAGUGCCAUAGUUUUUUUGUUUUUCGUCGGUUUACUGUGUUUGAUUCAUGUUAGGAAUUGUACAAGGUAAAUAAUGCGGGUGUAUAUAAAUACGGUUUUGCACUCAUUUCAUGUUUAGUGGUUACACUCAUGAUUCAAAAGUAUAGUGAGGAGGAAAUUUUGCUCGGGUUUGCAAUAACUAUGACCAAAAUUAGUUGGCAAUGCUUUCUUUGCAUUUCUGUAAUAAUACCUUGAUGUUUCAUUCUAUUUGUUUAUUCUAAGUUUAACUUAACUAAAGGAAAUCUCUCAGUUUUGUGCUUGAUUUGCAAGUAUCCUACAAAAAAAUGCCGCAGUUUGUUUUUAAUAUCAGAAUUUAUACUUGCCAUAUACCCUAUCGCGCAGUUUGUUCUUAAUAUCUGGUCAGUCCUUGGUAGGAUCGGCUCAGCUGAGUUCCCUGCAUUUUUUCCCCCCGAAAGCUUUCUAACAUGUUUGUCAUUACUUCUAAUUUAGUUUCCUUUAUUCCCUUUUUUUCUUCUAUAUAUAUUGCUGCAUUUUGUUUUUUCCUUUGGCUAUUUUCCUAAGAAAGAUAAUUCAAAUAGAUGUUGCACCUUUAGUCAUCAAAGCAUGCAUUGACAACAGACAUGUGAAAGAAGGGAUGUUUGGACUAAUGACCAACCAGCAAUAGAAUGAUAACAAAAUAAGAUUUUUUUUUCCCUAAGAAUUAAACUACCAAUUUCUAUUGGCUUUUAUUACUUAGCAUUCUAUAGAGAAAAGAUCCUCUCUUUGGAGCAUAUUAUGCUUAGAAACUACUUAAUACCUAUCAGAAACUGACAAUCAUGGCUCUCAUUACUCUAUAUAUUUUUUGACCCUACUUUUGUCUUUCUAUAAGAGUGAGGGUCCUAAGCACAGAAUGAUUCAGGACAAAAUGCUGAAACCUCGAAGGAGAAAUCAGGUAUGUGAUUUCCUUGAGAAUUUCUAUUGUCUUCCUAAGGUAUUUUAAUAUGGAAUUUGCAUUUUUUUGAUUUUUCUCUUCUUAUGUCUUUGUUUUUCACACUGAUUUCUUAUAUCUUUGUAGUUUUUUCCCCUCUCUUUUUCCUUUUUCUAGGUGUGGGCUCAAAUAGUUUCAUGGGUGAUGAUGAUAGAGAAUUAAAACAUGAAGCAGGUUUGAUAGCCUUAUGGCAACUCAUGCGCUUAUUGUUGACUGAAAAAUUGGUCAUUGCUAGGGUUGGUCAUUGAUAGGGUAUGUUUGAUUGCCUUGGGACCACUCUUGCGCCUAUUAUUGUCUAAAAAAAGUUCAUCGAGUUUGUGGCAAAAAAAAAGAGAAAGUGCAUUUGAUUUGUUGAAACCAUUUAAGCCCACUGAUUAUCCUUUUUUUUUUGACACUACUUUAAUAAUUUUCUGGCCUAUGAAUGCAGAUAAGGAUUCUAAAUCCUGAAUUUAAGUUACAGAAUUCAAUAUCUAGCUGAAUGGUUUCUGCGGUAUGCAUGUGGGCUUUUAUGCAUUUAGCAUUACUAAUCAAGUAGUUUGAUUCUGAAUUUUUUACUAGAAUUAUAAAUAGUCUACCUUGAUUCUGACUUAACUAAGUGAAUGCUACAUUCGAAGUUGAGAAUUUGGAAUUUAGGAGUGCAUUGAACUAUUUGCUAUCCAUAACAGUUUCAGAUUCAGAGAUCUUUUAAUCGCAACAAGUGUUUUGGUCCAUAUGAUGUUUCUCUGCCCUCAGACCAGUGUAUUUAAUUUCCCUAUGUUCUUCGUGGAAUGCCGAAGUUCCUAGCUAGAUUAUCGAUUACCUAGAUCGUUCUGAGUUCUAGAAUCUGUUACCUUAAAUAGUGAAUAUGAAUUCUAAACAAAGUAUAUUUGUUUUCCUUAUAUUCUGCGUGAAAUUCGAAACUGCAUUGCUCAAUUCUGGAUUCCCAUGCUGUGAUGACCUACUCCUCAAAUACCAAAUGGUUGCGAUAAUUGACAAAGGUCCCUACGUUCUUGGUUAGUGAUGGUGGUAAUUUGGAUGGCAUAUUCUAUAGGCAACCAGCCACUUUUAUUUGUGCUCUGAAUACUUUCGGUAUGCAUGUGGGUUUUUAUGCAGUUGACAUUACUAACCAAGCAGGCUUUGGUUCCAAAGUGAUAAUAUUUGAUAACUAGGAGAGUCUGAGCAAACCAUAUAUCUUUUACGUAUAUUCUUCAUGGAAUCCUGAAUUGUUUACUUGAAUUCUGAAUUGCCUACCUGAACUCUAACUUAUCAACGUGAAUGCUAGAUUCGGAAUUGAGAAAUUAGAAUUUAGAGUUGCGUCAAACUAUUUUCUGUGUAUAAACGUUCCGAAUUCAGAAAUCUGAUUUGAAUCACAAUAAGUCUUUUGAUCCAUAUGAAAGGUUCGAAUUCAAAAUGCUGAAUUCUGGCAGCAAUGUUCCAGAAUUCUAAAUUCUGGAUUCUCAAAGGUUAGAAUUACACCAAAAAAAAAUUGGAAAUCAGAGUUUAGGUUCUUGAAUUUUGAAUUCUGAACUGUGCCUUGCAGAAUUCAGAAUACAAACCUUAAAAGGUUAAAGGUUAAAAUAGUAAAAUACCCAAUUCGCAAUCAGUGUUGGCCAAAAUUUUUUAUUAUUGGUAGUUGCAAGAGCUGCAGGUUAUGCAAAUUUCGUUCCUGCUUCGUCCAUAUGAAAGGUUCGAAUUCAAAAUGUCGAAUUGUGGCAGCAUUACUCUAGAAAAAUUCCAAAUCCGAAUUUAGGUUUUUGUAUUUCGAAUCCUAAACUGUGUGUCUUACAGAAUUCAGCAUUCAAACCUUAAAAGGUUAGAGGUUAAAAGGUUAAAAUACACAAUUCGCAAUCCGUGUUUACCAAAUUUUUUUUUAUUAUUGGUAGUUGCAAGAGCUGCAGAUUUUGCAUGUACUCUAAUGCAAAUUUCGUUUCUGUUUCGGGCUCAAAAUUCAACUACACAAUUCAGAUUCCAGGUAGGGUCGCAUAUUUAAUCUUCAUAUAUCCUUAAUGGACAAUUUCAUUUCCGAGCAUCAAAUUGAGCUUUUUAUAUGUUUUCUGUGAAUUCUUCAGCUGUUUACUAAAAAAAAAUUUCCCUUAUUGAAUUUGUUCUCUUUUUUUUUUUUCCUCUUUAGAUUUUUUUGUGGGAUCUUGAUAAAUUUCAUCGGUAUCAAUUACCUUAUGUUUCGAAUUCCAGGUAGCCGAAUUCUACAGGAAUCGAGCCUAUCUUCUACUGCUUUCCUGGUAUCAGAAUUCUACAGGACUCGAGGCUUACCUCAUGUUUCGAAUUCUAGAUAGCUGAAUUCUACAGAACUUGAGGCUAUUUUCUGCUGCUUUCCAGGAAGCUGACUUCUACAAGCCUGGAGGCUGUCUUCUACUACUAAUUCGAGUGUUGGUUUUUAGCGCAAUUUUUGAUUAUUCGCGGCUCCAAAAGGUGCAGGUUUUAAUUCCAGGUUUUAUUUUCUUGCAUAUGGCUGAUUUACAUGUGUGAGACUUAGAAUACAGGUAAAAAAAAGGUCCAGUUAAAUGCUGGUUUGUUCAUGCUGAUUUUUAACUGGACCUUUUUUUACCUGAACAGUCAAAAUCAGUAUUUUUUAAAUCAACAUAUUUUAGGCCCUCUCUAAAAAAAGGUCCAGUUAAAAUCAUCAUUUAACAAAAUCAGCCUUUGUUAAAAUGCUGAUUUUUUUCUUUACAAUUAGCNUAGCCCUCGCCCGCCUCUUUAGCCGGAUUCGGGCAAGCCGACAGACCGCCGAACGGAUAGGGUUUUCCCUAUACCGCGGACAGAGUCUCUCCUGUACGUCCAAGGCAUCACAAUCCAAACAAUGCGUGAGGUUUCAACAAGGAACAGCAUACAACAUAGAUUGCAUAAGGAAGGUAUCAAAAACAUAAAUACUAUUAUGCUAUUACAAGCAUUCAACUCAAACACAUUACAUUUUCAACUUCUCUUAGUAACUUCCAAAUACAAUCCAAAUUAACAUAAUUAUUACAACAGUGAUUCUUUUCUUUUCUUUGACAUUCCUAAGCAGCUGACUCAGGGUACCACUAUCUCUGGUCUCGGUGGUAGGGCAUUAACUACGGAGCUACGCCCUUUCCUCGCGCCACCGUGCUGCUUACGUGUGAACCUGUACCCCCAAAAACAACACGGGGGUGAGAGCUAUUGUCCAUAGUUCCCAGUGGGUACGGCCACCCAAAGGAAAAGCUCGACCCAUCAAGUUCAAAGGAGGCACUGCAAACAUGUUAGUCCGACAAAUAUCCACAGAUAUAUAUAAUUAUGCAACUAACAACUAUCAUGUUUAUGCCUCUCAAUAUGCAACAUGCAAAUUAUGCAACUAUCCAAAUAGAUUAAUUAAUUCUACUCUUUAUGCUUAGCUAUUCUGUCAUGCCCCGGGGUCUCUUUAGGUUAAAAACACAGCGGGAUUUUUUUUUUUUUUUUUUUGAAAACCUAACCCCAGGGAAUGCCAGAUCUGCCACAAAUACAGGAAAUCCACUGUUCACGCGGACAGAAUCUCCCCUGUAUUUGCACGGCGUCGCACAAGUACAAGAAGUAACCCAGGUACAACCACAACCAAAUGAAUAUAGAAAUGACUAUGCAAUCAUUCAUUCACCAUUCACAUCACAGUUAUACAUUCAAUAUUUAAACAUAAAUCCACAGAAAAUCCUUUUGAAAACAUAAAUCCACCAUAUAAACUAGCUAAGCUAUAUCAACAGGAUAGUAGGGGUAGAAGCUAAACCGAAUAACCUGGGUCGAAAGCUCUAUUGACCGCUACGUACGUAUCUCACGUCCCGUCUCAACCCUCACCGCCCGCGAUACCUGAAAAAUAGUGGGGGAGGUGAGAAUAUGUAAACAUGUCUCCCUUCCCAGUAGGUACCGCAUGUCGAUGAAGGCGAUGAGUACUCACCGGAUCAGGAAGAGCUAAACAACAGUACGGGUCAGUAGAAAAUACAAUAGCAAUAAUAAUGAAUGAAAGAGACAUGUGUAUGAAAGAAAGUACAACUACCGCUACUGUAAUGAACAACUGAGUGUAUAUGAAAGAAAGUACAACUACCGCUACUGUAAUGAACAACUGAGUGUAUACAUGUAACAAGACUAUAGUAGCAAGACAAUGUAACAAAAGAACUACAAGUAUGUAUGCAUCAACCACUACUAUAGCUAUAUGCAACAACCAGACAAGUAGUCCAACAGUACCCAAUCUACACCGCCGUGUCGGUCUAAGGACCUUAGGCAAAAGCCACUACCUGCUCGCACUUGGCAUGUAACCCUAACACAAAGAGAACACCGCUGGGCUCACGGGUCGGAUGUACGACCACUUUUCCGGAAAAGAACACCCUCCGCGGUGGAUCAGACCACCGGUGUACGUGAAAUGCACUCGAGCUGUGGCGAUCAAUGCAGAUAUGAUCAAUAGCCAAACGUCGGCAACCAGCCGACAAUCACCGCCCCUCGGGGCAAACCGACCAAUAGGUCAUCAAACUAUAUAGAAGCACAAGAACCGACUACUCAGGUCAACUAAGAGGGAACAACUCAACAUCCUACCAAAGGUAUACAAGCACUGACUACUAAAGUCAACUAACACAUAUGCACGACGAACUGACGAAUAGGUCACCAGAGUAUAUCAAUAGAAUCCCGAAUUACCGUCGGCCACUAGCCGACAAUCCAACCCCUCAGGGUACACCGACCUCAUAGGUCAUCAAACGACAGGACUCACGAAGCUGACUGACUAGGUCACAAAUAUGCCAAAUAGUGGAACUGUGUAAACUAUAAUCAUCCGUCGGUGCUAACCGACAAUCCCACCCCUUAGGGUAUACCGACCUCAAGGGUCAUCGAACGAUGUACGAGAACCGACCAAUCAGGUCACCGAAACGAAGUACGAGAACCGACCAACCAGGUCAACAGAUACGGAAUGCAACAACCAACCAACUAGGUCAACAGAUACGCAUGUAGAUAGAACUACUCUACUCCUACUCAGGAUACUAAGCAUGCAAACAACGAGUAGAGUAUAACGAAUAAACAAGGGUGCAAGGCUCAAUAUACUAUGCGAUAGUAACAACAGAAGAGUAAGGGUAAGAAACCAUCACCAAGCAUGCACCACUGUACCGACGUCGGAUCGAAGUACCCACCUGUAAGGAUGUCGCGUCUGUCUCCUGACUGCAAAAAAAUGUCGACAGGACCUAUAAAGGGUCCACCGGGUUAGUAUCUAACCCACAACUAAUAACCACAGUAUCCACAACCCCACAAAUAAUUUCACGAAGAUCGGUUUCCCAAUACCGAUUACCGUAACUCGCCGGAAGUCCCGAAAACCACACCGGGACGCCGUCGGGACCCACUAAGUGUCCCGAAACUCACCGACUCGUGCCACGAGUCACCUGCUGCACCAGAACACUCUGAUUUGAAUGUUUUGGCAGCAACACAAGAUAACAAUACUACACAAUUAUCAUCGGAUAAUUGUACGAAUCUGGGUUCCCGGAAGUGUCUAUUUCGACACCGGAACCCACCGUCGCUCACCCAUCAUCACCGAACCUACAAAAUGAUGAUGGUAACUAGCCAACAAGGCCCAGCGACCACACACAAGACAACGAAACCACGUCGGAAGAAAUCUGAACCGAAACCGCGUUCUUUCGGCGAAUUUCGCCGAAAAACGCACUGAAAUCGACUCUUCGAUUUCCACAAAAGCUAACGGAUCAUGGACAAUCAGUCCAGAGGUCAAACACACUCAUACACACUGUCCACAGUGGCCCUAGGGUGCACAAUUGCACAAAAGUCCCUCUAAUUACAUAAAACCUAUCAUUUUAUGUAAUUUGAGCGAUCAAGUGGCUCGUUCACGCAAACCGAGGACUUUCAAAGUCCGCAGAGACACGUACUGACAGGUCUCGACGUACCGGAGGCCGUGCUCACGAUCCGGAGCACAACGGCUCGCUGUGGGAAGUGCGGGAGCAACCUGAAGGUUCAGCGAACAGCACGCAGCCACGGAAAAACGCACCAAACAGGGCUAACCAGACACUGCUGAUCCAUGGUAAGGUGAGCACUGUGAUCAGCACUGACCAGCGAUCACCGUGCUCACCUCCAGAGGCAUCGGAAUAGCCUCGGAUCACCGAAAAUGCACGCACAAACACAGCACAACAGCCAAAAAGGCUCCACAGGGUCGACACUGCAAAAACAGCGGCACGGGGCCUUCCCGACAGAAACCAAGGUGAGCACGAUGACCAGCAACUUGCCAAGAUCAUCGUGCUCCCUUCCGUAGAGGUCGGGGAGGCUCGGGAAGGUCGGAACAGUAAACAACCCACAAACAGCCCUAUUUCAGGCUUGGCCGGAGCAAGCUUGCUCCGGCCGGCUUCCGGCGGCACGGCGGCGCGCGCGGUGGCUAGGAUUGGGUGCGGGGAGGGAAGGAACAAGGUGCUCACCUCAGGUGGCGACGAGGAGCGGCGGCGGCGACGGCGGAACCAACCCAGCCCGCACCAGGUUCGGCUCGGGUCCAGGGUGGCAUGAAGCUCUCGGCGACGGCCGGGGCACCUCGGGCCGACGGCGAGGGGUCGCCCGAGGUCGGAGGAUGAGGAGGGAGGCAGCCGGCGCGGGGGUGGAGCUACCAGGUCUGCUCGGCCGAGCAGACCUAGGGCGGCUGCAGGAUGGCCGCAGCGGUGGCAGCGGCCCGCAGGGGCAGCGGCAGUCGGCGAGGAGGGAUGCCGGGGCUCCGGGGAAGACGGCGGGAGCCGUCUCAGGCGGCGGCGGCGCACGGGCUGCUGCUGGAACUUGGCUCGGCCGAGCCUUGUCCCAGGCGGCGGCAAUCGGCCUGGGCGGCAGCGGCGGCGCUAGGCGACGACGGCGGUCGGCGGGGAUGCUCGCCGGAGCACGGGGCGACACCGGCGGAGGGUCUGGAGGUGGCGGCAGUCUCGGGCUUCCUCACAACCCGAGAAAAGAAAGAGAGAGAGAGAGAGAGAGAGAGAGAGAGAGAAAAGAAGGUGGCUCCGGCGGCGGCUGGCCGGCCGGGGCUCAGUCGGCGGCGGCCAGGGGCGUGCGCAGCAGGUGCAGGGAAGAGGGAUGGAGGUAGCAAGGAGCGGCUAGGGCAGCAGGGUUAGGGUUUCCACGGUGAAACCCUAGAACAAGCUUAAAUACCAAGUGCAAUUUGCAAAAAGGUCCACCAAAUCUGAGUAUUUACUACUAAGUCCCUCACAGCGCGUGUAAAACGCGCGAACACCCCUCCACGUGCGAUCUCACGCGAAACGGUACAUAAAAUAUCGCGACUUUUGCGAAAUUACCGUUUUGCCAUUACCGACCAUUCCUCGAUCAACGCGCAAUCUCCGCAGAUCCGUCCGUCAGUUUGUGAACGGAUCGCACCAGUGCGAUCAGCACGACGGAGACAACAAAGCUACCAUUUUGGUUCAUCUCGAUCGGUCGCGGAUUCGCGACGAGAACCGCUCCAACUCUCCAAUAGAGGAAACUACGCACAAAUACAUAUAAAACAUGUAUUUUUGGAUUUUCUCGAAAUCUGUGCGUCAAACUCAAAAUCCGUCAGCGCCAAUAGUUCCAGAAUAGCUGAACCGGUCGAAACGAGCUAUUGGACUGCUAUGAACGGAGUCCGAUACGAGCCUGAAGCCAACUUCACAACAUGGCUUCACCGGAAAAACCAAGUUACUAUUCACUUAAGUGAAAAAUAAAGAUCGCGUAACUCCUCCGUUCUAACUCGUUUUCUCCUGUAACUUGACGAGUGCUUAUGUAAUUAAAUUACACACAUAAACAUCAUCAAUAGAGAGUUUAGUUGCACUGUCAAAAUCUCAGUCCUUACAUAUUCAUUAUUGCUAAUCAUUCUUUUCGUUAUUAGUUAUCCAUUAGCAUUUGCUAUUCUUUAACAUUAGAUGUUCUUUAUUCUUUAAUCUUUAUUCUUUAUUCUUUACUAAGGUAGCGUUUGGUUCGGGAACAACGGGGGGAAUAAGCCCUUGUUCCCCUCUUUGUUCCCAAAUGGUAUGUUUGGUUCCCGAGAACAGUAGUUCCCGGGUUUCUGGAACAAGCUGGUAUAAGGCUGGAACUGUUGUUCCACCCGUUUUCUGGAACUAGCUUGUUCCUUGAUGAGAACAAGGUUAAUUAAAAUCUAAAUUUAAUUUUAAUGGUAGUAAAUUAUUAAUUAAUCUAAUUAAUAUAUUUAAAUUAUUAUUUAUUGCUUUAAUAAUUAAAUAAUUAAUUAAUUAAUUAUUAAUAAUUAGAUAAUUAUUAUAUUAUUAUCAAUUUAUUAUUUAUAAUUAUUUAUUAAUAAUUAAUAAUUAUUAUUAUUAUUUAUUAAUAAUUAUUAUUCUUAAUGAUAAUCAAUAUUAUUAUUAAUUUAUUAUCUAUAAUUAAUUAUUAAUAAUUAAUAAUUAUUAUUAUUAUUUAUUAAUUAAUUUGAUUGAUUCUUAAUGAUAAUCAUAUUAUUAUUGAAUGUAUUAUCUAUAAUUAAUUAUAGGUAUAUUAAUAAUUAUUAUUCUUAAUAAUUAGAUAAUCGAUAUUAUUAUUAAUUUAUUAUUUAUAAUUAAUUAUUAAUAAUUAUUAUUAUUUAUUAAUAAAUAUUAAUAUUAAUUAUUAUUAAUAAUUAGAUAAUCAAUAUUAUUAUUAAUUUAUUAUUUAUAAUUAAUUAAUAAGAAUAAUUAAUAAUUAUUAUUAUUUAUAAUUAAUUAUUAAUAAUUAAUUUAAUAUUUAUUUUUAAAUAAUAAUUUGACAUUAAUUAAUUACAUAAUAAUUUUAAUUUUAAAUUAUAACUCUUAUUCCUCUUGUUCCAAUCUAACCAUCCAAACACUAUUUACCUUAUUCCUAGGAACAACCCAAUUUUCAUCCAAACGUAAAAUUGGUGUAGUUCCUGCUUAUAUCUGAACUUGUAUCUAUCCCUGGAAUUGGCAGUUCUUACUUAUACCCAAACCAAACGCAGCCUAAGGGUACUGUAACAUACCGAACUUCUAUAGUUAUAAAGUUAUAGUGUAUGUUAGCUUGGAAAGCCGUUAGAAUGGUUACGGUGAAGUUCAGGAGCAUUCAGGUGCUUCAGUGCGCGUAGGGCGCGAAAAUGGAGCCCGAAAGGCUAUGUUGGACCAUGGACUAAAUCCAACAAAGGCAUGGAUGAAAAAAUGGUUUAAAUACGCUCGAAAAUAUGUUUUGAGAGUCUCGGUUCCAUUUGAAAUGAAUCGGGGGCUUAAUGAGCGAAAACGAGCGAAAACGGACCAAAAAGCUGAAAAUGCUGAAAAUUUGGAAGUCUGGAAGGUGCAGAAUUUUUGGACCUACGGGGUCCGGUCCCUCAAGCCAAGGACCGGUCCCCGAGACCCGAAAAUGCCCAGAAUGAUUUGAGGCAAUGUGUUAAACAUAGAGGGGUGUGAGGGGUUAUGUGCAAAUGUGUGUACAUGAGUGUAUAGGUGUGAGGGGUGAGGUUUAGCCCUCAUUUCUCUCCCUCCAACCCAACAUGAAACCCUNAUAGAGGGGUGUGAGGGGUUAUGUGCAAAUGUGUGUACAUGAGUGUAUAGGUGUGAGGGGUGAGGUUUAGCCCUCAUUUCUCUCCCUCCAACCCAACAUGAAACCCUUCUUCUCUCUCUAAAUUUCUCUCUCUCUCUCUGUUUGAGGUGCUCCAAUGGUGGAGUUUUGGUGGAGAAGAGAUAGCUUGGUGGAGAUGAAGCCCUCUCAUGGCAACCUUGCUUGGAGGAAAGCUUCAAGUUUAAGAUAAGUACCUUAGGUUUUGAGGGUUUUAUGGUUUUAAUGUUAGAGUUUAGUUAAUCUUUUCUAAUUAUUGUAUUUAGAAGAUGCUAUGGUGGAUUUAGACAUGUAUUUCUAUGUUCUAAGUGGUUAGUUCAUAAAGAUGAAAACCCUAGGGGUUAAAUUUGGAAAUUUUGUAAAGUUGAGAUCUAACUUGAGUUUGAUCUCUUGUUAACCUAAUUGGUAGGUCAACGAACGCGUUGGUGCGCUCCGUUUGGCGAUACGACGAGCAUACGCGAAGAUAUUGAAGAAAGAAGCCGAAUUAGUAUAGAUUGCCGCGGCUCGCGGCGUAGGUGUCUAAAAAUCGUGAAAAUUGAAUCGGGACUUCUUGGCAUUCCUACAAGGUGGGGGGUGCUAUCCGAAAUCUCUGAAUUUUCUUCUAUGUCUGUGUUGCCUUUAUUUAAGCAUAUUGGUAUUGUAACAUUCAUGCAUAUAGGGUAGUUUGACAUGUGAUUGUUGAUUGAGGUUCCUUCAUAUGCUUCUAGGUAGAGAACAUAUAAGUUGACAUUGAACCAUGUGUACCAUGCAUGAAAGAACCCUAUAUGUGUGUGAAUGUAUGAAAGAGACUAUGACAAUAGUAAACAAAGGUGAUAUUGACAUUAGUGGCAUGAUUGGCACCGAGGACAUGUUAUGCUAGAUGAGGUAAAACCUUAAAAGCAUUGUUGAAUGUUAGAUUAUAAUGUUGAUAAACAUUAUAUGCAUUGUGACAUGUUCACUAUCCCAUUAAUGGACAUUAUGGCAAGUGUGGCCCUAGAUAAUGUGAUCUUGUGACAUUAUGAAUUGACGUGCUAAGUAGGGUAAGCCCUUAUGAGCAAUAUGAGAACAAUGGCAAUAGUGGCUAAGUGUACGAUAUGCUAGACGAGGUAAAGACUGUAGCACACUGGACCCUUGCAAAUUGCGAGGUUCGAGUGUUCGAGCUGUGUUCCGAGCCCUUCCAGACUUUCUGGUGGGUUGUUGACAGUGUUCUGACCUAUGGCUCGUAUCCCGAGAAUUGUGGUUUAAAGCUGUGUACCAAAAUUCGAAAAAUCGGAUUUUUGGCCAGCUCUCAGGUAGCUUUCUGGGGUCUUGUACCGGUACAAGGUUGGUGGUUGUACCGGUACAAGGUUUAUGGUUGUACCGGUACAGCCACCGGGCUUGUACCAGUACAGAGCCGAUGAACCCCCCCCAGCCCGAGCCUCGGGUUGAAGUCUUUCGUAGGGCUUGUACCGGUAUAGGGGCCCGUGUACCGGUACAAGGGGGCAUUUUUCGUGCAGUCUGGACUGCAGGAGUGUUUUUGCUUUUGUAGCCUCCUUAUAUCAACACCCACGCCCCUUAGGGCCUUCCCUGAGCUGAGAACACAGGGAGACAAGGUAAGAGGAGCCCCACCUUGCCCCUCUUUGGUUUUGUUAUGAUUUUGUUGGGUUUUAAAAAGAUUAAACUUCUCUUUUUGCUUGUUGGAGGCACUUCCACCAUUGUUGAGGCUUGGAGCUUGGGUUUGGAGCUUGGUGGAGGGAAGAUCCUAGAAGUUUGAGGACUUUGUGCUUAGAUUGAAGCUUCUAAGAGGUAAGUGGCAAGAUCCUUUUCUCUAGUUUUGGAUUUUGGAGUUUUCUUUGAGAUGAAACCCUAGAUUGGAAACUUAGGGUUUGUCACGCCCCGGGGCCGAGCGGAAGCCCGCCCGGCACGUGCCCAGACCCACCAUACGUUUAAAACAUAUAAGACGUCUAAAAACAACAAUAAUAAAAGCAAUAAUAAAAGACAUCUAGGAGUAUCAGAGCAUAAUAAAUGUCUAAAUGCUACAACAAGGGAUAAGGAUAAAACUGUAAAUCCACUAAAUAAAACAUAAAGUGAUACAAAAAAAUCCCAGAUACAAGUGCUAUAGGUAGAUACAUAGGUGGUCUCUAUACAUGGAUACAAAAACCUCUCACUCUCUAAACUACAAAAGAAAGAGUAAACCACCUAGGCAAAGUACCGCUCCUCGCUAGCUAGCUAAGCGAUCCCCUUGCCUGCGAUCCCGUGCCUCGCCGGUGCCGAAGGCUCUGAAAGUAAAAUCCAUAAAAUGGAAGGAGUGAGAACUAUUAAAAUAGUUCCCAGUGGCAAUUACUGACUUUUGAAUGCACCACAAAGGCCCAAAGCUACAAAAGAUGUCAGUAGAUAUAAAUGUAAAAAAGCGAAAGGUAAGUAAAAAUGUAACUUACUACAGCAUGAUAUCUCUACUUAGCAUAAAUGGCAUAAGUAAUGAAGCAACUAUGCAUGAAGUAAAGUCUCCAACUAUCAUAAAUUUCACAAUGCGAAAUAGUAAAGUUCCGUUGUUUACUAUUCUAGUCAAUUCCAAGUAGUACACUAAGUCAUCAUCUGUCCACACGAUUCAUAUGAAUACUCAAAAGUCAACUUUGAAGAGACCCACCCGAAGGCUGUCUAUGGCCCUGAGACCCACCCGUAGGCUGUCUGCCGGUGCCGAGCCUAAUGCCCCGUGGUAGUCAUCAUCCCACCUAGGAAUGAGCCUGUCCCACGGCAAUCCACUUCGGCGCCCAGCAUCUGCACGCGCGAAUAUGAAUCGCGAUGGCUAUCUCGGAGUGCCGGCUUGUAGGAGCGACCCUACAAGCAUGUGCGAUUGAGCACAAUGGCAAGUAGGCAAACGAUCAUGUCGCAAGUACCAAAGUCCUCAUGUUAAUAAUAUGAAUGUGUCAAGUAUCUCAACGGCCUAUCCCUAUGUCAUCAAUGUCUCUAACAUGAAUGUAGGCGAUAAUAGUGGCUAUCAAUAUGUCUCUAUGUUGCAGUUUCAUAAUUUACUAGUUUCAAGUGCCCCUUGAUGACACUCUUAUUCUCUAUGUAGAGCAUGGCAACUAUAUUCCAAGUACAUAUUUCAAAGUCAUAAUCCUCAUAAGUGAUGUAUUUUUCACUUGCAAAUAACACUUUUUCCAUAUGCAUGUAUUCUACUCAUAAGCUCUACUAUAUAGUGAAUUUUCAAAAAUACACAAGACAUGCAUUUUAAGUGCUCUAAAAUUCAUAUAAAUUCCAUUUAGCAUAGAAAUGAAUUUAAAAAUAUUUUACCAACAAGUAGAAAGAGAUAGGGGCCAUUUCGCCCCAUUUCCACGAAGCCAAACCCACCAAUUUUCGAAACUCUUCGUUUUGCCGAACGAAAGUGUCCACUAGCCUCCUAGUACCCUAAGGAUGUAGGAACAAGUGUUACCCAAACAAAACGAAUAACGGAUUGCUCAAUCAUUAACCAUUUUAUGGCUAAGGUUGAAAAAACUCACCGAUUGCGAAGGAAGCUCUCUCAAACCCAAAUGGAGCUAGAGUCCUUCCAAUCAACCUAAACAAAGGUUCUAAAUCCAUCAAUUUGGUUCCAAAGCCUCAAAAUCAAAAAUUUCCAAAUCUAGCCCUAGAAUUCAAAAUCUAGGGUUUCCAAAGAGGAAAACUACCAAAACAUGCUCUAAAGGAGAGAUCAUGAGUACUCACCUCACAAGACGUCCCAAACCAAGCUCCAAGCCAAGUGGAGUUGAAGAUCUCCUCUCAAAUAAGCUCCUCUCCCAGCUCCAAGCCUUCAACAAUGGUGGAAACCCAACAAAAAGCAAGGUGGAGAAGAGAGAAGAGAUCAAAACCAACCAAAAUCCAUAAAAAAAGAGAAGAAAUCAAAUGGGAGAAGUUCUCACCUUAUCUCCUUAGUUCUAGGGCUCAAAAGAGCAGCCAUGGGGGCUGGGGUGACUUAUAUAGGCGUUGCAACAAUUAUAAAAACACCCCCCAACAAAACAGCCAAAAUUUGUACUGCGUACCGGUACACGGGUUUGUGUACCGGUACAUAACCCACGAAAUGGCCAAACCCGAGCCUCGGGUUUGCCUCAAAAUCGUCUGUGUACCGGUACGCGGUCCCGUACCAGUACAGCCAUCAACCCCGUACCGGUACAGCCACUAAGCCCGUACCGGUACACAGCUUGCUGAAGGCUACCCGAGAGCUAACCAAAAAUUCAACUUUUUGGAUUUUGGUACACCGCUUUGAACCACAAUUCUCGGGACUCGAACCAUAGGUCGGAACACUGCCAACGACCCACCAGAAAGUCUGGAAAAGCUCGGAACACAAUUAAUCACUCGAACCCCACAAUUUGCGAGGUCCAAUGCGUUACAUUCACCCCUCCUAAAAAGGAGUUUCGUCUGCGAAACUCAAAAGCACAAGCAUACCUCAAGGCUCCUUCAGAAAAAGAUGGGGAUAGCGCUCCUGCAAAGCGCUCUCCAGCUCCCACGUGGCCUCCCGCUCCCCGUGGUUGCUCCAAAGGACCUUCACAUACGGAAUAUCCCAAUUCCGCAGCUUCUUCACCUCGCGAGCCAAAAUCUUCACUGGUUGCUCCUCGAAGCUCAAAUCCUCGCGGAGCUCCACUGGUACAGCUUCCAAAACAUGAGCUGGAUCAUGAAUGUACCUCCGAAGGACCGAUACAUGAAAGACGUUGUGCACGCCCGAUAGGUUCGGCGGUAGAGCAAGUUGAUGCGCUACCAGACCUACACGCUCCAAGAUCUCAUACGGUCCAAUAAACCUGGGGCUCAGCUUUCCCCGAAUCCCGAAUCUCUUGAUUCCUCUAGUCGGCGAGACCUUCAAGAACACAUGGUCUCCAACUUGGAACUCCAAGUCUCGCCGUCGUCGAUCGGCGUAGCUCCUCUGUCUACUCUGCGCCGUCAAAAGUCGCUCCCGAGCAAUUCGAACCUUGUCCUCAGCUUCCUGGAGCACAUCAGGGCCUAAAGCCAAACUCUCGCCGACUUCACUCCAAUGAAGUGGCGAUCUACACUUCCGUCCAUAAAGUGCUUCGAAGGGCGCCAUCUUGAUGCUUGCUUGAUAACUGUUGUUAUAAGCAAACUCCGCCAUAGGUAGAUGCUGCGACCAUCCUCCCUGGAAGUCUAUCACACAAGCCCGGAGCAUAUCCUCUAAAGUCUGAAUAGUGCGCUCCGACUGUCCAUCACUCUGCGGGUGGAAUGCUGUACUGAAAUCCAAUCGGGUGCCUAAGGCGUCCUGUAGACUCCUCCAAAAGUGAGACACGAAGCGCGUGUCGCGAUCAGAUACAAUCGAUGUAGGCACUCCAUGAAGUCGCACAAUCUCAUCAAGGUACACUUGUGCGAGCUUCUCUCCGGUCCAAGUCGUAUGAAUAGGUAUGAAGUGCGCCGACUUCGUCAACCUAUCCACGAUCACCCAAAUAGCGUCAUGCCCCGCCUGUGAGCGUGGCAAUCCUGUCACAAAGUCCAUGGUGAUCUUCUCCCACUUCCACACGGGAAUAGGCAAACUCUGAAGUUUUCCCGCGGGAACUCGGUGCUCAGCCUUUACUUGUUGGCAAGUUAGACAACGAGCUACAAACUCGCCAACGUCCUUUUUCAUCCCGGGCCACCAAUAGAGCAACUUUAGAUCCUUGUACAUCUUGGUGCCUCCCGGAUGUAUAGCAUACGGCGCUCGGUGCGCUUCUUGAAGAAUAUCUUCUUUAAUCCCCGAAUCCGCGGGUAUACAAAUCCGCCCACGGAAACGCAUCAAUCCCUGAUCGUCCAAAAGGAAGUCGCCGGUGCAACCAUCAACCAUUUUACCUCGAAUCUUUUGCAACUCCACAUCGGAAGCUUGCUUUUCUUUAAUUCUAUCCAAAAGAGUAGGUUGCACUACCAAAGUCAUCAAUCUCAAGGGUGUGUCAGGAGUCACCACCUCCAACUCCAACCGCUUCAUCUGCUCGAUCAACUGCGGUUGAGUCACAACAUGCAUCGCUAAGUUUUCCAUCGAUUUCCUACUUAGCGCAUCCGCCACCACGUUAGCCUUGCCCGGGUGGUAAAGAAUCGUCAGAUCAUAAUCCUUGAGCAGCUCCAACCAUCUGCGCUGUCUCAGGUUCAACUCCUUCUGAGUAAACAGGUACUUUAAGCUCUUGUGAUCCGUGUAUACUUCACACCGUUCGCCAUAAAGAUAGUGGCGCCAUAGCUUCAAUGCGAACACUACGGCCGCCAACUCCAAAUCAUGCGUCGGGUAGUUCUUCUCAUAUUCCUUUAGUUGGCGAGAAGCAUACGCGAUCACCUUGCCAUCCUGCAUCAAUACACAGCCCAAUCCAUUAAGUGAAGCAUCACUAUAAACCACAUACCCUGCUCCAGCUACUGGUAGGGUCAAGAUCGGGGCGGUCGUCAAUCUCUGCUUCAACUCUUGGAAGCUUCGCUCGCACGCGUCAUUCCAAAUGAACUUGACUCCUUUGUGCGUGAGCCUCGUGAGGGGAGUAGACAGUUUAGCAAACCCCUCUACAAAUCUCCGGUAGUAACCGGCCAAUCCAAGGAAGCUCCGUAUCUCCGUGACGCUCGUCGGUCUCGGCCAAUCCUUGAUUGCUUCAAUCUUCUUGGGAUCCACGGCUAUACCCGAUCCCGAAAUCAAGUGUCCAAGGAAAGCUACCUCUCGAAGCCAAAAUUCACAUUUCUUCAACUUGGCAUAAAGCUCCUUUUCCCGAAGUACUUGGAGUACAAUCCUCAAAUGCUCCUCGUGAUCUGCAUCACUUCAAGAGUAGACCAAAAUGUCGUUGAUGAACACCACGAUGAACCUGUCUAGAUAAGGCUUGAAAACACGGUUCAUUAGAUCCAUAAAAGCUGCCGGGGCAUUAGUAAGCCCGAACGGCAUAACUGUGAACUCGUAAUGUCCAUACCGUGUUCUAAAAGCCGUCUUCGAUACAUCAUCGGGUUUGAUCUUUAAUUGGUGGUAUCCCGACUGUAAGUCUAUCUUGGAAUACACACACGAUCCCUGAAGCUGAUCAAACAAGUUGUCGAUCCUCGGCAACGGAUACUUGUUCUUGAUCGUGACCUUAUUGAGUUCACGAUAAUCCACACAAAGGCGAAGUGAUCCGUCCUUCUUCUUGACGAACAAAACUGGUGCUCCCCAAGGUGAAACGCUUGGGCGAAUAAAGCCCUUGUCCAACAAAUCCUGCAGCUGUGCCCUCAGCUCCCUCAGCUCCGCCGGUGCCAUCCUAUAGGGUGCCUGGAGAGUGGGGUAGUCCUAGGGACGAGAUCUACCACAAACUCAAUCUCCCUAUGAGGAGGCAUACCCGGUAGCUCAGCUGGAAACACAUCCUCGAACUCUCGCACGACUGGGAUAUCCUCGAUCCUAGGGGUAUCACCCUCGCCCCUUAACACCACACUAGCCAAAUAGGCUACGCAACCUCUGCUACGAGUUGAUCGUCAUCGCAAACAACGAACUCCGGCAUCCACAAAAUACCACCUCGGUCUGUCCCGGUUCUCUAAAAGUAACCGUGCGAUUCUUACAAUCAAUCGUGGCAUAAUACUUGGUCAACCAAUCCAUGCCCAAGACCACGUCAAAAUCCCCCAGCUUGCGCAAAGCUAGUAAAUCUACAGGCAUAAUCCAAUUUCCUACCCGAACAGGGCAACUGGGGCUAUACUCUCUAAUAUCCAAAACGUGGUCGGGUACAACAACAUGUCCCGUAUGCAACAAAGAAACCAAAGGGAUGCCAUGCAACUCGGCAAACAGCCGAUCUAUGAAUGAAUGCGAUGCACCGGUAUCAAAUAAAGCACGAACUCUAAUGCCAUCAAGUAAAAUGAUACCUGCAACCACAUCCUCGGCUGCUGCCGCCUCCUCGGUCUGAGCGGCGUACAUGCGCCCACUCGGGGCCUGUCGAGAUCCCUCGCUCUGGCGCUGGACGGGUGGCCGCCCAGGCUGGUACUGUGUCGACGGAGUCCCGUGGCUGACGGCUGGUAGAGCCGGUGCCGAUGCAGUCGACGGUGCCGGUGAAGAACCUCUCGGGCACUCGGUACGCACGUGGCCCUCCUGGCCACACUGGAAACACCUGCCCGCCCGCUGUGGACACUGCGGUGGGUAAUGGGGACCACCGCAGAUCACACACGGGGAAGGCCGGCGCCGAUCGGAUCCUCCUCGAUGCGCUGCUGAGCCGCGUCCACGCUGCUGGCUCCUCGGAUGCUUCGGCGGCCUCCUAGAGUGCGUCUGGCUCGCACCCUCAGCCGCAGGCCUCUUGGCCUUACCCUUGUCCCUAGCCUCUCGCUGCUCCUGGACCUCUGCCGCGCCGCUCUCCACGAUGAGCGCGCGAUCCACCACCUCCCGGUAGGUUUGGAGGUUAGAGGAUUGCACAAACCGGAAGAUCGACGGUCGCAACCCUCGCUCGAAGAUGCGGGCCUUGUCCUCGUCAUCCCGCACGACGAAGGGCACGCAAUGCAGAAGCCGAGAAAACUCCCUCUCGUACUCGGCUACAGUCCUGUCACCCUGGCGCAAGCUGCGCAAAUCCUGCUUCAUCUUCCUCUUGACGCUGGUCGGGAAGUAGUGCGCCAAAAGAAGCUCCUUGAACCUCGUCCAAGUGAUAGCUGCCAAAUCUGUGCGGGGGUUCUCCUGGAGAUCCAACCACCAGCGGUAGGCCUCGCCGUCCAAAUGGUGAGUGGCGAGCCAAACUCUGUCCCUCUCCUCCACGAAGGUGUCGCGGAAGAGCUUCUCCAUAUGCAUCAACCAUUUCUCCAUGAUCCAGUGGUCGACCUUCUCGCCAUCGAAGACUCGGGGACUGCACCUCCCGAACUCAUUGAGGCGCUCCAUCAGUCUGUCUCGCUCCGCCCCGUCAACCAAAGUAGGAAAUGCUGCUCCAACCAGGGGCCUCUGCACAGGUGGUGCCACCAAAACCUUCUCCUGGGGUGCGGCCGCAGGCGCCGCACGCGAAAAACUGGGCGCGGGGGACGGCACUCUCGGUGCAACAUCCACAACUCGUGCUAGCGGUGUAGGGGCCUGAGUCUCCCUGGAAGCUGCCGCCUGCUGCAAUAGUAGAUCCUCCAGACGCUUCAUCCGCGCCUCCUGUCGGCGCGCCGCCUCAGUUUGCUGUCGGGCCGCCUCUGCCUGCUGAGUGUGUGACGCCCCGACUUCCCAGGGGGUCACCCAUCCUAGGACUACUCCCGUCCUAGCACGCUUAACUCUCUUAACCUCUUGGGUCUAGCCACCGCCCAAAAUACUUAAGCCGGGUUAAGAGUUUAGCCCUGUUAUAUCUUAUAUAUAGGACUAUCUGGGGUCUCACAAUCUCCCCUCCUUUUAAGCCCUGACGUCCUCGUUGGGCCCAACAACCGGCCCAAAAUGCUUAAGCCCAGUUAUUAUUACUAGUGUCUAAGUCUCUUAUAAACCCAAUCACAUCCCCAUUCCUAUCCGAUGUGGGAUUAUUGGGGUGUGACAAACUCCCCCCGUUAAGGCCCUGACGUCCUCGUCAGUCCAAUCACACACACAGCCCAAGAUCACCAGGCGAUGUGAGACUCGUCUCGCUAGCCCGUCAUCCAGACCCUGGCUCAGCCGAGACUCGCCACACAUGUCCAGCUGGUGAACCGGCUCUGAUACCAAAUGUAACGACUCAGCCCACUAGCAACAAUAACUCGUUGGGCGCAACAACCGGCCCAAAUUGCUUAAGCCCAGUUAUUAUUACUAGUGUCUAAGUCUCUUAUAAACCCAAUCACAUCCCCAUUCCUAUCCGAUGUGGGAUUAUUGGGGUGUGACAGAGUGACCAAGUCGGUGAGGGCCGCCAACUGGCCCCUCAACUCACGGACCUCGCUGGAUCCGGAGGUAGCGAAGGUCUCGACCUCCUCGAAGUUUGCCGCAUUGUCCGCCCCGGCAGAUUGGGAGCGAGUAAUCGGCAUCGUCACUACAACAUCAUAAAAGCGCAAGUUGGAAAUACUCACGCUAUCACAUCCCCGCUCAAAAGACAAACCCCAAAUCAUGCGAAAGUAAAGAAGUGUUCUACACUACUAACUCCCGAUGUUACGUUGUCGGCUGCCAACGUAACGCUCCGCGAAGUUAGAAGUCAAACACUUCGAUUUAACUUCACUUUUUAGAGUUAUCCAAGAUACCCAAUUCAGAUACUUUCGCUUACAAGUCAAAUAGACCUUAUCUCUCGCGAGCCUAUUUCCUAUAGUCCAACCAGCCUAAGGUCUGCUAGGUCCCCUAAGACUCAACCCUAGGCUCUGAUACCAAAUUAAUCUGUCACGCCCCGGGGCCCAGCGGAAGCCCGCCCGGCACGUGCCCAGACCCGCCAUACGUCUAAAACAUAUAAGGCGUCUAAAAACAACAAUAAUAAAAGCAAUAAUAAAAGACAUCUAGGGUGCUGUUUCUGUACCUUUAAGAAGUAUCAGUGGAAAUUUGAGUUCAGCUUAAUUAUAAAUUUUGAACAGUCGUGCGACUAAUAGGCCUUCCUUCAACAUAUGGGCCCAUUAGAUAUGCGUAAGGAUAAACUUAGCUAAUGCCACGAUCCGAACCAUAAAAGUUAAAGGACCGUAAAGUGUAGCUUCUCCCACAUCAGAGCCAAAGGAAGAAAUGGUCCCCAGAUCACAAAGUUGCUACUAGGGGAGGCUUAGAUAUCAUAGCAGUGAUGGUCUCUAUCACGGCAUGCAUUGGAGCUACAACACAAAAACCUGUCUCACUUUCAACUACAAGAAGCUGACAGGUGCUGAAGAGUAAGACACCAGGUAGAAGGACCACCGUCCUCCGCUAGUAGUAAGCGAUUCCCUUGCCGGGCGGAAUUGUGGUCGCUUUAAAUGGGCCAGCAUCCUCCCUGCUGUUAGGCGAGGCAUGCUAAAAGAAGAAACGCAUAAAAUGAGGCAGUGAGAACUUAUUAAAAUAGUCCCGUGGACAAAUUACUGACUUUCAGUGAAUGACACGAAGGCCCAAAGCUACAAAACGAUGAGGUCAGCUGACUAUAUGUUAGAAAAGCGAGAAGGGUAAGUGAAAAAUGUAACUUACUACAACAUGUAUCUCUACUUCAGCAUAAAUGGCUAAGUAUGAAGCAAUGAUGCGCAUGAAGUAAAAGUCCUCCAGAACUAUCAUAAUGUUCACAAUGCGAUAAAUAGUAAAGUAGUCCGUUGUUUACUAUCUAGUCAACUGUCCAAGUAGUACACUAAGUGAAUCAUCUGGAUCCAGCAGUCCGUCAAUAGGUGUAGAUAUCAAAGGUUAACUCUGAGAGACGAGUCAUGUUCGCCGAAAUGGCCGUUUGACGGCAUGGGUUCGAGCGAAUCAGUCGUUUGGACAAGGUGUCUAAUGGCCCUGAAAGUGCGUACCCGUAGGCGUACGCGCGGUGCGAGGCUAAUGGCCCGUGGGUAUGUAUCAUCCCACCCAUAGGAAUGAGCUUCCCACUCAAUCCACUUCCGGCCGCAAUCCCGCACGGCGAAUUGAAUCGUGAUAGCUAUCUCCGAGAGUGCGGAUUGUAGGGCAGCGACCCUCACAAGCUAUGUGCGAAUGAGUACAAUGGCAAGUAGGCAACGAUCUGGCAAGUCACCAAGUCCUCAUGUCUGAAUUAAAUAUGGAAGAUAUCGAUGUGCAUAGGUAUCUCAAACGGGGCCCGUGGUCACUAUCCCAUAUCUCAUCAUGUCCUUAAACAUGAGAAUGUAGCGGAUAAGUUAUGGGCCAUUCGAAUAGUGAUCUCCCUAUGGUUGCAGUUUCAUAGUUUACUAGUUUCCAAGUGCCCCUUGCAUGACACUCGUUGUUUCUCUGAUGUCAGAGCAUGGCAAAAACUAGUUCCAAGUCAUAUUGUCAAGUAUAUUCAUAAGUGAUGUAUUUGUCUCCACGUGUACAAUAUAACACUUUUCCCCAUAUCGGAUGCAUGUUCUCGUAUCUCAUCUGAUGGGUUACGGUACCGCUCUACGUAUUUUUUUAAGUAGAAAAUGUAUACAAAAUACACAGCAUUUGGCGCAUUUUAAGUGCUCUAUUAAGUUCCAGUAUAAAUUUCUAAUUUUUUACGUGCAUAGAAAUCGAAUUGUAAAAAUACUCUCUCUUACAACAAGCUUUGGGAGUAGAUAGAGCAUAGGGGCCAUUUCGCUCCAUUUCACCUGAAGCCAAACCCACAAUAUUUUUCGUAACUCUUCAGUUUGGCCGACAACAAGUGAUCGCACUAGCGCUCUAGCAUACGCCUUUUAAGAAGUGUAGGAACAAGUGUUACCCAACACAAAGACGAAUAAGGCCGCAAACGUAUUGAUCUCAAUCAUUAACCAUUUCGGGCUAGGAGUUCGAAGAAAUCACCGAUUCGCCGGAAGGUAAGCUCGUCUCAAACUCCAAAUGGGAGCUAGAGUCCUUCCAAUCAAACCUAAACAAAGGUUCUAAACCCAUCAAUUUGGUUCCAAAGCCCUCAAAUCGAAAAUCCCCAAAUCUAGCCCUAGAAUUCAAAAUCUAGGGUUUCCAAAGAGGAAAACUACCAAAACAUGCUCUAAAGGAGAGAUCAUGAGUACUCACCUCACAAGACGUCCCAAACCAAGCUCCAAGCCAAGUGGAGUUGAAGAUCUCCUCUCAAACAAGCUCCUCUCCCAGCUCCAAGCCUUCAACAAUGGUGGAAACCCAACAAAAAGUAAGGUGGAGAAGAGAGGAGAGAUCAAAACCAACCAAAAUCCAUAAAAAAAGAGAAGAAAUCAAAGGGGAGAAGUUCUCACCUUAUCUCCUCAGUUCUAGGGCUCAAAAGAGCAGCCAUGGGGGUUGGGGUGACUUAUAUAGGCGUUGCAACAAUUGCAAAAACACCCCCAACAAAACAGCCAAAAUCUGUACUGCGUACCGGUACACGGGUUUGUGUACCGGUACACAACCCACGAAAUGGCCAAACUCGAGCCUCGGGUUUGCCUCAAAAUCGUCUGUGUACCGGUACGUGGUCCCGUACCGGUACAGCCAUCAACCCCGUACCGGUACAACCACCAAGCCCGUACCGGUACACAGCCUGCUGAAGGCUAUCCGAGAGCUGACCAAAAAUCCAACUUUUUGGAUUUUGGUACACUGCUUUAAACCACAAUUCUCGGGACUCGAACCAUAGGUCUGAACAUUGUCAACAACCUACCAGAAAGUCUGGAAGAGCUCGGAACACAAUUAAUCACUAGAACCCCACAAUUUGCGAGGUCCAGUGCGUCACAGGGUUGUUUUUCGGCAUUUUGAACCUAGGGCUUUUGUAGCUAGAUUCUUUGGUUUAGAACCUUCCUUGGGCUUGGAUUGGAAGGGUUCUAGCUCUCUUUUGAAGCUUAGGAGAGGAUUCUUACUCUUGAGGUGAGUUUUGACCCUUUUGCUUUAUAGUUAGUGAUUGAGCUAUUUGCUCUUUGUUUCGUUUGGGUGACCCAAUUUUUAUGUUUCUAGGGUACUAGGAAGCUAGUGGAUACCUCCGUUCGGCGAAACGAAGGUUUCGAUUUUGGUGGGUUUGACCUAGCCUAUAAUAUGAGAAAUUAUCAUAUAUGGCGAUACAUGUUUCGUAAAUUGGAAAAGCAUGCAUGUUAAUACUAAAUGUAUUUAUUAUGAUUUUUAGAAUGCUUAAAAUGCCUAUGUUACAUGCGAUGAAAUUUUGGACCUCUAUGUAAUAGAGAGUUGCAUAUGAAGCAUGCAUGUUUUUUUUUAGCAUUCUUAUGUUGGACCAUAUUUCUUAUAGUGUAAAUGAGUUUUGAUUCAUGCAUUUAAACUUAAGUCUAUUUGAGACAUGAAAGAUAACUAAUAUGCCAUAAAGAGGCACCGAACUUGAAUGUUAUGUGAUUUAGAGAGCUAAUGUCAUCAAGCGGCAUUGAGCUCGGGACAUGGGUGAACCUAGUGGAUAGGGCCAUUGAGGAAUGUGGAACAUGCUUAAAUAUUGAAUGUCCAAGUGUCAUAAAGGGGCACUAGACCUAGAGAACAUUGGAACUUCACUUGUGACUUAGGACUAGAUCUUCGAGAUGCUAGUGACUAUAUCAUGUUAGAGACAUGAUGAUUGGAUACUUGAGACGUUNNNNNNNNNNNNNNNNNNNNNNNNNNNNNNNNNNNNNNNNNNNNNNNNNNNNNNNNNNNNNNNNNNNNNNNNNNNNNNNNNNNNNNNNNNNNNNNNNNNNNNNNNNNNNNNNNNNNNNNNNNNNNNNNNNNNNNNNNNNNNNNNNNNNNNNNNNNNNNNNNNNNNNNNNNNNNNNNNNNNNNNNNNNNNNNNNNNNNNNNNNNNNNNNNNNNNNNNNNNNNNNNNNNNNNNNNNNNNNNNNNNNNNNNNNNNNNNNNNNNNNNNNNNNNNNNNNNNNNNNNNNNNNNNNNNNNNNNNNNNNNNNNNNNNNNNNNNNNNNNNNNNNNNNNNNNNNNNNNNNNNNNNNNNNNNNNNNNNNNNNNNNNNNNNNNNNNNNNNNNNNNNNNNNNNNNNNNNNNNNNNNNNNNNNNNNNNNNNNNNNNNNNNNNNNNNNNNNNNNNNNNNNNNNNNNNNNNNNNNNNNNNNNNNNNNNNNNNNNNNNNNNNNNNNNNNNNNNNNNNNNNNNNNNNNNNNNNNNNNNNNNNNNNNNNNNNNNNNNNNNNNNNNNNNNNNNNNNNNNNNNNNNNNNNNNNNNNNNNNNNNNNNNNNNNNNNNNNNNNNNNNNNNNNNNNNNNNNNNNNNNNNNNNNNNNNNNNNNNNNNNNNNNNNNNNNNNNNNNNNNNNNNNNNNNNNNNNNNNNNNNNNNNNNNNNNNNNNNNNNNNNNNNNNNNNNNNNNNNNNNNNNNNNNNNNNNNNNNNNNNNNNNNNNNNNNNNNNNNNNNNNNNNNNNNNNNNNNNNNNNNNNNNNNNNNNNNNNNNNNNNNNNNNNNNNNNNNNNNNNNNNNNNNNNNNNNNNNNNNNNNNNNNNNNNNNNNNNNNNNNNNNNNNNNNNNNNNNNNNNNNNNNNNNNNNNNNNNNNNNNNNNNNNNNNNNNNNNNNNNNNNNNNNNNNNNNNNNNNNNNNNNNNNNNNNNNNNNNNNNNNNNNNNNNNNNNNNNNNNNNNNNNNNNNNNNNNNNNNNNNNNNNNNNNNNNNNNNNNNNNNNNNNNNNNNNNNNNNNNNNNNNNNNNNNNNNNNNNNNNNNNNNNNNNNNNNNNNNNNNNNNNNNNNNNNNNNNNNNNNNNNNNNNNNNNNNNNNNNNNNNNNNNNNNNNNNNNNNNNNNNNNNNNNNNNNNNNNNNNNNNNNNNNNNNNNNNNNNNNNNNNNNNNNNNNNNNNNNNNNNNNNNNNNNNNNNNNNNNNNNNNNNNNNNNNNNNNNNNNNNNNNNNNNNNNNNNNNNNNNNNNNNNNNNNNNNNNNNNNNNNNNNNNNNNNNNNNNNNNNNNNNNNNNNNNNNNNNNNNNNNNNNNNNNNNNNNNNNNNNNNNNNNNNNNNNNNNNNNNNNNNNNNNNNNNNNNNNNNNNNNNNNNNNNNNNNNNNNNNNNNNNNNNNNNNNNNNNUCCUUCUUCAGUUGUUCCUUUGGUCUCCUAUUCAUGUGUGUUGUAGCAUUUUUCGGCUUUUGUUUGCAAAAUCUCUUCACAUGUCCUACAACACCACAAAGAUGACAGGUUUUGUUAGCAAAUAAAUUCUUGGGAGGAACAAAUUUACCAAAGAUCUUCGGAACCGGUUUUGUCGAAUGUUCGUCUACUUUCUUCAUUGCUUGAUCGACAUAUGUCCGUUCGUAUUCAGGUCCAAGUUUGUUGGUUUGACCAAGUCCUAACAUCUUAUCAAGUUUGCUUGACCCGGACGAAAACUUGUUCAAAUCGGAUUUGAGUUGAAUGAUAGUCUUGGUAAAUUCCAUGUUGGAUUCUCUUGCUUCCGUGUAUUGCUUGUUAAGAAAAUUAAUGUUUUCAACCAAAGUUUCCUUUUCCUUCUCAAGCAGUGCACACUUGUCUAGUAAAGUAUUAUAUGACUCGGUCAAAGUGUCCUUCUCUUGCUCCAAACUUUUUGUCAAUGACUCUAAUCUUGUAUUGUCUUGGUCUAGAUCAUACAGUCUUCGUCUCAACUUUUUGUUGUGUUUCGCCACUUUCUUUGAUUCAAUAACAAGUUGAUGAUAUGCGGCGGCCAUAUCCUCUUCUUCCGAUUCUUCAUCCGUUGAGCUUUCCGUAGAAGAUUUUCCAUGCAAAGAAGACAUAGAAAUUGAAUCAAUAGAUGCUAAACACAUAAAAGUAGAAUCUUGUGCAAUAAGUGCAGUGGCAUUAACAUCAUCAUCACUUGUGGAUGAUUCGUGUGAGGAGGUCUCAUCCCAAGUAAUGGCUUGCAUCGCUUUCUUUUUCAAAGACUUUUUGUUAGGACAAUCUGAUGCAAUAUGACCAAAUCCCCUACACUAAUAGCAUUGUAUUUGACCUUCGCUACUUUUCUUUUCUUUUGUAAAAUCUUUUUGAAAAUUUUUCGAUUUUUUAAACUUUGAAGAAGAGGAGGAAGAGGAACUCCCUUUUGAUUUGUUUGGCUUAGAGGGAGUUGGCUUAGAAGAGAACUUCUUUCUAAAGUUCCGACGAAACUUCUUAGUCAAAAGAGCCAUUUGCUUCUCAAACUCUUCCAAGGUUACGUCUGAGUCCGAGUCCGAUGAAGAAGAUUCCAUAUUGCCUCCUUUCAUUGAUUUUAGUGCCAUACCUGAAGCUUUAGAAGACAACUUGGAAGAAGAUGAGUUAACAGGAAAAGUCAUUUCAUACGUUUGAAGAGCACCAACUAAUUCAUCUACUUUGAGUUCAUCCGGAUGUUUUACCGUUUCUAUGGCCGCAACCUUGGGACGAAAACGUUCGGGAAGGGUUCUCAAAAUUUUUCGAACAAUUUUUGGUUCAGAAAUUUUUUCACCCAAAUUUGCACAAGUAUUGACAAUAUCUUGAAGGCGAGUGUAAUACUCGGUAAAGGUUUCAUUUUCUUCCAUACGAAUAAAAUCAAAACGACUAGUCAACAUUUGUAAUUUCUGAACCUUUACCAAGCUUGUACCCUCAUGAGUGAUUUGUAAGGUAUCCCAAAUUUCUUUGGCGGUUUCACACGCCAAAACUCGAGAAAAUUCAGUUUGAUUAAAAGCAUUGAACAAAGCAUUGAUACCCUUCCCAUUGAACGAAGAUAGUUCGUUUUUCACUUUUGUCCACUUAUUUCUAGGUUUCGGACCGCUAAUAUUCUCGACCACUUCAGUAGGAUGUUUCCACCCGAAUUCAAUGGCUUGCCAAACCCUCUCGUCGAUAGCAAUAAGAAACGCCCUCAUACAGACUUUCCAAUAAGCGUAGUUAGUGCCAUCGAAGAGAGGGGGUCGAUUAAUGUUACCGUCCUCGGCCAUAGAUUACAACCUAUACCCGCUCUGAUACCACUUGUGAGAUAUGGAUCCCGAGGAUCUAAAAGGUGAAAAACACCUAGAGGGGGGUGAAUAGGUGUAAACGGUAAAAAAAAUAAACUCGAUGCGAAUAUAAAGUAAAUGCGGAAAAUAAAAUCAGCACACCGAGAAAUAACGUGGGAAAACUCCAAAUCGGAGAGAAAAAAUCCACGGGACCGAUCACACAAAGAAAUCCACUAAGAAAACAUGAGUACAAGUGAUUUAGCAAAAAUACAAUACUCAAAAUACCGAAUCCUAGUUGUGGAUUAUCUUUGCCAGUCCACGAUCGCUUGGAGUCCUCCAACUGAUCACACUGCAAGUCCUUGCAGCCACACACGCCUCGAUUCCACGAAACGCCCACCGAAUCCACGGUCUCCACGCGAGAUCCACGCGCUAACGCUCCAUCCGAAGCUCGUAGAAAUUCAACAAUUUGUGGUGAUUUAAGAUCUUUGAAAGCACAUAUAAUAUGAGGAGAAACCCAAAUUAAAACAUCACCAAUUUGAUCCUUAACGAAAAUUUGAAUCAAAAUCAAAGAAUCAAAUUGGCGAUCUAAUGCUUGAUGUUUAAAAACAUAGAACAAAACUCCGAAUCAAGCCGUUAGGGUUUCUAAAAAGUUAUCUCACUCAACUCCUCUCAAAUAGAGAUCCUCAUAUUAUAUUUAUAGGUUUAGAAGACUUCUAGAUAGAUUAGGAUUCCAAAAACUCAAUUUUAAAAACUGACGACGGUCUCAGGGUCCGGUCCUUUCGAGCAGACCGGUCCUUGGGAGACCGGUCCUCUAAGGUAAGGUCCGGUCUUUCGCUGCGUAGAUGUAAAAAUAUGCGUACGGGGACCGGUCCUCAAUUCAGAGACCGGUCCUUCCCUGCGCAACAAGGAAAACCAUGUACGGGAACCGGUCCUCAAGAUCAGAGACCGGUCUCCCAAACCUUCUACGCAGAGAAGUUUGAUGGGUCCGGUCCUUCUGAUCAAGGACCGGUCCCCGACCCCUGAGUUUUUUAGAAAACUUAAGUUUAGUCAACUCAAAUAUAAACCAAGUCUUCAAAACAUCUUUUAACAAUAAAAACUUCACCACAAAUUAUUUAUAAUCAUACCUGAGAUCCCAAGGGUCUUUGAACACGAAACCUCAACUCUUUCUUCAAUCUUCAUCUUCUAAUUCUUCGAGACUCCGUUCAAUACUUCACGAAAUUCGCCAACUUAUAAAAUCCUUAACAAUCUCCCCCUUUGGCUAUUUCGUGACAAAAUACAAAAAAAUAUUUACAAUGCUUAUCCAAAAACAAAAAUAAGAAGGUUAUUGCAAUCACCAAACAACAACCUUCUGCAUAAUCGAUCCAAUAAAAACAAAAUUAUAUUUUUCACUAAUACAAACUCUAUGACUUAGGACACGACAUAGAGUCUCGAAGUCUUGAAAUACCCUGCAAAACAAUCUCCACACACUUCAUCAAAAAUUUGCAAUGAAUUCAGUUAUAAGUCAAGAGUUCAAGCAUAGUUGAGUUCAAGUAUAGUUACAUCCUAAUCAAAGUUCAAGCAUAGUUCAUCAAGCACAUAAAGUAAAGUCACAUAAAAUAAAGUAAAGUCACAUAAAAGUAAAGUUGCAUCAUAAGCAUCAUCAUCAUCAUUCUCCCCCUUUUUGUCAAGAAACCACCAAAAUGACCAAAAUGAGAGAACGCCAAAACGAGCUCAGUCGGAAUCAGCACCAGGCGCAGGAAGAUCCGCGCUACAACACCCUAGUUUGUCAAAGAUAGCUCUCAUCAGACGACGAAGCUUGCUCACUUGCCUAGUGAGGCGCUCCUGCUCAGCAACCAUGCGAGCCUGAUCCUCAGAAAUCCGUCGAAGUUCGCCGAAAUCCGUUCUUGCUCUAGAGAUAACCUUUGUUGUUCCUGAUAAACAGAAGAGACAGACAUUUCUUCCUCAGACACCUCUGCCGAAGGACGAGAAGGACCAGGAGGUGGAGUGGAACGCUGUUGAGACGAACGUCGUGGAGGAGAGCGCUGCGACUGAAGCUGCACCGCAGAUUUAAUGAACGUAGUUUCACUAAUCACGCCCAGACUAUGUUCAUAUGACGAACAUCUCGUGUCCACAUCAAACAUCCUCAGAAUCCGCAUUAUGAUUAACAGAUAAGGCAACCUCUCUGACUGACUAGAAGUCUUGAUGUCUUUAGCCAUACGGCGCCAAACCAAAAAUGGAACAUUAAGAUUGAUCUUCCUAUCACGAACCACAUUCGGCUGACCCACCAAAUACAUAUAAAGCAUGCGAUCCCAACGCACCACCUUCGUGUUAGCCAACGGCAUUAUAUUGUAGCAGACCACAAAAUUCAAGAAACGAAACUCUAUCUUUAAUUCCUUCGACAUCACACAAAUGCCAUUUGGUUCAACGUUGGGCAAACAUACACCAUUCAUAACCAGACGCCAAUCUCGAACCGCAUCAAAACCAGCAUGCAAAUAUUCAAUUCCAUCAGUCCGAGCCUGCAUACCAAGAACAGAAGCAAUAGUUUCAGGCGUAAUUGUCAAUUCGAUGCCACGCACAGAGGUCUUAAAAAUGAACGGUCCACCAUCGGAAUCCUCCAGAUAUCCCGCUCUCAUAUAGAACUCCCGAAUUAAUUCCAAACAAUAUCUAGUUUGUUCGGGAAAAUCGCUAAUUUCAUAGAGACCUCCGUUCUCAAACAAGGCUUGAAGACCAGGAACUCGUUCAAUUAAGUUCUGAACUCCAACGUGCCGCUCACCAAUACAAUUCUUCGAAGAGUACAUUGAACGUCUCUUCGGAUCAACGUUGCCUCCCUGAGUACUGCGGCGAGGUACAUCAGCUGUAGGUUCACGAAUUUCAAUACCUCCAGUCUUCUUCUUACUACGAGAAUAUGUCAAUUUUUCCGUUCCUUUCCCUUUGGCUUUGCUCUGUCCUUUCUCCUUUUCUGCAACUACCUUUUCCUUCCCUUUCUUCUUCGUCGACAACACUUCUGGAGAGAAUGCUUCCGAAUCUAUCGACUCAGUUUCUGAUUCUUCAUCAGGAGCAUAUUCACUGCCGACAUCCUCAACUGGUGGCUCGACAGGUUGUUGAGUCGAAGUACGCUGGCGCUUACCACCUCGACCACCACCAGCCAUGAGGAACACAAGAGCAAGCAAAAAGGAAUACAUUUUGUUUUCGAAAAAGAUCCCUGUUUCAACAAGUUAAAAAUAAAACACAGAUAUCAUUCACUUCCCUUUUUUAAAAAAAAAAAACAGAAAACACAGAUGAAACCUAGGGCCAAAAAAAAAAUGCAUCAAGAGAGUGAAGUAAUGCAUGAACAGAUCAAGGAUUAUGAGGAUAUAGUAAAGAUCAGUGUGUAGAAACAAGGAACUGAACAAAAUCACAGAUCAAAUCCCACUAACACAUUCUCGGAACAAAUGUGCAAAAAUAAACUCUAAAAAGAAAACGUACCAAUCAAAGCAAGGAAAAACGGGAAGAAAUAGAGCAAACAUCCUCUGGAACCCUAGGCCGGUCGAGGGAGGAGUUUUAGACAAAAAGGUAAAGUAGGAGAGAGACCGAACCAACAUUCGUAUAUGGGGUCGGGCGGAGGGACCGGUCCUUCAAGACAGGGGACCGGUCCCCGUACCGAAAAAAAAAUUCUUCCCCCCCCUUAUUUAUGUUAAAAAAAAAAUCCAAUGACAUGUAAUAUAAAUUUUAUAAAUAUGGUAAACAAAGUCAAUUUCAAAAAUAUUCAAAGUGUCAAGAUUCGUUGAACAAAUAGACGAAUUAAAUUCUAAAUGGGUAUAAUGCUAAAAUCCACACAUCAAUCAAGAUCUAAAAACUAAUCGUCUCGUAUUGUCUUCAUAAUUGCUAAAUAGAGGAAUAGAAGAUCCCAUAAUCACGAAACUAAGAUAAGAUUAUCAAAUUGAGUUAUGGACAAGAUUCGACGAGGGAGUGGCUCUUUGAGCAUUUUUUCACUAUCAACCUUAUAUCACAUAGGAGAUGUAUUGUAAAUAACUCAUGUUUUAUCAUCUCCAAAGCACCGCUUUUAAACCUCCUUUUUUUUUUUUUUAAUAUAUAUAUCACAGGACAUUGUUGGCUUCUUCAUCAACAGAGAUGCUUUAAACAGACAUGUGGUAGUUGCACACACUGACCGGACGACCGGAGUGGUAGCUCUUUCCUCCAUGUGGUGGUAGUUUUCACACUCCCAUGAGGGAUGUAACUCUUUCCACAUCUUUUGUCAUUCUAAUUUAAUUCCAGGAAAGACUCCCCCUAAAUAAGUGCAACUCUCAAGUUGACGAUAUUAUCUCAAGUUCAAAAAUAGGGAACUCGGUAUACAUAUCAUAGCUCAUAAUUCAACAAGACAAAGACAAUGUUUAAAGUUCAAAGAAAGAGAUGUUGACUUUAGCAAAUUAUACUAAAAUCGAAUUUGAAUGAAUCUAUCUUUUGAACAAAAUAUGACACAGAGAAUAAAAAUGACGUUGAUCAAGCUUAACAUAUUAUAACAUAAUGAAAAUAGUAUCACGGAUAUCUCAAAAAUGAUCAUGUAAGAACGACAUGUAUGCACAAGUUUAUGCAAGAUCUAUGGCCCGUAGACUACCUCUAGAUGGAAUACCAAUAGCCUUUCGCAAAUGUAGAAAGCGUUUUUGAUCUAAAGGUUUUGUCAAAAUAUCAGCAAGCUGAUUUUCAGUAGAAAUAUAUUCAAGAUGAAGAAGAUUUGAUUCGACUAGUUCCCUUAAAAAAUGAUAUCUGAGUUCAAUGUGUUUCGUUCGAGAAUGUAAGACAGGAUUUUUAGAAAUAUUAAUUGCACUUGUGUUAUCACAAAGAAUAGUAAGAGUGGUGGAUGGGAUCCGAUAGUCGCUCAGUAAGCUCUUCAUCCAUAACAACUGAGUAGAGCAACUACCAGCAGAAAUAUACUCAGCCUCGGCAGUGGAUAAUGCAAUACAGUUCUGUUUCUUGCUGUGCCAUGCGACAAGACAGUGUCCAAGGGAGAAACACGCGCCACUAGUACUUUUCCGAUCAUCUGCAGAGCCAGCCCAGUCUGCAUCUGAGUAUCCAAUCAGAUCAAGAGAUGUUCCCAUCAGAUACCAGAGACCAUAAGCAAUUGUACCUUUAACGUAUCGAAUAAUCCUUUUGACCGCUUUUAGAUGAAUUUCCUUAGGAUUAGCUUGAUAGCGAGCACAAAUUCCAACACUGAAGGCAAUAUCUGGUCUACUCGCAGUCAAGUACAACAGACUCCCAAUCAUGCUUCUGUACAGUUUCUCAUCCACGCUCGGUCCUUCUGAAUUCAAUCCAAGUCCUUUAUUACUUGUACCCAUUGGAGUGUCAAAAUCUUUUGCAUUGUCCAAUCCAAAUUUCUUAACCAAAUCUUUCGCAUAUUUGGAUUGACACAAGUGUAUUCCAUCUUUAGUUUGUUUGACUUGAAGUCCAAGAAAAUAGUUAAGCUCCCCCAUCAUUGACAUCUCAAAUUCGCUUGUCAUCAACUUUGCAAAAUCAUUGGCAUCCUUAUCCUUAGUUGCUCCAAAGACGAUGUCGUCAACAUAAAUUUGUGCCACGAUGAAAUUAUCUUUCGAGUGUUUAACAAAAAGAGUUCUAUCCGCUCCCCCUCGGUUGUAGCCCUUUUCCAAAAGAAAUUUUGUCAAACGCUCGUACCAUGCCCGCGGAGCCUGUUUAAGACCAUAAAGUGCCUUUUUCAGACGAAAAACAUGAUUAGGAAAUUUUGAAUCUAUGAAACCUUUUGGUUGUUCAACAUAGACUUCCUCUUUUAGAAAACCAUUUAGAAAAGCACUUUUAACAUCCAUUUGAAAAAGAGUAAUUUUAAAAUGACAGGCGAUCGCAAACAGAAUACGAAUUGAUUCAAGACGAGCAACCGGGGCGAAGGUUUCCUCAAAAUCUAUUCCCUCAACUUGUGAGUAGCCUUGAGCAACUAGUCUUGCUUUAUUUCGAACAAUGGUACCAUCCUCAUUUUUCUUAUUCUUAAAAAUCCACUUGGUACCAAUUAUGUGUUGUUGCUCAGGACGUGGCACCAAUUCCCAGACAUCAUUACGCGUGAAUUGACCAAGUUCGUCUUGCAUAGCAUUAAUCCAGUAUUCAUCGAGAAGAGCUUCAUCAACAUUCUUUGGCUCAACUAGAGAAACGUAGCAAGCAAAUUCACACUGAAGCUGUCUCCGAGUUUUCACACCAGUAAGAGGGUCUCCGAUAACAUUUGACAAUGGAUGAUCUUUCACAGGUGUAAGUUCAGAUGAGGUGAUAGGGGUUUCAGAUGAAUCAUGUGAUGCAACAGUGUCAAUAGUUUCAGCAGAAAUAUCAGGCACAGAAAUUUCAUCAAUCACAGGCAAGUUAAAUGGAGAAUCAUUAUCAUCAUCACUCAUCACAGAAGUAGAAGAACCAUUCACUGAAGAGCUUACAGAAGAAGCUUCAUCUACUUUUAUAUUAAUGGAUUCUAUCACCGUCUUAGUACGUAAAUUGUACGCACGAUAUGCACGACUAGAAGUAGAAUAUCCAAGAAAAAUUCCUUCGUCACUUCGGGAGUCAAAUUUUCCAAGAUUUUCACGAUCCCGAAGGAUAAAACAUUUACUCCCGAAGACACGAAAGUAUUUAAUAUUCGGUUUUCUACCAAUUCACAAUUCAUACAGAGUGUUUAAAGUACCCGGGCGUAAAUAGAUACGGUUAAUCACAUAGACAGCCGUGUUAACUGCUUCAGCCCAGAAGUGUAGUGCAACUUUCUUGCUAUGAAGCAUAACACGGCCAUCUCUUGAACAACCCGAUUUUUAUGUUCAACCACUCCGUUCUGUUGUGGUGUAUAGGGAGCAGAGAAUUCAUGUUUGAUGCCUUUUGAAACACAGAAAUCAACAAAUUUUGAAUUUAUGAAUUCUCCCCCUUGAUCACUUCGAAUGCGUACAAUUUUAUCAUUCAUUUCAUUCAUAAGACGAAAAAAGAUUUCAGAAAAAGAAUCAAAGGUAUCAGCUUUUUUACGUAAGAAAGCACUCCAGACAAAACGAGUAAAAUCAUCAACAAUAAGCAGAAUGUAUCGUUUUCCACCCAAACUUUGAAUCCUAGAAGGUCCCAUUAAGUCCAUGUGUAGUAGCUCUAAUGGUUUAGAUGUCCCUAAAUGGUUCAAAUUUUUAUGUGUGGCUCUACUUUGUUUUCCCAGUUGGCAACCCCGACACACAGUGUUCUCCUUGAAGUCUAUCUUAGGUACACCUCGAACAACCUCCUUCUUAGUUAUCUUAGAUAGUUCCUUAAAGUUCAUGUGACCUAGACGUUCAUGCCAUAAAGUUUCAGUUUCUAAUAUUGCUAGGUUACAAUGUUCAGUUGAAGAGCUAGGAACUACAUAGCAGUUAUUCUCAGAUCUUACACAUUUUAAGAAGGUGUCAUCAUUACGAGUCACAGUGCAUUCUUUGUCAGAAAAUUUAACGGAGUACCCGUCAUCACACAACUGACUUAUGCUCACGAGAUUUGAUUUGAGCCCCUCAACAUAAAAGACAUCAUUCAAAGUAGGACCAUCUGAGAUAGUGACAGUUCCUUUUCCAACAAUUUUUUAUGACCGACCAUCUCCAAAAACAACAAGUCCACCGGAGAUUUUGUUUAAAGAAGAAAACCAAUUUUUAUCACCGGUCAUAUGACGUGAACAUCCACUAUCCAGAUACCAAGAAGUAUUGUCGUAAGCAUGAAGCGAAGUGUGAAUGACAAGGCACGGAAAGAGUUCACCUUUGCGCACCCAAACCUUAUGCGUUUUGGGUUGCGUUGUCCGACUUGAUUGAGUCACGCUUUGCUUGUCGACGAUUUGUGUAGUUCUUUUCUUUGAAUCAUUCUUCUUAGGCAUCCACGUUUGUCUUGCCUUUGUCUUUGGAUCCUCCUUCUUCAGUUGUUCCUUUGGUCUCCUAUUCAUGUGUGUUGCAGCAUUUUUCGGCUUUUGUUUGCAAAAUCUCUUCACAUGUCCUACAACACCACAAAGAUGACAGGUUUUGUUAGCAAAUAAAUUCUUGGGAGGAACAAAUUUACCAAAGAUCUUCGGAACCGGUUUUGUCGAAUGUUCGUCUACUUUCUUCAUUGCUUGAUCGACAUAUGUCCGUUCGUAUUCAGGUCCAAGUUUGUUGGUUUGACCAAGUCCUAACAUCUUAUCAAGUUUGCUUGACCCGGACGAGAACUUGUUCAAAUCGGAUUUGAGUUGAAUGAUAGUCUUGGUAAAUUCCAUGUUGGAUUCUCUUGCUUCCGUGUAUUGCUUGUUAAGAAAAUUAAUGUUUUNGCUAACCCGGGGGUUUCGCCACAUUAACUUGCUUCACAUUAAGUCCAUCAUCGCAGGAACUCACCAGCUAGGACCGUCCUUCGGGUUUACUCCAACCCGUGAUGCAUAACUCCGGAGCGCAUCGCCCGAGGGGGAGCGACCGCCCUCGAGCACGGAACUCAUAGCAAGUAUGAUCAUAUCCUUAACUCAAAGGAUUAUAAGUUCAAUCUUGACUUUACACUAGCUCAAGUGUUCUUUACAUCACUUUAUGUUGCAAACUCAUGCAAUCACAUUCUUCACAUUUUCAUUACUCUUGCUAGCUCUAGCAUUCUUGUUCGUUACAAUCUUUGCUCUUAUUGCCCCACUUUACUUUAACUUUACACGUUGUCAUUUUCAUCAUUCUUUUCAUCACUUUAGUUCUUUACAUCACACUAACUCUAGUGUCAUUUCACAUUAGCUUUGCCGAAUGCCACUCGAUCUAUGUCAUUGUGUCACUCUAUUCUUUUGCUCACUUUGGGUGCUCACAUUUCUCUCAUGCAUACACAUAGGAUUUUCGACAUCACAUAGGUCUCAUUCGUCAUAUUAUGCAAGUUGUACUCACAAUCAUGCAUCAUUACAUUUUCAUCAUACUUUACCCUAAAAUGCAUGCAACAAAUAUGUAACAUAUGCUCAAAUGAAUGACACAUUAGGCAUAGAGAGAAGUUCAAUGAGUUUGAGAAGCACCACCCACCUCGUAGGCUUUCAAGGGUGCUCCGAUAAUUUUCUUGGGAUUUUUAGUCGCCCGGUUCACUACCUGCGGCAAAACGAAGCCCUAUUAGGCCAUUUUGCUCAUAUCUUUACUUUGGCUUUUCGUAACGUUAAUCCGAGCGCACCAACGCGUCGGAAAUACCCCCAAUUAGAUUUUUGAAGGGUCAAUUUCACUUAGAAAUCCCCAUGAGCAAAAGCCCCAAUUUGGGUGCCCUAGCUCCAUUGCAUGUGUAAACCUAGGGUUUGAUCUCAUUGGGAAGCAAAAGUAGCUUCAUUACACUCUAAAUAGUCUAUUAGAACCAUCCCUAGCUCACUCCAAACCCUAGUUUGGAUUUCACCAUGAGAGGUGAUGAAGCUCACCUGAAGCUUCACCAUUUUCAUGGUCUUGAUCUCAAAAGAAGCAAAAAGAAAGCUUCAAAUACUCCAAAGGUUCUAUAAAAACCAUCUUCAUUCUAAUCCAAACCCUAGUUUGGAAUUAAACAUGAGAAGGGGCAAGGCUUACCUUCAAGCUUGAGUAUUCUAUAGUGUCACCUAAAUAGCUUGGCGUAAUCAUGGUCAUAGCUGUUUCCUGUGUGAAAUUGUUAUCCGCUNAUCUUUAGACAAAUCAAAACCCUACUUAGGGUUUCACCAUGAGAGGUGAUGAAGCUCACCUCAAGCAUCACCAUUUCUAUGGUCUUGAUCUCAAGAGAAGUAAAAGAAAAGCUUCAAAUACUCAAAUGGUUCCAUAAAACCCAUUUUAAGCUUAAUCCAAACCCUAGAUUAGGUUCUACCAUGAUUAGGGUUCAAAGCUUACCUUGUAAGCCCUUCUUUUCCAAGCUAGAGAUGAGGGAGAGGGAGUCUCUUCACUUCCUCUUCUUCUUCUCCUUUUUCUUCUCCUUCUUUUCCUUCCUUUCCUUGUUUUCUUCUUCUCCUUUGUCUUCUAGAGAGAGAGAGGGAGAGAAGAGAGUGUUUGGGAGGGUGAGAAUGAGAGGAAAAGCCCCUCAACCCUAGUUUGGAAUUAAACAUGAAAAGGGGCAAGGCUUACCUUCAAGCUUGCUCCUUUCUUGCUCUACAGAGGAAGAAGAUGAAGCCUCUUUGCUCCUUGCUCCUUGAUCUCCUACUUCACUUUCUUCUCCUUCUUCUCCUUCCUUUCUUCCUUUCUUCUUCUUCUCCUUUAUCUUCCAGAGAGAGAGAGGGAGAGAAGAGAGUGUGAGAGGGUGAGGAAAUGAGAGAAAUAUCUCAUUUGCCCUCAUACAUAGCUAUUGGGUUGCAAAAUUGCAGCUAAACCCCUCAGCUUUUAUCUCUGUGCACUGCCUGGACUGGGCAGUUUUCGCAGGCAGAGACCGGUCUCCCCGAGCAGGGACCGGUUCCCGAAGGUCCACCCUGCGCAGCCAGAGCUGCUGCGCGCAAUGCGACCAGUCUCUCCCUGGUGGGACCGGUCUCUGGGGGACCGGUCUCUCAAGCAGAGACCGGUUCCCGAGAGCUGAUCUUCCAGGACUUAGCCGAUUUUUCGGCUGUCUUAUUCUUCACGCGUUCGGGGACCGGUCUCUCCCACCAGGGACCGGUCCCCGAGAGCUGAAAGUCUGCAGUUUGCAGAAUUUGAUUCUUUAGCUCUCGAAAACCUCCCGUAGCUCACCUUUAAUCAUUUUAACACCUUCGGAUUUUCCGAAGUGUACCAUCCUCGCACUUUGGUCAAUUUGACUAAAGUUCGAUAUUUAUUUUCUGAAUUUUCGGUAUAUUACAAUAGAGCUGAGGUCAGUAAUUGCCCACUGGGAACUAUAAUUUAUAGUUCUCACGCCCUCUUUUUCUCAAUGUUUUUCAGAGCCUUCCGCGCAUGGGGAGGCCAGGGAUCGCGGAAAGGGUAUCGCCUCGGGCUAGUGCUCUUCGCCGAGGGAUCGUUCGAUAGGUGGCCCACCUCUCUUUGUUUCUUUUUGUGAGAGGUUGAGAAUUGUACCAGUGUACUAGAGACCACCCGUUUGUACUUUGAGACAGAUAUUGUACUGCUUUAUGGUUCACUUUUAUUGUUUAGUUGUUUCUUUUACUAUUGUUAGAGAAGAUAGAAUCAUACUGCUCUGAUAUCAUUAGUUGUGGUUCUUUCCUUUUGCUAUAUUUCUUUCUUUUACUUCCGCUUCUAUUCUAGGCGCCUUAUAUGUGUAGGCAUAUGGCGGGUCUGGGCGCGCUACCGGGAAGGCCUCCGCCGGUCCCGGGGCGUGACAAAGACCCUUCUAUGCAUUGUGACCAGUGUGGCUUAGUAAAGUGACAUACAUGAUUAGGUAAAGAUCUAUCAUUGGUAUUGUGGCAUCAUGGUUUGGUGGCUCGGAUAUAGUGGUAUAUAUAUGCAUGAUUAGGUAAAGACCUAUCAUUGGCAUUGAGGUAUUGUGAUAUGAGAUAGGUUUGGCUAUACUUCCUCAAAUUGAAGAUAGAAUCGUACUCACAUGUAUUGGUUCCGGCUUGUGAGAGGUCGCUUCUCCACAAGCGGUGUACUCCAGAGUGUAGACACCACGGGUAGGAGUGCCUGGCAAAGAUCCUUCGGGCGAUAGUGCCAUGUGCCUUCCCUGGUAGACGGAUGAAUCCCUCGGGGGCAUUUUCAAAUGCUAAUCCCAAUAGAUGGGACAUUUGAGAUGUCAGGUUGGGGUAAGCCUUGUGGACCCCGGGAUAAUAGGGUAAAAGCCAAGUGAAAGGAGAACAAGAACAUGCAUGCAUUAUCAUACUUAUGAUCAUAUAUCUGUUGACUCAGUUUCUUGCAGGCAUUGUAAUAGUAUUGCAUUAGUUGGUUUGCUAUCUAUUAUUUCUUAAAUUACAUAUGCCUGAAUAGACCUAGUGGGCGAGUCGGCGAGGUCGGCGGCCGAACCCACUGGGAACUUUGUUGUAGUUCUCAUCCGACUAACCAUGCAGGUUCUAGCGCGAGCGGGACGAUCGUGGCUCGUGGUAUGGUUAUCGUGCUCUAGGUAGCGUACUACCAUUGUGUAUAGAGGCACCCUUUGUAUAUUUCAUCUAUUAUGUUGAUGAAUGGAAAUGUAAUAAAAUCAUGUGAGAAAUGAAAAUGUAUUAAGUUCAUUUGAGUGAUGAAAUUGUAAAUUGAGAUGAAUGAAUGUAAAGAAAUUGUAUGAGCUUUGUAUUUGAUUGAAAGUGAUUAAGAUACAAUGUAUGAAUGUAAUAGUUAGAUUGCUUUCACUUGUGGUUGAUGUUGCUUACCCUAGAGUAAGCCAUGUAUACUUACAUUCUUAUGUUUGAAUUGCUAUCGUUAUACAUGUAUUGGUGGAGCCUUGGGCAGGCAGGGGAGGUGCUGUCCGUUCGGCGUCUGUUGGCGUGCCCGAACCGACCAAAUUGGCGGUCCCGGGGCGUGACAGGUACUCCCACCUUAGCCAUAUUAUACACAUUUGCCAUUCUCUCCUGAGGUUACUUUACCUUAGCCAACUAUGCCACUCGACUCGGUCUUGAGUCAAGCAUGUGCGGAUAAUCCGCGCUCUGUCCGGCUCGAGGUGAAGGAACUCUCACAUACACCUCAACCUUCAAUUUACAAACCACAUCGCCCAACGGGUCGCCCAGAGCUACGUACACCCGUGGUUAGGGAUCUUCCCGGUGGGAGGGGAAUAUGCCACAUGCAUCCGCGGCCCAAGACCCUCGAUAGGGAGGGGAAUAUGCCACACGCACCCUAGCGCUCCAAGAUCCUUCUGGUGGGAGGGGAAUAUGCCACACACACCCGCGGCCCAGAAUCUUGCUCAAUCAGAAUCCUCGAAGUUCUUCCGGUGGGAGGGGAAUAUGCCACACGCACCCGCGGCCAAGAACUGUCGGGCUCAUACGCUGCACUAGCAGCCGCUGCACUCGCAGCCGCUGCACUCGCAGCCGGGAUUUCGGAAUCCACUUUCAUAACUCUAGGGUUGGUCUCACCCUAUAUUAUCAACCUAUCUAGCUCCAAGCCUUUACUCAACCUAAGUUCAAUUCAUUAGGUUCAAUACCACUAUACUCAUAGCCUAGGUUCAUUAACGCUAGGUUCCAUGUUCUUACUACCUAGGUUCAUUUGACUCUAGGUUCAAUGUCACUGUAUUCAUAACCUAGGUUUACUUGACUCUAGGUUCAAUACCACUCAUGUUCUUUUUUUCCUAGUUGUCCACACUUAGGAAUCAUACUUGACAUGCCACUCAUGAAUCACCUAUAUUCAUUGACACUAGGUUUCAUCGCCACUCAUGAUACUUGUUAUCUUAAUUAUCCACACUUAGGAUUCUUUACAUGUCACCCUUGUCGAGUUCUUUAUUAUUCUUAAGAGCUCAUCGACUCAAGUUUAACAUUCAUGUCAUUCUAGCAUAUUCUCAUAAUAUGUCAUCAUGCAUAUAUUCUUUAGUAUCUCAUACACAUGCCUAUGUUCUUAUUGAAAUGGUAGUCAACAUGUCUCAUGCAUUCUUUGGUAUACAUCUUAUGCAUUCAUCAUAAUCUAUCAUAUGCAUUCAUUAUCACCUAUCUUAGGCAUUCAUUAGCAUAUAACUCAUGCAUUCAUUUACUUUGCAAUUGGCUACCAUUACAUGUAUCAAUGACUAAAUACACUACACUUUGGCAUGGAAGCGACCUAAUCGCUUCGGUGAGCACAACCCACCUCAAAUCACUUUUCGAUUGCUUGUAGUCACUUGCAAUCGGCCUUCCGCGGCACCCGUUGCCCGGUUCGGCCCGAACUCGCACUCGACCAUGAAACGGCCACCAAUCCAUGAUCCGAGAAUUAAAGGUCUAUAACUUGAUGCCACGAUGCUCCGGAUCCGUUCUCGUGAUUUUUGGAUGUCGCCUCGGCCCUCCAGUCGGAAACGAAGACAAAACGUUCGUUUCUUUAAUAUCUUCGCGUAGGCUCGACGAAUCGCCGAAACGUCUUUGCUAACGUGUCGGAAAUACCUUUAAUUAGGUUUACAUAGGAUCAAUUUACAUUUAAACCCUUCUAUGACAAAAGCCCCAAUUUUGGUGCCUUAACAAUGUCAUUUUGCCCAACACUUGGUUUGAUCUCUUUGCUAAGCAAGAACAAGCUUAGAAUCAUCUAGAAACUUAUCUAGAACCAUUACUAGGCCAUUCAAACCAUUACUAGGGCAUUUAGAACAAAUCCUAGAAAUCCACCAUGAGGGCAUAUGAAGAAAACAUGAUUUUCAUGUGUUCUAUGGCCUCAACAAGGUUUCUACUCUUGUAAAAAGAUCAAAUUCAAAAGAUUUUGGGUGUAAAACCAAACCCUAAUAUCAAUCUUACAAGAAACCUCAUCUUAGCCACAAGCUCUCUAAUGUUCACCUUGUAGGAGAGUCCCCAAGCCUUUAAAACCCUAGAUCCUCCAAGAUUUCUCCUCCAAAUCCACCUCCUUUAGCUUUGGGAGAGAGAUUCUAGAGAGAGAGAGGAAGAAAAAUGUGUUGGAGGGGGUAUUUGGCUGUGGGAGAGAGAGAGAGAGGGUGUUUGGGGCGUUUUAUAAGAUGCUACAAUUGCAUUUAGACCCUCAUCUUUUUCAUAUUUGCAGCAGUUUUCAUUUUGCUGUCAGACCCAAUGUGUACCGGUGCACAUCAGGGGUGUUGUAACGCACUGGACCUUUGCAAAUUGCGAGGUUCGAGUGAUUGGUCGUGCUCUGAGCCUUUCCAGAUUUCUGGUAGGUCGUUGACCGUGUUCCGACCUAUGGCACAUGUCCCGAGGAGUGUGGUACGAAGCCUUGCACCAAAACCCAAAAAUUUGGAUUUUGGUCAGCUCUCGGAUUGGCUGUCUGGCGGGCUUGUACCGGUANGUACUAGAGACCACCGUUGUUGUACUUUUGAGAUAGAUAUUGUACUACUUAUGGCUUCUUUUAUUGUCUAGCUUUAUUUCUUUACUUGGUGUAGACGAUAGAUCUGUACUUGCUCUGAUAUCAUUAGUUGCUAGUUAUUUCAUUUCCUAUAUUUGUUCUAUCUCUUGCUUUUACUUCCGCUUUUGUUGUUUACGCCUUAUAUGUGCAGACAUAUGGCGGGUCUGGACACGCUACCGGGAGGGCCUCCGCCGGUCCCGGGGCGUGACAGGUGUCACCGGUUACACGAUCGCGCUACAACCAAACCCGAGAGUUGCUAUUUCGGGUUUUACACUGUGUACCGGUACACUUUUAGUCUGUCACCAGUACACAGCCUUUUUAGGACUUAGCCAAUUUUUUUCAACUUUUCUCCGUUUUCGCUCGUUAGGCCUCUGAUUCAUCUUAAAUCGCACCGAAACCCCCAAAACAUAUUUUCGAGCGUGUCUCAACCAUCUUUUCAUCCCCGCUUAUGCCGGAUUUAACCCAUGGUCCAACAUGGCCUUUCGGGUUCCGUUUUCGCGCCAAACACGCACCGAAACACCCGAAUUCUCCCGAGCCUCAAUCUCGCAUUGUUUCGACUCCAAUUCACGCCGAGCAAUGCUAAAACCUUUCCAACUCCCUUGAACUCAACUUUAACCCUUCCAACAUUGUUGGAAUGUUAAAUAGGCUUUGUCCAACUAUUCCUUUCGCACACUUUAGUCAAUUUGACUAAAGUUCGAUAUUCUCUACCGAGUUUCUGUAUGUUACAUUCUCCACCCCUUAACAAGAGUUUCGUCCUCGAAACUCAACUCACACCUCAAUUCAGCUCCUCAAGCAAUUGAGGGCACUAAUGCACUUUCCCACUCCGGAAUGGUCUCACGUUCAUAGGAACAAUUCAAAGGUUCACAAUGGAGGAUACGAAACCAAAAGCAUACACUUUGCAAGGUGCAUCUCACAAAGUGCAUUAUGGUCUCCGUCCUUCUUGGUGGCAGCGCAAGUCGAAACUCGAUGACUCUACGUGCUCCAACAGCACUCGCCAAUCGGCACACAAAGAUUUUAUCCUUGCAUUUGCUUUCCCUUUGGCGAAUACAUUCCAAUUCCAAUCCUCGAACUCCAAGUGGCUUGUUACUAGCUCAAGGCCUCACCAAGAGCACUUUAUCUUCUAAUGCCAUAUGCCACGGUCAAUCUCAUAUCACUCUCGCAACGAGCACACACGAAUGCUUCGUUCGUGAAUUUGAGCGAAACCUCUCGAUAAGGCUAUCCACCAAAUCGCUUUCCUCAGUUUCCAUAGCUGGACCAAAGGUCACCAAUAGUACGUAGGCCUACCGCCUAAAUCUAUCUCAACGUACGCGCAGCGCCUCUCGCUCGCCAGCGUAGACCCAAUCAUCAUUGGGGCGAAAUUCUUACUUGGGAAUUCGCACACACUCCAACCAGGAGCAAUUCAAGACCUCAAACCAUUAUAGAUCCUCGGGUUGGGUCACAACUGAACUCUUGGUAUACAAUCGAUCGCACGACACGCUCUAUCGAGCACACGUAUCAUUACCGGCUCCUAUGCACCUAGCGCGAGUCACAAGUCCUACGAGUGAUCCAUGACACGCUUCACACCUAGUAAUGCUCAAGUGCUACUGCCAACACUCACGCGGCGGAACUAAAUCCGCACUCCACGAGUAAUUAUACUCGAGCGUCACACGCCUCUAUAGUGCUCCAAUUUCCUUUACUUGCCGCAGGCCAACUCUGCUGUCCAUAGCACUGGGUACCGAUACGCAUCAGGGGUGUCACUGGUACUCCGUUGCACAGAGACCAAACUCGAGAGCAACCUAUUCUCGAGUUGCUGCCUGGUACCGGUACAAUCCAAUGCUUAACCGGUUAACAAUGCUCCAGACUUCGAUUUCGCAUUGUUUCGCUUCGAUCAAUGCUAAAACCCUUUAAUCUCUUUUAGAACUCAACUUUAACCCUUCCAACAUCGUUGGAAUGUCAUAUGGACUUUGCCCAUAGGUCACCACUAGCAACUCACUAGUGCCAUCUAGUCUCCACCUGCUCCAGCAGGUGCUCCGCUUUCACAACGCAAGCAUGCCCGGGUAUUUACACUUAUCCAUCCACUUGGUCCCUACUAUACUAAGGUGUAAGUAGUAGCAAAUGACCAUAUGCUCAAUGCAUGCAAUGCACCAACUUUACAUCAUGCAGAAACACAUGACUACAUCAAUUAAAUCAUACCUGCCAUGACGUCGUCAGUAGCAGCAGGUCCGACAUCCUGGGUCGCGUGUCCAUGGCCACUUGGCGCCCACUGCGAACCCCUUGGUUGCAUCACCACCAUCGCUCGCUCUCCCGACCGUGCCGCAGGUGGCAUACCCGCAGGCUGUCCCGAGGAGGAAAAGGCGGUCGCCAGCGUCAAAGCCUGGCUAUCACCUUGCGGACACUCAUCCCACAUAUAGCCUGGUUGCCCACAACGAACACACUUUCCAUCAUGCAGCGCACAUCGCCGCGCCCUGUGGGAACCACCACAAAUCACGCAGCUUGGAGAGGAUCGAGUAGAUGACGACUUCGGGUGUCGCCUGGAACUUGAUUGUCCACCUGGAUUGCUCGAUAAUGGCCUCACUCCACCCCGCUCGUGUUCAUAAGACUCGUGCUCCUCACGCACGAAAGCCUCACCGUGCUCUGCCCAUAACGCUCGGUCCAACAUCUCCGCGUAGGUCGUGAGUUUGAAGAUUUGCACCUUCUCGUAAAUAUCCGGUUGAAGUCCACGCAGAAACCAAUCGGCCAUUGUCAUCCCGUACCACAUCAGGGACACAAUUCACGAUACGGGAGAAUUCCCGUUCGUACUCCCUCACAGAGCGGUCUCAUUGCCACAGCUUCCUGAACCUGUUCUGAAGCUUUCUCUUUUCACUGUCGGAAAAGUAAGUAGAAAAUACCAAUCCCUGAAACUCAUCCCAUGCCAUAGGAGGGAGACUAGGCGAUCGAUCCCGUCGAAUGCCCUUCCACCACACCCUCGCCGAUUGCUUCAAGCAAUGCACGGCUAGGGGCACCUUGUCCCGCUCCAAUGUGUACAGCUCCUCGAAGAGCGUUUUCAUGGAGUCAAUCGACAUCUCUACGAUCCACGGAUCGACAUUCUCUCCAUCGAAGAUAGGUGGAUCAAACUUCUUGAAGGUCAUGAGGGCCGCCAAAGCCCGCUCAUUCUCCGCCUCCACCAAUGCACUUUUGGGAGUCGGAUCGCCCGACCCCGACGGAAACAUCUCCGCCGCAAUUCCCUGCCGUCCUCGACGAGCCGCAACUGGUGCGGUCACCAGCUGAUCUACCAUUUCCUGGAGUCUCUUAAUUCGCUCCUCCUGGCGCAUAGCAGCCUCUUGCUGUCGCUGCACCACAUCGGCUUGUUGCCUCACCACUCCCACGAGUGUGGCCAAUUGAUUGCGAAGUUCCAAGUCUCCGCUCGCCUCAGAUUGCUCAGGGACAUCACUUAUCCCAUCCCGCGCCGAUCUAGCUGAAGAUCACCUAUGCGGUGCCAUCGUUCCCUGAAACACGACAACUCGAUUAAUCCUCAACCUUCUUAGGUCGAGCACAAAACAAUCAACUUCGACUCAAAUCGGACGAAAGUCAUACAAGAGCGUCUAUUCUCAUCACUCGGUUUCAUGUUGUACAUGCCCAACAUGAACACCCUCGGUUGAGAAUACACCACACCUUGAGUCUAACUGUAAUAUCCGUCUUAGAGGUUUACAACACAACCCAAUCCAUAACCUUUCGCCAUAAGUCUCAAGUCCUCGUCUCUCACGAGCCUUAAUCUCCUAUGGUUUACUAUCCUAGGGUCUCCUAGGUCCAACUAAACCGUUUUUUUUAUAUUCUUUUAUGUUCGUUCUAUUCUCCCUUUAUGCUCUGAUACCAUCUUAUCUGUCAUGCCCCGAGCCCGCCUCUUUGGCUGGUUCGGGCACGCCGACAGACCGCCGAACGGACAGGAUUUUUCCUGUACUGCGGACAAAGUCCCCCAUGUAUGUCCAAGGCGUCACAAUCCAAACAAUGCGCGAGGUUCCAAUCAGGAACAGCAUACAACACAGGUUGCAUAAGAAAAGUAUCGAAAACAUAAAUACUAUUAUGCUAUUACAAGCAUUCAACUCAAAUACAUUUUACAUUACACAUUACAUUUUCAACUUCUCUUAGUAACUUCCAAAUACAAUCCAAUUUAACAUAAUUAUUACAAUAAUGAUUCUUUUCUUUUCUUUGACAUCCCUAAGCAGUCGACUCAGGGUACCGCUAUCUUUGGUCUCGGUGGUAGGGCGCUAACUACGGAGCUACGCCAUUUUCUCGCGCUGCCGCGCCGCUCACGUGUGAACCUGUACCCCUAAUGUGUACCGGUACACAUCAGGGGUGUCACCGGUUACACGAUCGCGUAACAGCCAAACCCGAGAGCUGCUGUUUCGGGUUUUACACUGUGUACCGGUAUACUUUUAGUCUGUCACCGGUACACAGCCUUUUUAGGACUUAGCCAAUUUUUUCAGCUUUUCUCUGUUUUCGCUCGUUAGGCCGCCAAUUCAUCUCAAAUCUCACCGAGACCCCCAAAACAUGUUUUCGAGCGUGUCUCAACCAUCUUUUCAUCCCCGCUUAUGCCGGAUUUAACCCAUGGUCCAACAUGGCCUUUCGGGUUAUGUUUUCGUGCCCAACGCGCACCGAAACACCCGAAUGCUCCCGAACCUCAAUCUCGCAUUGUUUCAACUCCAAUUCGCGCCGAGCAAUGCUAAAAUCUUUCCAACUACCUUGGAACUCAACUUUUGUCCUUCCAACAUUGUUGGAAUGUUAAAUAGGCUUUGUCCAACUAUUCCUUUCGCACACUUUAGUCAAUUUGACUAAAGUUCGAUAUUUUCUACCGAGUUUUGGUAUGUUACAAGCCCGCCCGUUCCACCCGCGCCGUCGCCGGCGCCCGCCCUCCCCCUCGGCUCACACCCUCGCGCUCGCUUGCGCUCGCGCCCUUGCAGUGCCCACGCCCGCCCGCGCCUGCGCACGCUCGAUUGCCCCACUGCUCCUCCGCCCUUGGCGCGCCGUCGCAAAGCGCCGCGAGCCGUGCCUUGCCCCCUGCGCCCGCCCCGCCCAGCGCCGGCUGCCUGCGCGCCGCCCUUGAGCAAGCCCGCCCACCCCUCGGCCAGCCCGGCCCGCGCCCUGCGCCAAGCCCCGCCCUGCGCCCUCGCCCGUGCCUGCGCCUCCCGCUACCACGUGUGCAGUUAUUGAGAAAUAAUAUAUCUUUAUAGAUGGGCCAACUUUUUUGAUUUUGUAGAUUCGAGCGGAUUUUCAGCCACCUAACCAAAAUGCCCCUCGUCUACAUUCGUCGUCCGCGUAUUCCCUGAGAUUCAUAUACCCUAACGUACGGUCCUGGCGGGUAUUAAAUGCGCCCCAUGCGCUUUACGCAACCUCGCUCUCAUCGGAACCCGGACCAAAUCUGCUCCGCUAUGCGCCAGCACUAGUGUUUGCUCUUCAUCUUAAAAAAAUUAAAUUUGCUGAAGCUAAAUGACAAAAACUACGCGGCCCACAACAGAAAUAAUAGUGCAACACCAUGUAGCAACAUGACGAGAAAUAGUGCAACAACCCUUCUAAUAGUGCAUCCUUCGGCUGUCACGAGUGCAAUCUCAGUCGCUCAGAUGUGUGACGUUAGCGUUCAAUUUUCUCCCUCAAAGGGCAUCAUUCUUGUAACACACUGGACCUUUGCAAAUUGUGAGGUUCGAGUGUUUGGAUGUAUUUCGAGCUUUUCCACACUUGGUGGAGGGUUGUAGAACGUUUUCCGACCUAAAAAGUUCGAAAAUCGGAAUUCUGGAUAAGUCCUGAGAGUUUUUACUCUCGGGGACUGGUCCGUGGAAGGAGAGACCGGUCCCCCAGUGAGCAGUGUUGAGGCAGCCUGAGGCAACCGGUCCCUGGCAGGCGAGACCGGUCCCCGAGCGCGUCUUCGCAGUGAGAGACCGGUCCUGCACGGGGAGAGACCGGUUCCCGAACGUUGGUUUUUCGGGUUCGCAGCGAGAGACCGGUCCCUGCUGGGGAGAGACCGGUCCCUCUGGGCGAAAACUGCCCAGUUCGGGCUGAUGUAAUAUUGGGUUUUUGAGGGGCCUGGUUGGAUUUUGUUACUCUAGAUGGGCUUAUUAGCCAUUUCACUCCCUUCCCUCCUCAUUUCUCACCACCCUACACCUUCUAGAGAGAGAAGAAGAAGAAGGAGAAGAAGAAGAAGGAGGAGAAGAAGAAGAGGAGCUAGUUUGAGGGAGCUUGGAGCUCAACCCCUUUCUCUCUUUCCCACCUUGGCAAGGCUUGGAGCUUGCUUGUAGAGCUUAGUGGUGGACCAACUUCAACCCUAGAAGAUUUUGAGCUUGGAUUGGAGCAUCCUAGAGGUAUGUGGCAAGGUUCCUCCCUCUAGAUCUUAGUUUUGGAGCUUUUUGCUUGUUUUAACCCUAGAAUGAGAUUUAGGGUUUAAUUUUGGGCAUUUUUGAUCUAGGGCUUUUGGGGCUAAAUUGAUUGGUUUAGAACCUUCCUAGGGCUUGGAUUGGAAGGGUUCUAGCUCUCUUUUGGAGCUUUGGGAGAGAUUUCUACUCUUGAGGUAAAUUUUGGCCCUUUUUGCUCCUAGGUUAAUGUUUGAUCUUACGGUUGGUCGUGAUGCUCCCGUAUCUCUUCACUGACCACUUUUAGGGUAUCUUGAGGCUCGUGGACAACUUCGUUCGGCGAAUCGAGACCCUACGCGACGGUUCGGUGGGUUUGACCUAGCCACACAAUGAGAAAUUCUCAUGUGUGUUUAAUUAAGUGUUGUUAAAUGAAAAAGCAUGCAUAUUCUUGUUAUACGAAUUUAUUGUGAAUUUUAGAAUGCUUAAAAGGCCUACGUUAUAUAUAAUGAAAUUUUGGACCUCUAUGUAGUAGAGAGUAGCUUAUUAGGCCAUGGUUGCAUUUAGCAUUCUAUAUGAGACGCGGUAUCCUACUUCUAUAGUAUAAAUGAGUUCGGAUUCAUGCAUGUAAACCUACAAUUACUUGUGACAUGAAAAUUGACAAGAUUGUCAUUUAGAAGCUAUGUGAAUUAGAGAGCUAAUGUCAUCAAGCGGCAUUGAGCUCGGGACGCGUGUGAACCUAAUGGAUAGGGCCAUCAAGGGAUUUGAAAUACAUAUUGAACAUCAGAUUGCCUAAGUGUCAUCAAAGGGCACUAGGCGUAGCAAAGGUUGAACCUUCACAUUGUGACAUAAACUAGAUCUUUGGGAUACUAGUGACUAUACCAUGUUAGAGACAUGAGGAUUGGAUACUUUAGACUUGGACUUUGCUUGCUUGCCAUUUGUGCUCAUUCGCACAUGCUUGUGAGGGUCGCUCCCUACAAGCCGGCACUCCGGAGUUAGCCUAUGCGACCUAUGUUCGCUCGUGCGGUAUUGAGAAGCCUACGGGGUCGAGUGGGACAGACACAUUCCAAGAGUAGGAAUGUCGGGCUACCACAGGCACUUAGGCGGCACAAGCUGGACUACCUUUGGUAGGUCCUUGAUUGGAAAUGGAAAUCGAUACGGGGUCGAGAUUGGUUAAUCACUACUAGAUAGGUUUAGUAGUUGGAUUACAUUUAUAUGUUUUUUUAGCAUAGUGUUGAGACAUGUAGUAUAUUUGAUAGUCUCUUGUUGCAUUAGAGCAUACUUGGUUGCCAUGAUAGAGCUUAUGCAUCAUGCAUUGAUAAGGGUUAUUGACAUUAGACUAGUGCCAUUGGACGUAAUUGUAAGGAUAGAAUAGAUGUACAUUUUGGUUUACAUCACGCUUUCUUUCAGCAGUUUAUUUACAUGCUCCUUAUUGCUUAUUAUUAUUAUCGUUGCUUACCUUUGUUUUUGGGGCCUAGUGGAGCAGGAGCUGAGGUCAGUAAUUGCCCACUGGGAACUAUAGCUUAUAGUUCUCACGCCCUCUUUUUCUCGAUGUUUUCAGAGCCUUCCACUCAGGGCGAGGCUAGGGACCGCGGGAAGGGAGUUGCUUCGAGCUAGCUUCCUUUGAGGACGAUUCGCUAGGUGGUCUACCUCUCGUUGUGUUUUAUUUUGGAGAGGUUGAGAGUUCUACCAGUGUAUUAGAGACCACCGUUUUUGUACUUUUGAGACAGAUAUUGUACUACUUGUGAUUUCUUUAUUGUCUAGCUUUACUUGCUCUGAUAUCAUUAGUUGCUAGUUAUUUCACCUCGUCAUUUGUUCUAUUCUUGCUUUUACUUCCGCUUUUAUUGUAGACGCCUUAUAUGUGUAGACAUAUGGCGGGUCUGGGCACGCUACCGGGAGGGCCUCCGCCGGUCCCGGGGCGUGACAGAUUAAUUUGGUAUCAGAGCCUAGGGUUGAGUCUUAGUGGACCUAGCGAACCUUAGGCCGGUUGAACUAUAGGAAUUAGGCUCGUGAGAUACGGGGUCUAAUUGACUUGUGAGCGAAAGUAUCGUGAUUGGGUGUCUUGAUAACUCUAAAAAGGUUAGAGUUGGAUCGGAGUGUAUGGCUCCUAACUUCGCGGAGGGUUACGUUGGCGGCCGACAACGUAACAUCGGGAGUUAGUAGUGAAGGACACUUCCUUACUUUCGCAUGAUUUGGGUUUUAUCUAUUUGAGCGGGGAUUCGAUAGUGCGGGUUACUAACUUGCACUUUUAUGUUUUGUAGCGACGAUGCCGAUUACUCGCUCCCAGUCUGCCGGGGCGGAUGAUGCGGCACAUCCCGAGGAGGUUGAGACCUCCGCUACUUCCGGAUCUAGCGAGGUCCGUGACCUGAAGGCCCAGCUUGCGGCCCUUACUGAUCUGUUGGCGCAGCAGACGGUAGCGGCGCAGCGACAGGCCGAGGUGGCUCAGCGGCAGGAGGCACGGAUGAAGCAUUUGGAGGGCCUCCUACUUCAGCAGGCGGCAGCCUCGAGGGAGACCAAGGGUCCUACACCGCCAGCACCCGUGGUGGACGUCGCACCGAGGGCGCAGUCCCCCGCGCCCAGUUCUUCCCGUGCGGCACCGGCGCCCGCACCUCGGGAGGAGGUGGCUGCGGUACCCCCAGUACAGAGACCGGCGACGGGGGUGGCAUUCCCCGUGAUGGUCGAGGGAGCUGAGCGGGAUCGGCUCAUGGAGCGCCUCAGUGAGUUCAGGAGGUGCAGCCCGAGGAUGUUUGAUGGCGAGAACGUCAACCACUGGAUUGUUGAGAAGUGGUUGAUACACAUGGAAAAGCUGUUUCGAGACACUUUUGUGGAGGAGCGGACAGAGUUUGGCUUGCCACUCACUUUUUGGACGGCGAGGCCUACCGUUGGUGGUUGGAUAUCCAGGACAACCCCAACAUCGACUUUUCAGCGAUUACUUGGACACGAUUCAAGGAGCUUCUACUGGCGCACCACUUUCCUACCAGCGUCAAGAGGAAGAUGGAGCAGGAUUUGCGCAGCUUGCGCCAAGAUGAGCGGUCAGUGGCUCAGUACGAGAGGGAGUUCUCCCGGAUACUACANUGAGCUGAGGUCAGUAAUUGCCCACUGGGAACUAUAAAUUAUAGUUCUCACGCCCUCUUUUUCUCGUUGUGUUUCAGAGCCUUCCACACAGGGUGAGGCCAAGGAUCGCGGAAAGAGUAUUACCUCGGGCUAGCGUGCUUACCGAGGGAUCGUUUGAUCGGUGGUCUACCUCUCUUUGUUUCUUUUGUGAGAGGUUGAGAGUUUUACCAGUGUAGUAGAGACCACCAUUUUUGUACUAGAAGCUGAUAUUGUACUACUUAUGUUUCACUUUUAUGGUUUAGCUAUGCUCUUUUCCUAUUGUUAUAGAAGAUAGAAUCAUACUGCUCUGAUAUCCCUAGUUGUUGCUCAUUCGUUUCUAUUACUUCUCGCUUUUACUUCCGCUUUUACUCUAGACGCCUUAUAUGUGUAGACAUAUGGCGGGUCUGGACACGCUACCGGGAGGGCCUCUGCCGGUCCCGGGGCGUGACAAUCCUUGUAAGGACUGAGACUUUUACAGUGUAGCUAAACUCUCAGUUGACGAUGUUUUUGUGUGUAAUUUAAUUACAAAAGCACUCAUCAAGUUUCGGGAGAAAACGAGUUAAAACGGAGAUUCUACGCGAUUUCCAAGUUUUACUUAAAGUGAAUAGUAACUCGAUUUUUCGGAAAACCCACGGUGUGAAGUUGGCUUCAGGCUCAUAUCGGACUCCGUUCAUAGCAGUCCAAUAGCUCGUUUCGACCGGUUCAGCUAUUCUGGAACUAAUGGCGCUGACGGAUUUUGAGUUUGAUCCACGGAUUUCGAGAAAAUCCAAAAAUACGUGUUUUAUAUGUAUUUGUGCACAGUUCUUCUGUUGGAGAGAUGGAUCGGAUUUUGUCACGAAUCCGCGAAGGAUCGAGGUGAAACGAAAUCGUAGCUUUGUUGUCUCUGUUGUGCUGAUCUCACUGGUGCGAUCCGUUCGCAAAUCUGACGUACGGAUCUGCGGAGAUUGCGCGUUGAUUGAGGAGAGGUCGGUGAUGGCAAAACGGUAUUUUCGUAAAAAGUGUGACAUUUUAUGUGCCGUUUUGUGUGAAACCGAAGGUGGAGGUGUAUUCGUGCGUUUUACACGCACUGUGAAGGACCCAGUAUUAAAUACUGAGGUUUUGUGCUCUAACUCGCAAUUGUACACUUCUCUAUAUAAAGUUCACCUAGGGUUUGCCCAUUGGAAACCCUAACCCUAGCCUUGCCGCACCCCCCAGCCACCUUCAUCUCUCUCCCCUGCCUUGCCGCGCGUGCGACGGCCGCAACCGACCGAGCCCCGGCUCGCCAGCAGUAGCUUCUACCGCAGCCGCAACCUUUGCCACCUUCCCUCUCGAUCCAUCUCUCUCCUUCCACCUCUCUUCAUCUCGGGUUGGGGACGAGGCCGAGGUUGCUCUCCUCUACGGCAUCACCCCCGUAGCCCCGGCGACCACCCCAGUCGCCUGCCGCCGUCGCUAAGCGCGGCCGCCGCGCUGCAGCCACUUGUUGCCUGCUAGGGCAUCUCGGGCCGAGCUGAGCUCCAUCUGCUAGCCGCGCGCCGCCGCCACCUGAGGCCGCUCCCGCCGCCUUCCCCGGAGCCUCGGCGACCACCCUGGCCGGUCUCUGCCGCCCCUGCGGGCCGCCGCCGCCGCCUCGGCCAGCCGCGGCCGCCCCAGACCCUCUCAGGCCGAGGUGGACUCGCGACUUCUCCCCCGCGCUGCCGCAGCUCGGGGCCGCACCCGAGGCAUCCCUUCGGCCUCCAGCUACUCCCCGUCGUUGUCCCUGAGCUUCUCGGCCGCCGCUGUGGCCGCCUCUGCUCUGGAACCCGAGCCCUAGCUCGUGCGGGCUCAGGCUGCUCCGCCGCUGCCACCGCCGCACCUCGCCGCCGGCUAAGGUGAUCCUUGUGCUCCUUCCAUCCCCCGCACCCACCUCUGGCCCGCGCACACCUCGCCAUGCCGUCGGAAGCCGGCCGGAGCAAGCUUGCUCCAGCCAAGCCCGAAUUAGGGCUUUUCUGGGAUGGCUUACUGUUUCGAGCGACCAGAGGCUUCCCGAUCUCUGAGGAAGGGAGCAUGAUGAUCUUUAAUCCUUGCUGAUCAUCGUGCUCACCUUAGAUUUUGUCGGAAAGACUUCGUUAUGCUGUUUCGGUAGUGUCGCCCCUUCAGGGCCUUCUUGGCUGCUGUUUUGGCCUUGCGCGCACUUUUUCGGCGAUCCAAGGCUGUCCCGAUGCCUCCGGAAGUGAGCACGAUGAUCGCUGGUCUGUUCUGAUCACAGUGCUCACCUUACUUUGGAUCAGCGGAUGUCGUGUCGGCAUGUUCGGCACGAUUUUUCCCGACUGCGCGCUAUUCGCAGAACCUUCGGGUCGCUCCCGCCCCUCCCACAGUGAGCCGUUGUGCUCUGGAUCAUGAGCACGGCCUCCGGUACAUCAGACCUGUCAGUGCGUGUCUCAGCAGACCUUGAAAGUCCUCGGUUUGCGUGAACGAGCCACUUGAUCGCCAAAAUUACAUAAAAUGUUAGGAUUUUAAGUAAUUAGAGGGGCUUUUGUGCAAUUGUGCACCUUAUGGCUACUGUGGGCAGUGCAUGUGUGUGUGUGGUGACCUCUGGACUGAUUGUCCAUGAUCCGAUAGUCUUCGCCGAAAUGGAGGAGUUGAUUUCGGUGCGUUUUUCGGCGAAAUUCGCCGAAAGAACGCGAUUUCAGUUCGGAUUUCUUCUGACGUUGUUUGUUUAUCCUGUGAAUUGUCACUGAGCCUUGUUGGCUGGUCACCAUCAUCAUUUUGUGGGUUCAGUGAUGAUGGGUGAGCGACGGUGGGUUCCGGUGUCGAAAUAGACGCUUCCGGGAACCCGUAUUCGUACAAUUACUCGGCGAUAAUUGGGUAGUGGUGUUAUCUUGUGUUUGCUGCCAAGACAUCCAAACAUGAGUGUUUUGUGGCAGCGGGUAACUCGCGACACGAGUCGGUGAGUUUCGGGACACUUAGUAGGUCCCGACGGCGUCCUGGUGUGGUUUUCGGGACUUCUGGUGAGUUACGGUGAUCGGUUUUGGGAAAUCGAUUCAGGGAUCUGUGUGGGGGUUUGUGAGAUAGUAUACUUCAGGUUAGUGGGUUGGAUAGUGACCUAGUGGAUCUUCGUAGGUUCGGUGAAGUUGUGUGCAUCCAAGUUUUUCGACGCGAUUGUGACAGGUGGGUGCUUCGAGCUGGUAGUCGGUGAGAUCGUUUCACCCUUCCUCUGUUCUUUCAUAUCAGUAUCGUAGUCUCUACAUGUCAGCUGAUUGUUUAUCGUUUGUUUAUUGCAUCUCAUUGAUUGCAUUUGGAUUGUUGUGGAUAGACAUGUAGAGCAGGUUACAUAUAUAUUGUAUCUUUGUGGACCUUGGGUCUAGGCAACACAUCGACUCCUUUGUCGUGUGUUUCGAUCUGGUUGAUCGUGGUUCGGCGUUGUACGCCCUUGCACCUAGCUUCGGCCAAGGCACCGAUCUUUUUUUGCCAGUUUUCGUUUUGAGCAUAUCAGCAUGAUUUAGUCACAGCACUGUGUAUUCUAGACACCAGGUUGGUUUGGCCGCCAACCAAGAGGUGUACGUAUCCGGAUAGGUCGUCGGUGAUGCAUGAAUAAGUUGGCAGUGUCUGCUCUGUGACAGGCAAUACUCGAGGUUUGCGGACCAAUAUAGCAGCAUCAGAUUGGGUUUGGUUUGGACUAUUUACCCUUGAGGCAUACUGUAACACACUGGACCUUUGCAAAUUGCGAGGUUCGAGUGAUUGGAUGUGUUUCGAGCUUUUCCACACUUGGUGAAGGGUUGUAGAAUGCUUUUNGGACCUUUGCAAAUUGCGAGGUUCGAGUGAUUGGAUGUGUUUCGAGCUUUUCCACACUUGGUGAAGGGUUGUAGAAUGCUUUUCCGACCUAAAAAGUUUGAAAACCUGAAUUCUGGAUGAGUCCUGAGAGUUUUUACUCUCGGGGACCGGUCCCUGAUAUGAGAGACCGGUCCCCCCAGUGAACAGUGUGCGUAGGCGGCAAGGCAACCGGUCCCGCGCAGGGAGAGACAGGUUCCCGAACGUUGGUUUUUCGGGUUCGCAGCGAGAGACCGGUCCCUGCUGGGGAGAGACUGGUCCCUCUGGGCGAAAACUGCCCAGACCGGGCUGAUGUAAUACUAUUUUCUUGAGGGGCCUCUUGGGAUUUUGUUGCAUUAGAGGGUCUAUAUGACCCAUCCACUCUCUCCUCUCCCCAUUUCUCUUCUCUCAACCCUCUCUACACCCUUGAUAGAGAAGAAGAAGAAGAAGGAGAAGGAGAGGAAGGAGGAGAAGAAGAGGAGGAUCUAGCUUGGGCUUGGAGCAUUCUUUUGCCUUUCUUCCUCUUCCCACCUUGUUGGUGCUUGAAGGCUUGGACUUGGAGCUUGCAUAGGAGGAGAUCUUCACCCUUAGAGCUAGGAUUGGAGCUUCUAAGGAGGUUUGUUGCUCAUUUCCCUCCUCUAGAUCUUGUUUUGAAAGUUUUUGUAAAUGGAACCCUAGAAUAGAGAUUUAGGGCUUAUUUUGGGGCUUUUUGAUUUAGGGCUUUUGAGGCUAGAUUAAUUGGUUUAGAACCUUCCUUGGGCUUGGAUUGGAAGGGUUCUAGCUCUCUUGUGGAGCUUUGGAAGAGAUUUCUUCUCUUGAGGUGAGUUUUGGCCCUUUUUGCUUCUAGGUUAAUGUUUGAUCUUAUGGUUGGUCGUAAUGCCCUCGUAUCUCUUCGCUGAUCACUUUUAGGGUACUUUGAGACUCGUGGACAACUCCGUUCGGCGAAUCGAAGGAGCAUGUGACGGUUCGGUGGGUUUGGCCUAGCCACACAAUGAGAAAAUCUCAUUGGUGUUGAUUUGAGUACUGUUAAAUGUUUAUUCAUGCAUUUCCAUGCUAGAUACAUUUAUUAUGAUUUUUAGAAGGCUUAUUUGCCUACGUUACAUGUGGUGAAAAUUUCGGACCUCUAUGUAGUAGAGAGCUAGCAUGUGGAACUUGAACAGGUUUAGCAUCACAUUGAGACUUGGAAUCAUAGUUCCUAUGGUGAAAACGAGCAUCUCAUGCAUGCAUUUAAAGUUAUUUCUAUUUAAGAUUUAAAAGUUCCUAGUGAGCCAUAAAGGGGCUCGGGGAUUUGCACUACUUGUGUACAAUUGGGCUAAUGUCAUAAAGGGGCAUUGAGCUCGGGUUAUGUGUGAAUUUAGUGGAUAGUGCCAUUGAGAGAGUUGGAGUGUGCUUGUUCAUCGAAAUGUCUAAGUGUCAUAAAGGGGCACUAGACUUAGUGAAUAUUAGAAUUUCACAUUGUGACCUAGAACUAGAUCUUCGAGAUGCUAGUGAAUAUUGCCAUGUUAGAGACAUGAUGAUUGGGUAUUUGAGACGUUGACUUUGCUUGCUUGCCAUUUGUGCUCAUUCGCACAUGCUUAUGAGGGUCGCUCCCUUCAAGCCGGCACUCCGGAGUUAGCCUAUGCGACUUAUGUAAGCCCGUGCGGUAUUGAGAAGCCUACGGGGUCGAGUGGGACAGACACAUUCCAAGAGUAGGGAUGUCGGGCUACCACAGGCACUUAGGCGGCACAAGCUGGACUACCUUUGGUAGGUCCUUAAUUGGAAAUGAAAAUCGACACGGUGUUGAGUUUAUUAUGAUCACUACUAGACAGAGAGUGGUAGUAGGAUUACAUGGACUUACUUCUAGCAUAGUUGUGGACAUUUGGGUAUUCAUACAUACAUGUAGUAUGCUAGGAGAUGUUGUUUAUUGCAUCCUUAUAUGCAUUGUAGUCAUGACAAAGUACCACUUUCAUAUCUGUAUAAAGUAAAUCAUGAUAUUACUUGUGAACAUGUAGAUAUAUAUUAUCCAUGACAAGAUAAAGUCGCAUUAUAAAUGCCAUGUUUAAUUGCAAGCCGUAGCUUAGCAUCUUAAUUAUGCUUUCUUAUAUGCAAUUUACUCGUUACUAUUAUUGUUAGACUUACCCUUUCUUUUGGGGUCUAGUGGUGCAUUGAGCUGAGGUCAGUAAUUGCCCAUUGGGAACUAUAAAUUAUAGUUCUCACGCCCUCUGUUUUAUGUUUUCUUUCAGAGCCUUCCACGCCGGGAGAGGCUAGGGAUCGAGGAAAGGGCGUGGCUUCGAGCUAGCUCUUCAGCGAGUGACGAGUCGCUAGGUGGUCUACCUCUCGAUGUUUUUAUUUUGUGAGAGGUUGAGAGUUGUACCCGUAUAUGUAUAGAGACCACCUUUCUUUUGGAUCUUGGUAUUUCUUUUGAGGUGUUAGUAUUGUAUCACCUUAUGCUUUACUUUGUUUAGUUAUAUUUCUUUUACUCUGAUUUAGAUGAUAGAACCUUACUCGCUCUGAUAUCGUUAGUUGUUAUUAUUCUAUUCGUUCUAUUUCUUGCCUUUACUUCCGCUUUGUUGUAGACGCCUUAUAUGUGUAGACAUAUGGCGGGUCUGGGCACGCCGCCGGGAGGGCCUCCGCCGGUCCCGGGACGUGACACAUACAAUCAGUUGAGUUUUUGGUUACAGUAGUAGUUUCGUUCUUACUCAGUUAUUAUUCUGUUUCUAUUACUACUGUAGUUGCUCUUAUAUCAUAUAUAUAUCUUGUUUAUCUAUCUCCAUUGGUUUCUGGUGAUUACAGUUUGCCUUCGUGGCUCUGUCGUGCCCAUUGGAAAACCAUGGUUGCGAUUUCUCACCCUCCAUUUCCCCCAGGUGACAUGGACGAGGUGUUGGAUUUUGGGCUCGACAGGAGGACGAUCUAGCUAGUCUGGUAUAGCAACUGUGACCCUGGUUACUUUCAUUUUGGCACUUAGUAGUUUUAAUAAUAAAUGGUUCAGUUAGAUGAUCAUAUUGAUGUUUGAAUAUUCGUGAAUUGGUUUUAGUGGAUGAUUUACUAUGAUGCAUGAGAUUGGAGUUUUCAGAUCUGUGGUUUUUGGUUCUCGUAAUUAUGGAUUUACGCAUCGUGGUUUUCUACCCCUCGAGGUAGCUGGUUUUUAAAAUAGAGUUUCCGUGUGGGAAACAAUUUAAAAAAGGUUUUCGAAUGAUUUUCAUGGAUGAUUUGAAUUAGAGUUUAAAAACAAAGCUUUCGGAUGGGGAGCACUUUUAAAUAGGAUGAUUGUUGUACUGUGCAUUACAUCAUCCAGCGCCUAAGGAGUGCUUAGAGGCAUGCAUCAUCUCUAAGGAUCGUUAGCUGUAUGAAAAUGCAUAUCAUGAAAUGGUUGUUGAUUGGUAAUUGUAGAUUGUAGUUGAGAUCCUGAUGUGCCUAUUGGUACGCCGUGCAAAUACAAAGGAGACUCUGUCCGAGUGGACAGAUGAACUUUUUAUUUGUGGCGGGUCUGUAUGUCACGUGGGCCGGGUUGAAAAAAAAGGGCACGUUUUCCGCAAUUCUGAUUUCAAAAUGGUAUGGAUUCUAAAAAGGCUUUUAAAAUCGGCCCCGGGGCAUGACAAUCCCACUCCCUUGGAGGGCAGUCAGGCAUUCUUCUUUCCAAACCAUAAGAAGCGUAGGGGAGUUUAUUCUAGCAUGCAUUUGCAGAGGAGAAGUGGAAGAAGUGCGGCCGAGAUACAUGGCGUUAGGGUCUGGAAGUGGAAGAGGGAGGGGGGAUGAGGGAGGAGGGAGCUAUGCGAAGGUAGUAGUGCAAAAAAAAGGAUCUAAGUGGUGUAACAUAUUCCUAAAUAGUGCAAUGAUUUAAAGAAAAUGGUGCAACGAGUCUAUAACCAGAGAAAAAUUUUUCUUAAAUUAGGUCAUCGUACUUCUCAUCCUCAGUCGUUGUGGCAGCGGCGGGGGGCGGCAUUCGAGAUGUGCAACAUAAUGCUUAAACGAUUAAAGAAUAUCGUGCAACAUCUCUUAUAAAAGCUUACUUCUUGUUUUAGCAGUACAAUAAUAGUGCAAUGUAAAACAUGAAUAACAGUCCAACACGGAGAAAAAUAGUGCAACUAAGCUUGUAAGAGUAUAGUGCAGUCGUAAUAAUAGUGCAACAUUCACUGUAAUAGUGCAAUGCAGUUCCAACUAGUGUAAUAUAAGAGUAGAACACUGACUGGAUUGUUCUUUCUAAACUUAAUAGUGCAACCCAAUAUAAAAUGGUGCAAUAUGCAGCUCUAAUUAGUGCAAGUCGUCACUAACUAUUGUAAAUAAGUGCGAAAUCAUAAGAAGCAUAGGGGAGUUUAUUCCAGCACGCGUUUGCAAAGGAGAAGUGGAAGAAGCAUGGCCGAGGUACAUGGCGUUAGAGUCUGGAAGUGGAGGAGGUAGGAAGGAGGAGUGAGGAAAGAGGAGGGAGUUAUGUGAAGGUAGUAGUGCAAAAAAAAGGAUCUAAGUGGUGUAAAAUAUUCCUAAGUAGUGCAAUAGUUUAAAAGAAAUGGUGCAACGAGUCUGUAACCAGAGGAAAAAAAUUAUUAAAUUAGGUGUAAUAUCAACAUUAAUGGUGUAAUAUUUGCCUAUCAUGCAAUGUGUCAUUAAGUAGUGUAAAAUUUUCUCCCUGAUUGGUGAUAACAUGAAAUUAAUAGUAAAAACAGGUUUAUAAAUAGUGUAACGAUGAUCAAAACAGUGCAAAAUUCUUUGCUAAAGCGUGUAACAAUUCACUAAGAAGUGCAAUUUUUUCUCUGUAUUUGGUGCUAGCAUGAACAUAAUAGUGAAAAUAAGUUCGAAAUUGAUAUUAUACUAUGACAAAAAUAGUGCUACUUUCUUUGCUAAAUAGUGUAACAAGUUCGUAAGCAGUCCAAAGGGCACGAAAAUAGUGCUUAUGUUUCAUCGUGCCGUCUAAAUGGCGUGGUGUACAGUCUUGCCACCUCCGUGGCCGACAUACUGAGCAAUUCUGCUCUUCUACCAGCACCAACAUCAUCGCCAACGCCUAUUAGAAGUAAAAAGAUUAAAAAACGGUACGAAAGCGUGUAAGUACCAACCCCCUCACCGUCUAAAUCCUCUAGGCGCUCCUCACAUAGUGCCAAAAAAGGUAGCACUAUUUUCGUCAUAGUAUUUAGCAAAGAAGGUAGCACUAUUUUCGUCAUAAUUAAUUAGUUCAUUAAGUGAAACAAUAUUACCAUGCAACCUAUUCAAUGACAAAUUAGAAAAAAGAUUCUAAAAAUAUUGUCGAUAUGAUCUUCUAUCACAUGAGUAUAGAGAAAUAAAUAAGUAAAGUGUAAAAAAUAAAAAAUAAACAAAACAAUAUGAAAUUAAUUUAUAAUUUAUAUUAUUAUAAAAUAACAAAUUACAUAAUUAAAAAACGUUAUCGUUUGUCAAGAUUAUAGUAUUCUUCCAAAUCUCUCUGGAUGCACAAUAUUUCCUACUAAAAUUUCUUUCUCUUCCAAGUUGAAGGUCCAAUUGAUGUCAUAUCUAUGACAUUAUUAGCUCCUUAUAUAGAAAAAAAAAUACUCAAUAAAUUAACGAAAUAAUUUAUAACUAGUGAAGGAGCCCGCGCUUUGCAACAGGUAGAAACCGUAGUAGUAAUUAAUAAUAAGAAAAUAUAAAACAUUCUUUUGUGUAUCCCACUUGGAAUAUCCUCUAAAGGUCGCGGCGGAAAGGGAAAGUGGGCGCGCAUUAGUGAGGAAAAGGGAGGGAGCGAGGAAAGGAGGCGAUAGUGUAUAGCAAUAAAUGAGAAAUAGAGAAUUGAUGAAUAGAUUGGAGAUAAAAAAUUAAAAGUCUGGUGGAGGAAAUGAAAAGGGCCAUAAUGAAUAAUUGGAGAUAGAGAGGUUAGGAUUGUAGAUGGUAGUGGGACCAUUUAAAUAUAUUAAUUAGAAGUUUGAUAGUCGAAUCAUUUGCAUUAAUUGAAAAUAUAGUGAGACUAUUUAAAUACACUAAUUAAAAGUUUGGUUAGUGAGACCGUUAAAAUAUAUAUUGAAAGUUUAGUGAAAGAAAGAAGAAGGGUCACAUGCUAGUGAGGGUGAAGGAGAACUUGCCACGUAGUAACAAACAUUGGAGAUUCAUGUAGGUUAAUAGAUAUAUUUAAUACUUCAUUAAUCUAUUGGUAGUGGAAUCCAAAUGAUUGAAAAAACUGAUAAAUUAAUUAUUUAGAAUUCAUCUUUUUAUUAUUUAGAGUGGAAGAUGAAAGGAUCUGUUUUAAAAAAGAAAACUGAUAAACUAAUUAAUUUCUCUAUUAAAUUAAAAAAAUUUAAAACUACUCACUUUUAGGAGGAUAGGCGGCUCUUCAUCUUCUACGUUACUUAAAGGCCAACUAUUAUUAUGAUUAGGGAUGCAAACAGGGCGAAUCUCGAGGCGGAAGCCCUGCCCCGCCUUCCGCCCCGACUACCAAAAUCCCGCCCCGCCUCCUGCCCCGAAUCGGUGACAGGUUAAAAAAUAUAUCCUAUAAUCUGCCCCGCCUUAUAACCCGCCUCCCGUCAGCGCCCCGAAUCCGCUUCGCCAACUAAUAUUUUUUAUAAAAUUAUAAUAUUAUUAAUAUUUCGUAAAAUAUAAAUUAAUACUUUUUAAUAAUAUUAUAUAUAUAAUUAACAAUAUUAAUUAUAAAAAUUAAAAAUAUCAAUCGCAAUUCGAAGAAAAAUUCAAAAGUUUCAAAUAUAUGAGAAAUGAUAGUACUAAGUUAUUUGUAUUUUGGACUUUUUUUGUAAAUACAUUAUUUUUUAAGGAUAUUUUUAAAAAAUAUAAAUGAUUUUCGGGGCGAAUUCGGAGCGGAUUCGGGGCGGAUCGCGGCGGGGCGGAUUCGAGGCAGAUCAAAAUUUCUCCUAUUUCCUGCCCCGAAUUUGUCUUUGAUCAUAAAAUUACCCUAUUUCCCGCUCCAAAUUCGUUUAUUUUCUCUCAUUUACUGCCCCAUUUGGGGCGGAUCGGGGCGGGAGCUCCACCAACCCGAAUUCGUUUGCAUCCCUAAUUAUGAUGUGCAUGUGAAGAAAAAGAAGUACUCAACAGAACAAAUAUAAAGUUCAAUUCUAAUUGAUUUUUAAAAAUUUUAAAAUUUAAAUCCAAACCAAAGUAAUCUACACCAUUAAAAGAUCCAUCUAUAGAAAUUAUAAUUUUUUGGGUAAACUUCAAAAAUCACCCAUGUGGUUUCGCAUUUUCUCACUUUAGUACCCUGUGGUUUAAAGUGUAUCAAGUUAGUGCCCUGUAAUUUUAUUUUUAUUUUUUCGUCAGCUUCUUCGUUAAUAUUUCGUUAAAUUAUAUACAAAAAACUUCAGAUACCCCACGUAGGUUUAUCGAAUAUUCACUUUAGUACCUUUUAUGUAACACACUGGAUCUUUGCAAAUUGCAAGGUUCGAGUGUUUGAUUUGUGUUUCAAAUUUUUUCAUACUUUCUGGAGAGUCGUUAACAGUGUUCCGACCUAUGGUUCACAUCCCGAGAAUCGAUGUUUGAAACUUAGCACCAAAUCUCUAAAGUGAAAAUUGUUGGCUGCUCUUGGGUUGGACUCUGUAGAGCAGAGUACCAAUACAGCAUCGGGCCUGUACCUGAACCAGACCUGGUACCAGUACAGCAUCGGACUUGUACCGAUACCCAGUGUGUUUUUCUGCAAACUCGAGGCUCGGGUUUGCGAGUACAGUGGCUUGGUACCGGUACUCUUUCCCGUGUACCGGUACGCAGUGCAAAUUGUGAACUGCUUAUUUUUUAGGGGUGUUUUUGAUAUUGUAGCAUCUCUAUAUAGCAUCCCAUGCCCUUUAGUUGUUUCCUUGAGCUUGGAAACACAGUAGAGAAGGUAGGGAAGCCCUCUACUUCCUCCCUUUUGUUUUCUUUGAUUUGUGUUGGGAUUUUUGAGGUUUAAUCACCUCCUUUUGUCUCUUGUUGGUUUUUGGUGCCAUUUCCACCAUUGGAGAAGCUUUGAUUUCGUGAUUGGAGCUUGAUAGAGGAAGGAUCUUCAACCCUAGUUGAUUUCAAGCCUUGUUUGAAGCUUCUAAAGUGGUUAAUUGCUUACCUCUCCUCUCUAGAUCAUGAUUCUCAUGAUUUUUGUAUAGAAACCCUAGAAUGUGAAAUUUAGGGUUUAUUUUGGAGAUUUUUGAUUUGUAGCUUCUAGAACCUAAUUGAUUGGUUUAGAACCUUUGUUUAGAUUGGAUUUUAAGGGAUUUUACUCUCAUUUGGAGAUUGAGAGAGAUUUUCAUCAUACAAGGUGAAUUUAUGCCAUUUUCUUGGGUUGAUUAAUGUUUGAUCUUAGGGUUGUUCGUUUGUUGCGUUUAACUCUCUUAAUAUUACCUUUAGGGAGCUAGGAGAGUAGUGGACACCUUCGUCGGCGCAAACGAAGGGUUAUGAGGAGUCUUGGUGGGUUUGACCUCAUCGAAAUGAGAAAAACUCCACCUAUGUCAAUUUUUAAUUGUCGUAAAAUAGAAAUGCAUACAUAUUCAUACUAGAUAGAGUCUACGAGAAUUUUAAAAUGCUUAAUAUACAUGUGCUAUAUUUUAUGAAAAUUACCUCUAUAUAGUAGAGAGAGAUAUAUGCAUUGUUAGCAUGCAUGAGAAUAACAUUCUAUUAUAUGGUUUGGGAAUCAUGUUCUUGUAAAGAAAAUGUAGCACACUGGACCUUUGCAAAUUGCGAGGUUCGAGUGUUUGGAUGUAUUUUGAGCUUUUCCACACUUGGUGGAGGGUUGUUGAAUGUUUUCCGACCUAAAAAGUUCGAAAACUGAAACUCUGGGCAAGUCCUGAGAGUUUUUACUCUCGGGGACCGGUCCCUGGAAGGAGAGACCGGUCCCCGAGUGAGCAGUGUUGCGGCAGCCCUGAGGCAACCGGUCCCUUGCGGGCGAGAUCGGUCCCCGAGCGCGCCUUCGUAGUGAGAGACCGGUCCCGCGCAGGGAGAGACCGGUUCCCGAACGCUGGUUUUUCGGUUUCGCAGCGAGAGACCGGUCCCGCGCAGGGAGAGACCGGUUCCCGAACGCUGGUUUUUCGGUUUCGCAGCGAGAGACCGGUCCCUACUGGGGAGAGACCGGUCCCUCUGGGCGAAAACUGCCCAGACCGGACUGUUGCAAUAAUGGAUUUUUGAGGGGCCUCACUGGAUUUUGUUACACUAGAUGGGUUUAUUAGCCAUUUCCCUCUCUUCCCUCCUCAUUUCUCACCCUCACCCUACACCUUCUAGAGAGAGAAGGAGGAGAAGGAGGAGAAGAAGAAGAGGGGUUUGCUUGAGGGAGCUUGGAGCUUAACCCGUUUCUCUCCUUUCCACCCUUGCUUGGCUUGGAGCUUGCUUGUAGAGCUUGAUGGUGGACCAAUCUUCAACCCUAGAAGAUUUGGAGCUUGUUUGGAGGCAUCUUGGGAGGUUAGUACUUGGAUUCUACCCUUUGAUCCUUGAUUUGGUAGGUUUUACCAUAUGGAACCCUAGAUUGGAUAUUAGGGUUGAUUUUUGGGGCUUUUUGAUCUAGGGCUUUUGGGGCUAGAUUGUUUGGAUUAGAACCUUCCUUGGGCUUGGAUUGGAAAAGAUUUAGCUCUCUUUUGAAGCUUGAGAGAGAAUUCCUACACAUUAGGUGAGUUUUAGCCCUUUUGCUAAGUUUGUUAAAGUUUGAUCUUAUGGUUGGUCGUAAUGCCCUCGUAUCUCUUCGCUGAUCACUUUUAGGGUACUUUGAGACUCGUGGACAACUCCGUUCGGCGAAUCGAAGAAGCACGCGACGGUUCGGUGGGUUUGGCCUAGCCACACAAUGAGAAAAUCUCAUUGGUGUUGAUUUGAGUACUGUUAAAUGUUUAUUCAUGCAUUUUCAUGCUAGAUACAUUUAUUAUGAUUUUUAGAAGGCUUAAUUUGCCUACGUUACAUGUGGUGAAAAUUUCGGACCUCUAUGUGGUAGAGAGCUAGCAUGUGGAACUUGAACAGGCUUAGCAUCCUAUUGAGACUUGGAAUCAUAAUUCCUAUGGUGAAAACGAGCAUCUCAUGCAUGUAUUUAAAGUUAUUUCUAUUUAAGAUUUAAAAGUUCCUAGUGAGCCAUAAAAGGGCUCGGGGAUUUGCACUACUUGUGUACAAUUGAGCUAACGUCAUAAAGGGGCAUCGAGCUCGGGUUAUGUGUGAAUUUAGUGGAUAGUGCCAUUGAGAGAGUUGGAGUGUGCUUGUUCAUCGAAAUGUCUGAGUGUCAUAAAAGGGCACUAGACUUAGUGAAUAUUAGAAUUUCACAUUGUGACCUAGAACUAGACCUUCGGGAUGCUAGUGAAUAUUGCCAUGUUACAGACAUGAUGAUUGGGUUUUUGAGACGUUGACUAUGCUUGCUUGCCAUUUGUGCUCAUUCGCACAUGCUUGUGAGGGUCGCUCCCUACAAGCCGGCACUCCGGAGUUAGCCUAUGCGACUUAUGUUCGCUCGUGCGGUAUUGAGAAGCCUACGGGGUCGAGUGGGACAGACACAUUCCAAGAGUAGGGAUGUCGGGCUACCACAGGCACUUAGGCGGCACAAGCUGGACUACCUUUGGUAGGUCCUUAAUUGGAAAUGGAAAUCGACACGGUGUUGAGAAUGGUUAAUCACUACUAGAUAGGUUUAGUAGUUGAAUGACAUUUAUAUGCUUUUAGCAUAGGGUUGAGACAUGUAGUAUACUUGAUAGUCUCCUUUUUGCAUUAAAGCAUACUUGGUUGCCAUGACAGAACUUAUGCAUAAUGUAUUCAUAAAGGUUAAUGAGUUACUAUUUUGAUAUCGUAGAUGUACAUCACCAUGACAUCAUGCUUAUUGGAGACAUAGUAGUAUAGCUUUUCAUUCAUGCUUUCUUCCAGCAGUUUGUUUGUGUGUUUGCUAUUUAUUGCAUAUUACUAUAUGUCGUUACUUACCCUUUUCUUUUGGGGCCUAGUGGUGCAUCGAGCUGAGGUCAGUAAUUGCCCACUGGGAACUAUAAAUUAUAGUUCUCAUGCCCUCUUUUUCUCGAUAUUUUUCAGAGCCUUCCGCGUAGGGUGAGGCCAGGGAUUGCGGAAAGGGAGUUGCUUCGAGCUAGCUUCCUUCGAGGACGAGUUACUAGGUGGUCUACCUCUGGGCGUCUUAUUUUAUUUUGCGAGAGGUUGAGAGUUUUACCAGUGUACUAGAGACCGCCACUUUUGUACCUUUGAGACGGUUAUUGUACUACUUAUGGUUUCUUUUAUUGUCUAGCUUUAUUUAUUCACUUUGGUGUAGGUGAUAGAAUUUCUACUCGCUCUGAUAUCACUAGUUGUUACUAUUCUAUUUGUUUUAUUUCUUGCUUUUACUUCCGCUUUACUAUAGACGCCUUAUAUGUGUUGACAUAUGGCGGGUCUGGGCACGCUACCGGGAGGGCCUCCGCCGGUCCCGGGGCGUGACAGAAAAUGACUUAUGUUAUAUGCUCCUGAACUUAGAACUCAUAUUUGACAUAGUGGAUAAAAAUGUCAUAAAGUGGCAUGGAACAUAGUAAAUGUGAAACCUUUACUUGAUGACAUAGUGAUAGGCCAUUGGGUCACUCGUUUUUAUGCCAUGUUUUAGACAUGAUGACAUUGGACUGGAGACGAAAAUUUACGCUUGCUUGCCAUUGUGCUCAUUCGCAUAUGCUUGUGAGGGUCGCUCCCCACAAGCCGGCUCUCCAGAGAUAGCCAUCGCGACAUAAGCUCGCCCGUGCGGGAUUGAGCGCCAAAAUAGGAUGCCGUGGGGGAGGCUCAUUCCUAGGGUAGGGAUGUUGACUAUCACGGGGCCAUAAGGCACAGCACAAGCCGGACUACCCACGGGUAGGUCCUACAUGACUGGAAUACUAUUGAACUAAAACGCAAAGUGGACAUUAGACAAAUUAGUAAACAAUGACAUUUCACUAGUUAUAUCGUGGACAUCAUGUUUCUUAUACUUAUGCGUAUUCAUGUUAGAAUAACAUUUAUACUUAUGUAACUUCAUACUAAGCAGAGGCAUAGUGGUAUAGCAAGUUUAAUCAUGUUUAUCAUACAUAUUAUACAUUCUAGUUAAAAGUUGAACUUACUACUUUUGCUUUUUUUUUGCCUAGUGGUGCAUUUUCGCUGAGGUCAGCAAUUGCCCACUGGGAACUAUUGUUUAAUAGUUCUCACGCCCUCUAUUUUGUUGUUUUUCUUACAGAGCCUUCCACUCCGAGAGAGGCUCGGGAUCGCAGCAAGGGAGUUGCCUCUAGUUAGUUGUGAGGAGCUUUGCUUUUAGGUGGUUCACCUCUCUAUUUUUGUAUCUAUGUAGAGAAUGAGAGUUUUGUAUCCAUGUAUAGAGACCACCACUAUGAUACCUUUAGCACUUGUAUUUUGGGAUUUCAUGUUGUACUACUUUAUGCUUAUGUUAGUGGAUUAGUCCCUUUAUUUACCGCAUUAUUCUAGAAUCUAAUUGUUGUAUAUUCUGAUACUCCUAGAUGCUCAUUUAUUAUUAUUUUAUUUAUCGUUUUGUUGUAGACGCCUUAUAUGUUGUAGGCAUAUGGCGGGUCUGGACACGCACCGGGCGGGCUUCCGCUGGGUCUCGGGGCGUGACUUUUUAGUUUUAACUUUGUCACUUAUUUAACGAAAAAAAUUAGUGAAAUCAAUAAUAAAAGAAUAAAAAUAAAAUCAUAGGACACUAAAUCAAUACACUUUAAACCACAGGUACUAUAGUGAGAAAGUGUGAAACCACAUGGGUAGUAUUUGAAGUUUUUCUAAUUUUUUAUACUUAAUAUAAUAAACUUUAGAAGCUAACAUUGCUGAUUAUUACAUAUGCAUAAGAAUUAGAUUUUUUUUUUAAUUAUAAUAUUUAGAGAUUGUCCACAAAUUUAUAUAAAGACACUUUAUAUGUUGAGAUCAUAUCUGUUAAAUUAAAUUUUAAGUAUAUUAAAUUUUAAAUGCAUCCUCAGUUUGCGAUCUCGUGGUUCAAACAGCUUCACUUUUUACUUUGCCAUCUAGUGAUUCAAAAAGUUACACUUUGUCCUCUUGUGGUUUAGUGUAUUUUUCAAUUUGCCACCCUAUAGUUUAUUAAAAAUUUUUGUUUUGCCAUCCUAAUUCAUAUAAAAUUUUUUAAUAAAAUGAAAAUUGAAUCAUAGGAGAGAUUAGGUGAAACUUUUUGAACCACAUAGGUGAAAAUGAGCAAAACCAUAGGGGGCAAUUUGAGGUUUAUCCAAAAAAGUUAUAAUUCGGGGCACAAUUUUAUUUACUCCUUUAGCAUUUAAAGUGAAAGAUAAAAGGAUCCAUUAUAACGAAGAAAACGGUUAUACUUACAAAUUCCUCUAUUAAUUGAAAAACUCCUUUAAAUUAUUCACUUGGAGGAGAAUAGAUGGCUCUUCAUCUUCUUUAUUACUUGAAGGCCAAUAAACUUGAUGUAUACAUCAUAAGCUUCCUAAUUGAAUUUUAAAAACCUAAAAUUUAAAUCUAAACCAUAUAAUCUACACAAUUAAAUGAUCAAUUUAUAAAAAUUAUAAAUUUAUACACCUAAAUAAUGAGCGUUAGAAGUUAAUAUUGCUUAUUGCAAAGGAUUGAUUGUCAUGCCCGGGCCCCAGCGGAAGCCUACCCGGCACGUGCACAGACCCGCCGUAUACACAAGGAACCCUUCGGUGCACACAAGGCGUCUACAUCAAAACAUUCAAUGGAGAUAACAAGGAAUAAGGUUUUAACAUGGUAACCAGAGCAUAAGUACUAGACUGAGCAAAUAGACUACAACUAGAGGAUAAUAACAACAAGUUAAUACGAUAAAGAGAGCAACUAUCCAAAAUGUACAUCAAGUAUAAUCCAAAAGAAUACAUCUGUCACGCUCCGCGACCGCCAAUUUGGUCGGUUCGGGGACGUCGAUCAGACGCCGAACAGACAGAGCCUCUCCUACCCGCCCAAGGCUAACAACAACGAGAUCAAGUAUGUCAACAGUUGCCUAGGAAACAAUAACCUCAUACAUGAUCUAAGCAAGUACUAAUACAAGCAAUCGACAAAAGAGAGAAAGAUCUAGCUAUUACAAUUCCAUUCAACAUAUACAUCGAGUUUACAUUUUUUGUCACGCCCCGGGGUCCCUUUUAGUUUAUAACAUAGCGGAAAAGCGUCUGAAUUUUUUUUUUUUGAAAAGCUUGACCCCAGAGUAUGCCAGAUCCGCCACAAAUACAGAAAAUCUACUGUUCACACGGACAGUCUCCCCUGUAUUUGCACGGCGUCGCACCAGUACAAGAACUAACCCAGGUACAACCACAACCAAAUGGAUAUAUAAAUAACCAACAAUUAUAUAUUCAUACACCAUUCACAUCACAGGUUCACAUUUAUAUAUUCAAUAUUUAAACAUAAAUCCAUAUCUAUCAGUUAAAAUGUUUCCAACUCAGAAACAGGUUUUGAAAUACUAAGAUACAAAAUCUACAGAAAACCUUUUGAAAACUGUUCCCUACACGGGAACUUUUAUCUUUUAAAAACGCUACCACGAGGGGUAGAAAACCUUUCCAUUUUACAAAAUCCGCAAAUCCGUUUAUUACAUUCAUGAAAACUCAUAUUUUCAAAUGUAAUAAAAUAUACUGAACCAUAUAAACUAUCUAAGCUAUAACGACAUAAUAGUAAGGGUAGAACUAAACCGAAUAACCUGGGUCGGAAGUUCUAUCGACCGCUACGUAUCUCACGUCUCGUCUCAACCCUCACCGCCCGUGGUACCUGAAAAAUAGUGGGGGAGGUGAGAACAUGUAAACAUGUCUCCCCUCCCAGUGGGUACCGCAAGCCGAAGAAGGCGAGGAGUACUCACCGGAUCAGGAAGAGCUAUACAACAACACGGGUCAGUGAAAAUACAAUAGGAACAAUAAUAAACGAAAGAGAUGUAUAAGGUAAUGAGCAGAUAUACUGAAUACAAUAGCAAUAAACUGAAAGAAAGUAGGAACUAAACUGAAUAGCGGCUACCGCUACUAUAACUGGAACAGAAAGCAUACAUGAAUAUCUACUAUAGUAGCAAGACAACUAUAAAGCAAGAAUUGUAAGUAUGCAAGCAACAACUGCUACUAUAGACAUAUGCGUCAACCGAACGUAUAGACCAAAUAUACCCAAUCUGUACUGGCCGUAUUGGUACCCAACACCUCAGGCCCAUGCCACAUCUGCUCUAAACAGAAACAAGCCAUAUUGGUACCCAACACCUCAGGCUGAAAGCAUAUAACCACACUAGGGCUCACGGGUUGACACAAGCAACCACUUUUCCGGAAAAGAACACCCUCUUGCGGUGGAUCAGACCGCUGGUGUUCGUGAAAUGCGAACGAGCUGGGCGAUCAAUGCAGAAUGCUCAAUAGCCAAACGUCAGCAACUAGCCGACAAUCACUGCCCUUCGGGGCUCAUCGACCGUAUAGGUCAUCAACUGUAAGGAAGCACAAGAACUGACCACUCAGAUCAACUAGGAUAUAUGCACAACGAAUCGACGAAUAGGUCAUCAGGGUGUAUCAAUAGAAUCCAGAACUACCGCCGGCCACUAGCCAACAAUCCAACCCCUCUAGGGUACAUCGACCACAACGGUCAUCGAACGACAGAAACAACAAGAGUCAUGAACUGACUGACUAGGUCACAAACAUGUCAAAUAGUGGAUAUGAGUAAACUAUAAUCAUCCGUCGGCAACUAACCGACAAUCUCACCCCUCAGGGUAUACCGACCUCAAUGGUCAUCGGACAACAAAGGUCAAGGAUCUCACCGAAUAGGUCACAAAUACGGAAUACUAGAAUCGACCGACUAGAUCACUGAUCUCACAGAUAAUCACGGAAUCGCUCUACUAUAAACAUAAAACAGGGUAUGCAGAAUAGCUAAGUAGAGCAACAAGAAAACAUGGUAUCACGUACAGAUAGACUAUGCUCCUACACAUGAACUAAGCAUGGAAACGUCUGAGUAGAGUAUAAUCAAACAACGUGGUGUAAUGUGAACAAUAGAGGUGAAAAGCUCAACAUAUAAUAUAUGCAUGGAUAAUAACAAAAGAGCAAGGGUAAGAAACCAUCACCGAGCAUGCACCACUGUACCAACGUCGGAUCGAAGUACCCACCUGUACGUGUCUGACGAAGAUCUCUCGACUGUGAAGACGAAACAAUCGAACCUACGAAAGAUCCAACGGGUUAGAACCUAACCCACUAACAUGUCUCGCUAACACACAAUCCCCACUCACCAGAACCACGAGAAUCGGUUUCCCAAAACCGAUUAACAAACAAGCCGGAAUUCCACUGUCGCUGACCUGUCAUUUUCGAACCCUCGAAACAACGCGUGUGACCAGCCAACAAGGCUCAGCGACGCUACAAUCAACCACGAGGCACCGUCGGAUGAAUUCCGAACCGAAACAGCGUUCUAUCGGCGGAUUUCGCCGAAAAACGCAUCAGAAAUCACUUUUCGAUUUCCGCAAGGGCUAGGGGCCUUGGAUGAUUAGUCCAGAGGUUAUCCUCAGCCCAAACAUGCUGCCAACAGCAGCUACAUCGAAGCAUAAAUCCUAAAGGCCCAUACUAUAGCCUGAAAUCUCAUUAUUUUAUGCGAUUUAUAGACUUUUCUGGAUCGUGCACGCAAACCAGAGAUUGAUUAAGCCAAUCAUCGCGCUCACUGAUAGGUUUCAGCAUGACGGAGGCCGUGCUUACCUUUCGGAGCACUGCCGGCAGCUGCGCUGCACACACGAGCGAUGCAAAUUCUAUGAAACAGUGCGCACAGCGCGAGGAUUGCUGUUAACUCGCUAACUAAGGCAUCGUUGCUGCUGUCGGAGGUGAGCACGAUGUUCAACACGAGUUGUAGAUCAUCGUGCUCACUUCCCGAAGCUUAGGAGGCUUGUCGGAUCACCGGAAAGGUGACCGGAACGUCGGAAUUCACUACUGGAACAUAAAUAGCCCUUACCAGACCCGAGGAGAGCUAAGGUUGGUCGCCGGCGGCUGGGAGGAGGGUGGUUCGGCCGAAGGAGGGAGCAGUCAGUCCGAGAGGUCCGGGGAAGGUUGUAACACACUGGACCUUUGCAAAUUGCGAGGUUCGAGCGUUUGAUUUGUGUGUCGAGCUUUUCCAGACUUUCUGGUAGGUCGUUGACAGUGUUCCGACCUAUGGUUCGAGUCCCGAGAAUUGUGGUUUAAAGCUGUGUACCAAAAUCCAAAAAGUUGGAUUUUUGGUCAGCUNAUUUAGUGGAUUUACAGCUUUUCCUCAUCCUUUGUUGUAGCAUUUAGACAUUUAUUAUGCUCUGAUACUCCUAGAUGUCUUUUAUUAUUGCUUUUAUUAUCGUUGUUUUUAGACGCCUUAUAUGUUGAAGACAUAUGGCGGGUCUGGGCACGCGCCGGGCGGGCUUCCGCUGGGUCCCGGGGCGUGACAAAGGUGCUGGCCGGCGGCGGGCGGCAACCGGUGGCGCGGCGGCUGAGAUCCACUCCACCCACUACCUCUCGGGUUCGUGCUUCCCGGUGACGCGACGGCGGCCGGAGGAGGUCGGGGCGGCUACGGUGCGGCGCCGGAGGCCGAGGGGAAGGUGGUGUACUCCCCAGUGGGCGGCGGCGGCACUUGGAUGCCGAGCGGGCCCGACCUUGGCCCGCACGGGUCUGGGUGGCUGCAGGAGAUCUCAGCGGCGGUCGGCGGCGCGCGGGAACGGCGGGGGACGCGCGCGACGGGUUUUCGGAGGUCGCUGGGGCCGACUCGAGGGCGGUGUGGCCGAUGGGGAGUGACGGCGGCGCGCGGAUACAGAGAUCACCCAGGCUCGGCCUGGGUGACUGCAGGUGGCCGCAGCAUGCUUGGGCGGCGCCGGCGGCGUGCGCAGGCGGUGGGAACGGCCGGUGACGGCGCCGGAAGGUAGAUCUCGGCCAAGGGAAGGCUUCCAAAGGUGUUUUGAAGUUUCUCUGGGUUGCAUGGCCAAGGAGGGUGGAGAAUAGGUAAAGAAGUGAUGGAGGAGGGGUUUUCCGGCGGCCGGAGCACCUGCCGGCGGCUGGGGCACGCGCACGAGGUGGGCAGGGGAGAGCUGAGGCGGCUGGGGUUCGGUUGAGGAAGAGGGAGGCCAAAAGCUAGGGUUUCCUCAUGAAACCCUAGUGCAACCACUAUAUACAUAUGUGCAUUUUGCAAGAUAGUCCUCCCAGGGGUAAUAUUCUCAGUCAAGUCCCUCACAGCACACGUAUUUUACACAUACGCAUCUCUAUGUCCGAUCUCACGCGAUUCGGCACAUAAAAUAUAAGGGUUUCGCGCGAAAUACCAAAAAUGCCGCUUUGACCUCUUAGCGAAAACUUUGUGAUUCCCGAAGAUCCGUCUGUCAGAUUUUCGAACGGAUUGCGCCAGCGCGAUCAGCACCACGGAGACAAUAAACCUACGAUUUUGGUUCACAUCGAUCGGUCACGGAUUCGCGACGAAACCCGUCUGCUCUCCAAUUUCCAAAAACCACACACAUAUACCAAUGUGUAAUCCCACUAAAUCCUAGAUUCAAAUUCAAAUUUGAAUUCCCUACCACCAGUAGGUACCAAGAACAUCUCUCACCCAUCUCCAGAUCACUUGUACAAAGCACGAGGAGUUUUAAAAUGCACGAAAAGCAAAGAAUGAAAACCCUAUGCACGAAAAGCAAAGAACGAAAACCCUCUUUUUGAUAAAACUCCUUUUUCUCAAAACCCGUGCAUCAGAUCUGAAAUCCGUUAAUGCCAUUGGUUCCAGAAUAGCUGAACCAAUCAAAACGGGCUAUUGGAUCGCUAUGAACGGAGUCCGAUACGCGUCGAAAGCCAACUCUACUCCGUGGCUUCUCCGGAAAACCGGAGUUACUAUUCACUUAAGUGAAAACUAAUAAUCGUGUAACUUCUCCGUUCUAACUCGUUUUCUCCUGAAACUUGACGAGUGCUUAUGUAAUUAAAUUACACACAUAAACAUCGUCAACAGAAAGUUUAGUUGCACUGUCAAAAUCUCAGUCCUUACAUUUUUCAUCUCGAAAAUGUAUACAUGUUUAUCACAACUCUCUAAAAUACAUAUACAUCAUGUCCUCUCAUCUAUACAGGGUGUACUAAUGCAUAAGGAAAGCUGCUAGCUAACUAGGGUGCUAUGCCCUUACCCCGGUCCUCGCCCGGUCUGCUCGAACUCGGCCCUGCAACCAAAGUGGGGUGAGAACUACGAAUAGUUACCAGUGGGUUCGGCCGCCGACUCCGCCGAUCUUCCCACUAGGUCUAAGCAGGCAUUAGUAGAUAGAUAAAUAGAUAUGAAAAUGAGCUGCUACAUAACAACAUGCUACUAUGCCUCAAUAAACAGAAUGAAUACAUGAACAUAGUAAUGUACUCUACUAACAUAAUACUAUGUCUCAAUUGCAUGAUAUAAAUGAAAUAACUACAUAGUAAUGAAACCUACUAUCAAGUACUAUGUCUAAUGUCCAAUCUCAUCUUGGCUAACCAAAAGGUUAUGCCCAAACUCACAUCUCAAAUCUCGCCGGUGAGUAGACUCUGCGCUACAAACACCCGAGACCGCCUGCUGGGUAAUCGUGUUACCCAAACGCGACAUCUUCUCCGGAGCUCACUACUUGAGGUGGAGCGACCACGCCAAAGUUACACAGACUAUGUGAGUACGAUUCAAUCCUCUCACUCGAGGAUAGUUAGUGCCUCUGUUUCACUAGUUCACAUACUACUACUUAGGAAAUCAUCUUAUUUCCUCAGUUCAUGUCAUCAAGUUGUAAGUAUUCCAACUACACUAGUCCAAAUGCCACUCUUUGGUUCACAUGCUACUACUCAGAAAAUCAUCAUCUAUUCCUAAGUUCAUGUCAUAGUGUUUCUACUACACUAGUCCGAAUGCCACUCUUUCAGUUCAUUUACAUGUCCAAGUUCAUCUUUUGUUCUUUGGCACUAUAGGAUUCUAUGUCAAGACUAAAUCCUCAUGUGUCCACUAAAUCAAGUGCUCAACUCACUACAUGAUUUCUACUAUGAAAACAUGCAAGGAAUUGAAGUACAACUACUUAACACAACCUAUAAUCUCCACUAAGUCCUCUUCUUAGAUCAACCCCUUGGGAGAGCUUCUAGAGAGAGAAAGGGAGAAAAAAAAAGAGAAGAUAAGUGUUUACUGGCUGUGAACAUAAGAGAGGGAGAUAGGGUUUAUUUAUAAGCUGCUAGAAUUGCAGAAAAGCCCCUCAAUAAUUGCUAUUUGCAACAUACUGCAUUCUGCAUUUUUCUGCACUUGGUACCGGUACGCGGGUUUUUUGUCACCGGUUUAACAGCUGUGCAGAGGCCAAGCCCGAGAGCUGCCUUCUCGGGUAGCUGGUCUGGUACCGGUACGCAUCAGAGGUGUCACCGGUUUAAUAGCCACAAUUACUCAAACCCGAGAGCUGCUACUCUCGGUCUGCUACGGGGUACCGGUACCACCAUGAUGUUUAACCGGUUACACAAUGCCCAGACUGCAGUUUAGCACUUGUUUGACUUCUAUUUCGCGCCGAGCAAUGCUAAAACUCAAUUAUCUCUUCUAGAACUCAACUUUGACCCUCCAACAUUAUUGAAAUGUCAAAUGGAACAUGUCCAAGCAUCUCUCUCGCCACGCUUUGGCCCUUUUGACCAAAAAUGGUUUAAUACGUCGGAGAAUCAAUAUCUGACAUCAUCCCCUCCUUAACAAGAGUUUCGUCUUAGAAACUAACUCAAUUCAAAUAAAAUUCAUACCUCAACUCAACUCCUCGAAGAGAUGAGGAUAGUGCUCCUUCAUUACGUCCUCAAGUUCCCACUUGACUUCGCGAUCGUCAUGAUUGCUCCACAGAACUUUGACGUAAGGAAUAUCGCGGUUUCUCAACUUCCGCACUUCUCGAGCAAGAAUAGCUACCGGAAACUCCUCAUAGCUCAUAUCCUCUUGUAAUUCCGGUGGCUCAAACAAUAGAGCAUGCUCGGGAUCAUGAAUAUACUUGCGAAGGUUGGAGACGUGAAACACGUUAUGAACAUCCGCAAGCUUCGGCGGCAAUGCGAGUCGGUAUGCAACCGCUCCAAUUCGCUCUAACACCUCGAAAGGUCCAAUGUACCGGGGACUUAACUUUUCCCGCACUCCAAAUCGUCUCACACCUCUCAUAGGUGAAACCUUUAAGAAGACGCGGUCUCUAACCGCGAACUCCAAAUCUCGCCGGCGCUUAUUGCAUAGCUCUUUUGCCUCGAUUGCGCUGUCAACAACCGUCGGCGAGUGAGGUGAACUUUUUUUCUGCUUUCCGCAAGACAUCGGGACCCAAUACCGCCCAUUUGCCCAUGUCACUCCAAUGUAUAGGAGAUCGGCACUUCCUCCCGUAGAGAGCCUCAAACGGUGCCAUCUCUAUACUAGCUUGGUAACUGUUGUUUUAGGUGAACUCGGCCAUUGGCAAGUGACUACACCAACUACCCUUGUAGUUAAUGACACACGCUCGCAAUAUAUCCUCCAAAACCUAGAUGGUCCUCUCUGAUUGCCCGUCGGUUUGAGGAUGAAAAGCGGUGCUAAACUUGAGUCGUGUGCAAAGUGCUUCCUUCAAGCUUUUCCAAAAGUGUGAAGUAAACCGAGGGUCUCGAUCCGACACGAUCGACUUCGAAACCCUGUGCAACCUCACCACUUCAUCAAGAUAUACCUGAGCAAGCUUGUCCCCUGACCAAGUAGUGUGGAUCGGUAGAAAAUGUGCCGACUUCAACAAACGGUCCACCACUACCCAAAUCGCAUCGUGGCCACCCGACGAACGGGGCAAUCCGACCACGAAGUCCAUAGCAACAUCCUCCCAUUUCCAAACGGGAAUAGGUAGACUCUGAAGCUUUUCCAUUGGAAACCGGCGCUUUGCCUUGACUUGUUGGCAAACAAGACAUUGCGCCACAUAGCGUCCAAUGUCAGCUUUCAUUCCCGGCCACCAAUAGAGCAACCUCAAGUCCUGAUACAUCUUGGUGUCGCCCGGGUGGACACUAUAGGGAGACUGAUGCGCUUCCUGCAAAACCAACCUUCGGACUUCUUCAUUUUCCGGCACGCACUACCGGUUCCGGUAUCGAAGCGCACCAUCGGUAUGAAUGUUGAAAUCUCCACUACGCCCACCAUCGAUGUCGCGUCGCGCCUUUUGGAGAUUCGGGUACGCAGAUUGCAAACCCUUGAUCUUCUCCAACAAGGUCAGUUGGACAACGAGAGCCGUAAGCAUAGACGGAACUUCCGGAGCCACAACCUCAAGAUCCAUUCGCCCCAUUUCUUUCCACAAGGGCACUUGAUUCGUGAUCAACAACGCGAGGUUCUCCGUCGAUUUCCUGCUAAGUGCAUCCGCUACCACAUUGGCUUUUCCGGGUUGGUAAAGGAUAGUAACAUCAUAAUCCUUUAAUAGUUCCAACACCGCCGCUGCCUCAUAUUAAGCUCUUUCUGCAUGAACAAGUACUUUAGACUUUUGUGGUCUGUAUAUAUCUCGCAAUGUGCACCGUAUAAGUAGUGCCUCCACAGCUUCAAAGAAAAGAUAACUGCGGGCAACUCUAAAUCAUGGAUAGGGUAGUUCUUUUCGUAGCUUUUCAACUAACGGGACGCAGAAGCGAUCACCUUCCCACCCUGCAUUAGAACACACCCCAAACCCAGAUAUAAUGCAUCACUCUAAACCACAAAGUCCUCACCUUGCACCGGUAGGGCGAGCACCGGAGUCGAAGUCAAUUUAUCCUUCAACUCUUUAAAACUCUAGUCGCACUCGUCGCUCCAAAUGAACUUGGUGCCCUUUUGCUUCAGACGGGUAAGUGGAAUAACUAUCUUCGAGAAUCCCUCCACGAACCGUCAAUAAUAGCCCGCUAAACCCAUGAAGCUACGAACCUCCGUCACAUUAGUCGUGCGAGGCCAAUCCUUGAUCGCCUCAACUUUUCUCGGGUCAACAGAAACUCCACCCUCAGAAAUAACAUGUCCUAGAAAUGCGACUUCACUGAGCCAAAAAUCGCACUUUUUUAACCUCGCAUAAAGCUUCUCCUCCCGAAGGACUUGUAGCACAAGCCUCAAAUGCUCCGCGUGCUCCUCGUCACUACGACAGUAGAACAAGAUGUCGUCUAUGAAGACCACGACAAAUCGAUCUAAAUAAGUCCUGAAUACACAGUUCAUCAAAUCCAUGAAUGCUGCCGGGGCAUUUGUGAGCCCAAACGGCAUGACCGUGAACUCGUAAUGUCCAUACUGCGUACGAAACGCGGUCUUUUGCACAUCCUCCGGCUUUAUCUUCAACUGAUGGUAGCCAGAUUGGAGAUCUAUCUUCGAGUAUACUCACGACCCCUGCAGCUGAUCAAACAAUUCGUCGAUACGGGGUAACAGGUACUUGUUCUUGAUAGUGACCUUGUUCAACUCGCGGUAAUCCACGCAGAGUCGAAACGAGCCAUGCUUCUUCCGCACAAAUAAAAUCGGGGCUCCCCACGGCGAUACACUCGGCCUGAUAAAUUCAUUGUCGAAGAGAUCUUGCAACUGAGCCCUCAACUCCUUCAAUUCUACCGGUGCCAUACGGUAUGGAGCCUUUGAUAUCGGCACGGUCCCGGGAGCCAAGUCUAUAAUGAACUCGAUUUCCUGAUCCGGCGGUAUCCCCGGUAACUCCACGGGAAACACAUCCGGAAACUCCCGGACCACCGACAUACACUCAAGUGCUGGAGUCUCCCGAUCAACCUCCACAACGGUCGCCAAAUAAGCCUCGCAACCGCUGCUAACCAGCUUCCUCGCCCUAGAUGCCGACACCGUCAUGCGAGCUCUGGCAAGCUCGAUAAGUAAACUCCUUCUGUUCUGGCUCACGAAAGAUAAUAACCCUGCUCUUGCAGUCGAUAAAUGCAUAGUACUUCGAGAGCCAGUCCAUACCCAGUAUCAGAUCGAAAUCUUUCAACCUCUUGAGCACCAACAAACGUGUCAGCAUAAUCUAGUUGCCCACUUGAACCGGACACGCCAAACACUCCUUUCGGAUAAUAAACGCGCGCUCGAGGGCGUCAACCCGCCAAGUACUUUUGCUCAGUUGAACCUCUAUGCCAUGCAUAUCAGCAAAUGGUCUACUGAUGAAUGAAUGCGUAGCACCUGUAUCAAACAUAGCUCUGGAGCGAACUCCAUUAACUAAAACCAUACCUGCCACGUCGUUGCGCUCCUCGGCCUCAGCAGGUUCCUUGGCUUGAGCGGCGAAUACCUGUCCGCUCGGAGUCGAUCUAGUCGCCUCAGAUUGACUAGCGCUAUAGCGCGUCUAGCAGAUACAGCAGUAGGUGGAGCUCCUCUAUAAUAGCCCGGAGUCGCCGGAGCUGAUGCAAUCGAUGGGGCAGGCGAGGUCCUCCUUGGACAGUAACGACUCAUGUGUCCCGGCUGGCCAGAAGUGUAGCAUCUCCCCUCCUUCUACUUGCAAUGGUUCGGGUCAUGAUCACCGCCACAAAUGACGCACCGCCGAGACCCACGACCUUUGGACUGUGUUCGCGGGUACUUCGGGGGCUUCCUUGUCCUUGACUGACCACCCGAACUAUCAGGGGCUCGCUUCUUACCCCCGUCCUUCUCGGACACCUCUCGCUCCUCAUGAAUGUGGGCAUUACCAUGCUCCGCCCACAACGCCCAAUCCAACACCUCUGAAAAGAUAGUAAGCUUGAGGAUGUGAACCGCCCUAUAGAUAUCCGGGCGGAGUCCUCACUCGAACUAGUCGGCUCGGUCCCUAUCGUCCCACACCACGUCGGGGAUGCAGUCGAUGAUGUGUGAGAACUCCCGCUCAUACUCUCCUACUGAGCGGUUACCGUGCCUCAGCUUCCUGAACUAAUCCUGGAGCUUCCUUUUCUCGCUAUCGGGAAAGUAGUUAGUGAACAACAACCCCCGAACUCCUCCCACGUCAACGGUGGAAGGUCGGAAGACUGAUCCCGCUUGAUCCGCUUCUGCCACACCUUCGCCGUCCGCUCUAAACAAUGAGUGGCGAGGUGUACCUUAUCCCUCUCCAACGUACAAAAAUCAUCGAACAGGGUCUCUAUCGAGUCAACCCACAACUCGACCAUCCACGGCUCGACCUUCUCUCGGUCGAACACUCGUGGAUCAAAUUUUCGGAACAUCACAAGAGCUGCAAGCGCGCGCUCCUUCUCCGCCGCUAUCACCGUACCUUCAGGAUUAGAAGUUCCUGAACCAGUAGCUACUACCGCCAUUGCGGCCCGUGCUGCAACCGGCAUAGCCGCUGUGGCCAUACCCUCUGUCGCACCAGGCACAACGACAGAGGGCGCGGGUCGUUCGACAUCCGCCUGAGCUGACACCUGUUGCGCCACCAAUUUCUGUAGCCUAGCGAUCUGAUCCUCUUGGUGCUGCAUUGCACCAGCCAUCGUAGAGAUCUGUGCUCGAAGUUCCCGCACUUCAUCAGAUCCCGACUGUUCGGGAACCUCGGGAGGUGGUGCCGGAAUGGAUCGCGUCUUAGGGCAUCCUCUCGGUGCCAUAGCUCCUGAAACGCAACAAAUUGGUUAAUCACAUUAACCCGUUAACUUCUCGCAAUUACGAGGCAAACGACUCAACAUCAAAAUCGGGCGGAAGCACACAAGUGUACUCAUUCUAGACUCUUAGCAUCAUGUUAUCGGCCGCCAAUACAACCACCUCGAGCCAAGAACUAAUACCACUUGAAUCCGUCUCUAUCAACAACUAGAGACAUACAACAACAACUUCGACCCAAUCGAAUCAACUUCCACCACCCGGCAUAGGUUCACGUCACACUCACGCACCUAUAGCCUUAAGGUUACCGUCCUAGGGUCUCCUAGGUCCAUCCUAGACUUCUCUCUUUGCUUGCUUGCUCUGUUACUUGCUUUGAUACCACUUUAUUUGUCAUGCCUUGCAACCGCCAAUUUGGUCGAUUCGUGUACGUCGAUCAGACGCCGAACGGACAGAGCCUCCCCUGCCCGCCCAAGACUAACAACAACGAGAUCAAGUAUGUCAACAGUUGCCCAGGAAACAAUAACCUCAUACAUGAUCUAAGCAAGUACUAAUACAAGCAAUCGUUAAAAGAGAGAAAGAUCUAGCUAUUACAAUUCCAUUCAACAUAUACAUCGAGUUUAUAUUUUUUCCAUUCAACAUAUACAUCGAGUUUAUAUUUUUCAUCUCCAAAAUGUAUACAUGUUCAUCCACAACUCCCCAAAAUACAUAUACAUCAUGUCCUCUCAUCUAUCCAGGGUGUACUAAUGCAUAAAGAAAGCUGCUAACUAACUAGGGCGCUAUGCCCUUACCCCGGUCCUCGCCCGGUCCGCUCGAACUUGGCCCUGCAACCAAAGCGGGGUGAGAACUACGAAUAGUUCCCAGUGGGUUCGGCCGCCGACUCCGCCGAUCUUCCCACUAGGUCUAAUCAGGCAUAAGUAGAUAGAUAGAUAGAUAUGAAAAUGAGCUGCUAUAUAGUAAUAAAACCUACAACAUGCUACUAUGCCUCAAUAAACAGAAUGAAUGCAUGAACAUAGUAAUUAAUGUACUCUACUAACAUAAUACUAUGUCUCAAUCUGUAUGAUAUAAAGGAAAUGACUACAUAGUAAUGAAACCUAUUAUCAAGUACUAUGUCUAAUGUCCAAUCUCAUCGGCUAACCAAAAGGUUAUGCCCAAACUCACAUCUCAAAUCUCGCCGGUGAGUAGACACUGCGCUACAAACACCCGAGACCGCCUGCUGGGUACUCGUGUUACCCAAACGCGACAUCUACUCCGGAGCUCACUACUUGGGGUGGAGCGACCACGCCAAGGUUACACAGACUAUGUGAGUACGAUCCAAUCUGUUGCACUAGUUCACAUGCUACUACUUAGGAAAUCAUCUUAUUUCCUAAGUUCAUGUCAUCAAGUUGUAAGUGUUCCAACUACACUAGUCCAAAUGCCACUCUUUGGUUCACAUGCUACUACUUAGGAAAUCAUCAUCUAUUCCUAAGUUCAUGCCAUAGUGUUUCUACUACACUAGUCCAAAUGCCACUCUUUGAGUUCAUUUACAUGUCCAAGUUCAUCUUUUGUUCUUUGGCACUAUAGGAUUCCAUGUCAAGACUAAAUCCUCAUGUGUCCACUAAAUCAAGUACUCAACUCACUAUAUGAUUUCUACUAUGGAAACAUGCAAGGAAUUAAAGUACAACUACUUAACACAACCUAUAAUGCAUGAUAACAAUAUAUAUGAACAUAUGCUAUAAUAAAACAACUCAGACAUAGAAGGAAGUUCAACUGCUUCGGGAUGGACACCCCAUUUUCUGGUGAUGCCACGAAGCUAGACUCCGACUUUCGCAAUUUUCCACCGCCUAUCUCUCUCGACUGCGUCAAACGAAGCCAAAAUAGGCUUUUCUUUAAUAUCUUUGCGCCGACUCGUCGGAUUGUCGAAUCGAGUUCACCAACGCGUUCGAUUACUUAGCAGAGAGGUAUAAAUGAGAUCAAUCCCAACUUUGGAUCUCAACUUAACAAAACCCUUUUUCCGAACCCUAGAUGUUCAACUUUGCAAGAAUACGCCACAAUGACCGUCGAUUCAAGCAAAUAACAUCUAUUUAGCAUCAAAGGGUCCUACUAAAACCAAUUCUAGAGUCUAAGAAGCUAACCCUAGAAAUCUACCAUUAAAGCUCCCAGAGCUUACCUCUUCACAACUCCUCCAAGUCAAGGAAGAAGAAGAAGAAAACAAAGAUCCACUUCCAAGCUUUAAUCUCCACCAAGUCCUCUUCUUAGAUUAACCCCUUGGGAGAGCUUCUGGAGAGAGAAAGGGAGAAAAAAAAUGAGAAGAUAAGUGUUCACUGGUUGUGAACAUAAGAGAGGGAGAUGGGGUCCAUUUAUAGGCUGCCACAAUUGCAGAAAAGCCCCUCAACAAUUGCUAUUUGCAACAUACUGCAUUCUGCAGUUUUCUGCACUUGGUACCGAUACGCGGGUCUUUUGUCACGGGAUUAAUAGCUGCGCAGAGGCCAAACUCGAGAGCUGCCUUCUCGGGUAGUUGGUCUGGUACUGGUACGCAUUAGGGGUGUCACCGAUUUAACAGCCAAAAUUAUUCAAAUCCGAGAGCUACUACUUUCAGUCUGCUACGAGGUACCGGUACCACCCUGAUGUUUAACCGGUUACACAAUGCCCAGACUGCAGUUUAUGUCAGACCCCAGAUAGUCCUAUAUAUGAGAUAUAAUAGGGCUAAACUCUUAACCCGGAGUUAAGCGUGCUAGGACGGGAGUAGUCCUAGGAUGGGUGACCCCCUGGGAAGUCGGGGCGUCACAGUUUAGCACUUGUUCGACUUCUAUUUUGCGCCGAGCAAUGCUAAAACUCAAUUAUCUCUUCUAGAACUCAACUUUGACCCCUCCAAAAAUGUCAAAUGGAACAUUCCAAGCAUCUUUCUUGCCACGCUUUGAUCCUUUUAACCAAAAGUGGUUUAAUACGUCGGGUGUAAGGAAGUGAAUUCUCGAAAUCCGAGAGUUCGACUUCGUCCAGGAUCGAUUAACUAUCGAAUGAGCACCCUUCGGGAAGGCUAAAGAUAUCCAAAACACAAAAAGUGCAUUGGAGUUGAGUCCGAGAGAGCAUAUAGUGCAAAACCUGUACUGGGCUGAAGUUGCUCUCGGGGACCGGUUCCUGGCAGGGAGAGACCGGUCCCUGAGGCUGGUGGUUGCUGGGGAUCUUUGAUGCAACCGGUCCCAGGCUGAGGGGACCGGUCCCCGUGUGCGACGCUAGCGAGAAAAGCCAAAAUUUGGCUAAGUCCCGAAAAUCCAGCUCUCGGGAACCGGUCUCUCAGAUAGGAACCGGUCUCCCGAGGACCGGUCUCUCAGGGAGAGACCGGUUCCCGAACACGUGAUAUCUGGGGAGACUCUUGGGGACCGGUCCCAGGUCGGGGAGGCCGGUCCCUCUUGGCAAAAACUGCCCAGUAAAGGCAGUGCACAGGAUGGAAAGUGGAGGGGCUUUUAUGCAAAAUGGCAUUAAUUAGAGAGUAUAGAGAGAGAGAGAGCUCUCUCCCUCUCUCAUUUUCACCCUCCUUCACACUCUCUCUUUCACUCAUCUCUCUUUCUCUCUUUAAAAGGAAACGAAGGAGAAGGAAAAAGAGGAGAAGAAGAGGAAGAAGAAGAAGAAGAGAAGAAAGGAGAAGAAGAAGGCGAUCAAAGAGGAGCUUUGGACAUCUCCCUCUCCCUCUCCCUCUCCUCUUCUCUUUGGAGUUAGCACAAGAGGUAAGCCCUAACCCUAGCUUUUGGAAACUUAGGGUUUUGGGUUUUGAGUUUUGGAGAGGAGGUCAAAUGGACCUCUUGCACCAUUGUUGGUGGAUUAGAGCUAGAGCUAGGGUUCCAAAUUGCAAAUGGCAAGAUGUGAACCCUAGGGCUCCAAAAUGGAGUUUUUGGUAAAGUAUGAGAUUGAUCUCACUUGAGGCCUUGUAAACCUAAUUGUUAGGUGUUUAAACACAGGGGCGAAGUCGGAAUUUCGAUUCGUCGAGCGGGAGAAAAGCUAUCGGCAAAAUAAGACCGAUUGAGCAUUGUUUUGGACCAAGGAAGUCGAGACCUUGUUGUAACGUUCGGCGAGAGGCAUUUCUAGAACCUCUACAAUGAGAAAAGAUGGGGGGUGCCAUCCCGAAGCCAUCGAACUCCUUUCUAUGUCUUAGAAUUUCAUAUGAUGACAUCUCUUGCAUGUUGCAUUGUAGGAUUGCAUAGUAGUGUCAUUCCUUAUGCUUUCUAAUUGAUAACCUAGUGUACAUGGAACGCUUGGUGACUUAGAUAGGUGAGGAUUGGGUCGGAACAUGGAUCCUAUAGUGCUAGAGAAAAGAGAUGAAUACGAUGGGUGUUUGGUGACAUAGAAAGUAACAUCUAAUGUUUAAAGAACAAACGGGUGGCAUCUAUGUUUAAAGAACAAACGAGUGGCAUUAAUGUAGUGUACUUGACACUAGAGGUUCUUUGUGAACUCAGGGAUAGAUGGACUCCCUAGUAAAUGACUCAUGAACAUCGAACUUAGUAAAGCUAAGUAGCUAUGCAUGAUGGUCGGAAUAGACGAGUUCCGCGAGAUGUUGACCCUAGUUCUUAGGGUGUCCUCACUUGGAGAGGAUAGAUCUAGCUCACAGUCUGUUAUUCGGGAUGGUAUAGCCAUCCAUAUCCUCAAAUGGAGAGGAUUGUCGUCGAGUACUCCGGAGUGUCGGAUGAUUAGGACCACAUGGAGGUCCGCAGACGGUCCUGGGUUUGGGGGCACAUGGAGCUCCCCACCCAAUGGGAUGGAAAAAGGUGAGUUACGGGCGAACCCAAGGGUUUCGCCACAGAUUGGGUAAAUGAACAGUUAACAAUGUCAUUGAACAUUAUUAUUCGAACAUGGAUCGAACUUGUUAGCAUGGUAGUAAACCUUUACUAUAUGAUGCAUGCAUUCAUUAUACAUGAUUAUGGGCAUAGUAGCAUAGUUUUCCUUUAUGCCUUUACAGCUUUCAGAUAUUUAUCUAUAUAUCUGUCUACUUGUUGUUACUUGUGCCCACUUGGACCUAGUGGGGAGACCGGCGGAGUCCGCGGUCGAGCCCACUAGGAACUACAGAAGAUAGUUCUCACCCCACUCUAUUUCCAGUGGUAGGUACAGGUCUACCGAGCGAGGACCGUGGCAAGGGCAUCGCGCCCGAUUAGUGAGACCGUGGUAGUAUAGUAGUUUUCCUUUUUGCAUUAGCACACCUAUGUAUUGAGAGAGAUUCAUGUAGGUGAGGUUGGGGAUCUAUGUAUUUUGAUGAACAAAUGUAUUCAUUUUGGGAAAAAGAUGUACAUGUAAAAAAAGAUGCAAAACUAUUAUAAUAGUUAGUAAAGUACUCUCUUUAUUUCACUUAUUUUUACUUGUGGAUUGCUUGCUCUUAGUUGUUGGCACUGUUUGUGCCCCGUCGAAUGUGUAUGUUUAGAAUCUGAAUUCCUGGGUAAAUUCUUGUACACAUUCUUAUUGUUGAGCCUUGGGCGGAUAGGGGAGGUGCUGUCCGUUCGGCGGUCUGCCGGGCGCGCCCGUAUCAUGCCAAAUUAGUAGUAGUUUCGGGGCGGGGGCGUGACAUCGGGGAAUCAAUAUCUUACAACAUCAUAGGUCCAUAUGGUGGUCUCUAUACAAAAAGGGUCGCAACACCUAUCCCAACUAAAACAAAAAGAAAGGUGUCCAUCUGUGAAUAUAUCUCCUAAUGAUUUAGCUAGUCGCAACUCCCUUGCCACGAUCCCGAGCCUCACCUGUUGCGGAAGGCUCUGAAACAAAAGCAACAAAUACAUGGGGGUGAGAAUUAUUAAACAAUAGUUCCCAGUGGGUAAGCCGCCGAGAAACACGAAUUACACCACUAGGCCAACUAAGGCAAAAGUAGGGAUACUAAUAUUAUAGCAUGAUUACUUGCAAGAAUUAAAGGAAUUCAUAUGCCUCCAAAUAACAAUGUUAUUUAACAUGUAUGAAACUAUUCUAUCACAUGAAUGAGCAUAAAAGUGACUAAUGUAUAUGUCCAAAUGUCAUAGACUAUCUAGUAGUGAAGUCUACAUUAAGUUUGAUUAUAGUUAUCCAAAUCAACAAGGAGUUACACAAGGUAAAGUCCUAGCUUGCGCCAUGCCUAAUGGCUCCGUGGUAGUCAUCAUUCCCACGCUAGGAAUGAGCCUCGGUCACGGCAAUCCACUUCGGCUCCCAAUCCCGCACGUGCGAGCAUGAUGUCGCAUAAGCCAACUCCGGAGUGCCGGCUUGUAGGGAGCGACCCUCACAAGAUUUUGCGAAUGAGCACAAUGGUAAGCAAGCAUGAUCAACAAUAUAGGGAUCUUGUUUAUCAUGUGUAAAAUAUGGAAUAUCAACUAGCGAUCGAAAGAUCGAAUACUAUGUCACCAUGUCAAGUUCUAGUUAUUCAACUACGUUAAGUACAACAUGCUUAGUUUCAUGUUUUGUCACUACCGUGCAUUAUGUCAUAUUUACCUUGUCUAUAACAAGUAUAUUAGUUAUCAAGCAAGCUAACCCUUUUUUGUUCCAUUCACUAUGUAUAAUUCAUAGGAUAAACCAUCAUUCAUCUCUAACAUGCUUUCUAGUAUUGCAUAAGAGGAAAUCACCAUAAUAUAUUAUUUGAUGCACAUGUCCACAUUGUAAGUCUUUACUACAUAGAGUAUAAAAUUUUCUAUACAUAACAUGUAUGAAGCAUGUGUUCAGAAAUUUUCUUAUGUCAUAUCUAGCAUGAAUAUGCAUCUAAUUAGGUCUAAAAAUAAUGUUGGAGACAUAGAAGAGUUCACCCAUUUCGGUGAGGUCAAACCCACCGGAUACUCUUCGAACCCUUUCGUUCCUUCGAACGAAGUUGUCCACCAAGCUUCUAGCACCCUAAGAGAAUUUCUAAGAGGGUUACAAACUUCUAACAAACCUCCUACAAAAAUAACCAAAAAUCAAGUCUAAAAUAGCUGAAAAAAAUCUUUACCCAAGAAGAACUUGUCCAAAGUCUAAAUCGAAGCUAUAUAGCUUCAAAUCCAACCGAGAAGAGAGUUAUACACUUAUCAAUUUGACCCCAAAGGUUUAAAAUCAACAAUCCCCAAAAUAAACCCUGGUUUUUUCAAAACUAGGUCUUUAUCCACAAAUCUUACAAAAUCUACAAGUAAAUGUUGCAAGAAGAGUACUAAUCUUAAAGAAAGCUCUAACCCAAGCUAGAGUUGGGGUUAGAUCCUCAAACAAGCUCUCUUCUUCACUUCCAAGCCUCCUUCAAGAAUCAAGUAGCUAGCCACCAUGCAAAGGAAGAAGAAAAAAGAUCAAAAUCCAAAUCUAAAAGAGUUUGGGGAAGAAAUCCUAGAGAGAGAAAGGGAGAAAAACCUACCUCCACCUUUCUCAAGCCUAAGCACAAAGGGAGGCAUGUGGGGGAAAGGGGGAGUCAUAUACAUGAUGUAACAAUUCCCUUAAGACCCCACAAAAAUUCAAAAAUUACAAACUGCGCGAACUGUAGUUUUCUUCAUUGAGUAUCGGUACUCGAACGGGAGUACCGCUACCCGACCCUCAGGCAGGCAGAACCCGAGCGCAAGACAUUCGGGUUUAAUACGGUGUACUGGUAUUCGCGCGAUGCAGUACCAGUACCCAGCCCCAGUACCGGUACUCAACACCCCAAAUCUCAAACCCGAGAACAACUUAUUUCAGCACUCUACAGGGCACCGGUACCAACCUCUAGUACCGGUACUCAACACUGAAAUUUGCACCUUGCAGAUUUUGAUGUCAAGAGCCCAUUUUCGUGCCUAAUAAGCUCCAGAAAUAGGCAGAAACCAUACAGACAACCCUCAAAACAUCCAUAAUAGUUUAAAAUUCUAUUCUUAUACUAGAACCUUACAAUUUGCUAAAGUUCAGUGUACUAUAUUGAUGCAUAAGAAUUAUAUUUUUAAAAUUAUAAUUUUAUAGAGAUUGUAUACAAAUUUGUAUAAAGACCUCCUAUAUGUUUGAGAUUAUUUCUGUUAAACUAAAUUUUAAGAAUAUCAAAUUUUAUAUGCACUCCCAGUUUGUGAUCUUGUGGUUUAAAAAGUUUCACUUUUUCUCUCUAUAGUUUAGCUUAUUUUUACUUUACCAUUCUAUGGUUCAAAAAGUUGCACUUUGUCCUUUGUGGUUUUGCAUAUAUUUUACUUUGUUAUCAUGUGGUUCAUUAAAAAUUUUUACUUUGUCACUCUAAUUCAUAUAGAAUUUUUUGGUAAAAUAAAAAUUAAGUCACAAAGAAUUAAAGUGAAACUUUUUGAACCACGGAGUGACAAAGUAAAAAAUACUAAACCAUAGGGGCCCAUUUGAAGUUUACCCAAAAAUUUAUAAUUGAGGGCAGAAUUUUAAAUUUAAAUUUAAUUUUUAAGUUUAAAUUUCAUAAAACUGCUAUAUAUCUAGAAGUUAAAUUAAUUAGAGGAUUUUAUAAUCAGUAUUCAAAUUGAAUGUCUUUUAGAAUUUUUUUAUACUACAAAAAUUUACACUUGAUUGUAUAACUAAUACUUUAGUUCAAGUUUUAAGUUCAAAUUUGAAUCAAAUUAGAAAUUUAAAACCCCAACAUAUUUGAAACUUUAAUAUUGACUAAUUCUUUUAAUAACUAAUCAUAUAUACAAAAUUUAAUCUCAAAUUCAAUAACUUCUACAAUAAAUAAAACAAAGGGUAUAAUUGUAAUUAUACAUACCGACAAAGAGGUGGGGUGAGAUGAAACCACCAAAUAUAUUUGCUUAUAAUAAUAAUAAUAAUAAUAAUAAUAAUAAUAAUAAUAAUAAUAAUAAUAUGAAUAGAUAGAUAAGGCUUUAUCUGUCAGGCCUCGCGAUCGCCAAUUUGGUCGGUUCGGAUACGUCGAUCAAACGCCGAACGGACAGAACCUCCCCUGCCCGCCGAAGGCUAACAACAACGAGAUCAUGUAUGUAAACGGUUGCCCAGGAAACAAUAACCUCAUACAUGAUCUAAGCAAGUACUAUUACAAGCAAUCAACAAAAGAGAGAAAGAUCUAACUAUUACAAUUCCAUGCAACAUUUACAUCGAGUUUAUAUUUUUCAUCUCCAAAAUGUAUGCAUGUUCAUCCACAACUCCCCAAAAUACAUAUACAUCAUGUCCUCUCAUCUAUACAGGGUGUACUAAUGCAUAAGGAAAGCUGCUAGCUAACUAGGGUGCUAUGCCCUUACCGCGGUCCUCGCUCGGUCUGCUCGGACUCGGCCCUGCAACCAAAGUGGGGUGAGAACUACGAAUAGUUCUCAGUGGGUUCGACCGCCGACUCCGCCGAUCUUCCCACUAUGUCUAAGCAGGCAUAAGUAGAUAGAUAGAUAGAUAUGAAAAUGAGCUACUAUAUAGUAAUAAAACCUACAACAUACUACUAUGCCUCAAUAAACAGAAUGAAUGCAUAAACAUAGUAAUGUACUCUACUAAUAUGAUACUAUGUCUCAAUCUGCAAGAUAUAAAGGAAAUGUCUACAUAGUAAUGAAAUCUACUAUCAAGUACUAUGUCUGAUGUCCAAUCUCAUCUCGGCUAACCAAAAGGUUACGCCUAAACUCACAUCUCAAAUCUCGCUGGUGAGUAGACUCUACACUACAAACACCCGAGACCGUCUGUUGGGUAAUCAUGUUACCCAAACGCGACAUCUACUCCGGAGCUCACUACUUGGGGUGGAGCGCCCACGCCAAGGUUACACAGACUAUGUGAGUACGAUACAAUCCUCUCACUCGAGGAUAGUUAGUGCUUAUGUUGCACUAGUUCACAUGCUACUACUUAGUAAGUCAUCUUUUAUUCCCAAGUUCAUGUCAUCAAAUUGUAAGUGUUUACACUACACUAGUCAAAAUGCUACUCUUUGGUUUACAUGCUACUACUCAGGAAAUCAUCAUCUAUUCCUAGGUUCAUGUCAUAGUGUUUCUACUACACUAGUCCAAAUGCUACUCUUUGAAUUCAUUUACAUGUCCAAGUUCAUCUUUUGUUCUUUAGCACUAUAGGAUUCCAUGUCAAGACCCAAUCCUCAUGUAUCCACUAAAUCAAGUGCUCAACUCACUAUGUGAUUUCUACGAUGGAAACAUGCAAGGAAUUGAAGUACAACUACUUAACACAACCUAUAAUGCAUGAUAAUAAUAUGUAUGAAUAUAUGCUAUAAUAACACAACUCGGACAUAGAAGGAAGUUCAACUGCUUCAGGAUGGACACCCUCCACCUUCUGGUGAUGCCACAAAGCUAGACUCCAACUUUCAUAAUUUUUCGCCGCCUCUCUCUCUCAACUGCAACAAACGAAGCAAAAAACAGGCUUUACUUCAAUAUCUGCACGCCGACUCGUCAGAUCGCCGAACCGAGUUCACCAAUGCGUUCGAUUACCUAGUAGGUAGACAUAAAGGAGAUCAAUCCCAACUUUAGAUCUCAACUUAACAAAACCCACUUUGGAACCCUAGAUGUUCUAUAUUGCAAGAAUAUACCACAAAAACCAUUGAUUCAAGCAAAUAACAUCUACUUAGUACCAAAGGGUUCUACUAAAACCAAUUCUAGAGUUUAAAACUCAAGUCCUAGAAUUCUACCAUUAAAGCUCCAAGAGCUUACCUCUCCACAACUCCUCCAAGCCAAGGAAGAAGAUGAAGAAGACGAAGAUCCAUUUCCUUGCUUCAAUCUCCACUAAUCUCUCUUUUUUGAUCAACCCUUGAAAGAGCUUCUAGAGGGAGAGAGAGAAAAAUAAGAUAAAGAAGAGUGUUCACAGGCUGUGAACAAGAGAGGGAGAUAGGGUCUAUUUAUAGGCUGCCACAAUUGCAACAAAACUCCCCAACAAUUGCUGUCACGCCCCGGGACUGGCGGAGGCCCUCCCGGUAGCGUGCCCAGACCCGCCAUAUGUCAACACAUAUAUGGCGUCUACAACAAAAGUGGAAGUAAAGCAAGAGAUAGAACAAAUAAAAGAAGUGAAAUAACUAGCAACUAAUGAUAUCAGAGCGAGUAUAGUUCUAACAUCUACAUCAAAGUAAAUAAGUAAAGCUAGACAAUAAAAGAAAUCAUAAGUAGUACAACAACUGUCUCUAGUACAAAAAUGGUGGUCUCUAGUACACUGGUAAAACCCUCAACCUCUCGCCAAAAAGAAACACAUCGAGAGGUAGACCACCUAAACUCGUCUCUCGCUGAAGGGCUAACUCGAAGCGACGCCCUUACCACGGUCCCUAGCCUCUCCCAGCGUGGAAGGCUCUGAAAGAAAAUAUAAAACAGAGGGCGUGAGAACUAUAAUUUAUAGUUCCCAGUGGGCAAUUACCGACCUCAGCUCAUUGCACCACUAGGCCCCAAAAGAAAAGGGUAAGUCUACUAAUAAUAGUAACGAGUAAAUUGCAUAUAAGAAAGCAUAAUUAAGAUGCUAAGCUACGACUUGCAAUUAAGCAUGGCAUUCAUAAUGCGACUUUAUCUUGUCAUGGAUAAUAUAUAUAUCUAUAUGUUCAUAAGUAAUAUCAUGAUUUACUUUAUACAAAUAUGAAAGUGAUACUUUGUCAUGACUACAGUGCAUAUAAGGAUGUAAUAAACAACAUCUCCUAGCAUACUACAUGUAUGUAUGAAUACCCAAAUGUCCACAACUAUACUAGAAGUAAGUCCAAGUAAUCCUACUACUACUCUCUGUCUAGUAGUGAUCAUAAUAAACUUAACACGGUGUCGAUUUCCAUUUCCAAUUAAAGACCUACCAACGGUAGUCCAGCUUGUGCCGCCUAAGUGCCUGUGGUAGCCCGACAUCCUUACUCUUGGAAUGUGUCUGUCCCACUCGACCCCGUAGGCUUCUCAAUACCGCACGAGCGAACAUAAGUCGCGUAAGCUAACUCCGGAGUGCCGGCUUGUGGGGAGCGACCCACACAAGCAUGUGCGAAUGAGCACAAAUGGCAAACAAGCAAGGUCACUGUCUCAAAUACUUUAUCCACAUGUCUCUAUCAUGGCAAGGUCACUAGCAUCCCAAGGAUCUAGCCCAAUGUCUCUAAGUGAUGUCCUAACACUCACUUGCUUAGUGCCUCUUUAUGACACUUAAGCAUCACGCUGAUCAAGCCCAAUUCUUGUUCUAUGUUUCAUUUAAACAUUAAUACCAAUGAUUACUAUAGCCCGGGCCCAAUGCCUCUUUAUGACAUUGGCCCAAUUCUCAAAUAGUCCAAAUUCUCAAGCCCUCUCUAGGCUUCUAAAAUCCCUAAUGUCACAAUUGGCAUAUAGGUUAAAGGCAAGAAAACAAGAUCCAUUUUCAUGAUAGGGGCCCUAAUUCCAAAUCUCAUCUAGAAUGCUAUGUUUCACAUGCAUGCUCUCUACCGCAUAGGUGUAAUAUACCGAAAAUUCGGAAAAUAAAUAUCGAACUUUAGUCAAAUUGACCAAAGUGCGAGGAUGGUGCACUUCGGAAAGUCUGAAGGUGUUAAAAUGAUUAAAAGUGAGUUGUGGAAGGUUUUCGAGAGCUAGAGAAUCAAAUUCUGCAAAACUGCAGAUUUUCAGCUCUCGGGGACCGGUCCCUAAAGGGAGAGACCGGUCCCCGAACGCGUGCAGAAUGAGACAGCCGAAAAAUCGGCUAAGUCCUGGAAGGAUAGCUCUCGGGAACCGGUCUCUGCCUGAGAGACCGGUCCCCCAGAGACCGGUCCCAUAAGGAGAGACCGGUUGCUCUGCGCGCAGCAGCUCUGGCUGCGCUGGGACAACGUUCGGGAACUGGUCCCUGCUCGAGGAGACCGGUCUCUGCCUGCGCGAACUGCCCAGUUCAGGCAGUGCAUUAAGUGAAAGUUGAGGGGUUUUAUUGCAUUUUUGCAACCCAAUAGACUAUGUAUUAGGGUAAAUGAGGGAUUUCUCUCAUUUCUACCCUCUCAUUGCCCCUCAUCUCUCUUUCUCUCUCUAGAAGACAAAAGAGAAGAAGAAGAAAGGAAGAAAAGAAGGAAAAGAAGAGGAAGAAAGUGGAGAAGAAGAAGAAGAAGUGAAGAAACUCCUUCUCCUUCAUCUCUAGCUUGAAGAAAAGGAAAGCUUGAGGUAAGCUUUGAACCCUAAUGUAGUAAAACCCUAGAAAUGGGUUUGAAUGAACCUAGAAAUGGUUUUUAAUGGAAUGUCUAGUAGUUUUGAAGCUUUCUUUUGCUUCUUUAGAGAUCAAAACCUAGUUUUGCUAUAGAGGUGAGCUUGGGCCACCUCUCAUGGUGAAACCCAAACUAGGGUUUUGGAAAGCCUAAGAAUGGCUCUAAUGGACUAUUUAGAGUAUAAUGAAGCUACUUUUGCUUCCCAAUGAGAUCAAACCCUAGGUUUGAUAUGUGUAUUGGAGCUAGGGCACCAAAUUGGGGCUUUUGCUCAUGAGGAUUGCUAAGUGCAAUUGACCCUCCAAAAACCUAAUUGGGAGUAUUUCCGACGCGUUGGUGCGCUCGGAUUAACGUUGCGAAAGGCCAAAGUAAAGUUAUGGGCAAAAUGGCCUAAUAAGGGUUCGUUUUGCCGCAGGUGAAGAACGAAGCAUCUAAAAAUCCCAAGAAAAUCAUCGGAGCACCUUUGAAAGCCUACGAGGUGGGUGGUGCUUUUCAAACUCAUUGAAAUUCUCUCUAUGCCUAAUGUGUCAUUCUUUGAGCAUAUGUUCUAUAUAUUGUUGCAUGCAUUGUAGGGUAAAGUAAUGAUGAAACAUGACGAUUGCAUGAUUGUGAGCACAACUUGCAUAAUGAGAUGGUUGAGAACCUAAUAAUGUCAAAACCCUAGAUGUAUGCAUGAGAGAAAAUGUGAGUACCCAAAGUGAGCAAAAGAACAGAGUGGCACAAUGACAUAGAUCGAGUGGCAUUUGGAAAUGUAAAGUAAAGAGACACUAGAGGUAGUGUGAGGUAAAGAACCAAUGUAAUGUAAAGAAUGCUGAAAGUGAUAAUGCUUAAAGUUAACGCAAUGUGGGAAGCAAAGAACGUGAAAUGCUAGAGGUAGCCAAGAGUAAAGAAUGUAAAGAAUAUAAUUGCUAGAGUUAGCAAGAGUAAAGGAUAAUGUAAAGAAUGUGAUUUCAUGAGAUACUAGUAUAGGAAUUGAGUUUCCUAAUAUUCAAGUUAGAACUGAAAUGUGAUCGAGAUCACAAGAAAUGUAGUGAAAUACAACGUUUNNNNNNNNNNNNNNNNNNNNNNNNNNNNNNNNNNNNNNNNNNNNNNNNNNNNNNNNNNNNNNNNNNNNNNNNNNNNNNNNNNNNNNNNNNNNNNNNNNNNNNNNNNNNNNNNNNNNNNNNNNNNNNNNNNNNNNNNNNNNNNNNNNNNNNNNNNNNNNNNNNNNNNNNNNNNNNNNNNNNNNNNNNNNNNNNNNNNNNNNNNNNNNNNNNNNNNNNNNNNNNNNNNNNNNNNNNNNNNNNNNNNNNNNNNNNNNNNNNNNNNNNNNNNNNNNNNNNNNNNNNNNNNNNNNNNNNNNNNNNNNNNNNNNNNNNNNNNNNNNNNNNNNNNNNNNNNNNNNNNNNNNNNNNNNNNNNNNNNNNNNNNNNNNNNNNNNNNNNNNNNNNNNNNNNNNNNNNNNNNNNNNNNNNNNNNNNNNNNNNNNNNNNNNNNNNNNNNNNNNNNNNNNNNNNNNNNNNNNNNNNNNNNNNNNNNNNNNNNNNNNNNNNNNNNNNNNNNNNNNNNNNNNNNNNNNNNNNNNNNNNNNNNNNNNNNNNNNNNNNNNNNNNNNNNNNNNNNNNNNNNNNNNNNNNNNNNNNNNNNNNNNNNNNNNNNNNNNNNNNNNNNNNNNNNNNNNNNNNNNNNNNNNNNNNNNNNNNNNNNNNNNNNNNNNNNNNNNNNNNNNNNNNNNNNNNNNNNNNNNNNNNNNNNNNNNNNNNNNNNNNNNNNNNNNNNNNNNNNNNNNNNNNNNNNNNNNNNNNNNNNNNNNNNNNNNNNNNNNNNNNNNNNNNNNNNNNNNNNNNNNNNNNNNNNNNNNNNNNNNNNNNNNNNNNNNNNNNNNNNNNNNNNNNNNNNNNNNNNNNNNNNNNNNNNNNNNNNNNNNNNNNNNNNNNNNNNNNNNNNNNNNNNNNNNNNNNNNNNNNNNNNNNNNNNNNNNNNNNNNNNNNNNNNNNNNNNNNNNNNNNNNNNNNNNNNNNNNNNNNNNNNNNNNNNNNNNNNNNNNNNNNNNNNNNNNNNNNNNNNNNNNNNNNNNNNNNNNNNNNNNNNNNNNNNNNNNNNNNNNNNNNNNNNNNNNNNNNNNNNNNNNNNNNNNNNNNNNNNNNNNNNNNNNNNNNNNNNNNNNNNNNNNNNNNNNNNNNNNNNNNNNNNNNNNNNNNNNNNNNNNNNNNNNNNNNNNNNNNNNNNNNNNNNNNNNNNNNNNNNNNNNNNNNNNNNNNNNNNNNNNNNNNNNNNNNNNNNNNNNNNNNNNNNNNNNNNNNNNNNNNNNNNNNNNNNNNNNNNNNNNNNNNNNNNNNNNNNNNNNNNNNNNNNNNNNNNNNNNNNNNNNNNNNNNNNNNNNNNNNNNNNNNNNNNNNNNNNNNNNNNNNNNNNNNNNNNNNNNNNNNNNNNNNNNNNNNNNNNNNNNNNNNNNNNNNNNNNNNNNNNNNNNNNNNNNNNNNNNNNNNNNNNNNNNNNNNNNNNNNNNNNNNNNNNNNNNNNNNNNNNNNNNNNNNNNNNNNNNNNNNNNNNNNNNNNNNNNNNNNNNNNNNNNNNNNNNNNNNNNNNNNNNNNNNNNNNNNNNNNNNNNNNNNNNNNNNNNNNNNNNNNNNNNNNNNNNNNNNNNNNNNNNNNNNNNNNNNNNNNNNNNNNNNNNNNNNNNNNNNNNNNNNNNNNNNNNNNNNNNNNNNNNNNNNNNNNNNNNNNNNNNNNNNNNNNNNNNNNNNNNNNNNNNNNNNNNNNNNNNNNNNNNNNNNNNNNNNNNNNNNNNNNNNNNNNNNNNNNNNNNNNNNNNNNNNNNNNNNNNNNNNNNNNNNNNNNNNNNNNNNNNNNNNNNNNNNNNNNNNNNNNNNNNNNNNNNNNNNNNNNNNNNNNNNNNNNNNNNNNNNNNNNNNNNNNNNNNNNNNNNNNNNNNNNNNNNNNNNNNNNNNNNNNNNNNNNNNNNNNNNNNNNNNNNNNNNNNNNNNNNNNNNNNNNNNNNUUCAAGUAUACGUUGUUGGCGAUGACAUCGAUAUACGCAGUUGGCCUGCUCUUCAGGUUUUCAUGGGUUAGAUUUGGCGGCACAGCCAGAUUCCUGGAGUCCGUUUUCGGUGAUAGACGAGUGUGGACCGUACAUUGGGAUCGUGUUUCUCUUGUGGCGACCCGAGUGCCCAGCCUACAUGCUGGUGAAAAGGCCUUUUCUUGUGGGAGGACGCCCCCUAGUUGGGCGACCACAUGCACUUUACGUGAGCUCGACACCGCUAGUUACGCCUAUACUAGUUAUCGGUUCUAGUUCUUUCUUUACAGUUGUCUUGCUACUAUAGUUUUGAUAUUCUUGUAUGCUUGCAGUUGUACAUUACAGUAGCGAUAGUUGUGUUUUUCAUAUAUAUAUAUAUAUAUAUAUCUCAUUCGUUCAUUAUCGUUGCUACUGUAUUUUACUUACCCAUACUGUUGGUUAUUUCUUCCUGAUCCGGUGAAUACUCCUCGCCUUCUUCGGCUUGCGGUACCCACUGGGAGGGGAGACAUGUUUACAUGUUCUCACCUCCCCCACCAUUUUUCAGGUAUCGUGGGCGAUGAGUAGUGGGACGAGACGUGAGGUACGCGUGUAGCGGUCGAUAGAGCUUUCGACCCGGGUUAAUUCGGUUUACUUUUUUUACCCUUCUUAUUUUGGCUGAUGAAUAGUUUAGUGGUUUAUGUGGUUCAGUGUUUAUUUACAUUUGAAAAUGUGGAUUUCUAGAUUUUGUAAAAUAAAAGAUUUUCUACCCCUCGUGGUAGCGUUUUUAAAAGAAUAAAGGAUUCUGUAUAGGAAACAGCUUUCAAAAGAAUUUUCGUGAAUUUCUAUUUAAUCACUGAAUGUAAAACUGUGAUGUGAAUGGUGAAUGUAUGAAUGUAUAGUUAUCUUUAUAUUCAUUUGGUUGUGGUUGUUUCCUGGCUAUACUCUUGUACUUGUGCGACGCCGUGCAAAUACAGGGGAGACUCUGUCCGUGUGAACAGUGGAUUCCCUGUAUUUGUGGCGGAUCUGGCAUACCCUGGGGUCAGGUUUGCAAAAAAAAAAAAUUUCUGCUGUGUUUUUAACCUAAAGGGACCCCGGGGCGUGACAUAUUAGCAUCAUGUAUUAGUUGGUUACUACUUUACCUAUCCUUUCUAUUAUGCCUGAGUUAGUCCUAGUGGGAAAGUCGGUGAUGUUGAGGCCGAACCCACUGGGAACUUUGUUGUAGUUCUCACCCCACUAUUUCCACAGAGCCGGGACCGAGCGAGCCGGCGAGCGACCGCGGUAAAGGUAUCGCGCCUUAGUCAGAGGCCACCAAGUUGGGUUACAUUUUGUUAGCAGUUAUCCCUUUUAUCAUCUUUUGUAUUUGAUGAUUAGUGAUGUAAAGAAAGAGUGUAAAGCUUAUUUUGAGGUAAAUGAGAUGUAAGAAGAAAUGGUGAAAAGAUGUAAUGAAUGUAAGGAAUUCGAAAGUGAACAAAAUGGAUGCAAUGUAUAUGAUCUAAAGUGAAUCAUAUUACUUGUGAGUGUUUAGUCUCCUUUUUCUUUCACUAAUGGCUAUUGCUUACCCUCGUGUAAGCCGUUUGUGUAUGUUUCCGCUAGUGCAAUUCUUGUUUGAAUUUUGUACAUGUGAUGAGCCUUGGGCGGAUAGGGAAAACUCUGUCCGUUCGGCGUCUGUUUGACGUGCUCGGGUCGGGCCAAAUCGGCAUCGGUCCCGGGGCGUGACAAUAGGGGUCAAAAAUUUACUUCACAUAACGUAGGCAUGUUAAGCAUUCUAAAAUUCAUAGUAAUUACAUUUAGUAUGGAAAUGCAUGAAUUUCUACUUUAUGAAACACAUUUCACCAAAUAUGAGGAUUUCUCAUAUCAUAGGCUAGGUCAAACCCACCGAACCGUCGCGUGCUCCUUCGAUUCGCCGAACGGAGUUGUCCACGAGUCUCAAAGUAUCCUAAAAGUGAUUAGCGAAGAGAUACGAGGGCAUUACGACCAACCAUAAGAUCAAACAUUAACCUAGAAGCAAAAAGGGCCAAAACUCACCUCAAAAGAAGAAAUCUCUUCCAAAGCUCCAAAAGAGAGCUAGAACCCUUCCAAUCCAAGCCUAAGGAAGGUUCUAGACCAAUCAAUCUAGCCUCAAAAGCCCUAGGUCAAAAAGCCCCAAAAUCAACCCUAAAUCUCAUUUCUAGGGUUUCAUCUACAAAAACUAUCAAACAAGAUCUAAAGGAGGGAAAUGAGCAACAAACCUCCUUAGAAGCUCCAAUCCUAGCUCCAAGGGUGAAGAUCUCCUCCUAUGCAAGCUCCAAAUCCAGGCCUUCAAGCAUCAACAAAGUGGGGAGAGGAAAAGAGGCAAAGAAAUGCUCCAAGUCCACCAAAACCCUCUCCUUCUCCUUCUUCUCCUCCUUCUUCUUCUCUUUCUCCUUCUCUCUCUAGCAAGGGUGUGGGGAGAGUGUGAGGAGGGAAAUGAGAAGAAGAGAGAGGGGAUGGGUCAUAUAGACCCUCUAUUGUAACAAAAUCCAGCUAGGUCCUUCAAAAAUCCAAAAUUGCAUCAGCCCGAACUGGGCAGUUUUCGCCAAGAGGGACCAGUCUCUCCCCAGCAGGGACCGGUCUCUCACUGCGUAGACGCGCUCGGGGACCGGUCUCGCCCGCCAGGGACCGGUUGCCUCAGGGCUGCCGCACCACUGCUCACUCGGGGACCGGUCUUUCCUUUUAGGGACCGGUCCCCGAGAGUAAAAACUCUCAGGAUUGUCCAGAAUUUCAGUUUUCGAACUUUUUAGGUCGAAAAGCAUUCUACAACCCUCCACCAAGUAUGGAAAAGCUCGAAAUACAUCCAAACACUCGAACCUUGCAAUUUGCAAAGGUCCAGUGCGUCACAAUUGCUAUUUGCAACAUACUGCAAUCUGCAGUUUUCUGCACUUGGUACCGGUACGUGGGUAAUCUGUCACCAGUACGCCGCUACGCAGAGGCCAAACCCGAGAGCUAUUAUUCUCGGCUGGCUGGUCUGAUACCGGUACGCAUCAGGGGUGUCACCGGUUUAACAGCCUAAAAUACUCAAACCCGAGAGUUGCUACUCUCGGUCUGCUACGGGGUAAAACCCUCCAACAAUUGCUAUUUGCAACAUACUGCAAUCUGUAGUUUUCUGCACUUGGUACCGGUACGCGGGUAAUCUGUUACCAGUACGCUGCUACGCAGAGGCCAAACCCGAGAGCUGUUAUUCUCGGCUGGCUGGUCUGGUACUAGUAAGCAUCAGGGGUGUCACCGGUUUAACAGUCUAAAAUAUUCAAACCCGAGAGUUGCUACUCUCGGUCUGCUACGGGGUACCGGUACCACUCCGAUGUUUAACCGAUUACACAAUGCCCAGACUACAGUUUAGUACUUGUUCGACCUCUAUUUCGCGUUGAGCAAUGCUAAAACUCAACUAUUUCUCCUAGAAUUCAACUUUGACCCAUUCCAAUAUUAUUGGAAUGUCAAAUGGAACAUGUCCAAGCAUCUCUCUCACCAUACUUUGGUCCUUUUGACCAAAAGUGGUUUAAUAGGACGGGGAAUCAAUAUCUUACAGUGUCUGUCUAACGCCUUGCGCCUAGUGGUUGGGCAAGGUUGCUUUGCCCACUCUCUAGAUGCACAUUUUCAAUUAAAACUACCACGAGCUCUUCUUCUUUCUUUUAUCUAUUUAACAAUUGUGUAGAAAAAAGUAUGACAGGAAUCAAGAGAGACAGAGCUAGAGGUUUAACCAUUCUACUUACGAAAAUAGUUAGAGAAAUUUGCCCUAAAUGAGUUUUAAACAGCUCAGUAAAUACCAAAACCAGUCAAGAAAAAGUUUCAACAAACUUGCUAUUUUGAUUCGUAUUUUAAUCCGUUCAAAAUGGUAAAGAAAAGCAGUUAACUACAGUUUCUAGAAUUUUACAUAAAAGUGAUACGAAAAAGUAUUUUGUAGAUCUCAAAAUUUUCAACUUUAGAAGUACUAGAAGUUUAAAUAUCUAUAAAAACUUAUGAAUCCUCAGUUUACUACUAAGGUGGUGUGUUCCUAUGAAGUUUGGGGAAGGUAGGCGUGCAAACCUUCUCCGUUGCCUUUGGUCACUUUUCUAUUACUGCGUUCAUACUGAGCUGGUCAUGCCGCCUACCUUUAAAUUAAUGCGUUCGCAUGGUGACCUCAUAUAUUACAAUAAUAUUGAUAUAUGGAGACAAAAUAUUUAGCAACGAAGUGUAAUUUUGUUGGUAUUUAAUUAGCGACUAAAUUUAAUGUUCGUCGCAAAAUUAAAAAAUGGAGAGUUUUUAAAACGUCAUUAGUGACAAUGUAACUUUAUUACUAAAACGUAGUCGCUAUAAGUUUAAUAGGAUCAAUUUUUUUCGCCCUAAAUUAAUUGUAGCGACAAACGAUAAUUAAUAACGACUAAAUUAGACGUCACUUUAUGGUUCAAUAAUUAGUGAUAAAAAAUGUGGUCACUGAAACUCUAUUUUUAGCAACAUAUUAAUGUUCCGUCACUAAAAUAUUAAAAAUCUGUUAUAAUUUUUGUUGCUAGAAGUUUAUAAAAUAAAAUUUAAGUUAUUUUAUUUGGUUAAAUUAAAAAUUUUAUUUCAUAUAACUGUUGUAUUUUUUAUUAGUAUUUAAUUCUUAUAAUUUUAUUAAUUAAAAUUUAUGCAAUAUUGAUGAUUUGGUAUAAUUUUGAUCUUAUAUCGUUGUUUCAAAAUUCAACCUAAUUUAAUUCUUUCGUUAGUAGAUUCUUAAAUUUUUAUUUAAAUUAUUAAUUUAAUUUUAAAUUUGUCUAAAUUACAGAAAAUUCGCCUGUCAAUAUCCGCUUUUUUACUUUUUUCCUAUCAUUUAAAAAGUACACUUUACCCCCUUGAAAAAUAAAAAAUAUUCACAUGAGGUUACGGUGUUAACUGUGAUGAUAAAAUUAAUGGAGGAUCAAGUGAUGAUACAAUUAAGGAAUUAAUUAUGGGUGAAUCAAAUUCCCAAAAUCAGGAAUCUACCAACUAUGACAAGUAUUCAAAUCAUAAGCAAUUGUGGAAACUCAAGAAUGACAAUCUCUAACCGACUGUCCCUAGAGCAAGUGGCAAAGGGCUUGGUGGUUGGUACCCGAGACCCAAGUUCGAAUCCUAGUUGAUUCACAUUUCUAGCUAAGUUUAUUUCUAAAUGAAAUAAACGAAGCUACCUAUCUCUCAAAAAAAAAAAGAAAAAAAAAAGAAUGAGAAUCUCUCAAGUAUGGCAACCACUCCAAAUAAAAAAUAUUUGGAUUCAAAUAUUGUACAUUUCUAGAAUGUAAUUAUUGUAAUCCCAGGAAUAAUGGGAUUAUAUUUUGUAUUCAAUAAUUAUAUAUACUGAGAGUUGGUUUUGUGUGUUCUCUAUUGAGGACAACAAUCAUUUUUCCACCAAUUAUAAUUUUCUUUAUGGUAUCAGAGCCAUAAGACAUUAGUCAUCAUACUUGAUCUAAUGGCCACUUCUAGUGCUUCUUCUUCUACCACAAGCCCCACAUUUGUUAUUGCUAACAUUAGCAAUUUAGUCUCCAUUAAACUUGAUCGCGGCAACUAUCUAUUAUGGCGACAAUAAUUUCUUCCCGUUCUUUUUGCUCAUGACUUGAUGGGUUAUAUUGAUGGAUCCAAAGAAUGUCCAUCAAAAUUCACCAAAAAUGCCGAUGGCACUAUUACCGACACUAUCAAUUCGUCCUUUUUGGAGUGGAUGAAACAAGAUCGUCAUCUGCUCUCUUGGAUUCAAGCUACCCUCACCGAAGGGGUACUUGCUUAAGUUGUCGGCUUACAAACCUCUCGCGAUGUUUGGGUUGCAUUGGAACGUCGGUAUGCAUCUCUCUCGCGUGCCCAUAUUUCACAACUUACUACUCAACUUCAAACUAUCAAAAAGAGAGGUAUGACUAUCACUGAUUAUAUGAAUAAAAUAAAAGCCAUAUCUGAUAAUUUGGCGGUUGUCGCUAAAUCGAUCCAUGAUGAUGAUUUGAUUCAUCAUAUUGUUCAUGGUUUUUCCCCGGAAUAUGACCCUAUUCGGGUCUCUAUUUGUACUAAUCCCUCUAUUUCUACUGUUGAGGAAGUGCAUGCUAUUUUAGCCGGUGAAGAACUACUUUUGGAGGAACGACGUCAACUUCAAUCUUCCAUCACUCAUGAAUUAAUCUACCGCCUUCAUUGCAUAAACAAUUCUUUUCAAAACAAUCUUGGCUCUAAUUAUGGCUGAGGGCGCAAUACUAACAAUGGCAGGGGAUGUGGAAGAGGACGUGGUGGUCAUGGCCGAGGUGGAGGCCAACCUCCACGUAACAACAACACAAAUGCAAAUGCUGGGCAACGUCCAACUUGCCAGACCUGCAAUCGAAUUGGCCACAUUGCACUCGACUGUCACUAUCGAAUGGACUUUGCAUAUCACGGGUGUACUGCUCCUCAGGGCCUUCAAGCAAUGGUGGCAACAACUUCUCACUCUGCUGAUCAAACUUGGUAUGCUGAUACUGGAGCCACCAACAACCUAACUUCUGAUCUCUCCAAUCUUACUAUUCGCACCGACUAUCAAGGAAGUGAGAAAAUAUCUGUAGGCAAUGGACAAGGUUUGCGCAUUCUUCAUACUGGUUCAUCUACACUUCAUACCCCAUCUCAACCUUUUCAACUAAACAAUUUGUUACAUGUUCCUGAAAUAUCAACCAAUUUAGUUUCCGUUAACUAGUUUUCUAAAGAUAAUACUUGUUGCUUUCUCUUUGACUCUCAUGGUUUUUGUGUGAAGGACAAAUAGUCGGGGAAGAAGCUUUUCCACGGGCCGUGAAAAUGGACUAUAUCCCAUCAAAUCCUUCAAAAAUAAUCAGAAUAAAUCAAGUCCUUUUGCUCUAUUGGCGAAAGACUUUUUCUUCAAUCGGGCAUCAUAGGCUUGGCCAUCCAUCUGCUACUACUUUGCAUUAUUUGUCUGCGCUUUCGAAUAUCUUUUUCAAAGGUUCUAUAAAAGAAAUAAAUUUUUGUGAUUCAUGUCAACUUGCGAAAAGUCAUCGUCUUCCUUUUAUUCUUUCUACUUAUGUUUCUUCUUCUCCUUUAGAACUUUCACAUAUGGAUGUUUGGGGACCUACCCCUAUUCUAACAAUGAGCGGUUUUAAAUAUUAGGCUAAAUUACAUAAAACCCCCUAUCAAAAUCCGAUUUUUCACUUUCCCCUUCUCAUUUAAAAACCUACACUUUGCCCCCUUGUAAAAUGAAAAAUGUUCACUUCGCCACCUGCCGUUAGUAAUCCGUUAGGGUUCCGUUUAUAAAAUAUUAUUAUAUAUUUUUUAUGUCAAAAAUGCUAUCAGCCUUCUCUUUUGUGAAUAUGGUGAGGGGCAAAAUAGUGAGGGGCAAAACGGUCAUCUUAUCAUCACAGUUGACACCAUAUCCCCCUAUAAAUAUUUUUCAUUUUACAAGGGGGCAAAGUGUAGGUUUUUAAAUGACAGGGGGGGAAAGUGAAAAAUCGGGUUUUGAAAGGGGGUUUUUUUUGUAAUUUAGCCUAAAUAUUUUUUAGUUAUUGUUGAUGACUUUACUAGAUACUCUUGGCUUUUUCCCUUAUACUCCAAAUCUGAUGUUUGUGAAAUUUUAUUGAUUUUAAAUUCAAAAUUGAGAAUUUACUUGAUCGAAAAAUCAAAAGCAUUUGCUCCGAUGGAGGUGGAGAAUUUCUAAAUAAUCGUUUCAAAAAUUUUUUACAUGAAAAUGGUAUCUCUCAUCAGCUUUCUUGUCAACAUACACCUGAGCAAAAUGGUACUGCUGAAAGAAAACAUCGCCACAUUAUCGAAACUAGACUUUCUCUUCUUUUUCAUGCCCACAUGCCUUCUAAAUAUUGGGUGGAAGCUUUUCGAAUUGCCGUCUUUCUCAUUAAUAGAAUGCCAUCAAAACGUUUAAAUAAUAUUUCUCCUUGGGAAAAGAUAUUUGCUCGCAAACCUGACUACUCUUUUCUCAAAGUUUUUGGUUGUGCAUGUUAUCCAUGGUUACGCCUUUAUUCUCAUCAUAAGCUAGAAUCUCGAUCAUUAAAAUGUGCUUUUAUUGGUUAUAGUUUAGAUCACAAAGGUUAUCGAUGUCUUGAUCCUUUUACAGGUCAUGUAUAUAUUUCUCGACAUGCAGUUUUUAAUGAAUCUCAGUUCCCUUUUAAUAAUUUAUCUCGGGAAUGUCCUUCUACUCGGUCAUUGGAUAACGUAGAUUUCGAACCAACUGGAGUUCUUCAUGCUUGGCUACCCUUUUCAUCACUUCCUUUCUCACCACCAUCUAUACCCGCCCCAUUACCUAACCACGAAAUUCCGAGUACCUCUACAGGAAUACCAAACCAAUCACCGUUACAACAUCAAAUUUCCUCUACCGCCCAAACUGCACAUGACACUUCCAUAGAACAGUAGCCUACCAAUACCACUUCUACAAAUUCUAAUUCUCAUUCUAUGCAAACUAGAUCUAAGUCAGGUAUUAUCAUGAGAAAGCAACUGUUCACUUUGAAAGCCACUCGCUACCCUUUACCCAAAGUGCUACUUGCCAUUACUACAGAAAUUGAGCCAACUUGUUAUAGUCAAGCUUCUAAAAGUACUAAGUGGAGAGAUGCCAUGACUGCCGAAUUUAAUGCAUUGCAAAAGUGCGGUACAUGGUCUCUUGUCCCUUUUACUCCUGAUAUGAAUGUUGUUGGUUGUCGUUGGGUUUAUCGAAUAAAACAACGAGCUGAUAGUAGUCUUGAAAGAUACAAGACCCGUUUGGUAGCCAAAGGUUAUCAUCAACAACUUGGGGUUGAUUACAGUGAAACCUUUAUUCCUGUUGCCAAGCCUUCCACUAUUCGAGUUGUGCUAACUACUGUCGUUCAUUUUGGGUGGUCCAUAUGUCAGCUAGGUGUUCAUAAUGCCUUUUUGCAUGGUAUUUUACGAGAAGAAGUAUAUAUGCAACAACCCCCCGGUUUUAUUGAUCCUCUUGCUCCAACUCAUGUUUGUAAGCUCCAUAAAUCGAUUUAAGGACUAAAACAAGCACCUUGUGCUUGGUUCGAGUGUUUCACAACAUAUCUACUUGCUUUGGGAUUUCAUGGUGCCGAUGUCAACACUUCUCUUUUCAUCCAUACUUCUCAUAAUGAAAUUCUUAUUCUUUUUAUAUGUGGAUGAUAUCAUUAUUACCGGCAGUAAUUCAACUUCUAUUCACAAUCUUAUUCGUGAACUUGGCACCCAAUUUGCAAUGAAAGAUCUUGGUCCUCUCUAUUACUUUCUUGGUAUCGAGGUACACCGUGAUUCAAAUGGCAUCUUUUUAUCUCAAUCCAAAUACUCCAUUGAUCUUCUUACAAGAGCAUAUAUCGAUAGUGCGAAAGCAUGCACUUCACCAGUUUCUUCUCAUAAGAGGCUCUCCCUCAUUGUAGGCGAUUCUCUUGAUGAUGCAACCUUCUAUCGGAGUAUUGUCGGGGGACUUCAAUAUUUAUCCAUGACGCGACCAGAUUUAGCCUUCUCUGUUAAUCAGGCUUGUCAAUUUAUGCAUGCACCAACUUCUGAACAUUUAAUUGCUGUCAAAAGAAUCCUUCGAUUUCUCAAAGGAACAGUGGACCAUGGACUUUAUAUUGGAAUAGGCGAUCUUAAUUUGCGCGCCUAUUGCGAUGCCGAUUGGGCAGGAGAUCCCGAUGAUCGCCGCUCUACUAGUGGAUUUGGUGUUUUUCUUGGUCCGUGUUUAGAAUCUUUGUCACACCCCGAGACCCGCGUAUUUUGUCGAAUUCGAGCCCACUAACAGACCGCCGAACGGACAGAAUUUUUCCUGUACGUCCUAGGCGUUGCAAUCAAUACAAUUUGCGAGGUUCCAACCAGAAACAUAUUUCAAGCAAGGAUUGCAUAAGGAAGUAUCAAAAACAUAAAACAACUAAGCUAUAACAAGCAUUCACAUCACAUGCUUUUUACAUAUUACAUUUUCGUUUUCUUUUCUUCCAAAUACAAUCAAUAUUAUUACAACAUUGUAUUCUUCUUUUCUACAACCCCUAGUGUCACGCCCUGGACUUCAGCAGAAGCUCACCAGUCGCGUGCACAGAUCCGCCGUGUACAUCACAACCACAAGUAUACACCAGACGUCUACAAUUCACAUAGUAAAAGCAUUCGAUUCUAACCAGGUAAUCAGAGCAUAACUUACUAAUAUAGUUUAAUAAACUCAUACAACACAAAACCUUAUUACAACUGAAAUGUAAAGUACAUUCUACAUAAGUCUCAUAUACAACAUGGUGCUAAACCAAAAUAAACUAAUCGAGGUUCAUCUAUGUAACAUCGAGAAAGCUCUAAUUAGCCGCUAACCCCUCGCCACGAACCCUAGCCUUUCCCGCUGUGGAAGGCUCUGUAAAAACAACAACAAAGAGGGUGUGAGAACUAUUAAACAAUAGUUCCCAGUGGGUAAGCCGCCGAGAGUGGCGAAGUACACCACUAGGUCAACUGAGGCAUAAGUAUGUAGCAGUAAGUAAGCACAGUAAAUGCAGUAAUAAAAGAAACAGUUCAAUCAUAUUAUGCCUCCACAAGAUAUGUCUUAACAAGUUUAUUUUUCCGUUCAUAUGAAUGAAUGUUUUAGUCAUGCUAUAUGCAGAAUAUCGUUAUGUUUACUAACUAAUGACAUCAUGUAGCUAUAGCUAUCUUCUAUACUGACAAGAGUAUAUACAUUCAAAUACUGUUGCAAUACUACUAAUUAGCAGAGAUGUCAAUUCUUUGGUAUGUUUACUACUAGAUAGACUUAACUAAUGACAUAAAGUAUCCUUACUACUAUGUCCAUCUAAGGUUAAGGCAAUUUAUAAUAACCCAAUUCACAGUAGAUUUACACAUGGUAAAGUCAAAGCUGCGCUGUGCCUAAUGGCCCCGUGGAAGUCAACACUACCCACAGCAAUCCACUUCGGCGCUUAAAUUCGUACAUAAGCGAGCAAUCUGUCGCUAAGCUACUCCGGAGUGCUGGCUUGGGGGGCGCGACCCCCACAAGCGUGUGCGAAAGAGCAUAAUGGCAUGCAAGCUGUAAUCCAUAGCACGAGUAUCACAAUCUCAUCAUGUCUCAGACAUGGAAGCUCAACUCGACCCAAAGUCGACACUGUAGUACUCAAUUGUAGGCCACUAUCAACUACUUGUUGACAUACUUUUACCACUAGCUAGUAUAACUUAAACUAGUAUAUACUUUACAUCAUAAUGGUUAUACCCACACAUACUCAUAUAAAGUCCUCUCACUACUCCCUAUACAUAAGGAAAGUGGUUUUCUAAAGUUAUGUCCAACGACUCGUGGCACAUAGUUUAUAGUUCAAUAUAAUCCUUUUCUACUUGAGAUGACCAGGAAAUAUAUAGUUGUUCUACUUGAUCAUGCAAGUAAAUUCUCAUAUCCAUUUCUAAUUCUUUACUAGAUUGCAUUCAAUAAAAUAACAAUUAAGGUAUAUCAUAAUGCCAACUUCUAGUUACUUAACUAGAACAAACAAUAUAGCAUGAAGUUAAGCAAGUUCUAUCCUGUAAAAGUGAAACCAACAGUUUAACAUAAGUGGGUACAAUAUUCCAAAAAAUACUCUUCAUAUGAUCUUGUAUAAGUCAUUCUAUAAUACCGAUAUAUACUCAAGUAAGUUCAUUCCGCAUGGUAUGCUAGAGGUUCAAGCAUCAUAUUUACAAUAGGAACUAGCAUGAUUUAGCUUGGAGGUUAAACCAAUUUACCCGGUUCACUUAGUUAUACAUUCAACUAAGUACUAUUUUCCUGGCUUUAAUUCGAUGCACCAGUAAGUGAUAUCUCUCUUUACUUAUAUACGCUAGUACAUUAACAUCAGAUAAUACAUGCUAGACUAGCGAGUAAUCUCUAAAUGCGAAGCAAUUCCAUAAUUCCUCCCUACUAUAUAGAGAUUCUCGUUUAGUUGACAUGCUAUGCAGAUUUGCACGUGUCCAACACAUUCAAAUACACAUAUAUUCAUUUGAAUAUGCAACCAUUUCAUUUUAUAAUGUCAAGAAGACAUAGAGGGAAUUCACCUAUUUCGGGAAGGUCCGACCCACCUAAUUGCUGUCGACUCUUGUUGAUCCCACAAGUGAAGACCAUCCGAAGCUUCUAAGUAUCUUAGCAAUCAUAUUACUCAAGUUAGAACCCUGCUUUCACCUUUACCAAAUAUCUUACAAAUACAUCUCAAUUAGGUAGAAUUAUACCUAAUAUGAAGUCCAGUCUCAACUUCCCUCGAAAUCAGGUUGAAAUAUACUUGUUCACGCUUCUCAAAAAUUGGUAACUUCAACUUAGAGUAGCCGACUUCCUGCAGUGAACCUGCUGCGAGUUAACUUUAAAAACUGCCUCAACACUACAAUCAACACAUCCAAACUAUAAGGAGUUGGAUCGCUCAUCUUACACAGCUUCAUCUGAAGCUAAAGCAUAUUAAAACCAGUCCACCAGGGUCACCAAAACAUAACUAUAAGGUCCAAAUACCUUGCUGUGAUCAAGUACCAAAAUCAACAUUGAUACCUCUACAUAACACAUAAUAUAAGCUAAAAUCUCACUUAUUUAGAUUCCCGACUUAUAAUUCCACUUCCUACUGGUUGAAGUACUCUCAAACGAGCUCACAGGGUCAAGAUAUUCAGCUCAAAAUGAUUCUCAAGGCUGCUACAAUCAUAUACCAAAAACAAUUUCAAUACUUCACCAAUACUUAAUUUAGCAUCAACAUAGGGCAAUCAAUUAAUUACUCACCUCUUCCAAGUUUCAAUCUAACUUCCCCUGGUUUCGAAUUGUAGGACCUCAGCUAAUACCAGCUUCAAAAGUUACUCGAAACUCAGUUACCAAAUUCACAUGUUCUGCUGUGAACAACGCCAAUACGACGUCAAGACUAUCACUAAUUUCAGCAUCUAAGUAGGAAAGAAUGGCUGAUUAAUUACCUUCCAACUCAAUUCAGCUUAUUCUCGGUUUAAGGCUGAAGAAUCACAGCAAAUAGCUUCUCUAAAGCUGUUAAACCCCCCCGCCCCAAACCUGCUUGCAGCAAGGAGAACUAAAACAACUCAACAUAACUACUUAGCCUCAAACUAUGGAAAGGUUAGAUCAAAAACCUUUCUAUAUAUCCUCCUCAGCAAAUCUGAGUUUUAAGGUUGACGAAUUGCUGCUAAAACACUCUUUCCAUUGGCAGGAGCUGCCCCAAUCCUUCUUACACCAGCAAGCAUCAAGAUGGAGAUGAAAUCAAGUCAAACCCUUGAUUUCUACUUAGAGAGAGGAACCCUAGAGAGAGAAAGAAAGGAGAGGGUUUAAACCCUGUUCUCAGAGCUCCAGCACACUCUAAGCUGCUGCAAGGAUCGAGCUGGGGAAUAAAAGGCUAAUCUCAAAGGUGAAAUGACCAAAGCAGCCUCAAUCCACACAGCUGCUGUGAUGUGUACUGGUACACGUGCGAUGCUGUACCGGUACACUAUGCAAAAUCCUGCAUUUCGAAAUUCCAAUGCACUUUCGAUCUUCUGGCUGUUCGAUCACUCUUUUAACUCGUCAAAAAUCUUAUUACCACUCUUUAAAAGAUGUAGGUUAGCUCCCAUUGCCAAUUCCAUUCUUCAAACUUCAUAAUUGGCCAAAUUCGGAGUUCUACAUUUGAAAAGUGCAUUUACAAUGCACUUUUCCACUUCCAGCUAUCUGUUUGUUCCAGUAACUUGCUGAUACUUCGCGACAGUCCUUCAAAAGUUGCAGAAUAGUUUCAAUUUCUAUUCGAACACCCGAACUUCGCAAUUUGCCAAAGUUCAGUGUAUUACACCUAGCUAGGCCGACUCGGGGUAAUGCUAUCUCUGGUCUCUGUGGUAGGGUGUUAUCUACGAAGCUACGCCCUUUCCUCGCGCCGCUGCGCUGCUCGCGUGCGAAUCUAAAACCCCAAAACCACGUGGGGUGAGAACUAUUGUCCAUAGUUCCCAGUGGGUACGGCCAUCCCAGGGAAGAGCUCGACCCACCAGGUCCGAAGGAGGUACUGCAACAUGUUAGUCCAACAAACAUCCACAGAUAUAUAUAUAUAUAUAUAUAUAUAUAUAUAUAUAUAUAUAUAUAUAUAUAUAUAUAUAUAUAUAUAUAUAUAUAUAUAUAUGCAAGUACUAAAAUACAUGUUAUGCCUCUCAACAUGCAACAAUGCAAAUCAUGCAACAAUGCAAAUCAUGCAAUAAGCUAAGUAGAUCAACCGAUUCUACUUUCAAUCUUGCUAUUCAUAGCUUAUACAAUUGACAUCUAAGGUUUUCUCUAUCUUAGAUUCAUGUCAUUUACAAUUCUACUCAUAAGGUUCCAUUUACCUUUAUCAAGCUAUCCACUCGACUCGGUCUUGAGUUAAUCAUCCGCGGAAUAUCGUGUAAAGUCAGGCUCGAGGUGAAGGACGUCUCACAUUCACCUCGGCCUUAAAUCCACUUAACUGGGACUCCGAAUCCACUCUACUGGGAUUCAACUACAGCUCACAUGCUUGUCACCCAAUCUGCUUGGCUAACCCGAAGGUUACGCCUCGACUCACUUUGAAAAUCUCAUAGGUGAGGAGAAUCUGCACUCGCGCACCGAGACCGUCUGCGGGACAACUACGUCUCCCCCUAUCGUGAAGUACUCUGGAGACCACUGCUUGGGUGGAGCGACCACGCCAAGUAAAAACAAACUAUGUGAGUAUGAUCCAAUCCUCUCAUCGAGGAUACCCUAUCUACUAGGAUUAACAACGACAUGGGAAACCCACUAAUCCCAACAACAAUGUCACAAGUGUCUCUACUACACUAGUUUCACGUGGCACAUAUCCACGACUUAGGAAAUCAUCUAUCCCUAUAUUCAUGUCAUAGUGUCUCUACUACACUAAUCCAAAUGCCACUCAAUCUACUUGACAUUGUACUUGUCCACAUCAAGUAUUAUAGUUUUCAUGUUCUUGUUUUCUAAUAUCGAACUCUCUAAUCGACCAAGUUCAACAUGCAUAGUUUAUCUACUAUGAUCCACAAUAGGGCAACAUGCAUAGUUCAUCCAACAUAAUCUACAAUAUGUCAACAUGCAUGUUUUAUCUGACAUAUUCCAAUGGUAGGCAACAUCCUUCAACAUAAUAUAAUUCAUGCACUCAUCUAGCAAUUAUAUUAUGCAUUCAUCUAGCAUCUAUAUGUAAUACACUGAACUUUUGCAAAUUGCGGAGUUCGAGUAUGUGGAAUGGUGUGUGGAUCACUCCUACAUGUUCUAAAAGGUUAGAACAAGUUUUUGGACAAGUUAGAGGAUGAUUGGAAUGCUAAAAGUGAGAAAACGCAUUGAACUGGCGAAAUCAGCCUUUUCUGCUUGCUGUACCGGUACAGCCGCUAUGGUGUACCGGUACACAGUGGCAAUUCGUGGAAGCAAGGCUAUUUUGGUAAUUUCACCUUCUAAUCCCUAUCUAUAACCCCCAGCACNAAACCUUUUAGACCAGGGAUAAGCUACUUUAAAGCUUAAUUGGAAGAUUUAGCCAUUUAAGAAGCGAAAAUCGGAACUUAAUGCACUAAGUUGUGCGAAUUGAUGCAAAUUGGAAUUUUUCUUCGCAGCAGGUCUUCGAGCUUCGUUGAGCUGAAAUUGUGCUCUUAGAAGCUAGUUUGGAAGGUGUUCUAACCAAGGGUAAGCAGGAAUUUCUGUUAGAAAUCCAGUUUCGCAAGAAUUGAACCAUAUAAGCGUGUAUACAUACAUUUUGACGUCGUUUUGGUAUUGUUCGCAGCGAGAUCGCGAUCGAGCCUUGGAUCGUCUUCGAUUGCCUUGUGAGGACUCUUGGAGGUUACACUUGAGGUAUUUCACUAGCCCAAACAAGGAUUUACGGGAUUACUUUGUGUGAAGUGUAAUUUAGGCCGAAAUCGGAUAUUCCGGUCGUAAUUUUGACGCGGUAUUGAUGUUUGUGUUCAGCAGGUUUGAGACCUAGUGGAGCUGAUCUUUGGAACUUUUUGUGACUAUUGGAGCUUAGUACUAGGUGGGUCGGACCUAACCAGAGCAAGUGAAGCUCCUCUAUGUUCUAUAUGUAUUAUAGAAAUAUGUUAGUUGUGUGCUUAUGUGAUAGCUAAAGGGCUUGAGAAUUCGUCAUCAUAACAUUUACUAUAUUGACAUAGAAUCUCUAUGAAGUAGAGAAUUCUCAUGCCUAAAUGUAUUCAUAUUCCUAUUUGGUUUAGUUGAAUAACAAUGAGACACGUUAUUAUGCUCAUGAAACGUAGAGAACAGUGGCAUUCUCUUUUUACUCGCUUGAUUACAAGUAGAGAACAAUGACAUUCUCUUGACUCUGAAGUAGAGAACUAUGACAUGCUUGUGCCUAUGUUGAUAGUGCCAUGAUAGUGAAAGAUUCUAAUGCCAUAUGUAAAUUAGCAUUACUCCUGCAUGCCUACUAAACUAGUGGAUUCUAGUUGUUGUUAAUAUUUGUUAUACUGAAAUGUCGAUCAAAGGAUCGAGAGCGAGAACGCUGCAAAUGAAAACAUGAGAAUUGAGACAUGUGGACAGUGAAAUAUGCUUGCUUGCCAUCGUGCUCAUUCGCACACGCUUGUGAGGGUCGCUCCCUACAAGCCGGCACUCCGGAGUUGGCCUACGCGACAGUUGCUCGCCCGUGCGGGAUUGGGUGCCGAAGUGGAUUGCCGUGGGGAGUGUAUACUACCACGGGGCCAUUAGGCGCGGCGCAAGCUGGACUACCUUGGGUAGGUCCCUGUGAAUGAAAGGAUAGUACUCAAUGAAAAAGGACAGUAAUGAAUGCUUAUGAAUUAAAGUGUACAGUAGUCACUUUCAUGUUCGUGCUUAUAUUCAUGUCUAUGUUCAUGAUUACAGAAAUUGCCAUAUCCCUAUUAUGUAAAUGAUUCAUUACUGUAGAAUGCCAUCACAUGUUGAUUACAUGCUUAUUACUUGUUAGCAUCAUGCUUAUAAACCAUGCAAUUAUUGUUUUUUGCUUUCAAUUAGUACAUCAUGAGCCUAGUGGUGUAAUUCGCCGAGGCUGGCGGCUUACUCACUGGGAACUAUUGUUAAUAGUUCUCACGCCCUUUUUGGUGGUUGUUUUUACAGAGCUAUCUACAGGAGAGGCUAGGGAUCGUGGCAAGGGAGUCGCGCCUAGCUAGGCACUACUAGGAGCGUGCUAGUCGAUCACCUUGUUACUCGGGCUACGGCCGAGGGUGAUGUCCAUUAUAUAGAGUGACCACCAUUGUACCUAUUUUUGUAUACCCUGUGUUGUAUAUGAGUUGAUGAUCCAGAUGUUAUAGUUCUUACUUCUUCUCCUUUUGUUGAGAUCUUGGAUUGUAUACUCUCUUUGUUUUUACUGAUACUAUAUAUCGACUUGUACAUUGCUCUGAUAUCAGGAUAGGAUUUUCUUUGCUUUACUUCCUAUCGAUUUGCUUUCUUCGUAGACGCCUUAUAUACUGCAGGUGUAUGGCGGGUCUGUGCACGUGCCGGAUAUGCUUCCGCUGGUACCCGGGCGUGACACUAUAUCAUGCAUCAUAUUAUCAUUUGCAACCUACCAAAUAUACAUAUAUGCAUCAAUGAUAAAACCGUAUUCCACUUCGACAUAGAAGCGAGUUAAUAACUUCGGUGAGCACAACCCACCUCGCAACGCUCUCCGAUUGCUUUCGACACUUGCAAUUGGCCUCCCGCAGCACACAAUAUUCGGUUCGGCUCGAAUCCGCAAUCGAUCACCGAACGCCCGCUAAUCCGCGACCUAGGGUCACCGAUGGCUCAUCUCUAACCUUCAAUUAGAGAACAAUAGGGUUUAAUUAGAUUAAAACCCUAUAAUUUUCAAACCCUCAUUUUAAGCCCUAGCAUGAAAUUAACCUCCAAAUAUUCUAAAAUUAAAUAGAGCGACAUGCUAGAAACACUCUAGAGACUACUAGAACACUAAGCAUUAAGGAUUAAAUCGAAUCCUAAACACUUACCGAAAUUGUGAACACCGAGUCAAAAGCACGCCGCUCAACCGGGCGCACGAAGACUUGAUCCGUCGCUUCCAACGCAUUCAUAAGCUCGCUCUCUGCCAAUGCCGCGAAUUUGAGAGAGAGAUUUAGAGAGAUGAGAGAGAUAUUUAGAGAGAGAAAGUGUCACACCCCGAGCCCUGCCUAUUUGGUCAGGUUCGGGCACGCCGACAGAUCGCCGAACGGACAGGGUUUCCCCUGUACUGUGAACAGAGUCUCCCCUGUACGUUCAAGGCAUCACAAUCAAUACAAUACGAAGGUUCCAAACAGAAACAGUAUUCAACAUACAACGAUUGUAUAAGGAAGGUAUCAAACAACAUAAACACAUCCUAUGUUAUUGUUAGAAAAUUGCGUACGGUAAAAACGCAGCGGAAAAAAAAAUCAAACAAAUUUGAUUUUUGAAAACUCUCGAGAUCCAAUCUCAAAAACCACGUAAUUAGGAUCCCUCAUGUUUUAAGAUUAAAGAAGAAAAACAAGAUCGAAUCUUUACCUUUUUCGCGGAUAGAUCUUCCUUGUUAAAUUUGAUGAUCGUGGAAUUCGGUUCUCUUGAAGCCGCACACGCGUCCGGCCUCUAUAGGUAUCCACACGAGGUUCUUGAUUUGAUCGAUGUCCUCACCGGGGUGCUAGCUCCCUUGCAAUAGGACGUCUUUCUUGCUAGAAGAUGGAAGAGAGAAGAGAUGAUAGAUGACGGCUAGGGUUUUCUAAAAACCCCCGUAUAUUAUAUAUAGGAAUAUAAUCCUAUUCCUAAUAAUAUAAUGACAAUUAAGGAUAAGUAUAAAUCUAGAUUUAAAUUUAUCUUUUCCUUAAUUGGUUAGAUCGAUCAAAUCCUAAUUUGAUUCGACUUGAAUUUUAUAUUAAUUUGAUCUUAUCAAAUUAAUAAUGCAACAUUUGCACAUAAGUCCUCUUAUAAUUUACUAACCAUUAGUAAGUCCUCUCUUGUAACAUUUACACCUUAAUACCACUAAUUUGUAACAAUUACAAAUUAGUCCAAUUAUCAUUAUAUUGACAAUUAGGUCCUCCGACGAUUCAAUAAUCACGAUCUAGCUAUUCGAUCAAUUACAACCUCUUAUGUGUGUGACCCCAUAGGUUCUAUUCUAUCUGGUAGUGAGAUAUAUUUUGAUCACUAUCAACAAUAUCACUGAAACUCCUUUCAAUGGUUUAGAACAAUUCCAACUCAGCCCAAUGAGAAUUAUCGAUCAUCUAGAUAAUUCUCAUGAGUCUCACAAUCCACCAGUGACGCCUAGCAGCAUGUAGUGGCAUUUCAUAGAAUGAAUAAUGAACCUCUUGGUGGCAGUCCCGUGUGAUACAAUCCUUCUAUCAAUCGAGUCCCGAUAGACGGCAGGCUAUGGAAUAACCGUCAAACCCCAAUGUCUGUCAUAUUUAAAUUUAACGACUUCCGAGUUUUAAUAUCAGAAACACCUUUUUCCCGCUAUUUAUUCUGCCACAAUGAGCCAGGUCUUCUAAACUCCGGUCUCAUAAAUCACAUAUAGAUCAACACCCCUAUACUAUACCAAGGGAGAUAGAUUCCAUCUAAGUGCGCACCCUAUUUUUACAAUGAACCUACUAGCUCAACCAUGGCACCGAAGGACCGAAUGGCCUAGGACCAAGUGUAUGUACAGUCAAACUACGACCUCAUUGUGAAUAGCCGAGGCACCCGCAGGUCAAACGCAGUCACAGCUUAUGCAACACAUGGAAAGUCACUGAGAUGAGUAACUCCAGUGACUUUCCCGUUGGUCCUGCUGUACCUUGUUCUCUAACAACCACUGUAUAUUCGCUUUAGUGUCCCCAACACUGUCGACUCGAGACUCUCCUACCAGAAAUGGGAAGGACCUAUGCACCAAUCCUACCGGAUCAAUCACGCAGUCCCGUGAUGAUCCAUUAUCGGAGCAUUUAGAAAUUAACCACAACAUGGCACAUGUCUCAAAUCUCAAACUUGAAAUAAUUUAAUCAUCUUAUUAAUUAUUGACGAUCAUGGACACAUACACAACAUGAAUGAAGAAUAAAAACGCAUAAGACUAAUUCUAAUAUUUUAAAAGUCAAAUACAAAUUUAUGUCUAGAAAAGAAUAUAUGUGUCGGCCUGGUUGCCUUCUAGGGGCAUACAUCUAACAAUACUCCCCAUUGCCACUAAAGCCCAAUUAAAGCCUUAUUACCUAAGCCCCAUCUUCCUCAAGUUGGACUUCAGUCUCUGUUGGCUAAGUGUUUAAGUCCAAUGGCUCUGCCACGUUAUCCGUGGAGUCUAUCUCCUGCAUCUCGAUAUAUCUUCUAUCGCAAGGUAGUCCGCGUAUAACUAUGAAACCACGCUCUUAUAUGCUUGGAUCUUGAUGAACUUGGGCUCCUUAGCUAGGGCUAUCCGCCAUUUUUGUCGCCAUAGAAGUGUAGGCCAUCUGAUGACAUACACAUCUAAUUCGCUACAAACUUCAUGAAUCAGAAGGCCUACAUCAAAUGCGGCAUAUACUUCGCUUCAUGGUUAGGGGUUAGUUUUUUGGAACUCUCCAUACACUUAAAUACACUAUCGGCAUAAGAAACAACAUCCUUGACGUACUCCUUCUUAUCGUCAACAUCACGACAUAAAGUCUGAAUCAGUGAAUCUUGUACUUUCAACAUCUUUUUUCUCCAAAGAUGAAAGGAAGCAAUCCUUAGUGCUUCCCAAGUUACUUGAAGUAUAGUUCUUCCAGCAACUUCCAUGCUCAGCGCCUGGAUUAGAUUGAUAUCUGCUGUGACACUCACACACCAAUCCCGAUAUCCAUAUCGUGUACGACAGCAUAGGUCUAUAAAGACUCCUAUAGCGAGGCAUAAGGGAUUUAUCAUACAUGAAUCUCUUCAAUGUAUUGGGCAACAAUUUUCUAAAGAGAUAAAUUCAUGUCUAAGAGGUAAAAGAGUCCUCUUUUUGGAGUUUUCCAUGCCGAACGCUCUUCAGCACCUCCUCUAUGUACAUUUUCUGUAAAGGCUACAUUCCUUUUAGAUCUAUCUCUAUAGAACUUAUCCCCAAACAUAGGAUGCUAUCCCCUAAAAAAUCUUUAUGAGAAAAAGAAUUUUUUUAGACACACCACAUUUACACUUAUCAGCAUUGCGAAUGUCAUACCCAAUAGCGAGAAGUCAUCCACGUAUCAUAUACGAGGAUGUGACAGCUCUCAUCCACUUGACCUUCUAUAAACACAUGCGUUCCUCCUCAUUCUUUACGAAAUCAAACGAUUUAAUCACGUUAUCCGAAUCGAGUAAUUCCAAGUCCGAGAUGCUUGCUUAAGUCCAUAAAUGGACCGUUGACACUUGCAUCUACUUUGUGACUUUGUCACGGAAGUUGAAAAACCAGCUAGGCUGCUCCAUAUAAGAUAUCUUCCUCAGAUAUUCCAUUUAGGAAGGCACGUUUUCACAUCUCAUCUUGCCAGAUUCUCAUUAUCAUAGUAUGCUGCACAGGGCAAGCAGUGUUUCGAAUGGAUUUACCGAUGGCCACAGGAAAAAGAUCUCCUGAUAGUCAAGCUUGUGCGUUGAUUAACUUUCGCAACCCACCUUGCCUUUAUAGGUCUCUCCUUUCCAUCCGAAGCCUACUUCUUUUGUAGAUCCAUUCUACAGUCCGAUAGGUACUAUACUUCUCGGUAGGUCUACAAAUCAAACAUGGUGGAAUGAUAGAAUCAAUUCUUCAUGAUUCUUCUCAUAGCAUCCAGCUAUUUCUCGAAUACGAUGUCAGACAUCCGCUCGUUGUAGGUUUGGGAUCAUCUCCAUGUUUCCUAUUUCCCAUCAGAGAAUAUUUCCUCUACUUCUCUGUAGCACGAUACCUAAGUAUCUUUAGGUGGAUGGGAGAAUUCUACUCACCUACGAGUGGAGGAGGUUACUAAUGUAUCUGCUCAGCUUGAAUAGUGUCUGUAGGUUGCAUGACUCGUUGCUCUUCUAAGAGACUCUCGUUUCUCGAGCUCAAUUUUUCUCUCACUAGCUUCUGAAUAAACUGUUUUCAAGAAAAAGCAUUGUUUGCUCACACUACAUUGUGAUUCUCUGGAUAAUAAAAAUGGUAACCAUCUAAGUUUCUUAGGAUAUCCAAAUAAAACGAGCCUCCAGACUACCCUAACUGUCCAGCCUGUAUCGCUUAACAUAGGCGAUAUCCGCCCAACACCUCCCUUGAUAUACCACAGGCUUGGUUUCUUACCAUGCCACACUUCACGGCCGUGGUAGAACGAUUUAGAGGGACUCUAUUUAACAAUAAGCGCGGUAAUGCAAAGCAUUCCCAAAGAUAAAUAAAGAAAGAAUCUAGUGAAGCUCAUCCAUAGAUCGACCAUAUCCAAUACAGGUUCGGUUUACUCCGUUUCUGACACCCCGUGAGUUAGGUGUUCCGGAGGAGUCCACUGUGAGACUAUGCCGUUUACCUCAUUUGAGAUUUUAUGAACUCUCCACUAAGGUACUCCUCCUCGAUUUGAUCGAAGAACCUGAUGGAUUUUCAGUUUGUUUUCUACUAUAUUGAAUUCUUUGAACCUUUUCAAAAUCUCAGAUUUGUGUUUCAUCAAGAUACACAUAAGCCAUACCUGUGAAUAAUCAAUCGUAAAUUGUUAUAAGUAGAAUAACUUCCCCUGACAUGCACAUCAAAGGCCCACCCACACAUCAGUGGUAUCAAUGAGUAUCUCAGUGGCCCAUUUCCCUUUCCUACAAAGGUAAUUAGUCCAAUUUUCUUGAAGAUAAGAUUCAUAAACGAUAAGACUCUGAAGUCAAUGGACCGAGAAGUCAAUUUUAUCCAAUUUAUUGAUCUUUCUUCUUCAAAUGAUCAAGCCUGAGGUCCACAUAUACUUUAGGUUCAUCUCAUCUCUAGGUUCUCUAGACCCAACCAGCAGUCACUCUUGUCAGUCUCAGAAUAUUUGUAGAUCUCCAUAUGUAAAAUGUAUAAAAGACUGUCAAUCAUAAAACCACAUGCCAAUUAAUUUUAUUUCUAAAUAAUAUGUCAGUAGUUUUUCGUCAAAAUACAACCAUCCUGUGCAGCAAAUAAAUUUUCUGCUAAGCAGGACGGUACAUAAUCAAGUCUUUACAGUAAUUAAAACAUAUCCUCGCACGGUUAGUUCCAAAGGAUAGGGUGCAGCGCUACAGUACAACUUUCCGCGUCGUGCCCACCCGUAGGGUCACUUCACGCUCCCUAAGCCCUCACUUCUCUUUCUGGAAGUAAGAGGAAAUCUUAGUGUCUAUCUACGGCAAGUCUCGACAUACACUCCGAAGGUGUUCUUCCUCUCUACAAUUUACGCUCUCACAGUCGAAAGGCAGUUCCUUUCGUAAUGACCGUCAUAUUGCAGAUGGAAACAUUUUCUUUAUUCGCGGCUCCUUUCUUCAUGACUUCCUCUUGCGCAUGUUUUCCGUCUUUUUAGUUUCCUUCGCGGUUCUUCUUCCAAUUAGCACUUCUUUAGACAGAGGAAGCUCGCUCCACACACGUGAACGUUCCUUUGAACUUUCAAAAGUUCCCGCCUAUCUAAUUACCAACAUGUUCAAUAACUCUGCGUUUGGUGCAGUCAAGUUUUUUUCAUACUGUAGUUUACAGAUAAACUGUCCAUAUAUACAGGAAGGAUUGCAGGAUCAGAUCAACUUGCAAUUCCUUAUUCCAUUUACGCCAAGCUUCUCUAAGCUCCUCGAAGGACUAUGAUUAUUGUCAGAACAAUGAUCAUCGACGACUGCCCUUCGUUAGUUAUUGGAUCGUUGGCAACCGUGAGGUUUGACCUUGUCGAAACAAUGCAGAGCUAUUGAAUGAAAACUAUUUAAAUUCCUUUGCCCAGUCUUAAAUAUAAUUCAGUUAAGAUUUGCUGGUCGAGCAUACAUAAUGAUAAGGAAAGCAGACAUUUAUUUGGGCAUGAAGUAAAGAUUAAUUAAAUAUUUGUAUUUGUUCUUGAAAAAUUGUUAGAGAUUUAAACAAAUUUAGCCUCCACUCAUUUUCUCGAGUCUCUUACACUCCUGGUAAGAAAGGAAACAAGCACGACAAGAGGUCAAGUGGUUACUGCGGUUCCCACCAAUUUAGACGUAACCACUCAUCCUAACAGUUAUUGUGAUAUGCAAACCGAUGAGUGGACACUCUGUCAAUGCUUCUCAAGCAAAUUGCAGUGAUCGGUCUCUAAGUCCUGUUAGGCCUCAACCUGACACGUUAUUGGCUCCCAUUCCUUAGUUUAAGUCAGACCCACCGUCAAACGCGUACAAAGCCCGUCAUUGGUCCCUCACCUGACAUUAUUGGCCCAACCCCAUUUUACUCGCAGGCAUCUCAUGCGUAAUCAGUGGUUGCGCAAUCCCGAAUGCCCAAGCUGACCACUGAACAGCCUAGCCAAUCAACACCAAGAAAAGCGCCCGCACUUCUCAACGGCGGAAGACCAGCUCGAAUUAAUAUUUAUGAGAGAUUUAUUUAGGUCUCAAAAAAUUAUAUUAUUACAUCUAAUGCUAAAUAAAAUAAAAAAUCAAUCCCGCAACAACAUAAUUAACUAGAUAUGAUCAUGAUCUUAGAAGUGUAUUCGACUCGACCACUGAGUCGAAUCGGGUCUUUAGGGUCAUAAAUAAGACACACACAUCAUUGUUGAUCGUCUUCAACUUCUUGAUGAUCUGAGCUUCAACCUGAUUGAUUCUUAUCAACACUUGAUCUCGACCGCUCCAUCAAGUAUUCAUCUCUAUCCGGGACUGCGAACUUUUAGGCUUGCCAACCGAUCAACCAAGACGGUAACCAUACAUUAUAAACCAAAUAAUAAAAAUGAAAUAAAAAUAAUUACAUUUGAAUACUUUUAUCCUCUAACCUAAUUGAGAACGCAGGCUCGCAAAUAAAAUCCAAACCCACCCCCCCCCCCCCCCCCCCCCCCCGGCUCGUCACGCAGGCACAAAUAUAGGCCACUUCAAUUACAAAAUUCUCAAUUUAACAAUUUAAAAAUACAGAUUCGGGCAUACACAUCAAACAUCACAUGUCUAAACAAAAAUAAAUAGGUUGGUAUCCAUAUCAAUCCCGUAUCUCAUACAUCACCAUGCUAAUAAUAAAUUUGGAUAUUCUAAUUUAAACCGUUAAACCGAUGAUUGCCGAAAGAAUAAAUUAUAAAAAUAAUCAAUCUAUUGAAUUACUUAUAAUUUUGAUCAACAAUUUAAUCUACAAUAAAACAUUUAAUGCCAUCAAGAAAUCAAUUUGAUCUAAUCAAGAUUAGAUUUUUUUCAUUAUCUUAUAUUUUCAAUCUAAAUCAACCUUUUAAAAAAAAAAUUUAAAAUUUUAAAAAACAUUUUCGUCGUAAAGAUGCUACAGUAGAAUCGGCUACAGUAACUUUUUUUUUUUUUUUGAAAAUAGAGAACCAUCGUUAAUAUUGUUAAUCACUUUGAUCUUUCGAAUUUUCCAAACAACGUCUAAUAAAUCGUUUUCUCGGCAGAAAUACGGUUUAAAUACCCAAAAAAUCAUAAUUUUUCAUAUACUUAAAACAGAGGAUUGGCCUCUGAUACCCACACUGUUAGAAAAUUGUCGUACGGUAAAAACGCAGCGGAAAAAAAAAAAGAAUAAUCAAAUCAAAUUUGAUUUUUGAAACUCUCGAGAUCCAAUCUCAAAAAGCACCGCAAUUAGGAUCCCUGUCAUGUUUUAAGAUUACAGAAGAAAAAACAUAUAAAAUGAUCGAAUUCUUACCUUUUCGCGAGUAGAUCUUCCUUUAAAUUGAUGAUCGUGAAAUUCGUUCCUUGAACCGCACACGUGCGUCCGGCGUCUAUAGGUAUCACACACAGUUUCUGAUUUGAUCGAUGUCCUCACCGGGGUGCUAGCUCCCUUGGGCAAUAGGCACGUCUUUCUUGCUAGAAUAUGGAAGAGAAAAGAAAUCGAUAGAUGACGGACUAAGGGUUUCUCCGAAAACUCCCGUAUAUUAUAUAUAGGAAUAUAAUCCUAUUCCUAGAUAUUAUAAUGACAAUUAAGGAUAGUAUAAAUCCUAGAUUUAAAUUUACUCUUCCCUUAGAUUGGUUAGAUCGAUCAAUCCUAAUUAUUCGAUUGAAAUCUUUAAUAUAAUUUGAUGCUUAAAUUAAUAAUGCAAACAUUUGCACCAUAAGUCCUCUUGGAUAAUACUAACCAUUAGUAGUCCUCUCUGUAACAUUUAACACCUUAAUACCACUAAAUUUGUAAUCAAUACAAAUUAUCCAAUUACAUUAUAUUGGACAAUUAGGUCGCUCCGCGAUUCAAUAUCGCGAGUCUUAGCUAUUCGAGUCAAUUACAACCUCUAUGUGUGUGACCAAGGUCUAUUCUACUCUGGUAGUCGAGAUAUAUUUGAUCACUAUCACCAUAUCACGAACUGCCUUUAAUGGUUAAGAACAAUUCCAACUCAGCCCAAUAGACAUUAUCGAUCAUACAGAUAAUCUCAGACGUCUCACAUCCACCAGUGACAGCCUACCCACAUGUCAGUGGCAUUCCAGUAGGGAAUGGAAUAAUGAACCUCUUGUGCAUUAUCGGUGUGAUACAAUCCUUCUAAUCAAUGCAGUCCCGACUAGACGGAGGCUAUGGAAUAAUCGUCAACCCCCAUCGUCUGUCAUAUGUUAAAUAUUCGACAUCGAAGUUCUAAUAUCGAAACCCUUUCCGCUAAUUUAUUCUGGCCCUGGCCAAAAAGGUCUUCUAAACUCGGUCUCAUAAUCACUAGACUAACCGCCCUAUCUACAAGAGAUAGAUUCCAUCUAAGCUGGACAUCCUAUUUCCCGGCUGACAAUGGAACCUACUGUAAGCCAACAUGCACGCGCAAGGACCGCGAAUGGCUAGGACAAGUGUAUGUACAGUCAACUACAGUAACCAUUGUGAAUAGCCGAGGCACCUGCAGGUCAAAGGACCAGUCACACUACGCAAUACAAUUGAGUAAGCUGACCAGAUGUGAGUAGAAUACAUCAAGUGACGCUUUCCCGCGUUGGUCACGCGUCGCUACCUUGUUCUCUAACAACCACGCUGGAUAUUCGCUCUAGUGUCCCCACACAUGUCGACUCAUGAGCUCGUCUACACCAGAAAGGGAACGCGACCUAUCACGCAAUCUCACCGGAUCAAUCACCGUCCCCGUGAUGACAUUGAUCGGCCGAGCAUAUUAGAAAUUACCCCAAUCCGCACAUUCUCAAAUUUCUCAACACAUUGAGAUAUAUGUCAUCACUUAUUAAAUUCCUUGGACGAUUCAUGACCACAUACACAACAUGAAAAAAUAUAAACAGAAAGAUAUUCAUAAUAUUUAAAAGUCAAAUACAAAUUUAUGUCCUAGAAAGAAUAUAUGUGUCGGCCUGGUUGGCUUAUAGGGCAUACAUCUAACAGUUAUUACAUUCAUUCAUAUUCAUGCAUUUUACAUCUCAACUACUAUUCCUUUUUCAUCUAAAUGCAAUCUAAGUUAUUACAACAUUUAUAUCUUUAAUACAUUAUGUUACAUUGUGUUGUUUUUAUUUCUUUAACCCCUAAGCUAUGUCGACGGGGUACUGCUUGCUCUGGUCUCUGGGGUAGGGCGCCAUCUACGGAGCUACGCCCUUUCCUCGCGCCGCCGCGCCGCUCACGUGCGAACCUGUAAACACCCCAAAACAACGUGGGGUGAGAACCAAAUCCAUGGUUCCCAGUGGGUACGGCCACCCAAGGGAAAAGCUCGGCCAUCAGGUUCAAAGGAGGCAACUGUAGGUUAGUUUAAUAAACAGAUAGAUAGAUAUUUUGACUAUGCAAGUAAUAGAACCAUACCUUGUGUAGUAUCCUUAUAUAUAUAUAUAUAUAUAUAUAUAUAUAUAUAUAUGGAUGCUGCCACGUACCCCAUGCAUGCAUGCUUAUCCACUUCUCAGCUUGAGGGUGCUCUAAUUAAAAUUUGCUUUAUCUCUUUAAUGUGAAGUAGAGAGCCACACGAGGUGGAGCUCAGGGGAGUAGCCGCGGAGCUCGGAUUCAAUGUCGACGUCGCGCCGUAGAGCCGUUCGAGGAUACGGUUGCAGUCGUAGCAUCGUGAGGAGUUCGAGCGAGGGCGUGAUUUUCGCCGUCCUCGACGUCGCACCGGUGCUGGAUUCGCUGUCGAGGUGGGUACCUAACUUUCCUCCUUGGAUUACUUGAACGCACGGUUUUGAGCUCGCAUGCUGAUUUUCAGCGUCGACCGUCAGUGUUUCGGCUCGUACUCGGCGUAGGAACGUCGGAUUUCGACGGGACUUGGUUCAUUGGAUUCAGGACUUCGAGAGGAAUAAAAAUCCCAAAUCACUGGAAAAACGAGGGGUGUGCCAGCUCAAGUUCGAUCGCCUAACACAUCGCACCGAUAACUCAACUCAAAUUCUGUCCGAACACAGCAGGCAGAGGAGAACNNNNNNNNNNNNNNNNNNNNNNNNNNNNNNNNNNNNNNNNNNNNNNNNNNNNNNNNNNNNNNNNNNNNNNNNNNNNNNNNNNNNNNNNNNNNNNNNNNNNNNNNNNNNNNNNNNNNNNNNNNNNNNNNNNNNNNNNNNNNNNNNNNNNNNNNNNNNNNNNNNNNNNNNNNNNNNNNNNNNNNNNNNNNNNNNNNNNNNNNNNNNNNNNNNNNNNNNNNNNNNNNNNNNNNNNNNNNNNNNNNNNNNNNNNNNNNNNNNNNNNNNNNNNNNNNNNNNNNNNNNNNNNNNNNNNNNNNNNNNNNNNNNNNNNNNNNNNNNNNNNNNNNNNNNNNNNNNNNNNNNNNNNNNNNNNNNNNNNNNNNNNNNNNNNNNNNNNNNNNNNNNNNNNNNNNNNNNNNNNNNNNNNNNNNNNNNNNNNNNNNNNNNNNNNNNNNNNNNNNNNNNNNNNNNNNNNNNNNNNNNNNNNNNNNNNNNNNNNNNNNNNNNNNNNNNNNNNNNNNNNNNNNNNNNNNNNNNNNNNNNNNNNNNNNNNNNNNNNNNNNNNNNNNNNNNNNNNNNNNNNNNNNNNNNNNNNNNNNNNNNNNNNNNNNNNNNNNNNNNNNNNNNNNNNNNNNNNNNNNNNNNNNNNNNNNNNNNNNNNNNNNNNNNNNNNNNNNNNNNNNNNNNNNNNNNNNNNNNNNNNNNNNNNNNNNNNNNNNNNNNNNNNNNNNNNNNNNNNNNNNNNNNNNNNNNNNNNNNNNNNNNNNNNNNNNNNNNNNNNNNNNNNNNNNNNNNNNNNNNNNNNNNNNNNNNNNNNNNNNNNNNNNNNNNNNNNNNNNNNNNNNNNNNNNNNNNNNNNNNNNNNNNNNNNNNNNNNNNNNNNNNNNNNNNNNNNNNNNNNNNNNNNNNNNNNNNNNNNNNNNNNNNNNNNNNNNNNNNNNNNNNNNNNNNNNNNNNNNNNNNNNNNNNNNNNNNNNNNNNNNNNNNNNNNNNNNNNNNNNNNNNNNNNNNNNNNNNNNNNNNNNNNNNNNNNNNNNNNNNNNNNNNNNNNNNNNNNNNNNNNNNNNNNNNNNNNNNNNNNNUCUCUGGUUUUGCAGCCCACUCUGUUGGAUAGGAUCCGAGAGAAACAGAGUGGAGAUCCGUACCUGUUGGGGAUUCGAGAGCAGUUAGACAGGGGGCAGGCUGAGGGUUUUGCUGUGGACAGUUCGGGAGUACUACAGUACAGGGACCGGCUGUGUGUGCCUGUGGAUUCAGAGAUCCGAGAGGCUAUUUUGAGAGAGGCUCAUUGUUCACCUUAUAGGGUUCACCCUGGGGGAACCAAGAUGUAUAAGGAUUUAAAGGCACAGUUUUGGUGGAAUGGAAUGAAGAGAGACAUUGGCAGAAUUGUGGCUCAGUGUUUAACUUGCCAACAGGUGAAGGCCGAACAUCUGGUGCCUGCUGGCAAGCUUCAGAGUCUGCCAGUGCCCGAGUGGAAGUGGGAGCAGAUUACGAUGGAUUUCGUCAUGGGAUUACCUAGAGCACAGGGUGGCUUUGAUGCGAUUUGGGUAAUAGUGGACAGACUGACCAAAUCUGCUCACUUCUUACCGGUUCAGACCACCUGGUCCAGAGAGAGACUCGUGCAGCUAUAUCUGGAUGAGAUUGUUAGGCUGCAUGGCGUGCCAAUUUCGAUCGUAUCUGAUAGAGAUCCGAGAUUUGUAUCACAUUUCUAGAGGAGUCUUCAGACGGCCUUGGGCACUCAGUUGCAGUUCAGCACAGCAUUUCACCCACAGACUCUAGAGGACAUGCUGAGGGCAUGUGUCCUGGACUUUGGAAGAGGGUGGUAUCGGCAUUUUAGAUUGGUUGAGUUUGCGUACAACAACAGCUAUCAAGCGAGCAUUCAGAUGGCUUCGUUUGAGGCGUUGUAUGGACGCAGAUGUCGAUCCCCUUUGUGUUGGAGUGAUGUGGGUGAAAGGAAGACGCUAGGGCCUGAGAUUUUGCUAGAGGCUGAGGAAAAGGUGAGAGUUGUUCGACGACACCUUUUGACAGCCCAGAGCCGCCAGAGGAGCUACGCUGAUACCAGGAGACGAGACUUGGAGUUCCAGGUUGGAGAUCAUGUUUUUCUUAAAGUCUCGCUUUCCAGAGGGAUUCACCAAUUUGGAGUGCGUGGAAAGCUCAGUCCACGUUUCGUUGGCCCUUUUGAGGUAUUGGAGCGAGUUGGACCAGUUGCUUACCGGAUUGCUCUACCACCCCGACUAGCUGGGAUUCAUGAUGUGUUCCACGUCUCGGCGUUGAGGAGAUAUGUUUUCAAUCCUUCUCACGUGAUCGACUUCACUCCACUAGAGAUUGGCGAGGAUCUGAGAUACGAGGAGCGACCGGUGCAGAUUCUUGCUCGAGAGACGAAAGAGUUGCGCAACUGGAUCAUUCCGUAUGUGAAAGUGCAGUGGAACAAUCACGAGGAGCGGGAGGCGACUUGGGAGCCUGAGACAGUGAUGAGGGAGUCUUACCCAAACAUGUUUGAUUCUUAGAGUUGAGGUAUGUGCUAAGUUUUGAGGACGAAACUUUUUGUAGUGGGGGAGCAUGUAGUAUCCUUAUAUAUAUAUAUAUAUAUAUAUGGAUGCUGCCACGUACCCCAUGCAUGCAUGCUUAUCUACUUCUUAGCUUGAGGGUGCUCUAAUUAAAAUUUGCUUUAUCUCUUUAAUGUGAAGUAGAGAGCCACACGAGGUGGAGCUCAGGGGAGUAGCCGCGGAGCUCGGAUUCGAUGUCGACGUCGCGCCGUGGAGCCGUUCGAGGAUACGGUUGCAGUCGUAGCAUCGUGAGGAGUUCGAGCGAGGGCAUGGUUUUCGCCGUCCUCGACGUCGCACCGGCGCUGGAUUCGCUGUCGAGGUGGGUACCUAACUUUCCUCCUUGGAUUACUUGAACGCACGGUUUUGAGCUCGCGUGCUGAUUUUCAGCGUCGACCGUCAGUGUUUCGGCUCGUACUCGGCGUAGGAACGUCGGAUUUCGACGGGACUUGGUUCAUUGGAUUCAGGACUUCGAGAGGAAUCCACGAAGCCCUUAUUUGCUGGAUUUGUUGAAGGUUACCUGGGUCGAAAUUAUGUUCUCCUCUGCUGCUGUGUUUCGGACAGAAUUUGAGUUGGAGUUCUUCGUUGCGAUGUGUGCAGGGCGAUUUCGAACUUGAGCUGGACACCCUGGUUUUUUCAGUGGAUUUGGGGAUUUUUGGUGACCUCCUCGCUGCCGGGGUUUAGCGAUCGAGGUGGGUUACAUCGAUUUUUACUCCUAAGUUCUAAUCGUCAACAUGUAUAAAUCUCGAUUUUUAGUAUAGUCUAUUCUAGCUCGAAUUCAUGGAUUAUGUUAUAGAUUGCAAAUCUGAAUUUGGAGCAUGUGGUAAUAAAUUGAGUAGUAUAUGCAUGUUGGACUUGGAAUUUGAAUUAGGAGAAAACCUGCGAUUUGGACCUGUCACUUGUUUAAACUGCCUGAUUUAGCUCUAGGAGCCGUUAUAAAAUUGUACUGUCGCAGUAUCCUUGAGACGAGUACUCCAAGUAGUUUAGCAUACAUUUACACUCGUGCUGGUACGCCGAGUGAAUUUUUACAGGGUCGUUUGGACUGUUCCGAACUGUUGGGUGCCGUCGGGAUUGACGGUGGACCCGGAUCGUCUUUUUGGCGACAGAUUGUGCCGAGGGCACGUGAACUAUUGGUUGUUAGACCAGUUAGAGUCGAUUACUUGACUUUGGCUUUUCAGAGUCUGUUUGAGCUUGACAGAGAUACGCUGCAUACUCGGUUGGGUAGCGCCCACGAGUGCCACUCCGGAGACGGGCUUUGUGCUUUCGCGUUGGUGUUGCUCAUGCCGGUUGGACUUGCUCUCCACGGACCAGUUAGUGUGGAGGUAGCUGGAUAGUCGCAACUGGGCAGGGACGGGUGUAUUCACAGUCCCCGGGACGUGUAUGUUUACAGUCCCGAUUGGAUUGGGUCAGUUUUGACAUUCCUACAGUUGGUUAGCAUAGAGCAGGUUGGUGUAGUGACUAGUAGCUGUAGAGUUCAUUCCAGCAUUUUACUUUUACCAUUGCUCCCUUCUGUAGACUUAGUGGGCGGACCGAUAUUGUUUUGGGCGGCACCCACUGAGGACUACCUGUUUUUACAGUAGUUCUCACGCCCUGUUGUUACCCCCUGUUUUUGCAGAGCCAUCGUCGUCGGCUGCUGCUGUCGCAGAUCAGGAUCGAGGCAAGGGCGUCGCGAGUUAGAGCCCUACCAGACAUGCAGAGCUAGAGGUGCCCCUAGUGCAGGUAGAUGUUUUGUUUUGAGUUCAUGUACAUAGUAUACUUAACUCGCCAGUGCGAGUAGCUCUGUAUUUUUGGUUAUUGGACUAUGUAUAUGGAACUUCGUUUGUUUAACUUCUGUUUACUCUAGUAGCUCUAUACUACUGUUUGUAGUAUUGUACGGUUUAUAGGUACAGCUGUCGCUUCGUAUACAGGAGAAAUUCCUUUCUAUACGGCGAAUUUGUCGGCGUGCCCGGGGAACGUGUAAUCCGGGGCAUGACAGGCCGCGCAUGACCUUGCUAGUACUGUACAGCUAUGGGUCCAUAUUCAAACAUAACAAGAUUACUAUCAGUAGUAAUUCGUUGAUUCUAUUCUUCUCCGCUAUCUGGCUGUGCGCCCGCGGCUCUCGCGUUCAGAACCAAACUACUAAGGUUUGCUAAUCUACCCUACUUCAAGCCUAGCCACGCGGCGACUCGCCUGAGUCCAAUCAAUGCUGCGGAUCAGCCACUUCGCCAACUGUCCGGCCUCAAGGGGAAGACUCCGGUCUACUCUACAGCUCAUCCGCCUCAGUCACCCCCCCCUGCCUUCAUCCACAAACAUCUGCAACGGGUCGCCCCAGAGCUGCGUAAAUACACCGGUCAGGGAUCUUUUCCGGUGGAGGGAUUUCAUGCCACAUACCUCAACGGAGCCCCAGCUGAAAACCGGAUCAGGGAAGGUGAACAUACCACACUCAACCCUAGCGAAGCACGAUUCUGCCGGCGGGAAGGGGAACCUGCCGCACUCGACCCGCGGCCUCGAAUCAGCCUUAAGCUCAUCCUCGAAGUUCAUCCAGUGGGAGGGGAACAUUGCCAACUACCCCCACGGCUUUAGAACUAUCGAGUUUACAAUCCUAAGAUUUCGGAAUCGACUUUCCAAGUCUCUAGGGUAAUCUCAAACCCUAUGAUAUCGACCUAUCUAGGUCCAAUGCACUUUCUAUCCUAGGUCUACCCGACUCUAGGUUUAACACCCUUAUCACAUAACCAAUAUUCUUUAAACUAGGUUAAUACCUCUCUACCUAGAUUUUUAUUAACUCUAGGUUCAACAACACUAGGAUCAAUGUCAACCUAUGUUCAUGACACUAGGUUAAUGCCACUCGAUCUAGCCUAGGUUCACGACACUAGGUUCAACAUCAAUCUUAUUCAUCCUAGGUUCUCAAUCCUAGGUUCAUAUUCGACCUAUGUUAUUACACUAGGUUCGGUGCCACUCGAUCUAGUUGUCCCUAAUUGUCCACAGCGAGUUUCUAUAAUUACAUAACCUCAUGCACAUGCUCACAUUGCUAAUAUGCAUUUUGUCUAUCAACAUGCAAUCAAGUAUCUUACUUAGCAUCUCUACAUUAUGUCAUCAUCUAGUAUAUAGUUCCGAUGCAUUAAUAUGCAAUCACUACUAGCAUGCAUUACAUAAUGCUAACAUGUAUAUACAUUUAACAAUUUCUCAUUAUGUCAUGUUAGAUCUACAACAUGUUAUCAUUUACUUGCUCUAUUAUGAAUCGACAUGAAACUAGCACUUGCAUAUAAUUCCAAUGCAUCAACAUGCCAUUAGCAACUAGCAUAAUUAACUAUCAUCUAGUACAUGCAUCUUAACCAACAUGCUCACAUAAUGUUACAUGCACCUAGCAUAUAUUCCAUGAUGCCCUUAGCACACUUCUAACCAUGCAUAUGUAUAUCAACAUGCACAUUCUAUUUAUAUGCUUUAACUCAUAUACAAUACCAUUAUACUUGUACAUAUGCAUCAACAUGAAUUUCAUGUUUACUUUGACAUGAAGGCGACUUAGUCGCUUCGGUAAGCACAAUCCACCUCAAAAUGCUUUCCGAUUGCUUGUCGACACUUGCAAUCGGCCGCCCGCGGCACCCGGCAUCCAGUUUGGCCCGAUCUCUCGCGCGACCACCCAAACGGUCUCCAAUCCGUUUUCAUGAGUUUACGAUGUCGCCUCGGCCCUCCAGGCGGAAAUGAAGCCUAAACGUCCGUUUCUUUAAUAACUUCGCACCGGCUCGACGAAUCGCCGAACCGACUUCCCCGGCGCGUUCGUUUACCUAGCAAUUAGGUUUAUAUAGGUUCAAUUUAGAUCAAACCAUCAUAUUUCCAAAAAUUGUAUUUUGAACCCUAGGUUUACUACUAGGUAAAAACCCACAUUAGAGCCUUGGUUUCAAGCAUCAAACCUCUAAUUAGCAUGCUAGAAUACCUCUAAACCCAUUCUUAGAGCUUAAAAACCAAACUAGAGAGAAGUGCCAUUAAAGGGUUUUGAAGCUUACCUUCAAAGCUUGCUCUCCAAUGGCUAAAGAGGAAGAUGAAGAAGAUGACUUUCCUCCAAGCUUCCUUCUCCACCAAAACCCUCUCUUUUGGGAGAGAAUUUAGAGAGAGAUAAGGGAGGGUUCUCUUUCUCCUCUCCUUGUGUGUGUGCGUGUGUGGCGUGCGGGUGUGUGGGGGCUGCACGGCUGAGGGUGGAAGAAGAGCAAUGCUCUUUUACAAUAUAGCCCCUCAACAAUUACACUAUUCACUCCAGGCAGUUUAGCAGUUCGGAACAGUUGGAGCCCUUCUGAAUGCCCGUUUGAGCUCAAAUUUGACAGACAGGCUCGAUUUAACGUACUGAGUAAGAAUAUAUCUUAAGUUUUCAGUUUUGAUCCCGUUUGGUCACUGAAAAUUGUACCGAACUGUAAUCUUUAUCAGAUAACUAUCGGAUUUUAUUUCUCACUCUACGGGUGUCAGAAAAAUAUGAAACCUUAAAUCUAGCCUCAUAAAAAUAUUUCUGACUUAUCCUCCAAUUUUCAUAAUUUUUUGAGACUGUGCAUUUUCUGCUAAUUUAUCGGUUCCGUUUCCAACAGAAAAUUCUAAAUCUUCUNUGUUUCGGGCAGAGGCCUCACCGUGAGCACCCGCGAUGGGUUGGCUCAUACGUCGCAUAGAGACAGUUCGAGUUUGUCUGAGACUUUUCGGUUUCAGUUCAUUAGCUGAGAUUGACCAGAUUGUUGGUUAUCAAGUGCACGGGAGCCGUGUUAGACAGCGGUUUUUCUGCUAGGCCCAGGUGGCAGUUGGGACUGCCGUGGGUUGUCAGGCCUUGUUGGACUUGCUGGGACAUUUUUUAGGUGAGCCGUGUGGUCGUGCUCGCAUUUAUAUAAGAUUUGAUAGACUUUAUAGGUGGUGUGGCUAUGACGCUGCUAUGUUAGCUUGGUGCCGAGGAUCUCGAUUUAGUCCGUCAAAUUUGUUCACUGUCCAGGUUUAGCGUCCAAAAUAGGAUUUAGUUUAAGGUUCAGGUUGUACGUAUUUGAUGAGUUAAAUAAUGGUGUACGAGGUGGUGUAUUCACAGUCCCCGGGACGGGUAUGUUUACAGUCCCGAUUGGAUUGGGUCAGUUUUGACAUUUCCUACAGUUGGUUAGCAUAGAGCAGGAUGGUGUAGUGACUAGUAGCUGUAGAGUUCAUUCCAGCAUUUUACUUUUACCAUUGCUCCCUUCUGUAGACUUAGUGGGUGGACCGAUAUUGUUUUGGGCGGCACCCACUGAGGACUACCUGUUUUUACAGUAGUUCUCACACCCUGUUGUUACCCCCUGUUUUUGCAGAGUCAUCGUCGUCGGCUGCUGCUGUCGCAGAUCAGGAUCGAGGCAAGGGCGUCGCGAGUUAGAGCCCUACCAGACGUGCAGAGUUAGAGGUGCCCCUACUGCAGGUAGAUGUUUUGUUUUGAGUUCAUGUACAUAGUAUACUUAACUCGCCAGUGCGAGUAGCUCUGUAUUUUUGGUUAUUGGACUAUAUAUAUGGAACUCCGUUUGUUUAGCUUCUGUUUACUCUAGUAGCUCUAUACUACUGUUGUAGUAUUGUACGGUUUACAGGUAUAGCUGUCGCUUCGUAUACAGGAGAAAUUCCUUUCUAUACGGCGAAUUUGUCGGCGUGCCCGGGGAACAUGUAAUCCGGGGCGUGACACCUUGCCUCGUAACUGUAACAAUGCUAUGCAAUAUGCAACUCAUACAAGAAUGUACUAUCAUAAGUAAAUCUCUUGAUUCUACUUCUAUCUCGCUAUCUCGCUCAGAUCCAACUAGCCUCUAAGGUUUCUAUCUACCUUAUUCAAGCUAGCCACCCGACUCGGCCUCGAGUCAAUCAACUGCGGAUAGUCCGCACUCUGUCCGGCUCAAGGUGAAGGACCUCUCACUUACACCUCAUCCUUCAGUCCACGCCUUCAGUCCACAAACAUCUCGCCAACGGGUCGCCCAGAGCUGCGUACACCCGUGGUCAGGGAUCUUUCCGGUGGGAAGGGGAUUAUGCCACAUACUCAACCCGCAGCCGAAAACCCCCGAUAGGGAAGGUGAACAUACCACACUCAACCCUAGCGAUGCACGAUUCUGCCGGCGGGAAGGGGAACCUGCCGCACUCGACCCGCGGCCUCGAAUCAGCCUUAAGCUCAUCCUCGAAGUUCAUCCAGUGGGAGGGGAACAUUGCCAACUACCCCCACGGCUUUAGAACUAUCGAGUUUACAAUCCUAAGAUUCAAUUUGGAUCUCAGCCCAUCUGGAUCCUAUCUUUCACGUAACCUGGAUCUAUCCAGCUAUAGUAUCCCAAACUCUAAUGGGAUCUCUGAACCUUUCAGCUAAGGCUNNNNNNNNNNNNNNNNNNNNNNNNNNNNNNNNNNNNNNNNNNNNNNNNNNNNNNNNNNNNNNNNNNNNNNNNNNNNNNNNNNNNNNNNNNNNNNNNNNNNNNNNNNNNNNNNNNNNNNNNNNNNNNNNNNNNNNNNNNNNNNNNNNNNNNNNNNNNNNNNNNNNNNNNNNNNNNNNNNNNNNNNNNNNNNNNNNNNNNNNNNNNNNNNNNNNNNNNNNNNNNNNNNNNNNNNNNNNNNNNNNNNNNNNNNNNNNNNNNNNNNNNNNNNNNNNNNNNNNNNNNNNNNNNNNNNNNNNNNNNNNNNNNNNNNNNNNNNNNNNNNNNNNNNNNNNNNNNNNNNNNNNNNNNNNNNNNNNNNNNNNNNNNNNNNNNNNNNNNNNNNNNNNNNNNNNNNNNNNNNNNNNNNNNNNNNNNNNNNNNNNNNNNNNNNNNNNNNNNNNNNNNNNNNNNNNNNNNNNNNNNNNNNNNNNNNNNNNNNNNNNNNNNNNNNNNNNNNNNNNNNNNNNNNNNNNNNNNNNNNNNNNNNNNNNNNNNNNNNNNNNNNNNNNNNNNNNNNNNNNNNNNNNNNNNNNNNNNNNNNNNNNNNNNNNNNNNNNNNNNNNNNNNNNNNNNNNNNNNNNNNNNNNNNNNNNNNNNNNNNNNNNNNNNNNNNNNNNNNNNNNNNNNNNNNNNNNNNNNNNNNNNNNNNNNNNNNNNNNNNNNNNNNNNNNNNNNNNNNNNNNNNNNNNNNNNNNNNNNNNNNNNNNNNNNNNNNNNNNNNNNNNNNNNNNNNNNNNNNNNNNNNNNNNNNNNNNNNNNNNNNNNNNNNNCAUUAGAGCCUUGGUUUCAAGCAUCAAACCUCUAAUUAGCAUGCUAGAAUACCUCUAAACCCAUUCUUAGAGCUUAAAAACCAAACUAGAGAGAAGUGCCAUUAAAGGGUUUUGAAGCUUACCUUCAAAGCUUGCUCUCCAAUGGCUAAAGAGGAAGAUGAAGAAGAUGACUUUCCUCCAAGCUUCCUUCUCCACCAAAACCCUCUCUUUUGGGAGAGAAUUUAGAGAGAGAUAAGGGAGGGUUCUCUUUCUCCUCUCCUUGUGUGUGUGCGUGUGUGGCGUGCGGGUGUGUGGGGGCUGCACGGCUGAGGGUGGAAGAAGAGCAAUGCUCUUUUACAAUAUAGCCCCUCAACAAUUACACUAUUCACUCCAGGCAGUUUAGCAGUUCGGAACAGUUGGAGCCCUUCUGAAUGCCCGUUUGAGCUCAAAUUUGACAGACAGGCUCGAUUUAACGUACUGAGUAAGAAUAUAUCUUAAGUUUUCAGUUUUGAUCCCGUUUGGUCACUGAAAAUUGUACCGAACUGUAAUCUUUAUCAGAUAACUAUCGGAUUUUAUUUCUCACUCUACGGGUGUCAGAAAAAUAUGAAACCUUAAAUCUAGCCUCAUAAAAAUAUUUCUGACUUAUCCUCCAAUUUUCAUAAUUUUUUGAGACUGUGCAUUUUCUGCUAAUUUAUCGGUUCCGUUUCCAACAGAAAAUUCUAAAUCUUCUGUUUUCAUUCCGAUUUUAGCACAAGUCAUUUCUGACUUAUGUUUUACUUCUCUAAAUCCAAUAAAAAUAGCUUCUCACACUAUUUUUAUUUAUUUUUAUUUUUAUACCAAAAUCUGGUAUGUUACAGAAAGGGAAGGUUUCUCUCUCCCUCUCCAUGCGUGUGUGUUGGUGUGUGUGUGUUGCUCGGUUGAAGGAGAAGAAGAAGAAGACAACUCCUUUAUAUAGUCAACACCCCAAAACACUAUUACAACCAACGGUUUAGCUUUCAGAAUCUGAUACUUUUCGCCGGAGCCCUUCUGCAUAUCCAUUUGCACUCAAAUUUGAUAGUCAGGCUCGGUUUUCCUUAAUAAGAAAGAAAAUAUCUUAAGUUUUCAGUUUCGACCAUUUUUGGUCAUCGAAAGCUCUAUCGAACUAAAAUCUCUAUCAGAUAGCAGUUGGAUUUUAUUUUCCACUUUCUGGGUGUCAGAAUGAUAUGAAACUUUAAAUCUAGCCUCAUAAAAAUAACCUUGACAUAUUGCCAGAUUUUCGUAAUUUUCUGACACUCUGAAUUUUCUGCUAAAAAUAUCAGCCCCACUUCUUACAGAAAAUUCUAGAUCUCCUGUUUUCAUUCCGAUUUCAGUACAAGUCAUUCCAGACUUACAUUUUACUUCGUUAAGUCCAAUAAAAAUAGUAUCUCACACUAUUUUUAUUUACACUUACUUUUAUAUUAAAACUCGGUACAUUACAAUCUUGGUGUGCAAAGAAACAACCUAUCGUAUCUCGUUCUAGUACGUAAACUGAAUAUCGCUCUCUCGCCCACACUACUGCCGAGCUUUCUUGGGUAUGGUUGCUUUUUAAAGAUCUUCAUAUAUUUCUACAUUCUAAACCAGCUAUUUAUUGUGACAAUAUUAGUGCUAUUCGACUUGCCUAUAAUCCUAUCUUUCAUACUCGAACUAAACACAUAGAAGUUGAUUAUCAUUUUGUACGAGAAAAGGUUGUUCGACAAGAUCUCGACGUUCACUAUGUAGUGUCACAAGAUCAAAUUGCUGAUAUCUUUACAAAAGGGCUAUCUUCUCAUCGAUUCAAUUUUCUCAAGGACAAGGUAAUGGUGCGUGCACCUCCCAUAAGCUUGAGGGGGCGUAAUGGAGGAUCAAGUGACGAUACAAUUAAAGAAUUAAUUAUGGGUGAAUCAAAUUUCCAAAAUCAGGAAUCUACCAACUAUGACAAGUAUUCAAAUCAUAAGCAAUUGUGGAAACUCAAGAAUGACAAUCUCUCAAAUAUGACAAACACUCCAAAUAGAAAAUAUUCGGAUUCAAAUAUUGUACAUUUCUAGAAUGUAAUUAUUGUAAUACCAAGAAUAAUGGGAUUAUAUUUUGUAUUCAAUAAUUCUAUAUAUUGAGAGUUUGUUUUGUAUGUUCUCUAUUGAGGACAACAACCAUUUUUCCACCAAUUAUAAUUUUCUUUAAAAAUGAUCAAAUUGCCCCUCACAAUCUUCGUUUUCUCCCGAAUCUUGUUCAACCAUCGUCUUUGUAAUAUAUCGAACUUCUACAAUUAUGAAGUUUUGGUAGGAACUAACUUAAAAAACUAUUAAAAUAGUUUCAGCGAAGUUUGAAGAGUAUUCGAGUGUUUGCAAACCAGACGCGAAAACGGGCUCCAAAAGCUGAAAUCUGCAUGUGUUGCAGAUUUUGUAUUGUGUAUCGGUACUGGAAUCUGAGUACCAAUACGCAGUACAAAAUGAGAAAAAUGAGCUCUCGGAUUUUGAGGAACCAAAGUUGGGUACCGAUACUAGAUUUGUAUUGGGUAUCGGUGCUGGAAACCGAGUACCGGUACGCAGUAGAAAUUGAGAAUCCAACUUUCGAGUUUUGAGGUAAUGAAAACUGGGUACCGGUACUGGAUGCUCGAGUACCGGUACCGGUACCGGUACUGGAUGCUCGGUAUAGAAAAUAUUCGGAUUCAAAUAUUGUACAUUUCUAGAAUGUAAUUAUUGUAAUCCCAAGAAUAAUGGGAUUAUAUUUUGUAUUCAAUAAUUCUAUAUAUUGAGAGUUGGUUUUGUAUGUUCUCUAUUGAGGACAACAACCAUUUUUCCACCAAUUAUAAUUUCCUUUAAAAAUGAUCAAAUUGCUCCUCACAAUCUUCGUCUUCUCCCCAAUCUUGUUCAGCCAUCGUCUUUGUAAUAUACCGAACUUCUACAAUUAUGAAAUUUUGGUAGGAACUAACUUAAAAAACUAUUAAAAUAGUUUCAGCGAAGUUUGAAGAGUAUUCGAGUGUUUGCAAACCAGACGCGAAAACGGGCUCCAAAAGCUGAAAUCUGCAUGUGUUGCAGAUUUUGUAUUGAGUACCGGUACUGGAAUCUGAGUACCGAUACGCAGUACAAAAUGAGAAAAAUGAGCUCUCGGAUUUUGAGGAACCAAAGUUGGGUACCGAUACUAGAUUUGUAUUGGGUAUCGGUACUGGAAACCGAGUAUCGGUACGCAGUAGAAAAUUGAGAAUCCAACUUUCGAGUUUUGAGGUAUUGAAAACUGGGUACCGGUACUGGUUGCUCGAGUACCGGUACGCCAACCCGAGUACCGGUACUCAGCUCUACAGAAUGCUAUUUUUGAAGGGUAAUUUGGUAAUUUCGGUUGGGGGCCUAUAUAAGGGAACCCUUCUCCCCUUUCUCUGCAGAAAACACACACAUGCACAUUGUGAGGGAGAGAGGAGCUCAUCUCUCUUACUCUUUUCUUCUUUUUCUCCAUCUUGGAGAUCUUGGUGGAGAUUGAACUUGCGAAGCUCGGAGGAGCGGUGAAUCAAGCUCUCGGGCGCUUGGUGGCUCGGAGUGCUUUCGACUCGAGGUGAGUUUUGGGGUUUUAAGCUAGGGUUUUGGGUUUAAACCUUCUAAACAAAUUUCUAUCAAAUCCUAGACUAAUCUAGGCUACAAAUUGUAGAGAUUAGCAAAUAGAAUUUGGUUUUGCUGUGAAGUUUGGAAAACCCUAGGUUGAAAGAGGGGUUUGCUUGUGGAGGAUUAUAAAAAUAUUUUAACCCUUUAAAACUCUAAUUGAGGAUUAGGAAAUCAAGUGGGGCAACUUGAUUUCAAAAGAAAAAAUCAUUUAAUGGUUCGAAAAUGGUAAUGAAUGCAUCUCUUGUAUAGAGAAAGGAAAGCUUGGGAUCAAGCUUGGAGAUCCAAGAGGUUGGCCUAAUUGCAAGUGUCUACAAGCAAUUAGGAAGCUUUGUAAGGUUGGUCGUGCUUCACCGAAGUAAUUAGGUCACUUCCAUGCCAAAGAGUGAAGUAUGGUAUUGUUUAUUGAUGCAUGCAUGUAAUGGUAGAUUAAUUGGUAAACGUAGUGUACGAAUUAUAUGUUGCUAGAUUAAACUAUCUACCAUUGGACAAGAAUAUAAGCAUGUGGAACAUAUAGGAUAUAUAUAUAUGCCUAGGUAUGGACAUUGAACAUAGGUCGAUGAACUCUAGAAAAAUUAGAGAACUCAACAAAUGUGAAAUCAAGGACUAGAUGCCAUGAAAUUAUGAGUCCUAGGUGUGGACAAUCAAGAUAAGAAAGAACAUGAUUGAGUAUGGAAUUUAGUGUCAUUGAACAUAGGUUGGAAAAUAUAGUGGUAGGAAGACCACUUGUAUUGGAAAGUAAUUGAACCUAAAGUCAAGUGAACUUACGUGGGAAGGACAUAGGACCUAGUGUUACUGAACCUAGGUUAUGAGGCAUAGUGGUAGGAUGACCACUUGGACAUGAGAAUAUAAACCUAGAGAGGUUGACUUGGAAACGGAUGGAUGUGCACAUCUGGUGAUCUUGGUGAUCUUGGUAUCAAAGCUUUGGCAUGUACAACGAUUCCACCGUCGGGCUUGAUACCAAGGGGUGCGGCGAUUUCGCCACCCAGUGACUUAAUGUGAGGACUGAGAGUUUGCUGUAAUAUAUCGAAAUUUCGGUAGGUUAUAUCGAACUUCAAUCAAAUUGACCAAAGUAUUGUUCCGAAUGCUUCGGAGUGCUUGGUAUAGGGUGUAGAGACCUUAGAGAACAUGUUGGAAAAUUUUCAGCUCAAAAUAUGCACAAAAUGCUCUCGGGGUCCGUAUCCUGUGCAAGGUCCGAACCCCGUACCCGCAAAUUCGUGGGUUGGUCCAAAUCUGUGUUUUGGAGAGGGGCCUAAGUGUAAUUAUGUGAGGGGAAUGUUAUAUGAGGGUUCUACACCCUUCUCCUCUCAUUCCGGCCUUUCAGACUAAAAGAGAAAAGAACUCUCUCUCUCUCUAGAGCUUCUCACCUCUCUCUCUCUCCUUUCUCUCAUUAUCUUACUAGGGUUUGGUCCAAGAAAGGGCUUUGGUGGAGAAGAAGACUUCUUGGAGGGUGGAGUUAGCACUUGUGCAAGAGGUGGAGGAAAGAGCUUGAACUCAGGGUGAGUUCUUAUGGUAUUUAGCUAGGGUUUUGAGUUAAUUACUUCUAGUAGCUGUGUUUAAAGGCUACUAUGAUAGAAUUGUUCAUGAGUUUUCAUGAAUUAGUGAGUAAUUGGCAAUUGUUGGAAACCCUAGGGUCAAAUUAGGGUUUUGCUAAAUGACAGAUUUAACUAGGGUUUGAUCUCUUGUAGCCUUAAUUAGCGGAUAAUCUGACGCGUUGGGAGAUUCGGUUCGAAGAUCCGACGAGUCUAUGUCAAGAAAACAACGAAAAACCUCAUUUCGGCUUCAUUUGCCGAGGGUCGAGGGCGAUUGGCGUGCAUAAAUUCUGGAAUUGGGAUUCUAGCACCUUAGCGACCCUACGAGGUGGGUGGUGCUAUCCGAAGUCAUCGAAUCUCUUUUUAUGUCUAACUGUCACUUAUUGAGCAUGUAUGUGUAUAUAGGUUUUAUGCAUUGUAGGGUUAAAAUGAAAAUAUGUUGAUAUAUUGCUUGCAUGCUUUUAGUGUAAAAGAUGCAUAUGAGUUAUUAAUGAGCUACUGAAUAAGUGUGAACCCUAUAGAUGUAUGAAUUGUGACAUGAACCUAGUUGAGGCAAAGAACAUAGUGACAUUAUGACAUGUGAGUAAAAUAGCACCUUGUGGCACUAGCAAGUGUGCUGAAUGCUAGAAUAGAACUUAUAGUGAGUUGUGACAUUGUGAACAUGGCAUCCUUAUAGUUAAGGAUUGAAUUGAGCAUGGCAUCCUCAGAGUUGUGGAUUGGAUCAUACUCACCUAUAAGUCUUGGCUUAAGGGCGGUCACUCUCCCUCGAGUGAUGAGCUCCGGAGUAGUCAUCACUGGGUCGUAGCGAGUAUCUCCCCAGAGAACGGUCCCAUCGGGUUGUAGCGAGUAUCUCCCUAAUAGCAGGGAUUUGAGUUGGUGAGUUUUAUUUUUGGUGGCGAAACCUACGGGUUAGCCAAGAGGAUUGGGUAUUGGAAAUGGAAUCGGCAUGCAUCAUGAGCAUCUUUUAUUGAUAGUAUUUUGUUCAGACAUAAUAGCUGCAUUUGUUAGCAUGGUUAUCUAUCUAUCUGCUUUAUUCUUCUACUUAUGCCUGAUUAGACCUAGUGGGAAAGUCGGCGGGGUCGGCGGCCGAACCCACUGGAAACUUUGUUAUAGUUCUCACCCCACUAUUUUCUACAGAGCCGGGGCCGAGUGAGCCGAUCGAGGAUCUCGGUAAGGGUAUCGCGCCUUAGACAGUGACCACCUGAGUAUAGUUCAUGCCUGUUAUUAUCAUCUUUUGUAUGUAAUGAUGAGAGUUGUAUAAAUGAUGUAUAAAUGUAAAAGACUUAUAUUUUGGAGAUGUAUAUGAUCUUGUGAUGUAAAAAGAGAAAGAAAAAGAAUGAGUGUACCUUGUAGUAUGCUUGUAUAUGGUUAAAAGAAAUCAUGAUACCUGUAUGUAUAUGAUGUAGAGUAGAACUUUCACUUUGGUUGUUGCUUGCCUUCGUGCAAGCCAUGUAAAUUUAUGUCUUCUUCUUGCGCAAAAAUUUAUAUACAUGUUGAUAUCGUGUUGAGCCUUGAGCGGACAGGGGAGGUGUUGUCCGUUCGGCGUCUGUUGACAUGCCCGAACCGACCAAAUAGGCGUGCUCGGGGCGUGACAUUUGCUGUGCAGAUAAAAUCUUUGUUAACGAUGUUUUUGUGUGUAUUUAAUUACAUAAGCACUCAUCAUGUUUCAGAAGAAAACAAGUUAGGAUGGAGAAGUUACGCGACUCUUACUGAUCACUUAAGGUGAAUAGUAACUCAAGUUUUCUGGAGAGGCCAAUCAGUGGAGAUGACUUCUGGUGCAUAUUGGACUCCGUUCAUAGUGAUCCAAUAGCUCCUUUUCGACGGUUCGACUAUCUUGGACCUAAUGGCAUUGACGGAUUUGGGUUCUGAUACAUUGUUUUCGAGAAAAAAGGGAUUUUAUCGCAAAAAGGAAUUUUUGGUAAUUGGAGAGUGGAUGGGUUUCGCCGCAAAUCGACGACCAUAUCGGGCAAAACAAAAUUGUGAAUUUGAUGUCCCAGUCGUGCUGAACGUGCUGGCGUGAUCGAUCGAAAAUCCGAUAGAUGGAUCUCCAGGAAUCUCAAAAAAUUCACAAAAAGCCCCAUAUUUUAUAUACCGUUUUUCUUGAUUUCGAACGUCGAGGUGCGUAUGCGCAAAACACACAUGCUAUGAGGGACUAACUGAAAAUAUUCAGCUUUGGAGAACUUUUUUGCAAAAACUACACCUUAUAUAUAUAUAUAUAUAUAUAUAUAUAUAUAUAUAUAUAUAUAUAUAUAUAUAUAUAUAUAUAUAUAUAUAUAUAUAUAUAUAUAUAUAUAUAGGUAACGGGUUUCAUGCAUGAAACCCUAACCUUAGUCGAUUAGCUCCUCCAAUUGCGCCCCCAGCAGCCUCCACCACCUCCCAUGUCACGCCCCGAGCCCGCCUCUUUGGUCGGAUUCGGGCACGCCAACAGACCGCCGAACGGACAGGGUUUCCCCUGUACGUCCAAGGCGUCACAAUCCAUACAAAGCACGAGGUUCCAACCAAGAAUAGUAUUCAAACAAGGAUUGCAUAAGGAAGUAUCAAAAACAUAAAUACAACUAUACUAUUACAAGCAUGCAUCUCAAAUUUUUUACAUAUUACAUGCAUCUUACAUUUUAGUCUUCCAAAUACAAUCCAAAUUAUUACAAAUUAUUACAAUCUUAUUCUUUUCAUUUCCUUACAGCCCUAAGUAGCUGACUUAGGGUACCGCUAUCUCUGGUCUCGGUGGUAGGGUGCUAACUACGGUGCUACGCCCUCGCCUCGCGCCGCUCACGUGUGAACCUGUACCCCCAAAAACAACACGGGGGUGAGAACUAUUGUCCAUAAUUCCCAGUGGGUACUGCCACUCAAGGAAAAAGCUCGACCCACCAGGUCCAGGCACUGCAAACAUAUUAGUUCAAUAGAUAUCCACAGAUAAUAUUUAUGCAAAUAUUAAAUACAUGUUUAUGCCUCAAGACAUGCAAUAUGUAAUGUAAAUCAUGCAAUCAACUAAGUAGAUCAUCCGAUACUACUCUAUAUCUCGCUAUCCAUAGCUUUUCCAUAAUUUAUACAUCUUAUUAUUUUACAUCAUUCGUUAUUUGCUCCUAAGAUUUUUCUCUACCUUAGCGAAGCUAACCACCCGACUCGGCCUUGAGUCAAUCAUCUGCGAAAUACCGCAUACAACCAGGCUCGAGGUGAUGGACGUCUCACAUACACCUCAGCCUUAAAUCCACUCGAUAGGGAUACCAAAUCCAUAGCUCAUAAUGCAUGCUUUUUCACUUUCAUUUUGACUUUUACCCAAUUAACCCGGUUAACACUUGUUAACCCCAAAACUCACAACCCAAAAUCCCUUAAUAACGAAGGACUCGAACCACCCUAGGGAUCGUCUGCUAGACAAGUACGUUAGUCCAUGGGCAAAUACGUUAGCCCAUCGUGUGACAACUCCGGAGUGCACUCCUUGGGUGGAGCGACCACCGCGAAUGUCACGCCCCGGGACCGAUACCAAUUUGGCCCGACCCGAGCACGUCAAACAGACGCCGAACGGACAGAGUUUUCCCUAUCCGCCCAAGGCUCAUCACGUGUACAAAUUCAAACAAGAAAUGCACUAGCGGAAACAUACACAAACGGCUUACGCAAGGGUAAGCAAUAGCCAUUAGUGAAAGAAAGAAAAACUAACAUUUAUAAGUACUAUGAUUUAUUUUUGAUCAUAUACAUUGCAUUCAUCUUGUUCACUUUCGAAUUCCUUACAUUUCAUUUCAUCAUUUCUUUCUUACAUCACAUUUACCUCAAAAUACACAUUACAUUCUUUUCUCACAUCACUAGUCAUCAAAUACAAAAGAUGAACAUAGGGUACUCUACUAACAGAAUGAAACCCAACUUUGGUGGCCUCUGACUAAGGCGCGAUACCUUUACCUCGGUCGCUCGCCGGCUCGCUCGGUCCCGGCUCUGUGGAAAUAGUGGGGUGAGAACUACAACAAAGUUCCCAGUGGGUUCGGCCUCAACAUCACCGACUUUCCCACUAGGACUAACUCAGGCAUAAUAGAAAGGAUAAGCUGAAAUAUAGUAACCAAUCUACAACAUGAUGCUAAUAUGCCUGAACAAUAAGCAAGGAAUAUGCUCAACAUUAACAUAUGCAGAUUAUGCAAGUUCUUUCGUUCUUUAUCUUUACACUUUGUUCUUUGUUCUUUGCUCUUUGUUCUUUAUUCUUUAUUCUUUAAUCUCAAGGCUAACCCGGGGGUUUCGCCACAUUAACUUGCUUCACAUUAAGUCCAUCAUCGCAGGAACUCACCCGCUAGGACCGUCCUUCGGGUUUACUCCAACCCGUGAUGCAUAACUCCGGAGCGCAUCGCCCGAGGGGGAGCGACCGCCCUCGAGCACGGAACUCAUAGCAAGUAUGAUCAUAUCCUUAACUCAAAGGAUUUAUAAGUUCAAUCUUGACUUUACACUAGCUCUAGUGUUCCUUAUGUCACUUUAUGUUGCCACUCUAGCAAUCAUUGUUCUUUACUUUUCUUUUACUUUUGCCAUCUUUAGCAUUCUUGUUCUUUACAUUUCUCGUUCUUAUUGCCCCACAUUACUUUAGCUUUAUACAUGGUCAUUUUCAUCAUUCUUUACAUCACUUUGGUUCUUUGGCUCACACUAACUCUAGUGUCACUUUACUUUACGUUUCGAAUGCCACUCGAUCUAUGUCAUAGUGUCACUCUGUUCUUUUGCUCACUUUGGGUGCUCACUUUCUCUCAUGCAUACACAUAGGGUUUUCGACGUUUACAUAGUUCUCGUUCAUGAUAUUAUGCAAGUUGUGCUCACAAUCAUGCAUCAUUACAUUUUCUAUCAUCACUUUACCCUAAAUGCAUGCAACAAUAUAUAUACAUACGCUCAAUUGAAUGACACAUUAGGCAUAGAGAGAAGUUCAAUGAGUUUGAGAAGCACCACCCACCUUGUAGGUCUCUUUAGGUGCUCCGAUGAUUUUCUUGGGAUUUUUAGACCCUUCGUUCUUUACCUGCGGCAUAAUGAAGCCAAAUUAGGCUUAUUUGGCCAUAACUUUAUAUUGGCUUUUCGUAACAUUAAUCCGAGCGCACCAACGCGUCGGAAAUACCCCCAAUUAGGUUUCUAGAGGGUCAAUUGCACUUAGAAACCCUCAUGAGCAAAAGCCCCAAUUUGGUGCCCUAGCUCCAAUACAUAUGUCAAACCUAGGGUUUGAUCUCAAAGAGAAGCAAAAAUAGCUUCAUUAUACUCUAAAAAGUCCAUUAGAACCAUCUUUAGACAAAUCAAAACCCUACUUAGGGUUUCACCAUGAGAGGUGAUGAAGCUCACCUCAAGCCUAUUUUCCAUGGUUUGAUCUGCUAAAAACAAAAGAAAAGCUUCAAAUACUCAAAUGGUUCCAUAAAACUCAUUAAACUUAAUCCAACCCUAGAUUAGGUUCUACGCAUGAUGUAGGGUAGCUUACCUUGUAAGCUCUCCUUUUCCAAACUAGAGGGGAAGAAGAUGAAGUUGCUUCACCUCUUGAUCUUCUUCUUCACCUUCUUUUCCUUCUUCUCCUUCCUUUCUUUCUCUUCUUCUUCUCCUUCUUUGUCUUCUAGAGAGAUAAAGAGAGAUAAGAGGGGAUGAGAGGGUGAAAAUGAGAGAAAUCCCUCAUUUACCCCAAUACAUAGCUCAUUGGGUUGCAAAAUUGCAGCUAAACCCCUCUACUUUCACUUUAAUACACUGCCCGAACUGGGCAGUUUGCGCAGGCGGGGACCGGUCUCUCCUUCAGGGACCGGUUCCCGAAGGUCGUCUCAGCGCAGCCAGAGCUACUACGCGCAGUGCAACCGGUCUCUCCUUGGUGGACCGGUCUCUCGGGGACCGGUCUCUCAGGCAGGGACCGGUUCCCGAGAGCUAGUUUCUCAGGACUUAGCCGAUUUUUCGGCUGUCUCAAAUCAUACGCGUUCGGGGACCGGUCUCUCCCACUAGGGACCGGUCCCCGAGAGCUCAAAAUCUGCAGUUUUGCAGAAUUUGAUUCUAUAGCUCUCGAAAACCUCCCGUAACUCGCUUUUAAUCAUUUUAACACCUUCGGACUUUCCGAAGUGUACCGUCCUCGCACUUCGGUCAAUUUGACUAAAGUUCGACAUUUUCUUAUUUUCCGAAUUUACGGUAUAUUACAGCGAAGCUAAAAACAAACUAUAUGAGUAUGAUCCAAUCCUCUAACCCGAGAAUACCCUACCAACUAGUGGUAAUCAAACCGGGAUAACACCAAUCCCAAACCUCAUGUACUGAGUAAUCACAUUGUCGCUAGCUAAUGCCACAAUGUCUCUAAGUUCACAUUGUUAUGUCAAAUGCCAUAAGUGUUUCCAAUACACUAAUCAUAUGCCACUCGAUCUAUUUGACAUCCUAAUUGUCUAUAUCGAGUAUCAUAGUUCAUAUAUCCUUAUUUUUCAAUGUCGAGUUUCUAAUUCACCUAGAGUUUAUCGACCUAAGCUCAACAUGCAAAUGUCAAUUAACAUAAUCCUCUAUAUGUCAACAUGCAUAGUUCAUCUAUCAUAUGCAAUAUGUCAUCAUGUAUAUAUUUUCAUUUAACAUAAUCCACAAUAUGUUAAUUCACACUAUGUCAUCAUGCACAUAUACCAACUAGCAUCUCAUGAUAUGUCAACACACAUAUAUACAUCAUCUAGCAUAAUCCAAACUAUGCCAACAUUCCUUUCUAUAGUAUCACUUUCAUGCAUUCAUAUAACCUCUAUGACAUACAUUCAUAUAACAUUUCAUGCAUUCUUAUAGUAUUAUUUUCAUGCAUUCAUAUAACCUCUAUGACAUACAUUCAUAUAACAUUUCAUGCAUUCUUAUAGUAUCAUUUUCAAGCAUUCACUUAGCAUAUUUCUUAUACAUUUACCAUUCUUCAACUAGCUACCAUUAUAUGCAUUAAUAAUAAACAACGCUCCACUUCGACAUGGAAGUGAGCUAAUAUCUUCAGUGAGCACAACCCACCUCUUUUCGAUUGCUUGUAGUCACUUACAGUCGGCCUCCCGCCGCACCCGUGACCCGGUUCGGCCCGAACUUGCGCGCGACCACCCAAACGGCCACCAAUCCACGAUCUGGAAAUUGAAGGUCUAUAACUUGAUGCCACGAUGCUCCGGAUCCAUUUUCAUGAUUUUUGGACGCCGCCUUGGCCCUCCAGGCGGAAACGAAGCUGAAACGUCCGUUUCUUCAAUAUCUUCGCAUAGGCUCGACGAAUCGCCGAACCGACUUCGCCAACGUGUUCGUAUACCUAGCAAUUAGGUUUACGUAGGGUUAAUUUAGAUCAAACCCAAACAUUUUACAAAAACCCUAUUUUGAACCCUAACAUGCUACUAUUGCAAUAAAUCUCCAAAUUGAUUCAUGAUUCAAGCAAAUAGCAUGUUGUUAUCACCUAGGGAGUCCUCUAAACCCAUUCCUAGAGCAUAUAAAUAAAGCUCUAAAGAUUUACCAUGAGAGGGGUUCAAGAAGCUCACCUCAAAGCUUGCUCCAAACCAAGGAGAAAAUGAAGAAGAUGAAGAUGAUUCACUUCCAAGCUUCAAUCUCCACCAAAUCCUUCAAUUUUGGGAGAGAUCUAGAGAGAGAAAGGGAGGUCUCUCUCUCCCUCCAUGUAUGCGUGUGUGUGUGUGUGUGUGUGUGUGGUGUUGUGGCUGCACGGUUGAGGGAGAAGAAGCAAAUGCUUCUUAUACAAUUAACACCCUCACAAUACACUAUUCGCAUCAGUUUAGCAGAUACAAACUGACGUUUUUCGCCGGAGCCCUUCUGAAUGUCCGUUUGAGCUCAAAUUUGACAGUCGGGCUUGAUCUUACUUAACUUAACGAAAGAAAUUUUAAUUUUUCAGUUUCGAUCCCGUUUGGUCACCGAAAGCUCCACCGAACUGUAAUAUCUAGCAGAAAGCAGUCGGAUUUUAUUUUCCACUUUCCGGGUGUUUAUUUUUCACUUUUCGGGUGUCGGAUUGACAUGAAACUUUAAAUCUAGCCUCAUAAAAAUAAUUUCGACAUAUUUUUCAGUUUUUAUAAUUUUCCGACACUGUCUAUUUUCUGCUAAAAUAUUAGUACCGUUUCGCACAGAAAAUUCUAAAUCUUUUGCUUUCGCUCCGAUUUCAGCACAAGUCAUUUCUGACUUAUAUUUUACCUCUCUAAAUACAAUAAAAAUAGUGUCUCAUACUAUUUUUAUUUAUUUUUUACUUUUAUACCAAAUCUGGUAUGUUACAUCCCAGCCCUUCGCCGGGCGCAUCCCGGCCACCGGCGAACACCUCCGGCCGCCGAAAAAGACGGCAUUGCAUCUCAUCCACCUAACACCCCCUCAUUUCUGCCGUGGACCACCUAGGGUCAUCCAAAGCCUCGGGUCCCUCUCCACUGGCCGCAACCCAACCUUCGGCACCGUCCUUACCGGCCCCCGCCGUCCGUGCACACCGCGCCGUCACUGCCUAGGCGAUCCGCGCCCAGUCGAGGUCAACUUGGGCCGAGCCCAAGCUAGCUCGCGGUCCACGAGCCGCUGCCGCCAUAGACCGGCCACACCGCCCUCCUAGACCUCCAGCAACCUUCCGCAUGCCGCCCCCGUCAUCCCCGCGGGCUGCCAGCCGCUGCCCUAGCUCCCCGCGGCAGCCAGGACCUAGCUCGGGCCUAGGCCGAUCUAUUCUCGCUCCUGCACCUCGCCGCCGCCGCCCACGGUCGGCCGCGCCGCCUUUUCCCGGCCUCUGGCGACUGAUCGUCGUAGCCCCGGUGCUCCCCCGGCCGCCGCCUAGCUGCCGUUGACCUUUGAGCCGGAGCUGAGCCGCACAGGCUCGUGCCUCUCCACCGCGCCAUCGGCCGUCUCCCGUCGUUGGCCAAUGCAUGCCCAGGCCCCCUCCGGCCAGCCGCAACCUUCUCCUGCCGGCGCGCCCGCUGUUCGGCCGUCGUCGGCCACCCUGUGCUCCACUCAGCUUCGGUAAGCUAGUUUAUAAUUUUCUACACACUGUUUCAGGUUUGGGUGGCUGUUCCGGCUAUCCAAGGGCACCCUGACACUCUCGGAAGUGAGCACGACGAUCCCUGAUCCAUGCAGAUCAUCAUGCUCACCUCUUUUGGGGUCAGCGAAGCCCCCGUUUGUGUGCUAAACAAUGUUUAGGCACUGUGCGCGCUGUUCGCAGAAUUUCGCGUUGCCCCCGCACUCUCCACAGUGGUCGGCCAUGCUCCAAAGCAUGAGCAUGGCCUACGGCACGUUGAGACCUAUCAGCGAGUGUCUCGUCUAGGCUCGAAAGUCCUCGGUUUGCGUUGUCGGGCCGUAAAACCCCGAAAAUCACAUAAAAUGAUAUGAUUUUAUGUAAUCACAGGGGCUUAUUUGCAAAUUUAUGUUUCGUGGUUGUUGUGGGCACUGUGUGCAGGCAGGGGGUGACCUCUGGACUGGUUGUCCAAGGCCCCAGGCCUUUUCGGAAAUCGGAUGUUGAUUUUCGGUGUGUCUUUCGGCGAAAUCCGUUUACGGAACGCGAUUUCGGUUCGAAAUUCUUUCGAUAAUGCCUCACGAUAAAUUAUGUUGUCGCUGACCCUUGUUGUCUAGUCACCUGCGUCGUUUUGAGGGUUCGGAAACGACGGGUGAGCGACGGUGGGUUCCGGUGUCGAAAUUGAUACUUCCGAGAACCCGGAUCGGAAUGAUUAUCCGACGAUAAUCGUUUCGAUGUGAGGAUAUGUGUUUGCUGCCAGGUCACACAAAUUAUUGUGUUUGGUGGCAGCGGGUGACUCGUGGCAUGAGUCGGUGAGUUCCGGGGACAGUUCAUGGGUCCCUGCGGAGUCCCAGUGCGAUUUUCGGGACUUCCGGCGAGUUACAGUAAUCGGUGUAGGGGAAACCGAUUCUCGUGGAUUUACAGGUGGGAAUGUGAGUUUGUGUUUUAUAUACUUGGGUUGGAUUCUAACCCGGUGGACCCUCCGUAGGUCCGGUUUUCCUCCGCGGUCGAGAGACAUGUGCUACGUACGUACAAGUUGGUACUUCGACCCGAAGUCGGUACAGUGGUGAACGCUCGGUGACAUCCUUUCUACCCUUCUCCUACUAUCAUGUUGCAUUUUAUAUGUUGAGCAUUGCACCUUUAUUACCUCUUUAUCGCUCUACUUAGUUUGUAUCUAGCAUCAUGAGUAGAAGUAGAGCAGGUUUAUGAUUACAUGUGAGAUUUGUGACCUAAUCGAUCGGUUCUUGUAUUUCGUACUAUGACCUAUUCGGUCGGCUUAUUGCAUUGAGCAUUAUGACCUACUUGGUCGGUUGGACUACUUGGUGACCUGUACGGUCGGUACACCCUAAGGGGUAGGAUUGUCGGCUAGUUGCCGACAGUUGGCUAUUGAGCAUAUCAACAUCGAUCGCCACUGCUCGUACGCAUUUCACGAAUACCAGCGGUCUGAUCCAACGCAAUGGGGUGUUAUUUUCUGAAAAAGUGGUUGGGAAUGCCAGCUCGUGAGCCCAAGAGCUUAUGCUAGGGUUAUAUGGUUUCAGACCCACGAGCUUAUGCUAAGGUCAUAUGCCAUUCUGACCCAGGAGCUUAUGCUAGGGUCAUUUGCAGGUUUGAGUAGUUGUGGCACAGGCGUGAGGUCUACGGCCCGAUAUGUCAGGCUUAUGAUUGGGUACUUUUGGACUUGUCGUCCAGUUGAUGCAUGCAUAUAGUAGCGGUAGUGAGUUAUAUAUAUCUCGUCCCUUGCUUAUCUUUGCUACUGUAUUACCAUUACUUAUAUUUUGUUAUCCUCCUUGACUGGUGAGUACCCCUCGCCCUCGUCAGCUUGCGGUACCCACUGGGAGGGGAGACAUAUGUAUAUGUUCUCACCCCCUACCCCCUUUCUGGUGACGUCGCGGGUCGAAGUAGGGAUGGUUCGUGAGGCGCGCGUCCUAGCAAUCAAUAGGGCUACCGACCCGUCAUUUUGGUUAAUUUUCUUAACUGGACUUCUCAAAUAAUUAACUUAGUAUUUAUGAUUCAGUUGGUUUCAUGUUAAUUGGAUAAAUGGGAUUUUGUGAAUGUAAUAAAGAACGUAUGGAUUUCUUAUGAGAUGAAAACGGUUCUCUACCCCUUGUGGUAGCGUAUUUUAAAAGAAAAUGGUUUUCGUGUGGAAAACGGUUUUGAAAAGAUUUUUCUCGAUUUUCAUGACUCUUAGUGUUUCAAAAUGAGUUUCCGGGUAGUAAACGAUUUAAACUAAUAGAUAUGAAUAUAUGAAUAUCUAUGAUAAAAUGAAUGGUGAAUGUGAAUGGUGAAUGUAUGUGAGUGUCAUACUGUUGUGGUUGUAUCUUGUACUUGUGUGAUGCCGUGCAAAUACAGAGGAGACUCUGUUCGUUUGAACAAUGAAUUUCCUAUAUUUGUGGUGGAUCUGGCAUACUCUGGGGUGAAGGUUUUCAAAAAAAAAAAAAAAAAUAUUGGGCACUUCUCCAUUGACUUUUAAAUGAAAAAGGGACCCCGGGAUGUGACAUCGGUUGUCACGCCCCGCGCCCCGCCUAUUUGGUCAGGUUCGGGCACGCCGACAGACUGCCGAACGGACAGAGUUUUCCCUAUACGUCCUAAGCGUCGCAAUCAAAACAAUACAAGUGGUUCCAACCAGGAACAGUAUUCAAUCAUAGAUUGCAAAUGAAAGGUAUAACAACAUAACACAUCCUAUGUUAUUACAAGCAUUCCCAUUUCAUGCAUUUUACAUCUCAAUUACCAUUCAUUUUCAUCCAAAUGCAAUCAAGUUAUUACAUCACUUAUUUACAAGUUUUAGUACAUCUUGUUCUUUUCAUUUCACCCUACCCCUAGGCUAUGCCGACUCGGGGUACCCCUAUCUCUGGUCUCUGGGAUAGGGCGCUAUCUAUGGAGCUACGCCCUUGCCUCGCGCCACCGCGCCGCUCAUGUGCGAACCUGUAACACCCCAAAAUAAUGUGGGGUGAGAACCAACUCCAUGGUUCCCAGUGGAUACGGCCACCCAAGGAAAAAGCUCGACCGAUAGGUCCAAGGAGGCAUUGCAACAUGUUAGUCCAACAAUAUAGAACAGAUAUAUAUUCAAAUUGAAAUAUAUGUCAUGCCUCAUAAUAUGCAAUAUUAAAUCAUGCAACUAUGCAACUAAGCAGUUCACUAGUAGAUCCAUCGAUACUACUUUCAAUCUUGCAAAUCAUAGCUGAUGCCAUCUAGCUCUAGGUUCUACUUACCUUAGUUCCACAGCUCAGCCUCAACUAGUGUCUAAGGUCUCUACUGCCUUAGUUCAUAUCAUAUAUCACUAGCCUUUAAGGUUUCCACUAUCCACCCGACUCGCCUCGAGUCAAUCAUCGCAGACUACCGCGCACUGGCUGCACCGCAGCCUGGCUGCCGUCACAGCCCACUGCACCUCUUGACUAAGCCAUCUGCGGCGAACGCGUCGCCCUUACCCAAUAAGGACUCAAGUCAUGACUUAGCCAUCUGGCGGCGAACUAAUCGCAUCACACCCAACAAUAGUUCAGGUCACGACUCAGCCUUCUGGCGGUGUACGCAUCGCCUUUACCCAGCAUGGUUCAAGUCAGUCUAGACGGCAUCAUCCAAUAAGCUAAAUGGGCGAGGAGAACCAACAUACCCAUUUCAAGCUCAAGCUCAUGGCAUACCGGGCGAGGAGAACCAACAUACCCGUUGAAUCACUGCCAGGCGAGGAGAACCAACAUACCUGUAGAUAGGAUUCUAUUUAUGCCAAUACACUUACCGAGCGAGGAGAACCAACAUACCCGUUGAAUCACUGUCGGGCGAGGAGAACCAACAUACCCGCAGUUAGGAUUCACGUGCGCUCAGUCGCAAAUCUCAUUCGUUGCACUAGCAGCCUUCAUUUCCUAGGGAUUCCGGAAUCCAUUUCAGAACUCAAGGGUUGGUCUCAAACCCUAUAGUAUCGACCUAUCUAGGUCCGAUGUCCUUUCCACCCUAGGUCCAAUCGACUCUAGGUUCAACGCCUCUAUCACAUAACCUAGGUUUACUUUAACUCUAGGUUCAAUCCACAACGUAUGUUCUUUAACACUAGGUUCGAUGUCAACCUAUGUUUAACAACACUAGGUUCAUAUGUCAACCUAUGUUCAUGACACUAGAUUCAAUACAACCUAUGUUUACUAACACUAGGUUCGAUGCCACACACCUAGAUCCAUUUGACUCUAGGUUUAUUUACAACCUAUGUUCUUUAACACUAGGUUAAAUGCCACUCGAUCUAUUCGACAUCCUAGUUGUCCAAUCGAGCAUUCUAUAAUUCACAUGCAUAUAUAAUCUAGCAUAUCCUCACCAUUCUAAUCAUGUAUAUGUUACCAUGCAUUCAUCUCAAUGCCAACAUGCAUUAUUUAAUAGCCAUUAUGUUUAUUAUGCCUCUCCUAGCAUCAUGUAAUCAUGCAUUUACCUAGCAUGUAUUCCACCACGCAUAUAGAUAUUAACAUGCAUCUAUCUACUAGCGUAUGUCAUCAUGCAAUUAUCUAGCAUUUACAUAUCAUGCUCAUCAUGCAUUCUAUAUUAUGUCAUUAACAUGCAUUCGUAUAGUAUUAACUACAUGCAUCAUCUAGCAUUUACAUGCAUCAACAUGAAUUCACAUCUUUCUUAGACAUAAGGGCAACCUAGUCUGUAACACACUGGACCUUUGCAAAUUGCGAGGUUCGAGUGUUUGGAUGUAUUUCGAGCUUUUCCACACUUGGUGGAGGGUUGUAGAAUGUUUUCCGACCUAAAAAGUUCGAAAAUCGGAAUUCUGGAUAAGUCCUGAGAGUUUUUACUCUCGGGGACCGAUCCCUGGAAGGAGAGACCGGUCCCCCAAUGAGCAGUGUUGAGGCAGCCUGAGGCAACCGGUCCCUGGCAGGCGAGACCGGUCCCCGAGCGCGUCUUCGCAGAGAGAGACCGGUCCUGCGCGGGGAGAGACCGGUUCCCGAACGCUGGUUUUUCGGGUUCGCAGCGAGAGACCGGUCCCUGCUGGGGAGAGACCGGUCCCUCUGGGCGAAAACUGCCCAGACCGGGCUGUGGUAAUAUUGGAUUUUUGGAGGGCCUAGCUGGAUUUUGUUACAAUAGAGGGUCUAUAUGACCCCUCCACCCUCUCUUCUCCUCAUUUCUCUUCUCUCAACUCUCUCCACACCCUUGAUAGAGAAGAAGAAGAAGAAGAAGAAGGAGAAGAAGGAGGGAAGGAGAAGAAGUUUGGAGUUACUAGUGGACUUGGAGCAUCUUCCUCACCCUUUCAUCUUCCUUGGUGCUUGAAGGCUUGGACUUGGGGCUUGCAAAGGGGGAGAUCUUCACCCUUGGAGCUUGGAUUGGAGUUUCUAAGGAGGUUUGUUACUCAUUCCCUCCCUUUAGACCUUGGAUUUGAGGUUUUAUUGUAUUGGAACCCUAGAAAUGAGAUUUAGGGUUGAUUUUGGGGCUUUUUGGUCUAGGGCUUUUGAGGCUAGAUUAAUUGGUUUAGAACCUUCCUUGGGCUUGGAUUGGAAGGGUUCUAGCUCUCUUUUGGAGCUUUGGAAGAGAUUUUGUGACGCCCCGACUUCCCAGGGGUCACCCAUCCUAGGACUACUCCCGUCCUAGCACGCUUAACUCUCUUAACCUCUUGGGCCUUGCCACCACCCAAAAUGCUUAAGCCGGGUUAAGAGUUUAGCCCUAUUAUAUCUCAUAUAUAGGACUAUCUGGGUUUCACAAUCUCCCCUCCUUUAAGCCCUGACGUCCUCGUCAGGCUCAAACUCACAAGUACCAGGCGAUGUGAGACUCAUCUCGCUAGCCCGUCAUCCAGACCCUGGCUCAGCCGAGACUCAUCUCACACUUCCGGCUGGUAAUUGGCUCUGAUACCAUCUGUGACGCCCCGACUUCCCAGGGGUCACCCAUCCUAGGACUACUCCCGUCCUAGCACGCUUAACUCUCUUAACCUCUUGGGCCUUGUCACCACCCAAAAUGCUUAAGCCGGGUUAAGAGUUUAGCCCUAUUAUAUCUCAUAUAUAGGACUAUCUGGGGUCUCACAGAUUUCUUCUCUUGAGGUGAGUUUUGGCCCUUUUUGCUUCUAGGUUAAUGUUUGAUCUUAUGGUUGGUCGUAAUGCCCUCGUAUCUCUUCGCUGAUCACUUUUAGGGUACUUUGAGGCUCGUGGACAACUCCGUUCGACGAAUCGAAGGAGCACGCGACGGUUCGGUGGGUUUGACCUAGCCUAUGAUAUGAGGAAUGCUCAUAUUUGGCAAAAUAUGUUUCGUAAAAUAGAAAUUCAUGCAUUUCCUUGUUUAAUGUAUUUAAUAUGAAUUUUAGAAUGCUUAACAUGCAUAUAUUAUGUAUAAUGAAAUUUUAGACCCCUAUGUGGUAGAGUGCAUGCAUGUGAGACUUAGCAUUCUAUUUAUGAUUGGGAACCAUGAUCCUUAUUAUGUAAAUGAACCUUGCUUUCAUGCAUUUAACCUAUAUGCCAAUUGUGACAUUAGGAAUGUUAGAAGCCUAGAGAGGGCUUGAGAACUUGGACUAUUUGAGAAUUGGGACAAUGUCAUAAAGAGGCAUUGGGCCCGGGUCAUGGUAAUCAUUGGUAUUGAUGUUUUAAUGGAAACAUAGAACAAGAUUUGGGCUUGAUCUGUUGUGAUGCUUAAGUGUCAUAAAGAGGCACUAAGCAAGUGAGUGUUGGGACAUCACUUAGAGACAUUGGGCUAGAUCCUUGGGAUGCUAGUGACCUUGCCAUGUUAGAGACAUGCGGAUAGAGUAUUUGAGACAGUGACCUUGCUUGUUUGCCAUUUGUGCUCAUUCGCACAUGCUUGUGAGGGUCGCUCCCUACAAGCCGGCACUCCGGAGUUAGCCUACGCGACUUAUGUUCGCUCGUGCGGUAUUGAGAAGCCUACGGGGUCGAGUGGGACAGACACAUUCCAAGAGUAGGGAUGUUGGGCUACCACAGGCACUUAGGCGGCACAAGCUGGACUACCUUUGGUAGGUCCUUAAUUGGAAAUGGAAAUCGAUACGGUGUUGAGAAUGGUUAAUCACAACUAGAUAGGUUUAGUAGUUGAGUUACAUUUAUAUGCUUUUAGCAUAGUGUUGAGACAUGUAGUAUACUUGAUAGUCUCCUUUUGCAUUAAAGCAUACUUGGUUGCCAUGACAGAACUUAUGCAUAAUGUAUUCAUAAAGGUUAAUGACAUACUACUUUGAUAUCGUAGAUGUACAUCACUAUGACAUCGUUUAUUCUCGAGUUUAAUAAUUUAGCAUUUUAAUUAUGCCUUUAUAUCGCGGUCAUUAUUGUUAUUAUUAUCGUACUCACCCUCUUCUUUUGGGGCCUAGUGGUGCAUAGUGCUGAGGUCAGUAAUUGCCCACUGGGAACUAUAAAUUAUAGUUCUCACGCCCUCUUUUUCUUGAUGUUUUUCAGAGCCUUCCACUCAGGGGGAGGCCAGGGACCGCGGGAAGGGAGUUGCUUCGAGCUAGCUUCCUUCGAGGACGAUUUGCUAGGUAGUCUACCUCUCGUUGUGUUUCUUUUUGGAGAGGUUGAGAGUUUUACCAGUGUACUACUGACCACCAUUUUUGUAUUAGAGGCUGAUACUGUAUAACUUAUGUUUACUUUCAUGUAUUAGUUAUGUUCUAUUACUAUUGGUGUAGAUGUUAGAACUUUACUCGCUCUGAUAUCAUUAGUUGCUAGUUAUUUCACUUCUUUUAUUUGUUCCAUCUCUUGCUUUUACUUUCGCUUUUCUUGUAGACGCCUUAUAUGUGUAGACAUAUGGCGGGUAUGGGCACGCUACCGGGAGGGCCUCCGCCGGUCCCGGGGCGUGACAGAUUAAUUUGGUAUCAGAGCCUAGGGUUGAGUCUUAGUGGACCUAGCGAACCUUAGGCCGGUUGGACAAUAGGAAUUAGGCUCGUGAGAGACGGGGUCUAAUUGACUUGUGAGCGAAAGUAUUUCGAUUGGGUUUAUGACAACUCUAAAAAGUUAGAGUUUGAUUGGAGUGUAUGGCUUCUAACUUCGCGGAGGGUUACGUUGGCGGCCGACAACGUAACAUCGGGAGCUAGUAGUGAAGGACACUUCCUUACUUUCGCAUGAUUUUGGGUUUCAUUGUUUCGAGCGGGGAAGCGAUAGCGUGGGUUAUUAACUUGCGCUUUUAUGUUUUGUAGUGACGAUGCCGAUUACACGUUCCCAGUCUGCCGGGGCGGAUGGUGCGGCACAUUCCGAGGAGGUCGAGACCUCCGCUACUUUCGGAUCUAGUGAGGUCCGUGACUUGAGGGCCCAGCUUGCGGUUCUCACUGAUCUGUUGGCGCAGCAGACAGCAGCGGCGCAGCGACAGGCUGCGGUGGCUCAGCGGCAGGAGGCGCGGAUGAAGCAUCUUGAGGACCUCCUACUUCAGCAGGCGGCAGCUUCUAGGGAGACCCAGGGCCCCACACCGCCAGCACCUGUGGUGGACGUCGCGCCGAGCGCGCAGUCCCCCGCGCCCAGUUCUUCCCGGGCGGCACCGACGACCGCACCUUGAGAGGAGGUGGCUGCGGUACCCCCAGUUCAGAGACCGGCCAUGGGAGCAGCUUUCCCCGUGAUGGCCGAGGGAGCCGAGCGGGAUCGGCUCAUGGAUCGCCUUAGUGAGUUUAGGAGGUGCAGCCCGAGGACGUUUGAUGGCGAGAACGUUGACCACUGGAUUGUUGAGAAGUGGUUGCUGCACAUGGAGAAGCUGUUUCGAGAUACCUUCGUUGAAGAGAGGGACAGAGUUUGGCUCGCCACUCACUUUCUGGACGGCGAGGCCUAUCGUUGGUGGUUGGAUAUCCAGGACAACCCCAACACCGACUUGGCAGCGGUUACUUGGACACGAUUCAAGGAGCUUCUACUGGCGCAUCACUUCCUACCAGCGUCAAGAGGAAGAUCGAGUAGGAUUUGCGCAGCUUGCGCCAGGACAAGCGGUCAGUGGCUGAGUACGAGAGGGAGUUCUCCCGGAUACUACACUGCGUACCGUUUGUUGUGAGGGAUGAUGAGGACAAGGCCCGCAUCUUUGAGCACGGUUUGCGGCCUUCUAUCUUCCGGUUGGUGCAGUCUUCCAACCUCCAGACCUACCGGGAGGUUGUGGAUCGAGCCUUGAUUGUGGAGGCAGGAGCGGCAGAUUUGCAGGAGCGUCGCGAGAGCUUGGAGAAAGGGAAGGGCAAGAGACCCGCGGCUGAGGGUGCGAGCCAGACGCACUCACGGAGGCAGCCGAGGCAUCCCAGGAGCAGGAGCCAGUCGCGGGGACGCGGCCAAUCUACCCAGCGAGGAGGACCCGAUCGUCGCCAGGUCCCCCGCUGCGUGAUCUGUGGUGGUCCUCAUUACCCGCGGCAGUGUUCACGCAGCCGGGGCAGGUGCUUCUUGUGUGGCCAGGAGGGCCACUUCCAGUUGGACUGCCCGAGGAGUCCAUUGCCAGCGCCAUCUGCGGCAUCUGCACCAGCAUCGCCAGGUCCCAGCAGGGGACAUCUGUUGCGCAUCACCAGGCAGGACGGCCGCCAGUUCUGCGACAGCCGGAGGGGUCACGACAGGCCCCGAGCGGGCGCAUGUACGCGGUUCAGACUAAGGAGGCGGCGGCAGCCGAGAAUGUGGUCGCAGGUAUCAUUUUACUUUAUGGUAUUCGAGCUAGAGCUUUGUUUGAUACCGGUGCAUCGCAUUCAUUCAUUGAUCGGCUGUUUGCCGAGCUGCAUGGCAUCCCACUUGUAUCCUUGUUGCAUCCGGGACGAGUUACUGUACCUGAUCACUCUUUGGAUAUUCGAGAGUUUUGCCCCAGUUGCCCCGUUCGGGUUGGAGAUUGGAUCAUGCCCGUGAACUUGUUAGCGUUGCAUAAACUCGGAGAGUUUGAUGUAGUGUUGGGCAUGGACUGGUUGACUAAGUACUAUGCCACUAUCGAUUGCAAAGAUCGAACAGUGAUUUUUAGAGAGCCAGGGCAGGCGGAGGUUGUGUACCGAGGAUGCCAGAGUUCGCUAUUUGCGAUGACGAUUAGCUCUUCUCGAGCUAGGCAGUUGAUUAGUAGAGGCUGCGUAGCCUACUUGGCUACUAUUGUGUUGCGGGGUGAGGAUGACGCCCCUAGGAUUGAGGAUAUUCCCGUAGUGCGGGGGUUUGGAGAUGUGUUCCCAGCGGAGCUUCCAGGCAUGCCUCCUGGUAGGGAGAUUGAGUUUGUGGUAGAUCUCGUCCCCGGGACUACCCCAAUCUCAAAGGUGUAACACACUGGACCUUUGCAAAUCGCGAAGUUCGAGUGUUUGGAUGUAUUUCGAGCUUUUCCACACUUGGUGGAGGGUUGUAGAAUGUUUUCCGACCUAAAAAGUUCGAAAACUGAAAUUUUGGACAAGUCCUGAGAGUUUUUUUUCUCUCGGGGACCGGUCCCUGGAAGGAGAGAUCGGUCCCCCAGUGAGCAGUGUUGAGGCAGCCUGAGGCAACCGGUCCCUGGCAGGCGAGACCGGUCCCCGAACGCGUCUUCGCAGUGAGAGACCGGUCCCGCGCAGGGAGAGACCGGUUCCCGAACGCUGGUUUUUCGGGUUCGCAGCGAGAGACCUGUCCCUGCUGGGGAGAGACCGGUCCCUCUGGGCGAAAACUGCCCAGACCGGGCUGAUGCAAUAUUGAAUUUUUGAGGGGCCUCUCCGGAUUUUGUUACACUAGAUGGGCUUAUUAGCCAUUUCCUCCUCUUCCCUCUCCCAUUUCUCUCAUUCUCACCCUCUCCCUACACUUUCUAGAGAGAGAAGAAGAAGAAUGAGAAGAAGAAGAAGAAGAAGAGCUAGCUUGAGGGAGCUUGGAGCUCAACCCCUUUCUCUCUUUUCCACCUUUGCAAGGCUUGGAGCUUGCUUGUAGAGCUUGGUGGUGGACCAAUCUUCAACCCUAGAAGAUUUGGAGCUUGUUUGGAGGCACCUUGGGAGGUUAGUACUUGGAUUCUACCCUUGAACCCUUGAUUUGGUAGGUUUUACCANCGAAACUUGACGAGUGCUUUUGUAAUUAAAUUACACACAAAAACAUCGUCCACUGAGAGUUUAGCUACACUACCAAACUCUCGGUGCUUACAAUAUUGGGACCUCUUGAGACUAUCUACUAUGCCCUAAGUGUGUAUACUCAUAAACAAUACAAGUUCACAUUCAAACGUACAAGAAUUGAAACCUCAUACGGUGGUUCAAUUGUGCCCUAAGAGAGCAUAUUCGCAAUGAAUACGUUUUCGCAAUCGGACGAGCCAAUAUUGGGACCUCAUGAGACUAUUCUACCAUGCCCUAAGUGUCACGCCCCGAGCCCCGCCAAUUUGGUCGGAUUCGGGUACGCCAAUAGACCGCCGAACGAACAGGAUUUUUCCUUUAUCUCGAACAGAGUCUCCCCUGUACGUCCAAGGCGUCACAAUCCAUACAAAGCGUGAGGUUCCAACCAGGAACAGCAUUCAAACAUAGAUUGCAUCAGGAAGGUAUCGAAAACAUAUGUUUGAUUGCAUCAGGAAGGUAUCGAAAACAUAAAUGCAUCUAUGCUAUUACAAGCAUUCAUCUUAGUAUUCAUUUUACAAUACAUUAUCUUAGAUUCUUACUUCCAAAUACAAUCCAGAUUUUACAAAUUAUUACAACAUUGUUCUUUUCUUUCUUUACAUCCCUAAGUAGCCAACUUAGGAUACCGCUAUCUCUGAUCUUAGUGGCAGGGCGCUAUCUAUAGAGCUACGCCUUUUUUUCGCGCCGCCGCGUCGCUCGCGUGUGAACCUGAAACCCCCAAACCGACGUGGGGCGAGAACUAUAUAAAUAUAGUUCUCAGUGGGUACGGCCACCCAAGGGAAGAGCUCAACCCACCAGGUCUAAAGGAGGCACUGCAACAUGUUAGUUCAACAAAUAUCCACAGAUAUAUAAUGCAAGUAUAGAAAUACAUGCUUAUGCCUCACAAUAUGCAAUAUGCGAAUUAUGCAAGUAGAUCUCUUGAUUCUACUCUUUAUUAUUUGUCGUUCUUUACUAUCAUUCGUUCUUUAUUCUUAGUCAUUCUUUAUUAUUGCUAUUCUUUAGUAUUAGCCAUUCUUUAUUCUUUAUCUUAGUCAUACUAUGCUCAUUUGUCAUUCUUUCCUAAGGUUAUUUUUACCUUAACCAACUAUGCCAGUCGACUCAGUCUUGAGUCAAUCAACCGCGGAUAAUCCGCGCUCUGUUAGGCUCGAGGCAAAGGACGUCUCACAUGCACCUCAGCCUUAAAUACACAAACAACAUCGCCAACAGGUCGCCCAGAACUGCGUACACCCGUGGUCAGGGAUCUUUCUGGUGGGAGGGAAAUAUGCCACACACACGCGCGGCCCAAGACCCCCGAUAGGGAGGGGAAUAUGCCAUACACACUAGCAAUCCAAGAUUCUUCCGGUGGAAGGGGAAUAUGCCACACACACUCGUAGCCAAUCUUCUAUAAGCUAAUCCUCGACGUUCUUCUGGUGGGAGGGGAAUAUGCCACACAUAGCCGCGGCCAAGAACUGUCGAGUUCACAAUUCCUUUGAUUCCGGAAUCCACUUUACAUAGCUCAAGGGUUGGUCUCACCCUAUAAUGUCGACCUAUCUAGGCCCAAGCCAUUACUCAACCUAAGUUUAACACAUUUGGUCCAAUGUCACUAUGUUCAUAGCCUAGGUUCUAUAACACUAGGUCUGACAUUCUCUACUACCUAGGUUCAUUUCACUCUAGGUUCAAUGCCACUCGUGUGAUAACAUAGGUUUACUUAACUCUAGGUGUCACGCCCCGCGACCACCCGCCUAUUUGGUCGGGCCGCAGCGCCGCCGACAGACCGCCAAACGGACAAGGUUUCCCCUGUACCGCGGACAGAGUCUCCACUGUACAUUCAAGGCGUCGCAAUCAAUACAAUGUACAAAGUUCCAACCAGGAACACAUUUCAAUCAAAGAUUGUAUAAGGAAGUAUUAAAAACAUAAUUUACUUGCUAUUACAAGCAUUCACAUUCACUAGAUAUAUUUUACAUCAUAAUUACACAUUUUACAUUUAACUUCCAAAUAUAAUCAUACUUUUAUUACAAAUUAUUACAAUCUUAUUCCUUUCAUUUUCUUACAUCCCUAAGUAAAGCUGACUCAGGGAACAGCUAUCUCUGGUCUCGGUGGUAGGGCGCUAACUAUGGAGCUACGCCCUCGCCUCGCGCCGCCGCGCCGCUCACGUGUAUACCUGUAACACUCCAAAACAACGUGGGGUGAGAACUAACUCCAUGAUUCCCAGUGGGUACGGCCAUCCAAGGGAAAAGCUCGACCAAUAGGUCCAAGGGAGGCAACUGCAACAAGUUUGUAACGCACUGGACCUUUGCAAAUUGCGAGGUUCGAGUGUUUGGAUGUAUUUCGAGCUUUUCCACACUUGGUGGAGGGUUGUAGAAUAUUUUCCGACCAAAAAAGUUCGAAAAUUGGAAUUCUAGACAAGUCCUGAGAGUUUUUACUCUCGGAGACCGGUCCCUGGAAGGAGAGACCGGUCCCCCAGUGAGCAGUGCUGCGGCAGCCCUGAGGCAACCGGUCCCUGGCGAGCGAGACCGAUCCCCGAGCGCGUCUACGCAGUGAGAGACCGGUCCCACGCGGGGAGAGACCGGUUCCCGAACGAUGGUUUUUCAGGUUCGCAGCGAGAGACCGGUCCCUGCUGGGGAGAGACCGGUCCCUCUGGGCGAAAACUGCCCAGACCGGGCUGAUGCAAUAUUGGAUUUUGAGGGGCCUCUUGGGAUUUUGUUACAAUAGAGGGUCUAUAUGACCCCUCCACCCUCUCUUCUCCUCAUUUCUCCUCUCUCAACUCUCUCCACACCCUUGGUAGAGAAGAAAAAGAAGGAGAAGGAGAAGAAGGAAGGAAGAAGAAGAAGAUUGAGAGCUUUUAGAGGACUUGGAGCAUCUUCCUCACCCUCUCUUCUUCCUUGGUGCUUGGAGCUUGGUCUUGGAGCUUGCAUAGGAGGAGAUCUUCACCCUUGGAGCUAGGAUUGGAGCUUCUAAGGAGGUUGGUUGCUCAUUUCCCUCCUCUAGAUCUUGUUUUGCUAAGUUUUUGAGAUGAAACCCUAGAUUUGAUACUUAGGGCUUAUUUUUGGGCAUUUUUGAUCUAGGGCUUUUGCACCCAAAUUAGUUGGUUUAGAACCUUCCUUGGGCUUGGAUUGGAAGGGUUCUAGCUCUCUUUUGGAGCUUUGGAAGAGAUUUCUUCCCUUGAGGUGAGCUUUGGCCCUUUUUGCUUCUAGGUUAAUAUUUGGUUUUAUAUGAUGAUCGUAAUGCCCGUGUAUCUCUUCGCUCAAUCCUUUUAGGGUAUUUUGGGACUCGGGGACAACUUUGUUCGGCGAAACGAGGCCCUACGCGACGGUUCGGUGGGUUUGACCUAGCCACACAAUGAGAAAUUCUCAUAUGUGCUUAAUUAAGUAUCGUUAAAUGAAAAAGCAUGCAUAUUCUUGUUACAUGUAUUUAUUGUGAAUUUUAGAAUGCUUAAAAGGCCUAUGUUAUAUAUGAUGAAAUUUUGGACCUCUAUGUAGUAGAGAGUAGUUUGGUAGGCCUAUAGUUGCAUUUAGCAUUCCAAAUGAGACGUGGUUUCAUGCUCCUAUAGUGUAAAUGAGAUUGGAUUCAUGCAUUUAAACCUAAGUCUAUUGAGACAUGAAAGUUGACAAGAUUGCCAUUUAGAAGGUAUGUGAACUAGAGAGCUAAUGUCAUCAAGCGGCAUUGAGCUCGGGACAUGUGAGAACCUAGUGGAUAGGGCCAUUGAGGGAUUUGGGAUACAUGUUGAACAUCAAAUUGCCUAAGUGUCAUCAAGGGGCACUAGGCGUAGCAAAUGUUGAAACUUCACAUUGUGACUUAAACUAGAUCUUCGGGAUGCUAGUGACUAUACCAUGUUAGAGACAUGAGGAUUGGAUACUUGAGACUUGGACUAUGCUUGCUUGCCAUUUGUGCUCAUUCGCACAUGCUUGUGAGGGUCGCUCCCUACAAGCCGGCACUCCGGAGUUAGCCUACGCGACUUAUGUUCGCUCGUGCGGUAUUGAGAAGCCUACGGGGUCGAGUGGGACAGACACAUUCCAAGAGUAGGGAUGUUGGGCUACCACAGGCACUUAGGCGGCACAAGCUGGACUACCUUUGGUAGGUCCUUAAUUGGAAAUGGAAAUCGAUACGGUGUUGAGAAUGGUUAAUCACAACUAGAUAGGUUUAGUAGUUGAGUUACAUUUAUAUGCUUUUAGCAUAGUGUUGAGACAUGUAGUAUACUUGAUAGUCUCCUUUUGCAUUAAAGCAUACUUGGUUGCCAUGACAGAACUUAUGCAUAAUGUAUUCAUAAAGGUUAAUGACAUACUACUUUGAUAUCGUAGAUGUACAUCACUAUGACAUCGUUUAUUCUCGAGUUUAAUAAUUUAGCAUUUUAAUUAUGCCUUUAUAUCGCGGUCAUUAUUGUUAUUAUUAUCGUACUCACCCUCUUCUUUUGGGGCCUAGUGGUGCAUAGUGCUGAGGUCAGUAAUUGCCCACUGGGAACUAUAAAUUAUAGUUCUCACGCCCUCUUUUUCUUGAUGUUUUUCAGAGCCUUCCACUCAGGGGGAGGCCAGGGACCGCGGGAAGGGAGUUGCUUCGAGCUAGCUUCCUUCGAGGACGAUUUGCUAGGUAGUCUACCUCUCGUUGUGUUUCUUUUUGGAGAGGUUGAGAGUUUUACCAGUGUACUACUGACCACCAUUUUUGUAUUAGAGGCUGAUACUGUAUAACUUAUGUUUACUUUCAUGUAUUAGUUAUGUUCUAUUACUAUUGGUGUAGAUGUUAGAACUUUACUCGCUCUGAUAUCAUUAGUUGCUAGUUAUUUCACUUCUUUUAUUUGUUCCAUCUCUUGCUUUUACUUUCGCUUUUCUUGUAGACGCCUUAUAUGUGUAGACAUAUGGCGGGUAUGGGCACGCUACCGGGAGGGCCUCCGCCGGUCCCGGGGCGUGACAGAUUAAUUUGGUAUCAGAGCCUAGGGUUGAGUCUUAGUGGACCUAGCGAACCUUAGGCCGGUUGGACAAUAGGAAUUAGGCUCGUGAGAGACGGGGUCUAAUUGACUUGUGAGCGAAAGUAUUUCGAUUGGGUUUAUGACAACUCUAAAAAGUUAGAGUUUGAUUGGAGUGUAUGGCUUCUAACUUCGCGGAGGGUUACGUUGGCGGCCGACAACGUAACAUCGGGAGCUAGUAGUGAAGGACACUUCCUUACUUUCGCAUGAUUUUGGGUUUCAUUGUUUCGAGCGGGGAAGCGAUAGCGUGGGUUAUUAACUUGCGCUUUUAUGUUUUGUAGUGACGAUGCCGAUUACACGUUCCCAGUCUGCCGGGGCGGAUGGUGCGGCACAUUCCGAGGAGGUCGAGACCUCCGCUACUUUCGGAUCUAGUGAGGUCCGUGACUUGAGGGCCCAGCUUGCGGUUCUCACUGAUCUGUUGGCGCAGCAGACAGCAGCGGCGCAGCGACAGGCUGCGGUGGCUCAGCGGCAGGAGGCGCGGAUGAAGCAUCUUGAGGACCUCCUACUUCAGCAGGCGGCAGCUUCUAGGGAGACCCAGGGCCCCACACCGCCAGCACCUGUGGUGGACGUCGCGCCGAGCGCGCAGUCCCCCGCGCCCAGUUCUUCCCGGGCGGCACCGACGACCGCACCUUGAGAGGAGGUGGCUGCGGUACCCCCAGUUCAGAGACCGGCCAUGGGAGCAGCUUUCCCCGUGAUGGCCGAGGGAGCCGAGCGGGAUCGGCUCAUGGAUCGCCUUAGUGAGUUUAGGAGGUGCAGCCCGAGGACGUUUGAUGGCGAGAACGUUGACCACUGGAUUGUUGAGAAGUGGUUGCUGCACAUGGAGAAGCUGUUUCGAGAUACCUUCGUUGAAGAGAGGGACAGAGUUUGGCUCGCCACUCACUUUCUGGACGGCGAGGCCUAUCGUUGGUGGUUGGAUAUCCAGGACAACCCCAACACCGACUUGGCAGCGGUUACUUGGACACGAUUCAAGGAGCUUCUACUGGCGCAUCACUUCCUACCAGCGUCAAGAGGAAGAUCGAGUAGGAUUUGCGCAGCUUGCGCCAGGACAAGCGGUCAGUGGCUGAGUACGAGNUUUUACCUAAACUUCGUGGCACCGUGUAUUGGCUUCUGGAAAUUAAAGGCCUAGCACCUAACCUCCGGCAAGCCCACCGGCGCGCUCCCUAGCCCGGUUUGGCUCACGGCCCACGGCGCCCUCCGGCUAACGUUCACAGCUGUUCGUUAGCCUUAUGCUUUACUCCACCCAACACGAAUGGCUUUGCUGAUCCAGCGGAGAUACAGAUUCUCUUUACUCUAAAGUAUAACUACGUACAACUGUAUAUUAUAUUUUACGGUCUCCUUACGUAUAACUGUAUUAUAUUCUUACACUUUUCUUACGUACAAUUGUAUAAUAUCAAUUACGAAACUUACGUAUUCUAUUUCCCGUAUACUUACAAUUGUAAUAUUCUUAUAUGAUUUUUCUUACGUAUUUCUAUACAACAUCUUGUACGAUCUACCUACAUUAUAUCUUUACGUUCUUACGUACUAUUACAUUACAUUUCUUACGAUCAAAAGUAUUCGUAUAGUAUACAUAUACGGUCUAUUAAUGUACUUCCAAUCGUAGUACUCCUGAUACUUUAUGAGCUUAACCUGUUGAUCCUACAGUUGAUCUAGCUCACCGUAACUUAGAUCACAAUUAUUUGUAUCCAACCUGUAACUUGGAUCACAAUUAUUUGUAUCCAACCUGUUCUUACUGUAACUUGGAUCACAAUCAUUUGUAUCCAACCUUAGUACACACCGUAAUUUGUUUAUAUCCAACCUUAGUACACACCGUAAUUUAGAUCACAAUUUCUUGUAUCCAACCUGUACUUGGAUCAUAAUUUCUUGUAUCCAACCUGUACUUGGAUCACAAUUUCUUUCAUCAAUUUAUUCCAAAUUGGGUUUCACUGUAACACCAAACCAUAAUCGCCAUAUACGUACUAAUCCAUUUUGGAUAGUAACCGUAACUCCGUAUCUCUAUACCUUGUCCAACCGAUAUGGAGGAGUUUAACUCCUACCCUAGCAUGAGUGUACAUAGCCAAGGCCGAACACGCUCCAGCGAGGAGAUGUCCGCCACAUGAGGCCUCAUAUCUGUGGUGCCCACUCUCACGGGCCGCUUCUAGGGAGGCCACUAUCACGGAACACGGAAGGAGCCAUCUACCCUACCUAGGGAGCCCCCGUAAAGGAAUACGAUUAAGGCCAUCUACCCUGUACACUCUACACUCGAACCCCGCUUGAACUACUUGGGGCCUUCCUAACCCAUUUGCGGUUUCACUUACACACUUUCAAACUCAAUACCUAAACCAUGAGGUAAACUCCAUGAGUUUACGAUAUCGCCUCGGCCCUCCAGGCAGAAACGAAGCCUAAACGUGCGUUUCUUUAAUAGCUUCGCAACGGCUCGACGAAUCGCCGAACCGACUCUGCCAACGCGUUCGUUUACCUAGCAAUUAGGUUUACAGAGGGUCAAAUGAGAUCAAACCCUCAUAUUUACAAAACUAGCAUUUUUGAGCCCUAGAUUACAACUAGGUAAAAAUCCAUUGUUUAGCUUCAUGAAUCAUGCAUUAACCAUCUAUUUAGCAUCCUAGGAUUUCUCUAAAUCCAUUCUUAGAGCAUAUAAUUAAGACUCUAAAGGUCUACCAUGAGAGGGUUCAAAAAACACAUUUCAAGCCCUAGGUUUACAACUAGGCAAGAAAUCAUUAAAUUGAUCCAUGAUUUAAGCAACAAUCAUCUCUUUAGCUUGCUAGAAUAACUCUAAAUCCAUUCUUGAAGCUUAAAACCCAAACUACAAGGAGACACCAUUAAAGGGUUUUGGAGCUUACCUUUAGAGCUUGCUUCUCAUGCAAGGAAGAAGAUGGAGAAGAUGAAAAUCCAUCCUUGAGCUUCAAUCUCCACCAAAACCCUCUCUUUUCGGAGAGAUUUAGAGAGAGAAAGGAGAGUUCUCUUCCUCUCUCUCCUUGCGUGUGUGUGGCGUGUGUGUGUGUGCGCAUUCGGCUGAGGAGGAGAAGGAGAAAAGGGAUUAAAUCCCUUUUUACAAAUCAGCCCCUCAACUAUUACACUAUUCACCUCGGGCAGCAGUUUAGCAGUUCGAAAUAGUUAGAGUCCUUCUGAAUGUCCGUUUGAGCUCAAAUUUGACAGACAGGCUCAGUUUAGCGUACCGAGUAAGAAUAUAUUUUAAGUUUCCAGUUUCGACCCCAUUUGGUCACCGAAAACUGUACCGAAUUGUCACUACAAGAAAAUAUAGUAUUGGUGGCAAAAAUAAGGUGGCAACCAAAUUUAUCGCCAUUAUAUAGUUACCUAUGGUGGCGAUAGGAAAAAUCGCCAUUAAUUAAUUAACUUAAAGUGGCGAUUCUGGUUUCACCACUAAAUGACCAUUUUAUCGCCACUAUUUGAUUAUCUAUAAUGGCGAUAAAAAAAAUUGCCACCAAUUAAUUAAUUUAAAGUGGCGAUGGCAUUUUUACCACUAAAAUUACUAUUUUGUCGCCACUAUUUUCUUAUUUAUGGUGGCAAUAAAAAAAAUCUCCACCGAUUAAUUAACUUAAAGUGGCGAUUCUAACCUCACCACUAAAUUACUAUUUUACUCCCACUAUUUAAUUAUUUAUGAUGGUGAUAAAGUAAAUCGUCAUUAUUUGGUUAGCUAUAAUGACAAUAAAAAAAAAAUAUUACCACCAAUUAAUUAAAUUUAAUUUACUUUUUUAAUUAAAUUAAAUUAAUAUUUUAAUUUAAUUUUAAAAUUACUAAUUUAAUUUUUAAAAAAUUUUAAAAAAAUCUCACUUCCCUCAGCUUACCUGCCCCUCUCCUCUCCACUUCCUCUCAGCUACUCUAGAAAAAACCCAAACCCCAUUUCGCCCGCUCCUCUUUGACGAUCUCUCGUCGGCGAGCUCGUCACGACGAACUCCUCGCCGGCGAUCUCGUCACCGGCGAGCUCCUCACCGGCGAUCUCGUCACCGGUGAGCUCGUCACCGGCGAGCUCCUCAUCGGCGACAUAGGCGACAAGCACCUCGCCGGUGAGCUAUGCAACGAGCUCCUCAUUGCUAAUUUUCUUUCCGACGAGCCCUUCAAAACGAAGCUUCUUCUCGCCGAGCUCCUCGCAAGUGAGUCCCUCACUGCCGAUCUCCUCGCCGAUAAACCCUCUCCUUUCGCUUCUCUCUUCCACUCCAAACCCUCACCGCAGAUCUAUAUGCACUUCUCGUUGCUUCUUUGCGGCUUGUUUUGAUCUCAGUAAUUAGAUAGUCUAUAAUGCAGAGUUGGAGCAACCCUGUAUACCAGAUUGAUCUACUUUUCAUCAGGUUUAUCAAUUAGGAAAGGUGAAUAUUUAAAAGACACUUAGGUAAUUAAGGCUAGCUAUUAAUUCAGCAUGUACACUUAACUAACCGAAAGUUUGCUAGUAACUAUGAAAUUUCUAGUUAAUCUUUUAUUAGAGGCAUACGAAAUGCAAGAUUCAAAUUAGUAUGUUUUACUUACUGCUGAAACUAAUCAAUGCAAUUACCAGUGCUGCAUCAGGAGUUCAAACAAUGCAAUUUCCAGUCCUUUUAUGGCAGUGUUUUUGAGUUUUAUGUUGGCUUGGAGAUGUUAUAACAAAGUUUCAUGUAGGUGAUUCAAUGCAUAUAAGAACCUACUUUGAUUUGUGGGCCAUGUAAUAUGAUAAAUGUCAUUCUUCAAUUAUGAAACAAGUCGUGUCUACUUAAGUCAUGCUUUCUGCUUUUGUUUCCGGCUUAAUUAUGUGAACUCCUAAUCUUAUAUGCUAAUUCUGCUUUUGUUUUCAGCUUAAUUAUGUAAACUCCUAACCUUGUAUGCUGAUUUGAAUAUGGUGUGUUUUAUUUUGUUGGUUUCUUUGUUGUGAGUCUCGACUGAUAUGGAUGUCUUGAAAACAAUAUACAAGACCAGAUACUAGUGGAAAGUUAUUUAAUGUUCAUUUCAAGGUUUAGGAGUUCUAUUCUAAAAACCGUAAUGAAUAAUUAAUUUGCGAGUUUGAUGAGUCAAAAGGGUGGUGAUUUUCUAUUUCGGGUGAUGUAAUGUUCCUUCUAUUUUUUUUUCUUUUUUCUGUUUUUGCAUCGACGGUCAACCCUUGUGCUGUAGUAUUAGAUCUGAAAACCGGAAGAUUAUGAGAAUUUUCUUGUCUUGCAAUUGGGUGGUCUGCUUUCACCUUUGCAGUUGUGAAAUCUACAUUAGUAUAAAAUUCAUAGCAGUGUAACUAGAAAGAAAAUUUUCUACUCAAUGGAUUCCUAGAUAGUAGUAUAUGUGUAAGCCCUAUUAAUUCCUGUAUGAAUUGCACCCAUAGGGUUGGUGUUUCAGGGCUUAACAAAUGAACUGAAGCCAUUGAACAACAAUUAUCUAAUCUUUGUUCAUUACAACAUAUAAUAUAUAAUUAUCUGUUCUAUCUAAGAUAUACUUUAAAAUAUGCACCUAAAGAAUGGUCUUUAGAUACCAUACGAAAACUAAAAAACAACUAUGAUUUCCACUCAUGUCUCGCCAUUUUAAGAUAGUAACCAAGUAACUUCACAUUACAACAUAUAAUAUGUAAUUUACUUGGUUGCUGCUACUUUACUGUAAGGGCGCGUUUGGUUCGUACUAUAAAAGAUUACUAGGAGUAAAAAGAUAUCCGAGAAUCUUAUUCCUAUUCAUUCUAUUACUAAAAAUGUAGUAUUUCGGUGUCUCUAUAACCUUCUGCCUAAAAAGUUCCAUCAAUUUCAUCUCUACACUUCACAUCGUCUCAAAUAAGCUUAAAAAUUUUGAAUGGCCAUCGAAUUCAGAAACAAAACUGUACUAUAGAUGUUACGUCGAAUCGAUAGGAUCUAAAACUAGAUAAAAGAGAUAUCUUUGUAUACUACAGCUACGAAAACUUAGCAGUUCAUUGGACAAUUUAGUCAAUUAAAUUAUUCAACCUCUAUUCAAUAUUUCAACAUCAUCAAUCACCAACUCAUUUCUUACACUAUAAAGAGUUGACAUCUUUAGGUAUGGAGAACAUAUCAAAUUAACAUCUCAUACCCAUGUGCUUAAUUCUUAGCUCUAACAAGAAGGUAGAGAUAUUAUUGCAAUAAUAUAUUUGUUAAUAAUUUAUGCUUUUUGUAUAUGAUACGACUAACACAUUCUUAGCAGGACAAUGGGAAUAGACAAAAGUUGGAUGAUCAUCCAAGAUAGAUCUCUUAUUGAGUAUGAAAUGGGUGUUGACGCAUUCUUGGAUUAUGCUUUCAAUCAACUAGGAGAUGUUAGGGGAAUUCGUUGCCCUUGUACUAAAUGCAAUAAUGUCAUAUUUAAGACACGUGAUGAGGUGAAAGCCGAUUUAUUUUUCAACGGAGUGACUCAAUCUUAUACCACGUGGCAUCAUCAUGGUGAAUCAUCUGAUGAAUCCGAUACUAAUGAGCUAGUAGAUGAAGACAUGUCAAGUGAUGACGGGCGUGGGGACAUUAAUAGAAUGGUGGAGGAUAUGUUUGCACAUAAAGGGAAUGUGGAAACUAGUGAAGCAGGAAAGGAGUCCAUAGGAUGUGAGCAAUCUAAUAUUGAUGCACAAAACUAUUUUCGCCUUUUAGAAGAAUGUGAACAAGAUGCUUAUCCUGGGUGUAAGAAAUAUUCUAAGUUGAAGUUUCUAGUGACUUUGCUAAAUUUGAAAUGCCUCAAUGGAUGGACGGACAAAUCAGUUACAAUGUUGUUGGAGUUUCUUAAGGAUUUUUUGCCUGCUGAUGCAAAUAUUCCCAAAUCAUACUACGAAAUGAAAAAUAUUAUUAAAGACUUGGGUCUUCAUUAUAUUAAGAUUGAUGCAUGUAAAAAUGAUUGUGUUCUUUAUCGGAAGAACCUUGAGGAUGCCACUAAAUGCCCAACUUGUGGUGAGUCUAGNNNNNNNNNNNNNNNNNNNNNNNNNNNNNNNNNNNNNNNNNNNNNNNNNNNNNNNNNNNNNNNNNNNNNNNNNNNNNNNNNNNNNNNNNNNNNNNNNNNNAGAGCGAGUUCGCUCAUCUGGGCCAGACCAAGUACAUACGCCCGCUCGGGGCUCUGUCGUGACCCCUCCGUGCUGCCCGCUGGAUAGGUCCAAAAAUGGAGUCCUGGUGGAGUGCCAGAAGAGGUCCCGCUGUCUGGACCCUGCGAAUGCUGGGCAAGGAUGCCGCAAUGGCAGGCGGCAAAGGACUCCUCAGGGCAGUCCGAGCCUGAAGUGGCGACUCAUGCUGGCGCACGACGAGAAGCACCGCGCCGCCGGCUGCGCAUUACACUGUCGUGGGUAAUGAUGGGGCCGCCCACAGAUCACAGGCGGGUACGGGGAGGCCUACGCGAGAACGGCUCCGGGGUCUCCUGACUUUGAGUACUGGCCGCGGUCGAUCGGGAGGAGAGCGGUACGGACGGCAACCUGGCUCCGCUCUGGGGAGAUGCUCGGCGGCCUCCGCUGAUGCACGUGUCUGACUCGCACCCCUCAGCCGCUGGCGAGCAUCUCCCUGCUUCCCUUUCAUCCAGCUUUCGCAAGGGACGCUCUCUGGGCAGAUCCCCGCCGCUGCUCAACUAUCAAUGCUGCGAUUCCAGCAACCUCCCGUAGUCUGUGAGUUGGAAGAACUGCACCAAGCCGGAAGAUGAAGAACCGCACACCGCGCUCAAAGAUGCGGGCCUGUCGGAUACGGUCGUCCGUACCACAAAAGGCACACAGUGGAGUAAUCGAGAAAACUCCAUCUCGUACUCAACUACGGACCGCUCAUCCUGGCGCAAACUGCGCAAGUCCUGCUCCAUCUUCCUCUUGACGCUAGUAGGAAAGUAGUGCGCCAGAAGAAGCUCCUUAAAUCGCGUCCAUGUGAUCGCUGUCAAGUCGGUGCUGGGGUUGUCUUGGAUAUCCAACCACCAACGGUAGGCCUCGCCGUCCAGAAAGUGAGUGGCGAGCCAAACUCUAUCCCGCUCCUCCACAAAGGUAUCUCGAAAAAGUUUCUCCAUAUGCAUCAACCACUUCUCAACAAUCCAGUGGUCGACAUUCUCGCCAUCAAACAUCCUCGGGCUGCACCUCCUGAACUCACUGAGGCGCUCCAUAAGCCGAUCUCGCUCGGCUCCCUCGGCCAUCACGGGGAAAACCGCCCCCGUCACCGGUCUCUGCACAGGGGGUACCGCAGCCACCUCCUCCCGAGGUGUGGUCGCCGGUGCCGCACGGGAAGAACUGGGCGCAGGGGACUGCGCCCUCGGUGCGACGUCCACCACGGGUGCUGGCGGUGUAGGGCCCUGGGUCUCCCUCGAAGCUGCCGCCUGCUGAAGUAGGAGGUCCUCCAGAUGCUUCAUCCGCGCCUCCUGCCGCUGAGCCACCUCAGCCUGUCGCUGCGCCGCUGCCGUCUGCUGCGCCAAUAGAUCAGUGAGGACCGCAAGCUGGGCCCUCAAGUCACGGACCUCACUAGAUCCGGAAGUAGCGGAGGUCUCGACCUCCUCGGGGUGUGCCGCAUCAUCCGCCCCGGCAGACUGGGAGCGUGUAAUCGGCAUCGUCACUACAAAGCAUAAAAGCGCAAGUUAGUAACCCACGCUAUCGCAUCCCCGCUCAAAUAGAUAAAACCCCAAAUCAUGCGAAAGUAAAGAAGUGUCCUUCACUACUAACUCCCGAUGUUACGUUGUCGGCCGCCAACGUAACCCUCUGCGAAGUUAGAAGCCAUACACUCCGAUCAAACCCUAACUUUUUAGAGUUGUCAUAAACCCAAUCAUAAUACUUUCGCCCACAAGUCGAUUAGACCUCGUCUCUCACGAGCCUAAUUCCUAUAGUCCAACCGGCCUAAGGUUUGCUAGGUCCACUAAGACUCAACCCUAGGCUCUGAUACCAAAUUAAUCUGUCACGCCCCGGGACCGGCGGAGGCCCUCCCGGUAGCGUGCCCAGACCCGCCAUAUGUCUACACAUAUAAGGCGUCUACAACAAAAGCGGAAGUAAAAGCAAGAGAUAGAACAAAUACAAGAAAUGAAAUAACGAGCAACUAAUGAUAUCAGAGCAAGUAAAGUUCUAUCAUCUAUACUAAGGUAAAGAAAUAAAGCUAGUCAUAAGUAGUACAAAAAUGGUGGUCUCUAUACAUAUGCGGGUACAUCUCUCAACCUCUCACAAAAAGAAAACACGAGAGGUAGACCACCUAUCGAACGGUCCCUCGGUAAGCGCGCUAGCCCGAGGCGAUACCCUUUUCGCGAUCCCUGGCCUCACCCUGAGUGGAAGGCUCUGAAAAACAUCGAGAAAAAGAGGGCGUGAGAACUAUAAUUUAUAGUUCCCAGUGGGCAAUUACUGACCUCAGCUCUUGCUCCACUAGGCCCCAAAAACAAGGGUAAGUAACGAUAAUAAUACAAGCAAUAAGGAGCAUAUACAUAAACUGCUGAAAGAAAGCAUAAUUGGAAUGCUAGUCUACUGUGUCUCAAACAAGCAUGAUGUCAACCAAAAUGUACAUCUAUUCUAUCAUUACGAUUAAGUCCAAUCACACUAGUUUAAUGUUGUUAACCUUUGUCAAUACAUAAUGUUGUAGUUCUAAUAUGGCAACCAAGUAUACUACAAGUCUCACACUAUGCUAAAAGCAUGUAAAUGUAACCCCAACUACUAAGUCUAUCUAGUAGUGAUCAUUCAUCCUCAACCCCGUGUCGAUUUUCAUUUCCAAGUAGGGACUUACCCAAGGUAGUCCAGCUUGUGCCGCCUAAGUGCCUGUGGUAGCCCGACAUUCCUACUCUUGGAAUGUGUCUGUCCCUACUACUACCAAACCGUAAGCUCCUAAAAACCGCACGACGAUCAAAAGUCGUGCAGGCUAAACGUCCGGAGUCCGUCUUGUAGGAGCGACUCUAACAAGCAUUGGCGAAGACGCACAAAUGCAAGUCAGCAUAGCCAAGUCUCAAAUACCAAUCCUCAUGUCCUAACAUGGACUAUAAGUAGCAUUCCGAAAUAUCUAAGUCUAAGUCCACAGUGAAUUUCAAACAUGCUACGACUAUGCCUCUUGAAUGAACUUAGGCAAUCGAUGUUCCAACGCGACGUUUUCCCAUCUCUCACAAUGGCCUAUAAACCAGCUAGUGUCGGGGUUCUCACAAUCUCGAGCUCAAUGCCGCUUGAUGGCAUUACCUCUCUCAUACGCAUGAUAUCAAGUCGAAUUCCUUACAUAAAAGCAAAUUGUCAUCUUUCAUGUCCAAAAUUUAACCUAGUUUAAACGCAUGAAUCGAUUAGCUCAUUUACUUUUAAGAACCAUAUGAAAAUCAAAUCAUCAUAUAGAAUGCACAUCAACCAAGAUCUAUCAACGACAACGUCUCUAACUACAUAAGUCCAAAAUACCAUCAUAUAUAACAAUGUCAUUUUAAGCAUUAAAAAUCAUAAUAAAUACAUAAUAGAAAAGCAUGAAUAAUAGUAACAAAGCACUAUCACCAAAUAGUGAGAUUUUCUAUAUCAAAGCUAGGUCAAACCCACGACGAAACACGACUUUUAUCGUUUGCUGGAAACGGAGGUUUCCACACUUUCUAGCACCCAGUAACAUCAAAAUGUGUCAUCCAAUUCGAUAACGAAAGCGAUAAGCUGUCGAUCAUUAACCAAAGAAGCAAAAGGGCCUAAACUUCACCUCAAGAGUAAAAUCUUCUCCUAAAGCUCAAAGAAGAGACUAGACACCUCCAAUCUAAGACCUCUAAAUAAGUCUAAUCCAGACACAAUAGCUCAAGCCCAAAAACGAAAAUGCCGCAAAAUAAACCCUAAAAUCUCCCAAAUCUAGGGUUUCAUCUCAAUGAAACUUUACAAAACCAAAUAAGGAAAGAUCCUGCCACUACCUCUAGAACUCAAAAAACACUCAAAGUCCUCACCUUCAAGUAACUUCCCUCAAUCAAACUCCAAAAUCCGAAGUCCCAAACUACCAAACAAUCGUGAAAUAAGCUCCAAAGGAAAAAAAGAAGAAAAUCCAAUCAAGAACAUGCAAAAAGGAAUCAAAUCCCAAAAGAUUGUGUUGGAGCUCCCUAACCUGGUUCUCCACUCUUCUCAGCCCAGGGGAGAGCCCUAGGGGCGUGGGUGCUGAUAUAAGAAGCCCACAAUCGCAAAUAAGCCCCUGCAGAGCAAACUGUGCAGAUUCUGCCUCCUUGUACCGGUACACGGGAUCUUGUACCGGUACAAGAGCUGCGAAAAUCCAAAUCCGAGGCUCAGGUGCGCGGUCCUGCGGCACUGUACCGGUACAGGCCCGAUGGCUGUACCGGUACAACCAUCAACAUUGUACCGGUACAAGACCAUCCUUGUACCGGUACAAGACCUGCGAAAAUGCAAACCGAGGCUCGGGUUUGCGAGUUCUCGGCUCUGUACCGGUACAAGCACAACCUUGUACUGGUACAAGCCCGCCAGACAGCCAAUCCGAGAGCUGACCAAAAUCCAAAUUUUUGGGUUUUGGUGCAAGGCUUCGUACCACACUCCUCGGGACAUGUGCCAUAGGUCGGAACACAGUCAACGACCUACCAGAAAUCUGGAAAGGCUCAGAGCACGACCAAUCACUCGAACCUCGCAAUUUACAAAGGUCCAGUGCGUUACACUGUACCCACUGACGACUAUGGACAAUAGUCUCACCCCCGUGUUGUUGUUUUUGGGGGUACCGGUUCACACGCGAGCGGCGCGGCGGCGCGAGGAAAGGGCGUAGCUCCGUAGUUAGCGCCCUACCACAGAGACCAGAUAGCAGCACUCUGAGUCGGCUUCUUAGGGGUAUAAGAAAAGAAAAGAAAAGAAUCGAUGUUGUAAUGUUAUGUUUAGAAAUCGAUUGUAUAUUUAGAAGUUGAGAGUCAAUGUAAUAAAAAAUGCGAUGUAAAAUGAUGAGAUGAAUGAUUGUAAUAAUAUAGGAUGUGUUAUGUUGUUUGAUACCUUCCUUAUGCAAUCGUUGUUGAUAAUUGUUCCUGUUUGGAACCUCUUGUAAUUGUAUUGAUUGCGACGCCUUGAACGUACAGGGGAGACUCUGUCCGCGUGCAGGGGAAACCCUGUCCGUUCGGCGGUCUGUUGGCGUGCCCGAAUCCGACCAAAGAGGCGGGCUCGGGGCGUGACAGGUAAGAUGGUAUCAGAGCAUAAAGUAGAGAAUGGGAAAGUGGUUUAGAUGAACCUAGGAGACCCUAGGAUAGUAAACCAUAGGAGAUUAAGGCUCGUGAGAGACGAGGACUUGUGACUUUUGGCGAAAGGUUAAGGGAUUGGGUUGUGUUGUAAACCUCUAAAAAGGAGAUUAGAGGUAGAUCCAAGGUGUUGUCUAUUCUCAACCGAGGGUGUUCAUGUUGGACGCGUACAACAUGAAACCGAGUGAUGAGAAUAGAUGCCCUUGUAUGACUUUCGCCCGAUUUGAGUUGAUGUCAAUUGUUUCAUGCUCGACCUAGAAGGUUGAGAGUUAGUUGAGUUGUCAUGUUCUAGGUAAAGAUGGCACCGCGUAGGCGAUCUUCGUUUAGAUCGACGCGGGGUGGGACAAGUGAUGUCCCUGAGCAAUCCGAGGCGAGCGGAGACUUGGAACUUCGCGAACAGUUGGCCACACUUGUGGGUGUGGUGAGGCAACGAGCAGAUGUGGUGCAGCGGCAGCAGGAGGCUGCUAUGCACCAGGAGGAGCGAAUUAAGAGACUCCGGAAAAGAAAUUGUAGGUGUAAUAUACCGAAAUUUCGGUAAGCGAACAUCGAACCUUGGUCAAAUUGACCAAAGAGCGAGGUUGGUACACUUCGGAAAGGCCGAAGGCGUCAAAUAAUGCAAAAGUGCGUUGCUGGGGGUCUUCGAGUGCGUUGGAAUUGAAAAUCUGCAAAGCUGCAGGUUUUCAGCUCUCAGGGACCGGUCCCAGGUCGGAGAGACCGGUCCCCGAGCGCGUGUGGAGUCUGGGAACUGAAGAUUUGGCUAAGUCUUGGAACGCAGCUCUCGGGAACCGGUCCCAAGGGGACAGACCGGUCCCCGAGAGACCGGUCUCACCAGGGGAGACCGGUUGCAUUGUGCGAGAGCUCUGCUGCCGCGGGGAGAGCUCUCAGGAACCGGUCCCAUGGUCGGGGAGACCGGUCCCAGAGCCCGAAGUCUGCCCAGUUUGGGCAGUGUUGUGAAAUAAAAGUUGAGGGACUUAGUUGCAAUUUUGCAAUGAAUAGAUUGUGUAUGAUGGGUGAAUGAGAUAUUUUCUCAUCCUCACCCUCACACUCUCUCACUUCUCUUUCUCUCUCUAGAGGACAAAGAAAGAGAGAGGAAGGAAAGGAAAAGAAGGAGAAGGAGCGGGCUUUGGCAGCCCUCAUAACCUUCAUAAAGUUUGAUCCACCUAUCUUCGAUGGAGAGAAUGUCGAUUCGUGAAUUGUGGAUACGUGGAUUGACUCUGUGGAAACGCUCUUCGAGGAGCUGUCUACCUUGGAGCGGGACAGGGUACCCCUAGCCGUGUAUUGUUUGAAACGGUCGGCUAAGGCGUGGUGGAAAGGCAUUCGGCGGAACCGAUCGCCUAGUAUUCCUCCAUGGCAUGGGAUGAGUUUCGGGGAUUGGUAUCUUCUACUUACUUCCCCCGACAGUGAAAAGAGAAAGCUUCAGGACAAGUUCAGGAAGCUGCGGCAAGGAGACCGCUCAGUUAGAGAGUACGAACGGGAAUUCUCCCUAUCGUGAACUAUGUCCAGGAUAUGGAACCUGCUGCUGACAACGUCAUGGCAGGUAUGAGCCAUUAAUGUAGUCAUGUGUUUCUGCAUAAUGUAAAGUUGGUGCAUUGCAUGCAUUGAGCAUGUAAUUAAUUACUACUAUUUAUGUAGUAGCAUAGUAGGGUCCAAGUGAGCGGAUAAAUGUAAAUACCCGAGCACGCUUAUGUGCUGAAAGCGUUGCACCUGCCGGUGCAGGUAGAGAACUGGAUGGUACUAGCGAGUUGCUAGUGAUGGUCUAAUGAUGAGACUUGUAGUAGAGGUGGAAACGACGAACCAACUCGCAGAGCAAUGUAUGUAAUUGAUUGUGAGAGUUGUGUCAUGACACUUGUGGACACUCGAAUGGUUUGAGUGUUCUAGAUGUUGCUCCGGUAGAGCGAUUAGCUGCCAAAUACGGGCGCGUUGGCCUAGUAGUACCUCGAAUUGGGGUGGGUGAGUCGUGCUCGUGUGGCCAGUGUGCAUAGGUAAGAGUUGCCUAAUGCUGGACAUAGUGUGGAGCGCUUUAGAGGCGUGCGAUACACGAGUAUAGUUACUCGUGGAGUGCGGAUUUAGUUUAGCCGGAUGAGUGUGUUGGCAGUAGCACCUGAGCAUUGCUAGGUGUGAAGCGUGCCACGGAUUACUCGUGGGGCUGGUGGCUCGCACUUGGUGCAUAGGAGCCGAUAGUGGUACGUAUUGCUCAAUGGAGCGUGUAGUGCGAUCGAUAGUAUACUGAGAGUGCGAGUGUGACCGAACCCGGGAAUCUGUAACGGUUUGGGAUCUUAGUUGCUCCUGGUUGGAGUGUGUGCGAAUUUUCAAGUGAGAAUUUCGCCCCAAUGAUGAUUGGGUCUGCAUUGCGAGCGAGAGACGCUGCGUAUUGAGAAAGGUUAGGCGGUAGGCCUACGUAGGAUUGGUGGCCUUUGGUCCACCUGUGGAGACCGAAGAGAGCGGUUUGGCGGAUAGCCUUAUCGAGGAGUCUAACUCGAAUUCACGAACGAAGUGUUCGUGUGAGUUGUUGCGAAAGUAAUGUGAUGUUGACCGUGGCAUAUGGUAUCAGGUGAUGAAGUGCUCUUGGUGAAACCUCGAGCUAAUGGCAAGCCACGUGGAGUUCGAGGAUUGGAAUUGGGAUGCGCCGAGGUGGGCCAUCUCUCGUCAAAGUUAAAGUUUAGUGCGGAAUUAGAGCACUUACGAUGAAGCGAUGCACCGAUGAUAUUGUUUUUAGGCAAUGUCGGUGAUUGAUUUAGAAUGCAUUCCUUGAAGGGGAAGUAAAUGCAAAGAAGGUUUCUUGCUUGCCAAGUGACAAGUGGGGGUUGGAGCGCGUAGAGUCGUCGAGUUUCGACUUGCCCUACCACCUAGAGUGACGGAGACCGUAAUGCACUUUGUGAGAUGUGCCUUGCAAAGUUGGAUGCGUUUGGUAUCAUAAGCUCCGUAGUAGUCCUCUUGGAUAGUUCCAAAGAGUGUAAAGCCCUUCCGAAGUGUAAAAGUGCAUUAGUGCCCUCAAUUGCUCUAGGAGCUGAAUUGAGGUGUGGUUUGAGUUUCGCGGACGAAACUCCUUUUAAGGGGUGGAGAAUGUAAUAUACCGAACUUCUAAUUCAUGAAGUUACGAUGUAUGUUAGCUUAGAAAGCCAUUGGAAUCGUUUCGGCGAAGUUCGGAAGCAUUCGGGUGCUUCGGUGCGCAUAGGGCGCGAAAACGAAGCCGAAAGGCUAUGUUGGACCGUGAGUUAAAUCCGGCAUUAGCGUGGAUGAAAAGAUGAUGAAAACAUGUUCGAAAACAUGUUUGGAGAGUCUCGGUUCGAUUUGAAAUGAAUCGGAGGUCAAACGAGCAAAAACGAGCGAAAACGGAGCUAAAACGGUGAAAAAGCUGAAAAUUUGGCUAAGUCCUUGAAGGCUGAUUUCUGGACCUUCGGGGACCGGUCUCUCAGCCAAGGACCGGUCUCUCAGGGACCGGUCUCUCAUCGCAAGGACCGGUCCCCGAACCCCGAAAAUGCCCAGUUCGGGCUGUUGCGAGGGAAGCAUUGUGGAGGGGCUUAAGUGCAAAAUGGCACUUAUGAGAGUGUAUAGAGAGGACCCUUUCUCUCUUUCUCUCAUUUCUCUCACUCUCCCACACCAAAACCUCUCCCUCUCUCUCUCUAGAAAGAAAAGAAGGAGAAGAAGAGAAAGAAAGAGAAGAAAAAGAAGAAGAUGAAGGAGAAGAGGCCAAGAAGAUGGAGCUUCAUCUUCAUCUCCUUCCUUGAGCCAUGGGAGCAAGCUUAGAGAGGUAAGCCUUAUGCUCUCUAAUGGUAGAUCUUUAGGGUUAAGUUCUUAUACUCUAAAGAUGAUUUUAAUGGAAUCCUAGCAUGCUAAAUAGAUGGUUUAUGCUUGAUUCAUGAGAUGAAAUGGUGGAUUUUGCAAUAGUUGCAUAUUAGGGCUCCUAAAGAGGGUUUUUGUAAAUAGUUGGGUUUGAUCUCAAUUGACCCUCUAUAAACCUAAUUGGGGACCAAACGAACGCGUUGGUGCGCUCGGUUCGACAAUCCGACGAGUGUACGCGAAGUUAUUGACGAAACAAUCUGUUUUGGUACAGAUAGCCGCAGCACGCGGGAUAAGCCUCCAAAAAUCAUGAGAAUGGAUCGGGAGCAUCGUGGUGUCGGGGAAUAAACUCCCGAACAGACGGAUCGCGAAUUGGUGGCCGUUCGGGUGGUCGCGUGAGAGAUCGGGCCAAACCGGGUUACGGGUGCCGCGGGAGGCCGAUUGCAAGUGUCGACAAGCAAUCGGAAUGCGAAAUGAGGUGGGUUGUGCUCACCGAAGCGAUUAGGUCGCUUUCCAUGCUAAAGUGUAGUAUGUUUACUAUUUACGCAUGAUAAAGUAUGCUAUUUAAGAAUGCAUGAUAAAGAUUAAAGUAUGCUAUUUGAGAAUGCAUGAUAAAGUAUACUAAUUAAGAAUGCAUGAUAAAGAUAGAUGCCAAAUGAAUGCAUGAGUUGAUGUUAAUUUAUAUGUGCAUAUUAUAGAAAUGCUAAAUAGAUGUCAAAUGAAAGUAUGAGAUUGUACUAACCGAGAAUGCAUGUAGUAAACGUUAACGAAUGCAUAAAAUGCUAAGUGAUGACUACCAAUGGAUGACAAAAUAUAUGCAUGUUGAACAUAGAUCGAGUGGCAUUCGAAAUGGUAAAGUGGACACUAGAGUUAGUGUGGGACAUCAAAGAAUAAAUGUGAUGUAAAGAACAAUGAUAAUGGCUAAAGAUAAUGUAAAACAAUGUGAUGAUAAUAAUGUAAUGUUGCAUGAUGUGAGUACACGUGCUUAUUAGAAUGAUUAAGAAUCUAAAUAAUCUAUGUGUAUGCAUGAGAUGUAAUGUGAGAACCUAAUGAUAAUGGCUUGAGACAAGGCAAAGCAAUGUGAUGUAAAGAAUAAUGAUAAUGGCUAAAGACAAUGUAAUGUAAUGUGGCAUAAAGAACGUGUAAAGUUAAAGAAUGUGAAAGCUAAAGAUAGCUUAAAGUAAAGGAAUGUGAAAAACGUGAUUGCUAGAGUUAGCAAAAGUAAAAGAGAUGUAAAGAACAAUGAUUGCUAGAGUGGCAACAUAAAGUGAUGUAAAGAACACUAGAGUUAGUGUAAAACCAUGAUCCAACUACAUAUCCUUAGAGUUAAGGAUUGAUCAUACUUGCUAUGAGUUCCGUGCUCGAGGGCGGUCGCUCCCCCUCGGGCGAUGCGCUCCGGAGUUUGGCAUCCGGGUUGGAGUAGACCCGUAAGGACGGUCCUAGCUGGUGAGUUCCUGCGAUGAUGGACUUAAUGUGAAGCAAGUUAAUGUGGCGAAACCCCCGGGUUAGCCGUGAGAUUAAAGAACAAAGAACAAAAAGGAAUCAUGAAUUGGAAAGUGGAUCUUGUAUUCAUUAUGAAUUGACUCAAGACCGAGUCGAGUGGCAUAGUUGGCUAAGGUAAAGGUAACCCUGUGAAAGAAUGACAAUUGAGAAAGAAUGACAAUUGAGAAACGUUUGUUAAUGUUAUAAAGAAUGGCAAAUGUGUAUAAUGCGCCUAAGGUGCGAGUGCCCUUAGCAAAGAAUAAAGAAUAAAGAAUAAAGAAUAAAGAAUAAAGAAUAAAAAAAGAAAGAGUAAAGAAUGGCUAAUGAUAAAGAAUAGCAAAUUCUAAAGAAAGGCUAAUGGUAAAGAAUGACUAAGAGUUGCAUAAUUUGCAUAUUUGUGAGGCAUGAACAUGUAUUGCAUGAUGUUAUAUAUAUAUAUAUCUGUUGGACUAACAUGUUGCAGUGCCUCCUUUGGACCUGGUGGGUUGAGCUUUUCCCUUGGGUGGCCGUACCCACUGGGAACUAUGGACAAUAGUUCUCACCCCAUAUUGUUCGGGAUUUUUCAGGUCCACACGCGAGCGGCGCGGCGGCGCGAGGAAAGGGUGUAGCACCGUAGAUAGCGUCCUACCACUAAGACCAUAGCAGUACCCCAAGUCGGCUAGCUAGGGGUAUAGAAAAGAAAUGAAAAUAAAAUUGUAAUAACAAAUGGUUGUAUUUUGGAAGUUAAAUGUAAUAUGUAAAAAGCAUGUGAUGUGAAUGCUUGUAAUAACUUAGUUGUUUUAUGUUAUUGAUACCUUCCUUAUGCAAUUUUUGUAUGCAAUCUGUUCCUAGUUGGAACCUCGCGAAUUGUAUGGAUUGUGGCGCCUAGGACGUAUAGCGGAGACUCUGUCUGUUCGGCGGUCUGUUGGCGUGCUCGAAUCCGACUAAAUAGGCAAGUCUCGGGGCGUGACAGCCCGAGUGAAAAUGGGAGCAGAUAACGAUGGACUUUGUCGUGGGUUUACUGAGUGCAGCGUGAUUUCGAUGCUAUUUGGGUGAUAGUGGACAGACUGACCAAGUCUGCUCACUUCCUACCAGUACAGACCAUCUGGUCCGGAGAGAGAGACUCUUUCAGUUAUACCUGGAUGAGAUUGUAAGGUUGCAUGGUGUGCCGAUCUUGAUAGUAUCAAAUAGAGACCCGGGGCUUGUCUAACAUUUCCGGAGGAGCCUUCAUACGGCCUUGGAUACACAGCUACAUUUCAACACAGCGCUUCACCCACAGACAGAUGGUCAGUCAGAGCGGACCAUUCAGACAAUGGAGGACAUGCUGAGAGCUUGUGUCCGGGACUUUGGAGGAGGGUGGCAUCGACAUUUGAGACUGGUUGAGUUUGCAUACAAUAAUAGCUAUCAAAUGAGCAUUCAUAUGGCUCCGUUUGAGGCAUUGUAUGGACGCAUGUGUUGAUCCCCUUUACAUUGGAGUGAUGUGGGUGAGAGGAAGACUCUGAGAGCUGAAAUUCUGAUAGAGGCAGAGGAGAAGGUCAAGGUUGUACUACGACACAUUUUGACAGCUCAGAGUCGAUAGAGGAGCUACGCCGAUACCAGGAGACGAGACUUAGAGUUUCAGCUUAGAGAUCAUGUGUUUCUGAAAGUCUUGCCGUCCCGAGGGAUACGCUGAUUCGGAGUUCAUGGAAAGCUCAGUCCACGGUUUGUAGGCCCUUUUGAGGUAUUGGAGGGAGUCGGACCAGUAGCAUACAGGAUUGCUCUACCCCCACGACUGGCCGGUGUUCAUGAUGUUCUUCACGUUUCGGCAUUGAGGAGAUACGUGUUCGACCCCUCACACGUGAUUGACUUCACUCCACUAUAUAGAGCUUGGCGAGGACUUGAGAUAUGAGGAGCGACCGGUGCGGAUUCUUGCUCGUGGGACGAAGAAAUUGCGCAACCGGCUCAUCCCUUAUAUAAAAGUGCAGUGGAGUUAUCACGAGGAGCGUGAGGCGACUUGGGAGUUUGAGACGGUGAUGCGGGAGUCUUACCCUUACUUGUUUGAGGCUCAGGAGUGAGGUAUGUGUUAAGUUUCGAGGACGGAACUUUUUGUAGUGGGGGGGGAUAUAGUAUCCCUGAUGUUUGGUUGCUAGUGAGAUUUCAGCAUCUGAGACUUGUCGACACAUCUGGAGAGUGUCGGCACAAGUCAGAGUCGUUUUGGCGCGAAAUGGACGCAAAACGGACUCAACGCGAGGCGAGAGUGGAGUUCUGACGCUGAAAUCCGCAAAGUGCAGGAUUUCAGUGUUGAGUACCAAUACCAUACAAGGAAGUACCGGUACCCCAGUGUAUGGUCAGAACUGAUGCUCUCGGGUUGUGCCAAUUUGAUGCUGAGUACCGGUACAGUAUCGUUGGUACCGGUACCCUGUGUGAGAGCUUGCGGGCUGAGAGGCCGAGUACCGGUAACCAAAUCGGGUACCGAUACUCCAACUGGUUUGUUGAGUUGGUAGGGGUAGUAGUGUCUUUUUGGUUGGUGGUUAUCCACACCACCUAUUCCCUCUCAUAUCUAUCCACCUAAGAGAGGAUAAUUAUUUCAUUUCCUCUCUCUUUAGUUUUUGAUCGUGAGCUUGGUGGUGGUCGUGGUUCGAGCUCGGAAGUCGUCGCCGUUGCGCCGGAGGGUCAUUCGAGUGCGUGGGCGUCGCGGUUGCGUCGUUGGGAGGCCGAGUGAGCGCGUGGUUUUCCUCAUGUUGACAUCUCGCCGUGGUUGGACGGGCUUUUCGAGGUUGGUUGAAGUUUACUGAAAGCGUCGGAAUUCCUUCUAAGUUUUAUCAACGUCAACAUGUGUUUCUAGGUUCAUUGGUUUAUCUUGCAAGUACUCGAAUUCAUGGAAAUUAUAGGUUAUGCUAUAGAAUUUGAAUAUAGGGUUAAGCUAGUUACUUUGUUUAUGCAUGUUGGACCUAGAUUUGACUUAGGAGAAAACUAUAGAUCCUACACUGUCAUUUUCUAAAAAUUACCAGAUUUAGCUUUAGAAGAUGUAGUUUGUUUGUAUCGCCGCUGUUCGUAUGCGAUAGAUACCCAGAUUAGUGUAGGGUGAGUUUACGCUCGUGCUGGAAUGCUGAGCUUAUUUUACAGUAGUGUGUAGACUGUUCAGAAUUGUCGGGUGCUGUCGCAGUUGACAGUGGACCCAGAUUUCUGUAUUUGCAUCAGAUUGUACCGGAGGCACGUGAGCUUUCGUUGUUAAACCAACUAAAACCUUUUUCUUUGAUUGUAGCCUGCGAGAGCCUUAUUGAGCUCGGCAGAAAUACGCUUGCAUGCUCGGUUGGGUAGCGCCCACGAGUGCCACUCCGGAGUCGGGCUUUGUGCGUUCGCGUUGAUGUCGUCAUGUUCGAGUUGGACUUACACUCCACUAACAACCCAGCGUGGUGGUGGUUGGUGUAGCUUCGACAGACGGGAUAGGUGCGUUCACAGUCCCUUGUGAGAUUGAGUCAGAGAUUGCAUCUUGUUUAUAUCUACAGAUAGUUAGCAUUGGUUAGCGAUAGUAUAGUGGCAUAUAACUGUAGAGUGUUACCAGCUUCCUUUACUAUCCUUGAGCAUACUUUUUGUACACUUAGUGGGGGAGCCAUUGAGGUCGGUAGCGGUACCCACUGAGGACUACUUUUUGCAGUAGUACUCACACCCAGUUGUUGACCCCUUUUUGCAGAGCCUUCAUCUGCGGCUGCUACUGUUAUAGAUUCUGAUCGUGGAAAGGGAGUCGCUAGCUAGACCCCUUAUAGCCUUGCUGCAGUAUUGGGGCUUUUUGUACAUAUGGACUUAUUGUCUGGGUACUCGCUGGAGCGAGUGGUGUAGUAGACAUUUUGUAUGUACUAGAACCCCUCGAGGUUUUUAUAUAUGCUUUUUUCAGUUUAGCAGCUCUUACCUUGUGGUUGUAGCUUGUUUUCGUUUACAGGUACAGCUAUCGCUUCGUAUACAGAAAAAAUUUCUAUGUAUACGGCGGGUCUGUUGGUGUGCCCGAAAAAAUGUGUAAUCCAGGGCAUGAAAGAUUGUAAGGACUGAGAUUUUGGCAGUAUAGCUAAAUGCUCUGUUGACAAUGUUUUUGUGUGUAAUUUAAUUACAAAAGUACUCAUCAAGUUUCGGAAGAAAACGAGUUAGAACGGAGAUUUUACGCGAUCUCCAAGUUUCACUUAAAGUGAAUAGUAACUCGGUUUUCCGGAGAAACCACGGUGCGAAGUUGGCUUCUGGCACGUAUCGGACUCCGUUCAUAGCAGUCCAAUAGCUCGUUUCGAACGGUUUGGUUAUUCUAGAACCGAUGGCGCUGACGGAUUUUGAGUUUGACGUACGGAUUUCGAGAAAAUCUGAAAAUACAUGUUUUAUAUGUAUUUGUGUGUCACUUUGUCUUUCGGAGAGAAAGAACGGAUUUCGUCGUGAAUCCGUGAUUGUUCGAGGUGAACCAAAAUCAUAGCUUUGUUGUCUCCGUCGUGCUGACCGCACUGGUGCGAUCCAUUCGCAAAUCUGACGGGCGGAUCUGCGGAGAAUGCACAUUGUUCGAGGAGAGGUUGGUGAUGGCAAAACGGUAAUUUCGCAGAAGUUGCGAUAUUUUAUGUGCCGUUUUGCGUGAAUUUGAUUGUGGAGGUGUAUUCGCGCGUUUUACUCGUGUUGCAGAGGGCUUGGUUGAAAUUAACCAUCUUCGGAGGACUUAUUUGCAUUUUAGCCAACUUGUAUAUAGUGUUUUCUAGGGUUUUUCUUGGGAUCCUAACCCUAGUUCAGCCCCGAGCUGCCCUAGCCGCACCUUGCCACCUUCACCUCUGUUCCCCUGCCCCGCCGCGCACGCGCCGGCCACCGCCGACCGAGCCCCGGCCGGUAGCCGCAGCCGCAGCCGCAGCCACCAUCUUCCUCCCUCUCCAUGUCACGCCCCGGAACCCAGCGGAAGCCCUCCCGGCGCUUACCCAGACCCACCAUAUGUUUAAAACAUAUAAGGCUUCUAAAACAAAAUGAUAAAUAAGGCAAGAAGAGAGAGAACAUCUAGCUGCAUCAGAGCAAAGUGUAUCUAUUAGCUACAAUAAAAGAAAUGAACAUAAGGCCGGAAGUUCACUAGAUAAAAGCAUGAAGUAGUACAAGAAGAAUCCCAAAUACAAAAGCUAAACAUAAAAACAUGGGUGGUCUCUAUACAUGGUAACAAAACUCUCUCUCUCACAAAACCAAAAAGAAGAGAGUGACCACCUAGGAGCAACAGCAAGCUCCGCUAUCUAGCUAUGCGACUCCCUUACCACAAUCCUGUGCCUCCGCCGAUGCUGAAGGCUCUGAAAAGGAAAUAGAGAAACAGGGGUGUGAGAACUAUUAAUUAAUAGUUCCCAGUGGGCAAUUACUGACUUCAGUAAAAAGCACCACUAGGCCCAAAACUAGGCAAGUAAGUAGAAGCGAGUAAAAUAUCGAAAUGAACAGCAAGUAAAUAAACAUGAAUGCUGGCUAUAACAUAAUGUCUCUACUUAGCAUGAUUUGCAUAAGUAAGAACGCUAUGCUAACAUAAAUAAGCAUGAGUAUGCAACUAACAUAAUGUCCACAACGGAAAUAGUAAGAUGUCAUUGUUUAUUAUUCUAGUUCAAGUCCACUUGGUAUACCAACUACUUAUAGUUGCAAUCUUGUAAGACCCACCCGUAGGCUGUCUUGCUUAUGCCGUGCCUAAUGGCCCCGUGGUAGUCAACAUUCCCACUCUAGGAACGAGCCUCCCCCACGUCAAUCCACUUCGGCGACCAAUCUCGCACGGGCGAGCAUAUGUCACGAUGGCUAUCUCCGGAGUGUCGGCUUGUAGGGAGCGACCAUCACAACAUGUGUGAAUGAGCACAAGGGCAAGCAAGCGUAAAAUCUAUUUCAAAUCCAAAGUAAUCAUGUCUAAAACAUAGAAUAUAGCCUAUGUCUCAAUGGCCAAUUACUAUGUCAUCGUGUCUAAAACACGGAAUAUAGUCGAUGUCACAAUGGCCUAUUUCUAUGCCUCUAUGUUGCAGUUCCAUAGUUUACUAGUUCAAGUGCCCCUUUAUGGUACUUUUGUCCACUAAAUCCAAGCAUGAGUUUAGUGUUCAAAAAUACAUAAUUCAAGUCAUUUUCGGCAUAUGAGGCAUGUUCCAAACCACAAGAAGAAUGCCACUCACAUGCAUGUUAAGUCCACAUAAGGCUCUACUAUAUAGAGAUAAAUUUUCAUAAUACAUAACACAUGCAUUUUAAGCAUUCAAAAAAUUCACAUAAAUUCUAUCUAGCAUGAAUAUGCAUGCGAUGCGAUGAAACGAAGACAUUGAACCACUUAGGAGAAGUUUUCUCCUAUUCCAAUGAAGCCAAACCCACCGCGACUUCACGAAACCCUUCGUGUGCUCCGACGAAGUUGCCCACUAGUCUCCUAGCACCCUAAAGAUGUAGGAACAAGAGUCAAACGGACCUUACGAUCAACCCUAAGCUCAAUCAAUAAGCAACAUAGGCUAAGGUGAAGAAAAACUCACCUAGGUGAAGAAAUCCUCAAAUAAAGCUCAAAUGGGCGCCAAAUCCCUUCCAAAGCAACCUAAUCCAAGGUUCAAAACCCAUCAAUAGAGCUCUAAAAGCCACAAAUUCAAAACCCCCAAAAUAAACCCUAACUCCACAAUCUAGGGUUUCAUCUAGUAAAAUCUAGAAAACUUGUAUUAAAUGGAGAAUACAAGCUAUCAUCCUCAAGAGAAGCUCCAACCCAAGCUCUAAACCAAGUAGGGUUGAAGUUUGAUCCUCCACGAAGCUUCAACCACGAGCUCCAAGCCACAAAUGCUAAGAUGAGAGGAAGGGGAUGAUGCUCCAAGCCUCCAAGUAAGCUCCUCUCUUUCUCCUUCUUCUUCCUCUUCUUCUCCUUCUCUUCCUCUCUCUAGAGUGAGUGUGAAGGGGAGAAAUGAGAGUGAGAGGAAGAGAAAAGACCAUAUAAGCCUCCUAUGGUAACAAAAUCCACUUAGGUCUCUUAACUGUGCAAUCUGUGGACUGCUCGGUCUGGGCAGUUUUCGUGCUGGGGGACCAGUCUCCCCGAUACCUGGGACCGGUCUGUCGGUCUGCCCCGCAAAACCAAAGUUCGGGAACCGGUCUCUCCCCGCAUGGGACCGGUCUCUCCCCGCGAAAACGCGCUCGGGGACUCGUCUCAUCCGCAAGGGACCGAUUGCCUCGCUGACUGCCGCAACAUUGUUCCGAGGGGACAGGUCUCUCCUACCAGGGACCGGUCCCCGAGAGUGAAAACUCUCAGGACUUAGCCAAAUUUCAAAAAUCGAACUUUUAGGUCGGAAUACCAUCUACGACCUUCCACCAAGUGUGGAAAAGUUCGGAAUCCAUAUCAAACACUCGAACCUCGCAAUUUGCACAGGUCCAGUGCGUUACAUUCACCCCUCCUAAAGCGGAGUUUCGUCCGCGAAACUCAAAAGCAAACACAUACCUCAAAGCUCCAUAUGAAAAAGAUGGGGAUAGCGCUCCAGCAGCGCGCUCUCAAGCUCCCACGUGGCCUCCCGCUCCCCGCGGUUGCUCCAAAGAACCUUCACAUACGGAAUAUCCCGAUUUCGCAGUUUCUUCACCUCGUGAGCCAAGAUCUUCACGGGUUGCUCCUCGAAGCUCAAGUCGUCCCGCAACUCCAAAGGUGUAGCAUCCAACACAUGAGUCGGGUCGAAGACAUACUUCCGAAGGACCGAUACAUGAAAGACGUUGUGCACGCCCGAUAGGUUCGGUGGUAGAGAAAGUCGAUACGCUACCGGACCUACAUGCUCCAAAAUCUUGUACAGUCCAAUAAAACGGGGGCUCAACUUACCCCGAAUCCAGAAUCUCUUGAUCCUCCUAGUCGGCGAGACCUUCAAAAACACAUGGUCUCCAACUUGGAACUCCAAGUCUCGCCGUCGUCGGUCGGCGUAGCUCCUCUGUCUACUCUGUGCCGUCAAAAGUUGCUCCCGUACAAUUCGAACCUUGUCCUCAGCUUCCUGGAGCACGUCAGGGCCUAAAGCCAAUCUCUCGCCUACUUCGCUCCAAUGAAGUGGCGAUCUACACUUCUAUCCAUAAAGUGCUUCGAAGGGUGUCAUCUUGAUGAUUGCUUGAUAACUAUUAUUAUAAGAAAACUCUGCCAUCGGUAGAUGCUGCGACCAUCCUCCCUGGAAGUCUAUCACACAAGCUCGGAGUAUAUCCUCUAAAGUCUGAAUAGUGCGCUCCGACUGCCCGUCACUCUGAGGGUGGAAAGCAGUGCUGAAGUCCAGUCGGGUGCCCAGGGCGUCCUGCAGACUCCUCCAAAAAUGAGACACAAAACGAGUGUCUCGAUCCGAAACAAUGGAUGUAGGCACUCCGUGAAGUCGCACAAUCUCAUCAAGGUACACUUGUGCGAGCUUCUCUCCGGUCCAAGUAAUAUGAAUAGGUAUGAAGUGCGCCGACUUCGUCAACCUAUCCACGAUCACCCAUAUAGCAUCAUGCCCGGCCUGAGAGCGAGGCAAUCCUGUCACAAAAUCCAUGGUGAUCUUCUCCCACUUCCAUACGGGAAUAGACAAAUUCUGAAGUUUUUCCGCGGGUAAUCGGUGCUCAGCCUUUACUUGUUGGCAAGUUAGGCAAUGAGCUACAAACUCGCCAACGUCCUUUUUCAUCCCGGGCCACCAAUAGAGCAACUUUAAAUCCUUGUACAUUUUAGUGCCUCCCGGAUGUAUAGGAUAGGGCGCUUGGUGCGCUUCUUGAAGAAUAUCCUCUUUAAUUUCCAAAUCCGCCGGUACACAAAUCCGUCUAUGGAAACGCAUCAAUCCUUGGUUAUUCACAAGGAAAUAGCCAGUGCAAUCAUCAACCAUUUUACCUUUAAUCUUUUGUAACUCCACAUCGGAAGCUUGCAUUUCUUUAAUUCUAUCCAAAAGUGUAGGUUGCACCACCAAAGUCAUCAACCUCAAGGGCGUGUCAGGAGUCACCCCCCUCCAACUCCAACAGCUUCAUCUGCUCGAUCAACUGCAGUUGAGUAACAACAUGCAUCGCUAAGUUUUCCGUUGAUUUCCUACUUAGAGCAUCCGCCACCACGUUAGCCUUGCCCGGGUGAUAUAGGAUCGUCAAAUCAUAAUCCUUGAGUAGCUCUAGCCAUCUGCGAUGUCUCAAGUUUAACUCCUUCUCAGUGAACAGGUAUUUCAAGCUCUUGUGAUCCGUGUAUACUUCACACUGCUCCCCAUACAACCAUGACAUUAAUGCAAAGACUACAGCCGCCAACUCCAAAUCGUGAGUAGGGUAAUUCUUUUCAUAAUCCUUCAAUUGGCGAGAAGUAUACGCGAUCACCUUGCCAUCCUGCAUCAAAACGCAGCCCAAUCCAUUAAGAGAUGCAUCACUGUAAACCACAUACCCUGCUCUAGCCAUCGGCAGGGUUAGGAUAGGGGCGGUCGUCAAUCUCUGCUUCAACUCUUGGAAGCUUCUCUCGCACGCAUCAUUCCAGAUGAACUUGACACCUUUAUGCGUGAACCUCGUGAGGGGAGUAGAUAGCUUAGCAAACCCCUCGACAAAUCUCCAGUAGUAACCGGCCAGUCCAAGAAAACUACGAAUCUCCGUAACGCUCGUCGGUCUCGGCCAAUCCUUGAUAGCCUCAAUUUUCUUAGAAUCUACGGCUACACCCGAUCCCGAUAUCAAAUGUCCAAGGAAAGCUACCUCUCGAAGCCAAAAUUCAUACUUUCUCAGCUUGGCAUAAAGCUCCUUUUUUCGAAGUAUUUGAAGUGCAAGUCUCAAAUGCUCCUCGUGAUCCGUAUCACUUCGGGAAUAAACCAAAAUGUCGUCGAUAAACACCACGACGAACCUGUCCAGGUAAGGCUUGAAAACACAGUUCAUCAUAUCCAUAAAAGCUGCCGGGGCAUUAGUAAGCCCGAACGAUAUAACUGUGAACUCAUAGUGUCCAUACCAUGUUCUAAAAGCCGUCUUCGAUACAUCCUUGGGUUUGAUCUUUAACUGGUGGUAUCACGACUGCAAGUCGAUCUUGGAAUACACACACGAUCCUUGAAGCUGAUCAAACAAGUCGUCGAUCCUCGGCAACGGAUACUUAUUCUUAAUCGUGACUUUAUUAAGUUCACGAUAGUCCACGCACAGGCGAAGUGAUUCGUCCUUUUUCUUGACGAACAGAACUGACGCUCCCCACGGCGAGACGCUCGGUCGAAUGAAGCCCUUGUCCAACAGAUCCUGUAGCUGUGCCCUCAACUCCUUUAGCUCCGCCGGUGCCAUCCUAUAAAGUGUCUUCGAGAUUGGAGUAGUCCCAGGGACGAGAUCUACCACAAACUCGAUCCCCCUAUCGGGUGGCAUACCCGAUAGCUCAGCUAGAAACACGUCCUGAAACUCUCGUACCACCGGGAUAUCCUCAAUUCUAGGGGUAUCAUCUUCGCCCCUCAACACAACACUAGCCAAGUAGGUUACACAUCCACGGCUGAUCAGCUGCCCAGCUCGAGACGAGGUGAUCGACAUCGCAAAAAGCGAACUUCGGCAUCCUCUAAACACAACCUCAGUCUGCCCCGAUUCUCUAAAAGUAACCGUGCGAUUCUUGCAAUCAAUCGUGGCAUAAUACUUGGUUAGCCAAUCCAUACCCAAGACCACAUCAAAAUCUCCAAGCUUGCGCAAAGCUAGUAAAUCUACAGACAUGAUCCAAUCUCCUACCCGAACAGGGCAACUGGGGCAAAACUCUCUAAUAUCCAGAGUGUGGUCGGGUACUACAACAUGUCCCGGAUGCAACAAAGAAACCAAAGGGAUGCCAUGCAACUUGGCAAACAGCCGAUCUAUAAAGGAAUGCGAUGCACCAGUAUCAAAUAAAGCACGAACUCUAAUGCCAUCAAGUAAAAUGAUACCUGCAACCACAUCCUCGGCUGCUGCCGCCUCCUCUGUCUGAGCGACGUACAAACACCCACUCGGGGCCUGUCGAGAUCCCUCGCUCUGGCGCUGGACGAGUGGCCGCCCAGGCUGGUACUGUGCCGAUGGAGUCCCCUGGCUGACGGCUGGUAGAGCCGGUGCCGAUGCAGUCGACGGUGCCGGUGAAGAACCUCUCGGGCACUCGGUACGCACGUGGCCCUCCUGGCCACACUGGAAGCACCUGCCUCUCCGCUGCGGACACUCGGUGGAAUGUGAGGACCACCGCAGAUCACACACUGGGGAGGUCGGCGUCGAUCAGGUCCUCCUCGCAACGCUGCCGAGCCGCGCCCACGCUGCUGGCUCCUAGGGUGCUUCGGCGGCCUCCUAGAGUGCAUCUGGCUCGCACCCUCAGCCGUAGGCCUCUUGGCCUUACCCUUGUCCAUGGACUUUUGCCGCUCCUGGACAUCAGCCGCGCCGCUCUCCACAAUGAGCGCGCGAUCCACCACCUCCGGUAGGUUUGGAGGUUAGAGGAUUGCACAAACCGGAAGAUCGACAGUCGCAACCCUUGCUCGAAGAUGCGGGCCUUAUCCUUGUCGUCCCGCACGACGAAAGGCACGCAAUGAAGAAGCUGAGAAAACUCCCGCUCGUACUCGGCUACAGUCCGGUCUCCUUGGCGCAAGUUGCGCAAGUCCUGCUCCAUCUUCGUCUUGACGCUGGUCGGAAAAUAGUGCGCCAACAGAAACUCUUUGAACUUCUUCCAUGAAAUAGCCACCAAGUCGAUGUGUGUGGCGAGCCAAACUCGAUCUCUCUCCUCCACGAAGGUGUCGCAGAAGAGUUUCUCCAUAUGCAUCAACCACUUCUCCACGAUCCAGUGGUCGACCUUCUCGCCAUCGAAAAUUCGGGGACCGCACCUCCUGAACUCAUUGAAGCGCUCCAUAAGUCGGUCCCGCUCUGCCCCCUCGACAAUAGUACGAAUAACUGUUCCAAUUGGGGGCCUCUGCACAGGUGGUGCCGCGAUAGCCUCCUCCUGAGGCUUGGCCGCUGGAGCUGCUCGCGAAGAACUGGGCGCGGGGGACGGCACUCUCGGCGCGACGUCCACAACUGGUGCUGGCGGUGUAGGGGCCUGAGUCUCCCUGGAAGCUGCCGCCUGCUGUAGAAGAAGGUCUUCCAGGCGCUUCAUCCGCGCCUCCUGUCGACGCGCCGCCUCUAUCUGCUGUCGGGCCGUCUCCGCCUGCUGCUUUACCAAGUCGGUGAGAGCCGCAAGCUGGCUCCUCAACUCUCGGACCUCGCCGGAUCCGGAGGUAGCGGAGGUCUCGACCUCCUCCAAAUUUGCCGCAUUAUCCGCUCCUACAGAAUGAGAGCGUGUAAUCGGCAUCGUCACUACAACGUCAUAAAAGCGUAAGUUAGUAACCCACACUAUCGUAUCCCCGCUCAAGAAGACAAUACGCAAAUCAUGCGAAAGUAAGGAAGUAUCCUUCACUACUAACUCCUGAUGUUACGUUGUCGGCCGCCAACGUAACCCUCCGCAAAGUUAGAAGCUAUACACUUCGAUUUAACUCCAACUUUUUAGAGUUAUCAAGAUACCCAAUCACGAUACUUUCGCUCACAAGUCAAAUGGACCUCGUCUCUCAUGAGUCUAUGUUCUAUAGUCCAACCGGCCAAAGGUUUGCUACGUCCACUAAGACUCAAUCCUAGGCUCUGAUACCAAACUAAUCUGUCACGCCUCGGGACCCAACGGAAGCACGCCCGGCGCGUGCCCAGACCCGCCAUAUGUCUAAAACAUACAAGGCGUCUAAAACAAAAUGAUAAAUAAGGCAAGAAGAGAGAGAACAUCUAGCUAUAUCAGAGCAAAGGGUAUCUAUGAGCUACAAUAAAAGAAAUGAACAUAAGGCCGAAAGUUUACUAGAUAAAAGCAUGAAAUAGUACAAGAAGAAUCCCAAAUACAAAAGCUAAACAUAAAAACAUGGAUGGCCUCUAUACAUGGUAACAAAACUCUCUCUCUCACAAAACCAAAAAGAAGAGAGUGACCACCUAGGAGCAACAGCAAGCUCCGCUAUCUAGCUAUGCGACUCCCUUGCCACGAUCCCGUGCCUCCGCCGGUGCCGAAGGCACUGAAAAGGAAAUAUAGAAACAGGGGCGUGAGAACUAUUAAUUAAUAGUUCCCAGUGGGCAAUUACUGACUUCAGUGAAAAGCACCACUAGGCCCAAAACUAGGCAAGUAAGUAGAAGCGAGUAAAAUAUCGAAAUGAACAACAAGUAAAUAAACAUGAAUGCUGGCUAUAACAUGAUGUCUCUACUUAGCAUGAUUUGCAUAAGUAAGAAAGCUAUGCUAACAUGAAUAAGCAUGAGUAUGCAACCAACAUAAUGUCCACAACAGAAAUAGUAAGAUGUCAUUGUUUACUAUUCUAGUUCAAGUCCACUUGGUAUACCAACUAUUUAUAGUUGCAAUCUUGUAAGACCCACCCGUAGGCUGUCUGGCUUGUGCCUUGCCUAAUGGCCCCGUGGUAGUCAAUAUCCCCACUUUAGGAAUGAGCCUCCCCCACGGCAAUGCACUUCAGUGCCCAAUCCCGCACGGACGAGCAUAUGUCGCGAUGGCUAUCUCUGGAGUGCCGGCUUGCAGGGAGCGACCCUCACAAGCAUGUGCGAAUGAGCACAAGGGCAAGCAGGCGUAAAAUCUGUCUCAAGUCCCAAGUCAUCAUGUCUAAAACAUGGAAUAUAGCUUAUGUCUCAAUGGCCUAUCACUAUGUCAUCGUGUCUAAAACACAGAAUAGUCGAUGUCACAAUGGCCUAUUUCUAUGCCUCUAUGUUGCAGUCCACAGUUUACUACUUCAAGUGCCCCUUUAUGGCACUUUUGUCCACAAAGUCCAAGCAUGAGUUUAGUGUUCAAAAAUACAUAAUUCAAGUCAUUUUCGUCAUAUGAGGCAUGUUCCAAACCACAAGAAGAAUACUACUCACAUGCAUGUUAAGUCUACAUAAGGCUCUACUAUAUAGAGAUGAAUUUUCAUAAUACAUAACACAUGCAUUUUAAGCAUUCAAAAAAUUCACAUAAAUUCUAUCUAGCAUUAAUAUGCAUGCGAUGCGAUGAAACGAAGAUAUUGAACCACUUAGGAGAAGUUUUCUUCUAUUCCAAUGAAGCCAAACCCACCGCGACUUCACGAAACCCUUCGUAUGCUCCGACGAAGGUGCCCACUAGUCUCCUGGCACCCUAAAGAUGUAGGAACAAGAGUCAAACGGACCUUACGAUCAACCCUAAGCUCAAUCAAUGUGGAGAAAAACUCACCUAGGUGAAGAAAUCCUCAAACAAAGCUCAAAUGGGCGCCAAAUCCCUUCCAAAGCAACCUAAUCCAAGGUUCAAAACCCAUCAAUAGAGUUCUAAAAGUCACAAAUCCAAAACCCCCAAAAUAAACCCUGAUUCCACAAUCUAGGGUUUCAUCUAGUAAAAUCUAGAAAACUUGUAUUAAAUGGAGAAUACAAGCUACCAACCUCAAGAGAAGCUCCAAUCCAAGCUCUAAACCAAGUAGGGUUGAAGUUUGAUCCUCCACGAAGCUUCAACCAUGAGCUCCAAGCCACAAAUGCUGAGAUGAGAGGAAGGGGAUGAUGCUCCAAGCCUCCAAGUAAGCUCCUCUCUUUCUCCUUCUUCUUCCUCUUCUUCUCCUUCUUUUCCCCUCUCUAGAGUGAGUGUGAUGGAGAGAAAUGAGAGUGAGAGAAAGAGAAAAGUCCAUAUAAGCCUCCUAUGGUAACAAAAUCCACUUAGAUUCCUCAACUGUGCAAUCUGUGCACUGCUCGGUCUGGGCAGUUUUCGUGCUGGGGGACCGGUCUCCCCGACACCUCGGACCGGUCUCUCGGCCUGCCCCGCAAAACCAACGUUCGAAAAUCGGUCUCUCCCCGCAUGGGACCGGUCUCUCCCAGCGAAAAUGCGCUCGGGGACCGGUCUCAUCCGCAAGGGACCGGUUGCCUUGCAGACUGCCGCAACACUGUUCCGAGGGGACCCGUCUCUCCUACCAAGGACUGGUCCCCGAGAGUGAAAACUCUCAGGACUUAGCCAAAAUUUCAGAAAUCGAUCUUUUAGGUCGGAAUACCAUCUACGACCUUCCACCAAGUGUUGAAAGUUCGGAAUCCAUAUCAAACACUCGAAUCUCGCAAUUUGCACAGGUCUAGUGCGUUACACUCCAUCUCUUCCCCUCUCUUCUCUCGGGUUGAGAAGAGGCCCGAGGCUGUAUUGCCUUCUAUUCCUUUGCCCGCGUCGUCCCGGAGCCCCUGCGUCCGCGCGCCGCCGCUGCAGCUACUGCACCAUGUAGCUAGCUAGGCCGAGCCCAGGCCGAGGUAGGCCGAGGUAGCCCCAGCUCCUUUUCCUCGCGCCGCCGCCGCCUGAGAUCACCCCGGCCACCUUCCCCGGAGCCCAGGCGACCACCCCGGCGGGUCGCCGCCGCCGCCGCCUCGGCUAGCCUGCAGCCGCCCUAGGUCUGCUCGGGCCGAGCAGACCUUGCAUCUCCAUUAUCGCGUCGCCGCUGCCCGGGGCCACCCGUGCCGGCUCCCGUCGACCUCAGACGGCCCCCCGCCCUCGCCCGAGGUGCCCCCGCCGCCGCUGUGGCCGCAACUGCUCUGGAACCCGAGCUUUAGCUAGUACGGGCUUAUCUCUUGUCGCCGUCGCCGCCGCCACUCCCCGCCGCCGAUAUAGGUGAGCACUGUACUCCUCCCACCCCCCGCAGCCACCUCUGGCCCGCGCGCACGUCGCCUUGCCGCCGGAAGCCGGCCGGAGCAAGCUUGCUUCAGCCAAGCCCGAAAUAGGGCUAUUCCUUGGCGGUUUGCUGUUCCGAGCAACCCAAGCCUCCCCAAUCUUUGCGGAAGGGAGCACGAUGAUCGUGGCAAAUUUAUGAUCAUCGUGCUCACCUUAGUUUCUGUCGGGAAGGCUCCGUUCUGCCGUUUCGACGGUGUCGCCCCGUUAGGGCCUUUUUGACUGCUGUUUUGGGAUUGCGCACACUUUUUCGGCGAUCCGAGGCUGUCCUAAUGCCUCUGGAGGUUAGCACGGUGAUCGUUGUUCAGUGCCGAUCACAGUGCUCCCCUCACUUUGGAUAAACAGAGUCCGGUUAGUCCUGUUCGGCGCGAUUUUCCCCAACUGCGCGCUGUUCGCAGAACUUCAGGUUGCUCCCGCGCCUCCUACAGUGAGCCGAUGUGCUCCAAACCAUGAGCAUGGCCUCCGGCACAUCGAGACCUGUCGGUACGUGUCUCGGUGGACCUUGAAACUCCUCGGUUUGCGUGAACGAGCCAUGUUAUCGCCCAAUUUACAUAAAAUAUUAGGAUUUUAUGUAAAUACAAGGGCUUUUGUGCAAUUGUACGCUUUAUGGCUACUGUGGGCAGUGUGUAGGCGUGUGUGGUGACCUCUGGACUGAUUGUCCAUGAUCCGUUAGCUUUUCCGGAAAUCGAAGAGUCGAUUUUGGUGCGUUUUUCGGCAAAAUUCGUCGAAAGAACGCGGUUUCGGUUCGGAUUCUUUCCGACGGUGUUUGGUUGCUUCGUGUUUUGUCGCUGAGCCUUGUUGGCUGGUCACCAUCAUCAUAUUGUGGGUUCGGUGAUGACGGGUGAGCGACGGUGGGUUCCGAUGUCGAAAUAGACACUUCCGGGAACCCGGAUCCGAACAAUUAUCCGACGAUAAUUGUUAGGUUGUGUUACCUUGUGUUUGCUGCCAAGAUAUUCAAAUUGGUGUGUUUUGUGGCAGCGGGUGACUCGUGGUAUGAGUCGGUGAGUUUCGGGACACUUAGUGGGUCCCGACGGCGUCCCGGUGUGGUUUUCGGGACUUCUGGUGAGUUACGGUGAUCGGUUGGGAAACCGAUUAUGGGGAUCUUGUGUGGGGGAUUUGUAAGUCUCGUGCUUUGGAUUAGUGGUUUAGAUACUGACCUCGUGAAUCUUCUUAGGUCCGGUAGACUCUGUGCGUACCCAGUGUUCCGACGCGACAGUGAUAGGUGGGUGCUUCGAGCUGGUAGUCGGUGAGAUCGUUCCACCUUCUCUGUUCUUUCAUUCAGUAUCAUAGUCUCUGCAUGUCUAUUUUGCUUAGUUAUCGAUGUUCAUCUUACCAUAUUGAUUGCAUACUAUUAGUUAUUGAUAGACAUGUAGAGCAGGUUUGCAUUUGUAUUUCAGUAUCUCUAUUGACCUUGGGUCCAGGCAACACAUCGACUCUCUCAUCAUGUGUUUCGAUCUGGUUGAUCGAGAUUCGGCGUUGUACGCCCUAGCAUCUAUCAUAGUUUGGCGUUGUACGCCCUUGUUGUUGGCUUCGGCCUAGACACCGGCUUCAGCCGGUUUUUGUUUGAGCAUACCAGCAUGACUUAGUCACAGCACUUGGAGGUAUUCAUGACACCAGAUCGGUUUGGCCACUGAUCGGAGGUAUACUUAUUCGGAUAGGUUGUCCUGUGGGGCGGAUGGAUCAGGUCGGUGCAGAUUAGUGACAGGCAGCGCUUGAGGUCUGUGGACCGAUAUAGCAGGUACCAGAUUGGGUACAAUUUUGGUUUGUUUACAUUGAGGCAUUCUCGUAUUGUUUCUAUACAAUAGCAGUUUACUUAUUGUUUCUUAUCAUAUCUGUUAUAGCUACUGUAGUUUGUUUUCGUAUAUCAGCAUAUAUAUUCGGUUACCAUAUCUCCUUUGGUUUUCGGUGAUUACGGCUUGCCUUCGUGGCUCUGUCAUACCCACUAGAAAACCAUGGUUGCGAUUUCUCACCCCCCAUUCCCCCUAGGGGACAUGGAUGAGGAGUUAGAUUUUGGGCUCGACGGGAGGACGAUCUAACUAGUCUGGUAUAGCAACUGUCACCCUGGUUACUUUCAUUUCGGAAUUUAGUAGUUUUAAUAAUAAAUGGUUCAGUUAGAUAAUCAUUACUAAUAUUUGAAUGUUCGAAUGAGUUGGUUUUCCUCCUAUGCAUGAGAUUAUGGAUCAGAGAUUAGAGAUUUACGGAUUCUUGGUUUUGGUUUUAUGGAUAGUUGAUUCUCAAUUUAUAUAUUUACGAAUUUAUACAUUGUGGUUUUCUACCCCUCGAGGUAGUCGAAUUUUAAAAUAGAGUUUCCGUGUGGGAAACGGUGUUCAAAAGGUUUUCGAAUUGGUUUUCGUGAAUGUUUGAAUUAGAGUUUUAAAAGCAAAGCUUCCGGGUAGAGAGCUCUUUUAAUAAGAUGAAUGUUGUAUUGUGUAUUGCAUCAUCCAGCGCCUAAGGAGUGCUUAGAUGCAUGCAUCAUCUCUAAGGAUUGCUAGCUGUAUGAAAAUGCAUGGCAUGAUGAUUGUUGAUUGGUAAAUGUAGAUUGUGGUUGAGAUCCUGAUGUAGCUGUUAGUACGCUGUGCAAAUACAAAGGAGACUCUGUCCGAGUAGGCAGAGGAAUUUUGUAUUUUUGGCGGAUCUGUACGUCACGUGGGCCAAGUUGGAAAAAAAAAUGAUACGUUUUCCGCAACUCUGAUUUCAAACAUGGUAAUGGAUUUUAAAAAGGCUUUUAAAAUCGGCCCCGAGGCGUGACACAGAUGGUGUCAAAUUUCAAUCAUCAUGAGACAAGUAUUGAAAAUAGUAAUAUAACGAUGAACAAAGAGGUUAGAUGAUCACAAGAUUUGAUAUAGAGGUAAAAAUGAGAGAAAAAGAAAAAUCUUCUCGAAGACGGUGAAGACGACGGCAAGAUGCCGUCAACAACGAACCGAAAAAAAAAUAAUAAUAAAAAAUAACGGCCGAUGAGGAUUACGGCGGAGGCGGCUACGGAUAACGGCGACGAUGGUGGUGAUCGGAAUGACGAUAUGCGCGCGCAUGUGAGGGGAUGGCGUACGGACGCAAGGUGGAGAGAUGGGCCGAGGGGGGAGAGAGAUGGCAUACUGACGCAAGGUAGAGAGAUGAGUCGAGCGGGGGAGAGAGAGAUAGGUUGGUUAGGGUGCUGUUAGGAGUGGGAAUUUAAAUGUACAAUAUGAUGCCAAAUCCUUCAAAAAUUAAUAUUUACGAAAACGUCCACAGUUUAAAAGAAAAUAGAGUAAAAUAAAAAGGAUAAAGUGCAGGGGUGUUACAGAUUAAUCAUUUUUCAAAAAUUUACAGCAUGAUGCAUUUAUAUUUAGUUUAUUUAAUUAUUUUUAAGAUGAAUUGAGAGAUCUAACAUUGAUUAACAUACUUUAUUAGUGCUACGUUUUGCUUACUAGUAAGUUACACAUUAUUUGUGCACACUUUUCUGCUUACUAAUAAAUUGUCUCUUGUUUGCUUUAGCUAUCUUUUUUAAUAAUUUAAUAAGAGCAUAGUGUUUAUUUUUCGGCGCGAUAGGUUCUAAAUAUUCUUCCCCUUCUAGCAAUGUCAAGAAAAAUAAUUUACUAGUAUGUGUUCCAUAGAAAAAGAAAUUAAUAACUAGUAUGUGUUACAUUGAUUAAUCAUAAGCUGUACAAGUUCAACUAGCUUCAGCUGCUUCAUGUAUUUGUGAUGGUUGUUUUAAUAAGAAUUGAUGUGACAAUACUAGGGUCAGAACUAAUUUAACGAUAAUGAUUGUAUUAAUUUGUAUGUGCACCACACUUUAAAGCAAACUUGCUUAUUUUUCCUUCAAAAAUUUUCUAUUAUCUUAAUAGUUUAUAUAGUGAAGUCAUUAAACUUCAACUAACUAACGAUAAUAUUUACCCUCCGUCCGAAGCGCGGACACUUUUACUAGUAAAAUAUGAAAAGACACAAAAUAAAAUAAAAAAUACACCAAUUGACGAAUAAAUUCAAUUAGCUAUGCCGACAGUUGCAUCAAGUUUUCUCAGGGGAGGCCGCCAGAGAGGUGUAACAACAGUAAUAAUCUUUAGGAAGGACGAAUAGAUUAUUCUUUUUCAAAAUAAGACACCCCAAUUUGCAAUCAACACCAUCAAACACGAUCCAAAAUAUAUGAACGUAUCCGAGGAUUGAAUUUAGUAAUGAUCGCAUAACUAACAAUAAAAAAAAAAAAACCGACCUCAUAAAAAUAGAGGCCACAAGAUCAGAAUUCUUAAAUGUGAUCUAAAAAGUGUUAGGAUUUUUUAUCAAAAGCUCAAAUGACUCGCAUGGUCCUACAAUAUUAAACAAGCGAUCAGCUCAUGUUGACCAUAUAAAUCCUUGAUUUUUUUUUCUUUAUUUUGAUCAUUUUUUUUUUAUAAUGAGACAUCCAUCAGCACAAUCAAACAUGAUCCAAAAUAUAUUAAGUACUGAAGUUCAUAAUUUUUAAAACUCAUUAUCUAGCGCAUCAUAUGACCACAACAUGACGAAUAAAAAACAAAGAACCUUACGAAAAUAGAGGUGAGAUACUCUGAAUAGAAGAUCAGAAUUCUUAAACGUGAUCUAAAAGGUGUCAAGGCUUUUUGCUCAAAAUAUCAAAUGACUUGUAUUGUUAAGCGAGCAAUCAGUUCAUCUUGACCCAAAAAAAAAAAAAAAAAGAAAAAAAAAGAAAAAAGAAAACAACAACAACAACAACAACAACAACAACAACUUGAUUUUUAAGCCUUCUCAACGACCUGGUAAAUGGUCUCUAAAUAUUAUAAAUUCAGUUUACAAAGACACUUCAAAUACUCAAAUGCUAAUAAUUUCUUUUAACUCCCCAUAAUAGCAACUCUUAAAAACAUGCUAAGCUGGAUUCAUUAUAGUAAUUGUGCCUCAGUUUACUGCCAACUAUUUUUAUCGUUUCAGGUGACACUAAAACACAUCGCUAAAACUUGAUGCCUUCCGAAUUUCAUAACAAACUUCUCGGAACCAGCUUAGCUCCUACGCCCACUGUUCACGCAUAAGUUAUUUUUGGUCUUCUUUUCACCUCUGCUUCUAUUCAAAAUUUUCAUUUUUCUUCAAGGAUGACUUCAACUUCUCCCACCAGCCAGUAUGGCUCAUUAGGCUAAUGAAGUUCAGACGUCAAACAUUCACCCAUCCCAUAAUGUGAAGCGCUCUGAUCACUCUGGUAGAUAGGAAAAACCACAGUUCAGUCAGCUCAAUGCACAGCACGAAAAUGCGAUAUAUUCUAUCUUAGAUAAUAAUUAGUGAGAAUUUGCAGACUUAAUUGAAUGAGUUCCCCACAAAACUAAACAGACUGACUGGAAUAAGAUAAACUAGCAUGACUGAGGUUAAGGUCUAGACCUCAACUUCUGAGGUUAUGAUCUGGAAACUCGAGUGGAAUCAGGAGGGGACUGAUUGAGAUCAGACCUGCGUCACAUCAAACCCAAAGCAUUCAGCAGAGUCAUAUUAUAAUAGCACCACCUGAGUUUAAUUACACUGUUCACACCAAUCAAGAAUUUAAGUCAAAUCCAUUAAUGUUUCAAAUUUGUAACUUCAGGUUGCAAAACCGACAACCUUGUUAACACCUGCAACUAAGCUUGCGACUAAAUAAAGGCAUCCUGUUACACAUAUACAAGUUUGGAUUGCCAAAAAAGUGGCUGUCAACAUGUCAAAGUGGAUUGUCGUUUCAGAAAAUCAGUAAUUGAAUAAUGUUUGACCAAAAUGCCUCCAUCUUCACUCACAUACCACACAAGUUGGUAAUGAAAGACACGAAACUGACGUCUACUAGCUAGCUGGUUUUCCAGUAUCUCGUUACAUGGGACACAAAGACCUUACAAAUGAUUAAACACACGACAUGGCUUAAGAAGGUACAAGAUCAAUCUGAAAAAUUCACUAUUAUUUUAAUCCAAAAUUGUCCUCUACCGUGUUGCAAGAUGAUGCCAACCUAGUUUGAAGAAUCAAUUUUGUUGAGGUCGGCAAGCACCCAGUGUAGGAUCAUUGGCGACCAUUAAUACGAAAUUUAGUUAAGUUGGACAAGCACCCAGUGUAGGAUCAUUGGCAACCAUUAAUCGAAAAGCUCAAGUUGUUAGAAUAUGCAACAAAUUAACUUAAAGCACAGAGUCAUAGUGCCGAUGGGGGGUUUUUUAGUGCAAUAGUCUUCUCCUAAAAUUUUAUUCUAAAAAUAAACCUGUUAAAUUUUUAUUUAUAAAUAUGAUCCUAUAAAAGCGGUGAAUGGUUCACCACUAUAUUUCUACGAUGGUAAAAGCGGUGAAUGGUUCACCUUUUAUUCUUUUUCUACUCCUAAUGAGGAGUUAUGAAUGCGGUGAAUCAUUCACCGCAUUUAGAGGUAUAUUUUUAUAAUUAUUUUUUAAAAAAAUUAUUUUUGUAAUUAUAAAAAUCGAUAGGAUUAUUUAUAAAAAAGAUUCGCCGAUGGGUCUCGAUUGUAACUCAGCCCAACCCGAGUUCCCGCCACGAAGCAGGAUGUUGGCCCCUUUAAGCCAACAACCCCUACCCCGAGCACCGGCACAAUUUGCAGCAUGCGAAAAUCGAACACGUGACCUUUGAUUCAGAUACCACUUGUAGGAUCGUUAGCACUAACCAUUAAUAUGAAAAGCUUAAGCUGUUAAAAAGAUGCAACAAAUUCACUUGAAGCAUACAGACAUAGCACGCAAGGAUCUCGAUCGUGACUCGGCCUCCUGCCUCUUCGAACAUGACUCGACCCAAUCAAGUCUCCCGCCAUUUCGAACAUGACUAAGCCCAACCCGUCCUCCUACCACAAGGUAAGAUGCUGGCCCCUUUAAGCCAACACCCAGCAAUUAGAUUAAUUGGGACAAUAAUUGUUUGUCGAUUAUAGCAACUCUAAUGAGUUUAGAUAAGCUGUUACAAUGUGACCUUUUUCAUUUGCAGUCUCAAUGUGCCCGACACACAUGUACACAUGGCUGCACGUGUGCACACAUACGCGUGCACGCAUGUGCACACACGCACGUGCACACACACGGGGAGAGAGAGAGAGAGAGAGAGAGAGAGAGAGGAGAGUUCUUUUACAACUUGCCCCUGGUAAUCCACCUUAAAUUUUUUGGGCAUCCUACUAAAUGACCCACACCAUUAGAGACGAUUUGAAGUGUUUGAAGUUCCUAGAACGAAAAUUUUAAUAAUCUACCAAAACAAUCAACUGAUCUCCAAACAAAAUUUCAACAGCUAAUAUAGGUACUUGUCAGCAUAGAUCUAUAUUAGCCGAAACUUUAUAAGGUCGUAUUUUCAUCUAUACUGAUCACAAUCAGUAAUUUUGGUCCAAAAAAUGAGGAAUAUUGUCAUCUAUUUUAAUAUGAUUUUUACCAUCUUGCCCAUGGACGCACUACAAAAUUAUUUCCAAAAUUAUGACUUUUUGGUGUCUAGAAACUUCAAAUACUGCAAGGGCCACUUGUAUAUGCUAGAAUAAAUUAUCUGCCAUAUCUCCUGCUGUUUGCUAGAAAACAAAUUGUGAGUUGGUAGCUGCGGCAUGAAAAUAUGUCUUAAUGAGUAAGAAAGAUUCAAUUUCUAGGAUGUAAUGCUUGAAACCAAGGAUUGCUCAUGCAGCCCAUGUUGUACUGUGCCAAGGCCAUGCCGGCAUGUGGCACAGGGUCAUGUCGACACCGUAUCAACAAAAUGAUUUUCUUUUUGACUUUUUUUAUGUCCUUUUGAGUCGUUUUGAGGUAAACAUUUUUACGAAGGUCCUUCCUUGCACAUCUACUAACAUUCGGAACAAUUAGUGAUACCUAUUAUUUAAAGAGAAUAAUGAUUAGAGAGAAACUACAAAUAAGAACAUAUCCCCCAAUAUCUUUUUAUCAUUUUAGAUUUUAGUAAAUUUACCCACGGUAGUAUUCCCUUCAACUUCUUACUCAAUUAUGACUAUGUUUUCAUGCAUGUAUUUUCAUAUAUAAUUUUUUAAGUUAUUAAGAUAUUUAUAACUCUAUUCAGACUAAAAUGUAUGAGAUAUAAUACUUGAGCCACUUGUAUAGCCUUAGAGAUAUUAGAAUACCCUAAAAACUAAUUUUUCAUGAAAAUUUACAUUAAAAGAAACCGUGCCAAGGUGUACCUGUGUGUUAGUGCUAUGCCCCGGGCAGCAUGCCACUGGCACAGGGUGGCGUGUGGACAUUGGCACACCCUGUGCCACUGUGCUGGUAUGGGCCAUAUCAGUGGCAUCGCAAUCCUUGCUUGAAGCAGUACAAAAAUAGUAGAAGCAAACACUUACCCACAGGUGGAACACAUCUUCUGAUGCUUGCAGAAUAUUGACAGGCAAACUGAACAAACAUAUCCCAUGUCGAUUGUUUUCUUGUGACAGAAACAUCUGCAAAGGCCAAUAAUCAGACACAGAAUCAAGGGUGGCAAUUAUGCAUAAUAACAUGAAAAUGUCCAGAGAAAGAAUUACAGGAAUACAACCAAGAAUUGAAAUGAAUAACAUUAUGUACGUUCGAGUAUGAAUGGAUUUUCAUAUCCGAUGUCUUACAUUUGAGUAUGAAUAAAUUUUCAUAUCUUAUGUCUCUAAAAUAUGUGUAGAUUCAAACAACUCCUAGAAAUGCUAAUUCUGCCACAUGAGAAGAUAGUUGCGUGAUUAUUUGUUGUUCUUACGAUUCGGACAACUUUCUUCAGCACUUUCUUAUUUGACAAAAGCAAUUGCAGCAGCAUAAUAAUAACAACAGCACACCCCAACAUGUCAGGGUGAAAUACAAGAUUCACUUUACACCAUUUAACUCUUUCUCAAACAAUAAUCCUAAAAAACAUAACUAUCCAUUCUUCACAAAUCCAAUCCAAGUCGGUGUGGCUGUAAUUAUUCAGGUUAGUAAAUUCUUUAUGCUAGUAUAUGUUUGUCUGCACCAAUUUGACAAAUCAGUGGUUAUAAUGCAAUACAAAAGGCAACAAGCUUUAUACUGCAAAGGGGAGACAUCCUGGUUGAUAAGGGUGUGCAAGAAAAAUAAAAUAAAGAAAACCCAAAGAACCAAACCUGUCAGUUGGUCGCUUUUUGUAGAAAACCAAUUCAGUUUCUUUUUAGCUUUAAAACCCAUGCGAUCCAGUUUAGUAACAAAAAAAUUCGGUUUUAAAAUGAUCAAACCAGUUUUGUUUACUAAUCACUAUAAAAUAAUGUAUUUGGCCCUGUUCAGAUGUAAAAAUAAGUUAUCCAUUGAUAUCCUAUUUGAUCUAAUGAUUUUCUAUAGUAAUUGGAAGCUAGGAGUGUUAUCAAAUGUCUAGAAUGGAAUAUCAUAUUCAGCCUUCAAGUCAGGUUUUUUGGAACAAGAUAAAUCACAUCAAAUGUAAAAUAUGUUAUCCUAUCAAAUUAUGAAUGCCAAAACCUUUCGAGGAGCAGGACUCAAAACUCCUAGCUUCCAAUCACAUAAGAGAUCUUCAUGCCGAAUAAGUUAUCAUUGAAUACCUUAUUCUCACAUCCAAACAGGGGCUAGAGGUUUAAAUGAACUGCAGCAGCAGGACCUUAAAAACUGCAGAAGCUAGAGGCAGGGCAGAGUACCAUAGCCAUUUUACUUUAUAUUACUUUUAAAGCAAACCAAACCAAACUGAAUAUUUCGGUUCAGUUUUGGAUUAGGUUCUCCUUUACAUUCGCAUUUUCCGAAACUAAAAAGCCAAAUUCAUUGAAGCAAGCAGUGAGCACCCCUACAGGUUGACCGCUGAGUAAUAUCAAUUUUAUGGUGUCGUAGAAAAGCUUCUUAUCAUUCCAAAAGAAAAUGCGCUGUAGUAUGUCACUAAAAUAAAUAAAGAGAAUGAGUUACAUGCCGAGUAGACACCUUAAAACAUAAGGCAAUCAGAAGAAUAUUUUGGUAGCUUUUUAUAAAAAAAAUAAACAUGGAGAAAUAGUUUUAAAUUUUAUGCUCAUCUAUAAAUUUUGGUUUCCUUUAAAAGAAGAAUGAAUAUAUAGAUAGAUGAAGUACUUCAAUAAAAUAAAAAUAAAAAUGAACGUAACAAAUUCCAGUAAAUCUCCAAUGAAGCCCUGAAUAAGCAUAUCAAAAAUUUUCUAAUUGCUAAAAUUUCGAGAGAUCUCACCAAAUCAAACAAAUGGAAGUUGUAAAAAAGGUAAGAAAAAGCAUGCACAAACAUUAAAUCAAUUGAUUAAUAAGGAAUUAUCACCAAUUAUGAUCUUAUGGACAUGACCUUCUAGAGAAUAUCUAGACCAGACAUAAUAUAAGCAUAAUUCUCUGUGUUAACGCCUCUAGAUGCAUACGAAAUUGUGGAAACCAGCAUAUACAGGAUAAAAUACUAAGUAUGCUAAGAUAUAUUACUUGGCAAUUAUUUUUCUUGAUUUAAUAAAAAAGUGAUUCAGGAAUAACUGCCAUCAAACUCAUAUCCGACGUAAAAACAUUGGGUUUAGGUCUUCAUGAAUCAUUCCUCUUAUAAUUCAACUGCUACAGAAUGAAAAGCUUAAAUCUUCUCUCAUGAUAUUCUGUAAAAAAGAAGACUUUGUACGACCAUACAAGUCUGUGAGGAUUCAAUCAAAAUUUCCAUCUUCUAAAUUCUAAUCAUCAAGAACAAAGUUAACCACCAUAUGACAAAUGGAAAAAUUGCAUGGAAAGGGGCUAACAGAAGUAGGAUCAAAUACGAUGACCAAUAAAUGGGAAGCACAUACGAGGCGCGGAAAUCAACUCCUACAGGUUUAGGCAGUCGCAGAAAACUUCGUGACUGCAAAUCAGAUGCAAAAACUGCCUGCAAAUUUAGUAAAAGAUCGAUAUUAACAACAAAUUAUUUGCAAACACAGAAAGAAUAUUCUAUAAAACUAAAGCCUUUUGAGUACAAAGCAAGCGGAAAACAAAGAUUUCCAAUUUAGUUCUACAUUACUGACAAGUGACAACAACAAUCUUCUGGAAAAAGUAACAACAAUCAUACUUCUCAGAUGUUAUGGAUGCUAGAAUGCAUUUGUUAAGUACAAGGCUGCAGGAAGAAAUAUAAAGAAACCAAGAUUGUUAUGAAGCCAAAUUAAAAAGUUAAGCAUGUUUCGAUGUUGACUUAACUAUUCGAUGUUUGCUUAACUAAAACAAAAGGGCAAAUGCAAGAAUGCAACAACACAUUUCAUGAGUAUGAGCAUUUAUAGUUAAUGUGUUCCUCCUCAUACAGUAGUUUUAUAUGAUCAUAUAGUGAAAACCCUAAUUCUCGAGUUAUGGAUUAUGGGAAUCUAGUUACUAGCAUGUUACAUAUCUCGUGUCAUUGCUUUUCCUCAAGUUGGGCAUUACGCCACUGAUCUUCUAGAACUUGUGGACUUCACAUAAUAAUAGACAACUGUGAGAUCUUGUUAAUCAUAAUUCAUGACUACAGCUUGUAAGAAUCAAAUUGAGCUCAAUGAAACACAUUAUGCUGAGUCGCAUCCCUACGGGCCUUGGCCCUUGCUCAAUGAAACACAUUAUGCUGGGUCGCAUCCCUACGGGCCUUGGCCCUCUGAAGUUAUAACCACGCAGUUGUGCAAUAAACAAACCACCUACAAUUGAGAGCCCAAGUGGGUCGCGUGCAAGUAUCGACAUCCCACUUGGCACCACACAGGCUUGACCAGACCUUGAGUCGGUCGAGUAAAUGGCAACCUUGUAGCGAACUUGAUUUACAUUUGAACAAGUUACUUCAUGUAUCCAGUGCUUGCAUUGAGGCAUAAUAGCACUAUUGUACAUGAUAACCUAGUAUUCUUGUUAGUUGUUAUCGUUUAUUACUGUAAUUCUGUACUAUUGAUGCCUCGAGAAGACCUAAUGGUGUAGGUUGCCCCUUUUGGGGGUUGUAUCCACUGAAAACUAUUUUUAAUAAUUGUCAUACCCGUGUUUUUGUUGUCUUCUUUCAAAGCCUUCUUCCUUCGCACAAGACCGUAGUAGUGGGAUGUGAUGCCCCACUUCCCGAGGGGUCAUCCAUUUUAGUACUACUCUAGCCCUAGCAGUCUUAAGCAUUAGCUAUGUACAUUGGGGUUCCACCACCAAGUCUCGUUCAUGCUGGGGCAAGUGCUAUCUAACUUAUGAUCUCCUGUGAGACCCUUAGUAGUCCUAUAUAUAAGAUAUAAUAAGGUUAAAACUUUUAACCCGGCUAUAGCAUGUUGGGCGGUGGUUAGACCUAAAAUGUUAAGAAGGUUAAGCACGUUAGAACUAGAGUAGUUCUAGGAUGGGUGACCUCUCUGGGAAGUGGGGUGGUUCCCAGCUAACGACUGUUGUGAGUGGAGAGUGGCUUCCUAUAAGAUCGGCUAAGGCUAUCGAGAUGAGUCUCACAUUUUCUGGUGCUUGUAAGUUUCUAAACUCGGCUAUAGCAUAUUGGGCGGUGGUUAGAUCCAAGAAAUUAAGAAGGUUAAGCGUGCUAAAACUGGAAUAGUUUUAGAAUAGGUGACCCCACUGGGAAGUAGGGCAUCAUAGUUGGUACCAGAGCCAAUUACGAGCCGAAAAUGUGAGAUGAGUCUCGGCUGAGUCGGGUUAUACAGCAGGAAGAGCGAGACUCUAAUGUUGAUGACUAUUGUGGGUAGAGUGCGGCUCCCCUAUAAGGUCGGUUAAGACUAGCGAGACGAGUCUCACAUCGCUUGGUACUUGUGAGUCUGAGCUCGACAAUAACGUCAGGACCUAAGGGGUUGAGAAUGUGAGACCUUAGCUAGUCCUAUAUAUAAGAUAUAAUAGGACUAAAAACUCUUAAUCCGGAUAUAGCAUUUUGGGCGGUGGUUGGGCCCAAGAAGUUAAGCGAGUUAAGCGUGCUAAAACUAAAGUAGUCUUAGGAUGGGUGACUCUGAAAAGUGGGGCAUCACAGGUGGUAUCAAAACCAAUUACCAGCAGGUAAUGUGAGAUUAGUCUUGACUGAGCCAGGUUAUACAGCAGGAAGAACGAGGCUCUCAUGCUGAUGACUGCUGUGGCUAGAGUGGGGCUCUCCCACAAGGUCGGUUAAGUCUAGCGAGACGAGUUUCACAUCGCCUGGUACUUGUGAGUCUGAGCCUGACGAGAACGUCAGGGCUAGAGGGGAGAAUGUGAGACCCCAGGUAGUUCUAUAUAUAAGAUAUAAUCGGGUUAAAACUCUUAAUCCAGCUAUAGCAUUUUGGGCGAUGGCUAGGCCCAAGAGGUUAAGAGAGUUAAGCGUGCUAAGGCUAGAGUAGUUCUGGGAUGGGUGACCCCCUGGGAAGUGGGGCAUCAUAGUUUAUAUCAGAGUCAAUUAUCAGCAGAAAGUGUAAGAUAAGUCUUGGCUGAGCCAUGAUUAUAUAGCGGGCAAAGCGAGGCUCUUAUGUUGUUGAUUGACGUGGGUAGAGCGCGGUUCUCCCACAAGAUCGAUUAAGGCUAGCGAGAUGAGUCUCACAUCGCCCGGUGCUUGUAAGUCGGAGCUUGACGAGGAUGUCAGAGCUUAGAGGGGUGGAGAAUGUGAGACCUUAGGUAGUCCUAUAUCAAGGUUUUAAGUGCCCGUCGGCACGGGCUGUAUCCACCGUGCCGUACCGUGCCAACAAGAUAUCGGCACGAUACAGACCCCGUGCUGAUGGCAUAGCUCAAAACCCUCUAUUCUUUAAAUUAGUAAGUAAUUUCCUCAAUAAAGUUCAAAAGAUGUGACAAAAAGACAUAAUAAAUACUUAGAAUAUUUUGUUGCUAAAGAAAAUAAAUAUUUCAUUCUAUUAUGUGUCAGCACACAAGAAUUUUUUUGACCGACAUGCAUCGGCACGGCUCGGCACGCACCGUGCCGUACCGUGCCGGCAAGUUUCCGGCACGACCCUAUGCCACGGCACUUAAAUCCUUGUCCUAUAUAUAAGAUAUAAUAGGAUUAAAAUUCUUAACCCGGCUAUAGCAUGUUGGGCGGUCCCUGGAACCCUAAGAUACAUCUAGUACGUUAUAAUAAGCAAUUACAAUUGUUAGGCCACCCAAGUCUACCUAGCUAGGUCUGAUUAUGAAACAAAUCAACAAUUAAGAUUCAAAUGUAACCCAUAAGCAUUAACAUGGAGGAUUUCACAUGACAACUUUAAUUAUAUUAUUGUAGUAAGUCCUUAGAAUAUUUUGCUCAAUCCUUCAUAUGUUUGUUUGCAUUUAAUUAAUUGUGGAUAUACUUGCAUAAUUCCAUGAAUCCAUAUGUUGUCUAUAACACGUGACUACAAAGUGCUUUUCAAUCAUAAUUAUUCAAGUACUUGGGUGUUACUAGUAUCAUCGAAGUUAUUAGGCUUAUUGCAUUAGAAGUACUUAUUAAUUUUCUUCCUGGCUUAAACCUACCGGCAGGAUUUGGGUGCGCAUGAGCGAGCAAAAGUAGCUAGCCAGCAAACUCAGCCCUUUUCAGAGAAACUACUAACCAAAUACGUUUGGAUAUGUAAUAAAGGAUGGAAUGCUUGUGUGACAAUGGGCAAGUAAGGCAUCCUAAUGGCAUGCUUUGGCACGACUUUAUUUUAUUUUUGGUUGGGUCCCGAUAAGAUCUUGUAACAAGGAUUUAAGAACUGUGGCACAGGGUCGUGCCAAAAAUUUGUCAGCACGGUACAGCACGAUGCAUGCCGGACCAUGCUGAUGCCUAUCGAUCACAAAAAAUACAUGUGUGCCAACACAUAAUUGUAUAAAAUAUUUAUUUUCUUUAGCAACAAAAUAUUCAAAUUGCUUAUUAUGUAUAUUUAUUAAGUCUUUUUGAACUUUAUUAAAAAAAUUACUUACUAAUUUAAAAAAAAAGAGAGUUUUGAACUAUGCCGUCAGCACGAGGAAUGUAUCGUACCGAUAUCCAUAGAUACGGCAUGCGCCGAUAGACACUUAAAUCCUUGUCUUAUAAUGUUAUUUUGAACCUUUGAGGGUAAUAAUUAUGAAUUUUGGCUAAGUAUUGAUUUUUUCUUAAAUUUUUCAUGUAAAUUGCAAGAUCUAUCCAUAUUGAUUCGACAAGGAACCAUAUUAUGACUAUAUUACCAAGAAUAGAACAAUGAUUGAUCCAUUAACUCCUAUUCAUUUUUAAAUUUUUUUAAAAAUAUUUAUUUAAAAAUUUGAAGAAAAUUGUUUUCUCUUAAAAUUUGAAUAAAAAAUUGAUAGAUCUAUCCAUGAAAAUUUCUUCAACUUAUCUUUGAUUUUUAGAAGUUUGAAAGUUAAAACUAUUUUCACCGUGCAAAACACGAGAUUUAUCUAAGAAAAUUAAAAAUCAGACCAUAUAAUUAGUAGAUCAAGUGCAUCUAUUCUCAUAUUUUUGUAAACUUUAAAUGAAAAUUUGUGAAAUUUCAUAUUUCUUCAAAAAAACAAAAGCUUUACAACCUUUAAAUCUCUAAAAUCUAUGGGGAAAAAGUUGAUUUAUAAAUUAUUUGACUUAGUUGAUAAGUAGAUCCAAAAUUUCGAUCUUUCCUCUUCAGAUAGAAGUGGUCAAAGAGGAAAUUAAAGGGAUUGAAAUAAAAAUAAAUAAAUAAAUUAAAAAUUACAAGAGGAGAGGGAAAUAGAAAAUUGAAAGAAAACAAAUAGAGAAAGAAAUAUGAGAAGAACAGAGAAAGAAAGCAGAAGAGAAGAAAGAGGAAAGGAAGAAAGGGAGAGUAAAUAAUAAAAAAAGGAAAAAAUAAAAGGACAAAACAAAAAGGUAUGCUGCGUGCCCGUGAUUCGUAGACAUGAGCACGCAGCAUGCAGUGUUGUGAUACCAACAGGGUAUCGCAUGAGACAACAUGAUACCCAUUGGGAAUUGUGGUACGGACGUUCUCGUUAUUGAAGGGCACAGUAUGGCACAAGGCAGCACUUUAAUCUUUAUUUUUGACAUUGGAUUACAUGUCCUCAUCUAUCUAUAUACAUAUAUGAAUUUAGAGUCAAGAGCCACGUGAUACUCUCCCUAUAAUCCUCUCUCCUCUCUCCCAUUCUCAACUAUGAGAAAUCAUUGCAUGCAUCAUUUCUCUAAACAUAUGACAUGAGUCAUUCUAAUUUUUUAAUAACAAGUAUAGUAAAAUCAUAAUGGAAUUUAAAGAUAUAGGGUAUAAGAUAUAAUUUAUACACUUGGUGGAUAAAAUAAUUUCUUAUUUACUACUCUAUGGUGCUCAUUGCCAUUUUAUAAUUUCUUUCUCUAAUUCUUUUUCACAAUUGACUUUAAAAAAUAAUUUUAAUUACUAAUAGAAAAUUAAAUCUAAUUACUAAUAGUUCUUCAUUUCUCCUACACUUUCAUUUUCUUUCCUAGCCAACUUUAUUUAUGUUUUAUUAAAUAUAUUAUUCCUUAUUUUACAUAUUUAUAAUUUUAUAAACUUAUCUAAUUAAUUAUGAGCAUACAAAUCUUUUAAUACAAAUAUUGUGAUAAAAUUGCUUAAUGAAAUGUUAUUAAUAUAUUUUGAUCUCAAAUAAUGAAGCAGGUGACACUUUAGUCCUCAAACUUUAAUUAAUUACAACUUUCAGGUCGAACUAUGUGGUAUGUGAUAUUUUGGUCCUCAAACUUUUUAAAUUGUAGCAAUAUCCUAUUUGAUGAUGUAACAAUAGUUAAAAUGCAAUAUUACUUUGAUAUUAGUAAUUCACCCAUACUUAUUUAAAAAUGUUAGGUUGUUGGACGGGAUCGGAACAAUUCAGAAAGUUCGAGAAGUAAAAUGUCAUCAUACUAUAUUUUAAUGAUUUUAAUCAUUUAAUACUCAUAUUAUUAGUCAUUUACUAAUACAUAUAUCCUUAUUAAUUAGUUAGUCUUAUUAAAAUUUAUUUCACACGUGUACCAAUAUAAAUAAUUUUUAAUUAAAUUAGUAUAAUUGCACGUGGCAAGUGCACAAUUUCUACAAAUAUAGCACAUGAACCGAUCUAUUUUUAUAAUAAUAAAUAUAGUAAAAUUAAGGCAUGAAUCAAUAUGAGCAUGGCACAUCUCCAAUAAAAAUUGUGCCAAUAAAAAUAAAUUUUGGACGCACCCAUUGCACUGCAUCAAAGAUAAAUUUCUGUAGUACAAUAAAUUAUUUAAGCAUUUUAUAUUAGAUAUAUUAUAUCAUAUUAUAUUUUACAGUAUUAAUUAUCAAAUACUCCAUCAAUUAUCUAAUAUUAUGAACGGUGUAUGUCGCAUUGGAAUGCACUAGGUGCAAGCAAAGAUUUCUAAUCUCUCUUAGAAUUAUGUGUGUACCGUUAUAAGCAUUUUCUACACCGGAUGUAUAUAUGUACAUGCACCACACAUUUAAAACCCUUUAAUAGAGAUUUUAAAAUUAAGUCAUCAAACAUUAGAUUUGUAGAUCAGGUAUAUUUAAUUAAAUUUUGAUAUUAGAACGUUAGUCAUAUAAUAUAAGUUGCGGUAUAUGGAGUAUGAACAUACACCAGGUGCAUGUAAUAGUUUCUUUUUUCCCCAAUCAAUUUUACCUAGGUAAAGACACCUCUACCUAUUCUUCAAUUUGAAAUAAAUCCUCCAACUUUAACUUUUUAGUUAAAAAAAUUAUUUAUAGAAUAUUUAUCACAACUAUUAAGUUUGAUUGAAUUUUUAAAUAAAAUAAUUUAAAUAAUUUAACUCUAAAAAUACUAAAGUAAAUAAACUAUUAAUAAAAAAAGAUUAUUCUUUAUAAUAUACAUAAGACUACUUAAUAGAUAGACUACUUAAUAGGUUUUUUUAUAUCUCUUUAGUUAUAAUUUUCUCAGUCCUAAAAAUUAAAUAACUAUAUAUCUCAAUUGGUUGAAAUACUACCUACCCGUCACGAAGCGCGGGCCCUACACUAGUGAUACAUUAAAUAAGUCGGUAAGAACAACUGCAUUAUCUUCGUAUAUGUCGUUCUAGGCUAGUUAAAGAUGCUCGCAGCCCUAAUGCAUCAGGUCUAGUGACAUUACUUUGGCAGAAAAUGUAUAUAGGUUUAGGAAAUUAGUAAUGAAAUGUAUAUAGCAGUGCACUAUACUGUAGUACAGUAAUUUCACUAGGCUUAUAUUUUUGUGCUAUCAUUUGUAGGUUUCUUUAUUGCCUAUUGCAACAGAUUACUUUUUAGUCAGUCAUAAUAUUGCAUUUAAUUCAUUUCUUUGCUGCAAUUUAUGUUAUACAAUACUUCAAUAUGAUCUUCCAAUUAAUGCAACAAAAAAGUCAUAGAUUAGCUUCAGAGUUUCAAUUACUCUGAAGAUGAAUCAGUGAGAUUAUUUAAUUUUUCGAUCAACGCAUAGCAACAUAUAUUGCGAAAAGACCCAAAAAAAAUGUUCUAAGAGGAGCUCUUCAAACUAUUAGUUACUCCGAGAAUAAAUUGCUAAAACCAUCCACUUCUCCUGUCACCACCUCUUAGCCACAUAUACUUUAGAACAACAAAAAAACCAAGAAUGCUCUAUAAGGAAAUUCUAAACACAAAAGUCUUCCUAAGCCUAUCUAUCACAACAGUAUACAUUUUAGAUCGAAUAGAUCCAUGUUAGAGCUCGUUAAAACAAAACAAAGCAGUAACAUGCUGGAUUACACAAAUUAUCGAGCCAAUUAAGAUUUUUUCCCCUAAAUGUGCUUAAAAUUAUUCUGAACCUGGACGUUAUUUGAUAAAUACUAGAAAUACGUAAAGUCUUAAUAAAUAUAGAGACCGCAUUACUAUUGUUAUGGUAUCAAUUCUCUUCUGUAAAGCUGUUUCGAUAAGUGAAGAAACAGUGAAACAACAUUAUUAGAGUUAUCCGAAUAACAAGUCCAGUGGCGGUUGUCUCACUAAAGGAUAUCAAGUAUUAGUUUUAGAGUAAGAAAAGAAAACCAAAAAAAGACCUGUUGUUCGCAAUAUUAGUCAACCAAAUAGUGCACAAAAUUCCUAACAAGCACAAGCAUUAGCAUAGAUUCAAGGCUACAGACAUUUAUAGCAUACAGUACAAGGAGACGGCACAUCAUCAAAACUUUACGACAUAUUAUUCUUACUUGGUAUGAAAAAGGUGUAUAAGAGUAACAGAUCAAAUUAAAACAACAAUAUAACUUACUGCAAGAUAUUGGAAUAGACCAUCCAGAUGUUGCGGCUUCAAAUAAACUCCACCAGUAAUAUACGAAGCCUGCAAAUCAAUUUAUUAGCAUUACUCAUGCCCACAAUAUAUGGAAUUAUAAUUGAUUUAAAAAAAUUAUCGAAACGCAAUGAAAACAAUUAUCUAAAAUCAACAAUUUAAAUGUUGUGGCAUGGGGUCGUGCCGAUAACUUGCUUUCAUGGUAUGGCACGGUGCAUGUCGUGCCAAUGUGUGCCGGUCACAAAAUUCAUGGUAUGACACACUAUCAAGAAAUAAUUAUUUUCUUUAGCACCAAUAUUUUGUAAUUGCUAAUUAUAUAAAUUUAUCAAAUCUUUGACACUUUAUCAAAUCUUUGGCACUUUAGAUAACUGCUUGUGAAUUUCAAACAGAAGAGAAUGUUGGCAUCGGCACCGGGGUUGCACUAUGCCGAUAUCUUGUUGGUAUGGUACAGCAUGGUGGGCACGGCCCGUGUCGAUGGGCACUUAAAAUCUCGUCAAAAAGUAACAAGCAUAUACCUGUUGCAAGAAGGCAGAAUGUUGAGGUCCCACAAUGCACGAAUCGAUAGGAACCUAAAAGUUACAUUUGACGAAAUGAAUAAUCACCAUUGUUGAAAAUGUAAAAGUAGAAUAAGUGAAGAGUGGAUAUAAACAGAACCCUGGAAAAAUUGUGCGCAAAGAAAUCAUGUAAAAUAAGAACACUUGCAGAUUCCAAAUAAGGACUACCACUAUCCAAGUCCUAACAUUAUAUAGAAGAUGCUACUAUCAUUAUGGCACACGUGCAUUGACUAUCGAGCAUUAAUAAGGAUAUAAUACUUGUGGAACAAGCUAUUGUUGGCAAACCUCAACAGAGCUCAUGCAAUAACACAAGAGUGAGUGCGCGCAUUCAAACAUUCAUGCCUAACAGAGAAACUAGAACUGACCACUGUAGAACUGAUAAAGCUCUGCACAAGAGAUAAAUCUAGUCUCAGGUUGUUUACUGCUUUAUGGUUAGACUAGGAGGAAUUUGCUUACAUCAUAAGCUUUUAUUGAGUUUCUAGCUUCUACUGUUUGAAUAUGAAAUGGAGGGAACUAGAAGGGAAUGCUUUAUGGUUAGACUGGGAAGGAAUUCUCUUACAUUAUUAGUUUCAAGUGAGCUUCUACCAUUUGAAUAUGAAUAGUGGAUCUUAUUUACAUUCUUACCAUGGCAAAAGGAGGGAGAAAGGGGGAGGGAAGAAUUAUUUUCUGUACCGAUGCAUCACCACAUCCAUCCAUCGCAAGCUGAAUUAAGUAUGAAGAUCUUCAUAUCAUAUAAUUGAUCUACAAUAAAUAAAAGGCUUAUUUAUAAGUUUUGAACAUUUCGCUUAAUUUUAGCUUUUAGUGCAUAAUGAUUUUAUAGAAGUAUAGCAAAUAGCUUCACCUCUCCUUCCUCUCUAUUCAAGUGGGCAUGGUUUUAGUGCACUAAUAAUGUGGCAAUGACUGGAAUGUCACAUAAUUGCCAUGUUGGCAAUUUUUUAGCUCCAUUAGAUGGAGCCUAAUGGUGGGACUUGAAUACAGCACUUGCAAAAGUUUUGAGACUUCAAAUGGGCCUAAAGUUUAGGGACCACAAGCGACCUUAUUAUCUUGAGGCGAUCUGUAUAAUUUACCCUUUGUUUUCAGAACUUGAAUUCAACCACUAAAAGACUCCAUUCCUUAAUCUUUCAUGUCCCAUUUCCAGAACUGUUAUUACUCUGAUAUCCUAGAAAAAUUCAGUGAAAACUGGAUUUCGUUUGUCUAAGGUUUUAUAGAUUUCUAAGAUUAAAUUUGGAUUUGAUCAAAUCGUUGCCAAGUCUAUCUAACAUUCUGACUUGAGAUCUAACAAAUAAGCUCCUCCAUCUCUCUUCACAAAACAUUGUAAUGGACAUAGUCUGCAAUUAUUAAAAAUGCGGGAGAAUGCUACCAAAGUUAAUAUUCAUAAAGAGAUCAAAGGCAGAUAAGGCUUUGAUACUUUUAUGACACUCUUCAAUUAUUGUGGGAGAAGGGAUUGAGAUAUUGAUUAAUGAUGAGAACCUUACAAAGAUAAUCCAACAACAAAAUAAAUAUUUUGAAAAAAAGAAAACAUAAAUGGGCGGAUGCAUAGUCAGUUUAAUUGUAUAAUUUCGGGGACAGAAACAAGUCAGCAUGCUAGUAUUGCAAAUAGUAUGCAUCAAUGAUGCAUAGUCAACUUACUCGUAGCCAUAACACCUUUAAGCUAUACUCUAGUCAAAACUAUAUUGGUCUCAAAAUGUCUUGGAGAAGAUGAAACAGGGCAUGAAUGUCAUGGUUGUAGUGGUUGUCAAGGCCUUACUUUGUAAGAACUUUCCCCACCCAAGUUAGCAAUAUAAUUCAAAAAACCAUUACAUGUAUAUAAAAUUACAUAGAAUAAUGGCAUGAACUAAGCCAAGUAAUAAUGACGACAGGUUACCUCGGUACUGAAAUCUAUGCCAAAAUAGUUGAGAAAAAUAUUUACCAAAAAUUAAAGAAAGUAAAUUGUGUAUCAGUUCUAUGAGAUAGUCGAGGCAUCAAAUUAAUAGAUAGAACCAAUGUAUAUUAAACUGUUAAAACAAUUUGGGAGAUAUUUCCAUGAUGGACGGCCCAUAAUAAGCUAACCCAAGUACUAAUCUCUUGCCAUAUGCUGAAUUCAUAAAAUCCAUUAGAGCAGAUUUCCACAAUAGAAGAAAUGUUAUUACCCCUAGCUGUUCGAUUUAGUGUUGAAAACUAAACUAAAAGUAUAAAGAUCACUAGCUGGUUCAGUAGUUUUAUCAGCACUUACAGAAUCAUCUAUUGAGGACAGUUCAGAUGACAAAUGAAAAUCAGGAAAUUAUAAUGUGAUAGGUGACAACUCUGUUAGAGUUCUAGAUGGUCCUAUUAGUUACCAUAGAGCGCUGAGCUGAAAAUAUUGCAUUCAUUACUGCUACAUAUCUGCAAAUUCACCACCACAUAUUUGAAGUCAAACAAGUCAUCAACAUUGCAAAUAGAACAAUUCCGUACAUACUGUUCAGGUCCAUCUGGAGAACCCUGCAGGCAUAAAAUCUGUCUCGUAAUGUUAGUAUAGCAAGUUUCAAUAAGCAUCAGUAAGUUUACAAUCAGAAAAAUGAAAAAAAAACACAAGAUAAUGUUUUUCAUUAUAAACGCAAAAACGGAUGGAAUGAUUAUCUAAACCCAAAAAGUUCCUAGAAUCUCAUUUAAGCCAUUAAAAAUGGGGCGAUGUUCUUAUCUUAUGUAUUCUUCAUAUAAUUUAUUCAAUCAAGAUUUCAUUCAUACCAAAGCUAUAUCAAGUAGGCCUUAUCAUUGUGAGAAUUCUUUGAUCAGAAGGUGUAAAGAAAGUCUAAUAACAACACAAACAAAGCUGACGCCAAAAAAAGCAUGAAAAAUUAGUAUAAAUAAAUUAGGCAGCAGAAUAAUUACUCGAGGCUCGGGAUGGCGAGCACCAGAUCGGAAAACCCUUUGUAUAUCUACAUUAUUUCGAAUCAAAGAAACAACAAAACCUUGCAAACCCAUUUACACAGAGAAAGAUACCAACUUUAAACAAACAUCUGAAAAGGAUACAACAAAGAGCUAUGGAUAGCGAGCCUGAAAGGAGUGACGAUAUGCCGUUACCCCCGGCAGCCGCUUUAUCAGAUCCCUUUGCCAAGCGGGCAUCCUUAGUGACGAAAUUCUCCAGCCUAUUAAGGAUGGUGGAGGAGAUGGCGGCCACAUUCGCAGCAUCAAUAGAGUUUCGUCCUCCUGCUUCAGCGGAGUCAUAUAUGUAGUCGCAGGAGUUGACGCCGGUGGCAAUGAGAACCACUUGAUUGUGUUGGUUGAGGAGGAGAAGAGAAUUCAGAAAUGGAAUGACCUAGGGGUGAAAGAUAAUUCAAUUAAAAAGGAAGAGGGUAUAAAAAGAGAGAAGAGGGUGCAUAGGACAAGUACUUGAUUGAGAAAGUUGGAGAACGGGAGGUUGCCACUAGUGGAGGCAGCCCAAAAGAAGGGGUUGGUGUCGAGGAGGACAACAAUGAGGCUGACAUCAUCUGUGGCCAUUUAAAUAUAAAGAGAGAGAGUAAAGGAAUUAAGACUUACCAAGAAAGAGAGAGAGAGUAUAGGAACUAAGACUUACAGAGAGAUAAAUGGAGAGAGUAGAGUGUCAGAGUAGCACAUACCCGAGUAUAGUUUGGAUUGGGCAGCUGUCAUGACUGAAGCCUAAUGCGGAGGCUUGGCAGCUACAGGGCAGUGUUUGAAAAUGCCCAAGGUGUACCAAGGAACAAAGGGCUUUAGAGCCAGGCGCAAGCCGCAGGGGUGCACCUGAGAGAGGGGAGAAGCAUAACUCUUUAAAAUACUUUCUAACAAUUGUUAAAUGGCACUAAAGACUCUUUAAAAUCAUAUAAUCACAAUAAACAUUUUAUAAAUAACCAAAUAAUCAUGUUUCCAAAAAAAAAGAGGAAGAGAAGAAAAUAAAUCAAACAACAUAAAUGAUAAUGUUAAAAAAACAAAAUAACAUGUAAAAAGUAAAGAACAAAAUACCUUGAUGUCUCCAAAUAAAGAUUGGCAUGAAGUUAACAAGAAAUGUACAAACAUAUAGGAAACUUUUUAUGUCAAAAACAUAUGAAUUAUAAGUAUAAGAUCAUCAAAAAGUGAAAUGCAUAACAACUUAAGUUUCGGGGCAAAGAUCAUUAAAAGGGCAUCAUAAAAAAGUUAAGGUCCCAUGUGAUAUUGCUACCAUUUUUUAUUGGCUAAAUUACAAAAAACUCUCCUAUAAAUAUCCCUUUUUUCACUUUCCCUCCCUAACUUUCAAAAACCUACAUUUUACCCCCCUCAACAUUUCAUUAGCCUCCCUCCAUCAAGUUUCCAUCACUAUUCUGUCCAUUUCUUAUAAUUUAUCCCGGAAAUGUACCUCAAAGUGACAAAAAUGUAAUAAAAAAUUAUUUUUUUUCUUAUAAAAGAAGGUAAUUUGGUCAUUUUGCCCUCUCCAUUAAUGUCGUACGCCCCUAAAAACAAUAUCCUAAAAUUUUAAAGAGGCAAAACAUAGAUCUUUGAAAGUUCAGAAGGAAAAGUGAAAAAGCGGGUACCUACAGGGGGUUUUCUAUAAUUUAGCUUUUUUAUUUUUUUAAACACUAACUCUAUAUAAUUUGAUAUGUUGGAAGAAAGAUUUUUCUUUUGUUGUUAUAGUUAGUUGGUUUAUAGUGCAUUCGGUUAAGUGACAGAUGACAACCUUUUUAAAAAAAAUUUGGAAGCAAAAGGGAAUUAUUUUUAAGCUUUUACUUUUUGUUGCCAAGUGAUUACUUUCAUGAAAGAAUUACAAGCAAUCCACUGCCGACUCCUACACCUUAUAAUAUAAAAAAUUCUUUUUAAAAAAUAAAAAAAAACCCGAUAAAAUCGAGGCCUAAGUGUUCGAGGCUUCAAGCCAAAAUAAGUCACACUAGAAAUGUUAAUUAGUCUUCAUUCAUCAAUCAUCAUCUCUACCCUAUUCGCCCAAUUCCCAAAUAAUAUGCGAGAGAGAAAGAGAGAGAGAGAGAGAUGAACACCUAGGAGGUGGCACCGUGGCAGAGGAGUCGGCGGGAGGGGUAGAGGAAAACCAAGGACAGGGGAUAACCGGAGGAGGUGACGAAGGAGGAAAGGAGCAAAAAUAAGCGAGAGAGAGGGGGAGUGGGAGAAAGAUCGAGAAACGGAGCGAUCGAGAGAGUUCUACAAGGGCAACCGGACCAAACCAUAGUUAAUUCAAAUUCGGCAAAAAUCGGUACGGGUACAAUACGAAUAAAAUUCGUAUCCUAAUUUUUAAAUUCGUUGAAAGAUACAACUAAAAAACAAAUUCGGCAAUUAUUCAGAUACAUGAUUUAUACAGAUACUGUACGUUCACCAAUUAAAAAUUCGGGAUCAAAAAUUCGACUAUUAAAUUAAGUUUUUUUCCUCUAGACUUAUGCUAUUAGCAUGAAUACUCAUAAUUCUUAAGAAUAUAAAAAUAAAGAGCUACAAAAUUAAGCAGAUUAAGUAAAAAAAAAAAUAGCAAACUGUAUGCCCCACAAUAUGUAAAUAAUCAAGCAAAUAAAAGAUAUAUAAAGUUCACAAUUCCACAUACAAGCAUACAUAAAAGCUUGAAUAAACAUAAAACAUUGGUUCUGAGUCUUGGUUCUGAGUAAUUAACCCCACUCCAUUGGUUCCGAGUCUUCAGACAACAGCAAGCAAAUUAAUGGAUGUAAGUAUGUAACAACAGCUUAAUUAGGACUAAUAUGGAAAUCUGGAGUUUAGAGGAAGAGAAGGAUGUUUUGGGUGAAAGAAAAACACAACAGCAACAGUAUCAACCAUAUAUAUAUAUAUGAGAGAAAACUGUUAUAAAUAGAAAUCAAAAUUAACUAGGGAGAAAAAAACAAUAUUGCUAGGAUUCUACAAAUUUGGCACUCAACAUGCAGAUAAUAGCAAAUAUUAACUACACUCAUAGUCAUGGAAAAUAUGAAUUUGUAGUUCUGUACCAGAUGAAGCGGUCGUGCGGCAGCGGAACUCGGAACCAGAUUGCGAGUGGUGCGCGGCCUCACGGGGGUUCCGAACUUCCGAUGCUCCGCCUCGCGGGGGUUCCGAUGGCGAGCGGUGCGCGGCCGGGGUGGUACCGAACUUCCGAUGCUCGGCUUCGCGGGGCGUUCCGAUGGCGAGCGGUGCGCGGCCCGGGGCGAGAAGGGUUCUAAAGAACCCGAUCUUGGAUGUCGAGCGUCGUGUGGCCCUGCGGGAGCUUCCGAUGGCGAUCGGCGAGCGGCUAGGGCAGGGGCGAGAAGCUAGGGCAAUAAAAUUUUGAGCGAGUAGGUGGUUUUUNNNNNNNNNNNNNNNNNNNNNNNNNNNNNNNNNNNNNNNNNNNNNNNNNNNNNNNNNNNNNNNNNNNNNNNNNNNNNNNNNNNNNNNNNNNNNNNNNNNNCGUUUUGGUGUUUUGGUCCUUUACGAUUCUGUCGAAGUCUUGGAUUUCGAUCUUCAAUACCUCCACUUCGGACUUCUUCAAGACUCCGACUCGACCCACGAAACUUGCCAACACAUAGGACCUAACAGGUUUGUGUACCGGUACACCACCCACGAAAAGCCAACUCGAGCCUCGGGUUUGCUUGGACAUAGCCUGUGUACCGGUACACGGGCCCGCGUACCGGUACAACCAUCACCGCGUACUGGUACAGCCAUCAAGCCCGUACCGGUACACUGCCCUCUGAAGGCUACCCGAGAGCUAGCCAAAAAUCCAACUUUUUGGAUUUUGAUGCAAGGUUUUAAACCACCAUUCUCGGGACUCGAACCAUAGGUCGGAACACUGUCGACGACCCACCAGAAAAUCUGGAAAAGCUCAGAACACAAUCAAUCACUCGAACCCCACAAUUUGCGAGGUCCAGUGCGUCACAUUCACCCCUCCUAAAAAGGAGUUUCGUCCGCGAAACUCAAAAGCAAAGGCAUACCUCAAGGCUCCUUCAGAAAAAGAUGGGGAUAGCGCUCCUGCAAAGCGCUAUCCAGCUCCCACGUGGCCUCGCGCUCUGCGUGGUUGCUCCAAAGAACCUUCACAUACGGAAUAUCCCGAUUCCGCAGCUUCUUCACCUCGUGAGCCAAGAUCUUCACGGGUUGCUCCUCGAAGCUCAAAUCCUCGCGCAGCUCCACUGGUAUAGCUUCCAAAACAUGAGUUGGAUCAUGAAUGUACCUUCGAAGGACCGAUACAUGAAAGACGUUGUGCACGCCCGAUAGGUUCGGUGGUAGAGCAAGUUUAUACGCUACCGGGCCUACACGCUCCAAAAUCUCAUACGGUCCAAUAAAACGGGGGCUCAACUUUUCCCGAAUCCCAAAUCUCUUUAUCCCUCUAGUCGGCGAGACCUUCAAGAAAACAUGGUCUCCAACUUGGAACUCCAAGUCUCGCCGUCGUCGAUCAGCGUAGCUCCUCUGUCUACUCUGCGCUGUCAAAAGUCGCUCCCGAGCAAUUCGAACCUUGUCCUCAGCUUCCUGGAGCACAUCAGGGCCUAAAGCCAGUCUCCCGGGGUGGUAUAGUAUAGUGACAUCAUAGUUCUUCAGCAACUCUAACGACCGCCGCUGUCGCAUGUUCAACUCUUUCUGGGUGAACAAGUACUUCAGACUUUUGUGAUCAGUAUAAACUUCACAAUGUUCACCAUACAAGUAAUGCCUCCAAAGCUUUAGCGCGAAAAUCACCGCGGCUAACUCGAGGUCGUGAAUCGGGUAGUUCUUCUCAUAACUCUUUAAUUGGCGCGAUGCAUAAGCAAUGACUCGCCCAUUUUGCAUUAACACACACCCGAGACCAACAUAAGAGGCAUCACUAUACACUACAAAAGUCUCCCCCGGAGUCGGCAAGGCAAGCACCGGGGUUGACGUCAACCUGUUCUUUAACUCCUCGAAGCUCCGAUCGCAAUCGUCGCUCCAAACAUACUUUACUCCUUUAUGCGUAAGGCGCGUCAGUGGAGUGGUUAUCUUGGCGAACCCCUCCACGAACCGCCGAUAGUAGCCCGCAAGUCCGAGAAAACUGCGGACCUCCGCUACAUUCGUUGGGCAAGGCCAAUCCUUUAUUGCCUCAACUUUCUUCGGGUUUACCGACACUCCGUCGCCCGAUAUCACAUGACCCAAGAAUGUGACCUCCUUUAGCCAAAAGUCACAUUUCUUUAACUUCGCAUAGAGCUUCUCCUGUCUGAGUAUCUGCAACACAGCUCUCAGAUGCUCUUCGUGCUCCUCUUCACUUUUCGAGUAAACCAAUACAUCGUCUAUAAACACCACGACGCACCGGUCUGACAAUGGCCUGAAGACUCGAUUCAUCAAGUCCAUAAACGCUGCCGGGGCAUUAGUAAGCCCAAACGGCAUUACCGUGAACUCAUAGUGGCCAUACCGCGUACGGUACGCCGUUUUGUGCACAUCCUUCGGCCUUAUCUUUAAUUGAUGAUACCCCGAUUGGAGAUCAAUCUUUGAAUACACUUUGGACCCUUGCAACUGAUCGAAUAAAUCGUCAAUUCUUGGCAACGGGUACUUGUUCUUUAUCGUCACUUUAUUCAACUCGUGAUAAUCUACGCAGAGUCGAAGAGUGCCAUCCCUUUUCUUCACAAAUAGCACCGGAGCUCCCCACGGUGACACACUCGGUCUCACAAAGCCUUUAUCAAGCAAGUCUUGCAAUUGGCCUUUCAACUCCUUUAGCUCCACCGGUGCCAUUCUAUACGGAGCCUUCGAAACUGGUCCCGCCCCGGGAAUCAAGUCGAUAACGAACUCAACUUUCCGGUCCGGUGGCAAUCCCGGUAGCUCUGCCGGAAACACGUCCGAAAACUCACACGCAACCCGGAUACUUCCAAGGUCUGGGUGCUCCCUACGGCCAUCAACCAUGGUUGCCAAAUAGGCCUUACAUCCACCCUUGAUCAUUCUCUUGGCCCUCACUGACGAUAUAGUCGCCGCGAAGCGCGCGCCUUUGCACGCCCAGUACACAAAUUCUUCUUGAUUAGGCUCACGAAAAGUGAUCACCUUACUUUCGCAAUCUAUGACCGCAUAGUAUUUGGAGAGCCAGUUGGUCCCCAAAAUGACAUCGAAGCCCCACAUCCGGUCUAGCACCAAUAGGUCUAUUGGCAUAAUCCAGUCGACGAUUUGCACCGGAACCUCCAAGCACUCAUCAUACACACGAAAUGAGUGCUCGGGACCAUUCAGCCACCAGUAGUUUUCGUUAUGUGUCAUCUCUAUGCCAUGUGCCCUUACAAACUUUGAGCCUACAAAUGAUCGUGAUGCACCAGUAUCGAACAAUGUUCUACCUCUAGUGCCAUUAAUCAUAAUUAUACCUGCCACGACGUCGUCGGGUGCUGCAGGCUGCUGCUCCUCCACCUGAGCGGCAAAAACUCGACCGCUAGGCGCUCUCGAUCCCUCCGGCUGACGCGGUGAUGACGCGCGCCCAGCCGACAUCACUGGUGGUAACCCCGCAAACUGUCUCGGGGUAGACGGUGCUGAUGCCGCCGUCGGCGCAGACGACGUCUAGCUCGGGCACUCCCGGAUAAGAUGUCCCGGUUGGCCACACUUGAAACAUUUGCCGUCUCGCUGCGGGCAAGUCGACAUCUUGUGCUCACCGCCGCAAAUAACACACCGAGGAGGUCUCCAAUACCUCGACUGCUGUCGGGGAUACCGAGGGGGUUUCUUAGCAUUUGGCCGGCCCUCGGCACCGCCCGCCGCUCGCUUUUUGCCCUUGUCCUUUGACUCGGCCAUAGCUUCUCGCUCCUCACGUACAUGGGCGCUACCGUGCUCCGCCCACAAUGCUCUAUCGAAGACCUCCGCAAAGGUCGUCAACUUCAGAAUCUGCACCUUUUCGUAUAUCCGGGGUUGAAGUCCUCGCAAGAACCAAUCCGCCCGGUCCCGAUCAUCACGAACAACAUCGGGAACACAGUCAAUAAGGUGGGAGAACUCUUGCUCGUACUCCCCCACCGAUCGAUCGCCCUGUCUCAACUUGCGAAACUUUUCCUGUAGCUUCCGCUUCACCGUGUCGGGGAAGUAGUUCGCGAAUACCGCUCUCUUGAACUCCUCCCAAAGCAUAAGCGGAAGAUCGGUAGGACGAUCCCGCUUCACUCGCUUCCACCACACCUUUGCCGCUUUCUCAAGACAAUGGGUGGCGAGGUACACUUUAUCCUUCUCCGAGGUAUUCAAGUCCUCGAAGAGCGUCUCCAUCGAGUCGAUCAACGACUCCACAACCGCUGGCUCCACCAAACCGCCCUCGAAGGUAGGUGGGUCGAACUUCUUGAACUGUAUAAGCGCUACCAGUGUGCGCUCCCGCUCCGCAUCAACUGCCGCGCUAUCGGGAUUCGAAGUUCCCGACCCGGCCGGUACUACCGUAACUGGAACAGCCGCUGCUGCCGCCGCUCCCUCAUCAACACUCGGCACUACCACAGGGGGCGCGACAUGCUCGACACCCGCCUGGGCCGCCGCCGCCUGCUGACGCUCCAAGGUCUCCUGGAGCUGCUGAAUCUGCUCCCCUUGGCGUUGAACAGACUCCGCUUGCUGCCGCACUACGCCAAUAAGCGCGGCCAUUUGUUCCCUAAGCUCUCCGUCGCCACUUGCUCCGGAUUGCUCAGGCUCCGCAUUCGGCUCCUCCGGCAUCGACCUUGUUUGCGAUCGACGUCGAGGCGCCAUUGCUUCUUGAAAAGAAGCAACUCACAUUAGCUACUUGACUAACAUUACUCGUCAACACCCAAUUCGGCGAAAGCAACAUGCACGUUCAUCCUUGCCUCAAGCGUCAUGUCGUCGGCCGCCCGACACAACACUAGAAGUAAAGAAUAAACGAAAAUUAAACUUAGCCUCUAAUCACAUUAGAGACGUCCCAACUUAACCCAAUCGCAUGCCUUCGCUAACUUUGAUUCCACGUCACUCACAUUUCCUAGAUCCUUAAGGUCUUCCAAUCCUAAGGGUCUCUAGGUCCAUACCUAUUCUUUCACUAUUGGCUCUGAUACCACGAUAUCUGCCACGCCCCGAGACCAAUACCAAUUUGGGCCGGCCCGAGCUCGUCGAACAGACGCCGAACGGACAGAGUUUCCCCUAUCCGCCCAAGGCUCAUCACAUGUACAUUUUCAUCAAUAGAGAAAAGCACUAGCGGAAACAUACACAAACGGCUUACACGAGGGUAAGCAAUAGCCAUUAGUGAAAGAAANNNNNNNNNNNNNNNNNNNNNNNNNNNNNNNNNNNNNNNNNNNNNNNNNNNNNNNNNNNNNNNNNNNNNNNNNNNNNNNNNNNNNNNNNNNNNNNNNNNNNNNNNNNNNNNNNNNNNNNNNNNNNNNNNNNNNNNNNNNNNNNNNNNNNNNNNNNNNNNNNNNNNNNNNNNNNNNNNNNNNNNNNNNNNNNNNNNNNNNNNNNNNNNNNNNNNNNNNNNNNNNNNNNNNNNNNNNNNNNNNNNNNNNNNNNNNNNNNNNNNNNNNNNNNNNNNNNNNNNNNNNNNNNNNNNNNNNNNNNNNNNNNNNNNNNNNNNNNNNNNNNNNNNNNNNNNNNNNNNNNNNNNNNNNNNNNNNNNNNNNNNNNNNNNNNNNNNNNNNNNNNNNNNNNNNNNNNNNNNNNNNNNNNNNNNNNNNNNNNNNNNNNNNNNNNNNNNNNNNNNNNNNNNNNNNNNNNNNNNNNNNNNNNNNNNNNNNNNNNNNNNNNNNNNNNNNNNNNNNNNNNNNNNNNNNNNNNNNNNNNNNNNNNNNNNNNNNNNNNNNNNNNNNNNNNNNNNNNNNNNNNNNNNNNNNNNNNNNNNNNNNNNNNNNNNNNNNNNNNNNNNNNNNNNNNNNNNNNNNNNNNNNNNNNNNNNNNNNNNNNNNNNNNNNNNNNNNNNNNNNNNNNNNNNNNNNNNNNNNNNNNNNNNNNNNNNNNNNNNNNNNNNNNNNNNNNNNNNNNNNNNNNNNNNNNNNNNNNNNNNNNNNNNNNNNNNNNNNNNNNNNNNNNNNNNNNNNNNNNNNNNNNNNNNNNNNNNNNNNNNNNNNNNNNNNNNNNNNNNNNNNNNNNNNNNNNNNNNNNNNNNNNNNNNNNNNNNNNNNNNNNNNNNNNNNNNNNNNNNNNNNNNNNNNNNNNNNNNNNNNNNNNNNNNNNNNNNNNNNNNNNNNNNNNNNNNNNNNNNNNNNNNNNNNNNNNNNNNNNNNNNNNNNNNNNNNNNNNNNNNNNNNNNNNNNNNNNNNNNNNNNNNNNNNNNNNNNNNNNNNNNNNNNNNNNNNNNNNNNNNNNNNNNNNNNNNNNNNNNNNNNNNNNNNNNNNNNNNNNNNNNNNNNNNNNNNNNNNNNNNNNNNNNNNNNNNNNNNNNNNNNNNNNNNNNNNNNNNNNNNNNNNNNNNNNNNNNNNNNNNNNNNNNNNNNNNNNNNNNNNNNNNNNNNNNNNNNNNNNNNNNNNNNNNNNNNNNNNNNNNNNNNNNNNNNNNNNNNNNNNNNNNNNNNNNNNNNNNNNNNNNNNNNNNNNNNNNNNNNNNNNNNNNNNNNNNNNNNNNNNNNNNNNNNNNNNNNNNNNNNNNNNNNNNNNNNNNNNNNNNNNNNNNNNNNNNNNNNNNNNNNNNNNNNNNNNNNNNNNNNNNNNNNNNNNNNNNNNNNNNNNNNNNNNNNNNNNNNNNNNNNNNNNNNNNNNNNNNNNNNNNNNNNNNNNNNNNNNNNNNNNNNNNNNNNNNNNNNNNNNNNNNNNNNNNNNNNNNNNNNNNNNNNNNNNNNNNNNNNNNNNNNNNNNNNNNNNNNNNNNNNNNNNNNNNNNNNNNNNNNNNNNNNNNNNNNNNNNNNNNNNNNNNNNNNNNNNNNNNNNNNNNNNNNNNNNNNNNNNNNNNNNNNNNNNNNNNNNNNNNNNNNNNNNNNNNNNNNNNNNNNNNNNNNNNNNNNNNNNNNNNNNNNNNNNNNNNNNNNNNNNNNNNNNNNNNNNNNNNNNNNNNNNNNNNNNNNNNNNNNNNNNNNNNNNNNNNNNNNNNNNNNNNNNNNNNNNNNNNNNNNNNNNNNNNNNNNNNNNNNNNNNNNNNNNNNNNNNNNNNNNNNNNNNNNNNNNNNNNNNNNNNNNNNNNNNNNNNNNNNNNNNNNNNNNNNNNNNNNNNNNNNNNNNNNNNNNNNNNNNNNNNNNNNNNNNNNNNNNNNNNNNNNNNNNNNNNNNNNNNNNNNNNNNNNNNNNNNNNNNNNNNNNNNNNNNNNNNNNNNNNNNNNNNNNNNNNNNNNNNNNNNNNNNNNNNNNNNNNNNNNNNNNNNNNNNNNNNNNNNNNNNNNNNNNNNNNNNNNNNNNNNNNNNNNNNNNNNNNNNNNNNNNNNNNNNNNNNNNNNNNNNNNNNNNNNNNNNNNNNNNNNNNNNNNNNNNNNNNNNNNNNNNNNNNNNNNNNNNNNNNNNNNNNNNNNNNNNNNNNNNNNNNNNNNNNNNNNNNNNNNNNNNNNNNNNNNNNNNNNNNNNNNNNNNNNNNNNNNNNNNNNNNNNNNNNNNNNNNNNNNNNNNNNNNNNNNNNNNNNNNNNNNNNNNNNNNNNNNNNNNNNNNNNNNNNNNNNNNNNNNNNNNNNNNNNNNNNNNNNNNNNNNNNNNNNNNNNNNNNNNNNNNNNNNNNNNNNNNNNNNNNNNNNNNNNNNNNNNNNNNNNNNNNNNNNNNNNNNNNNNNNNNNNNNNNNNNNNNNNNNNNNNNNNNNNNNNNNNNNNNNNNNNNNNNNNNNNNNNNNNNNNNNNNNNNNNNNNNNNNNNNNNNNNNNNNNNNNNNNNNNNNNNNNNNNNNNNNNNNNNNNNNNNNNNNNNNNNNNNNNNNNNNNNNNNNNNNNNNNNNNNNNNNNNNNNNNNNNNNNNNNNNNNNNNNNNNNNNNNNNNNNNNNNNNNNNNNNNNNNNNNNNNNNNNNNNNNNNNNNNNNNNNNNNNNNNNNNNNNNNNNNNNNNNNNNNNNNNNNNNNNNNNNNNNNNNNNNNNNNNNNNNNNNNNNNNNNNNNNNNNNNNNNNNNNNNNNNNNNNNNNNNNNNNNNNNNNNNNNNNNNNNNNNNNNNNNNNNNNNNNNNNNNNNNNNNNNNNNNNNNNNNNNNNNNNNNNNNNNNNNNNNNNNNNNNNNNNNNNNNNNNNNNNNNNNNNNNNNNNNNNNNNNNNNNNNNNNNNNNNNNNNNNNNNNNNNNNNNNNNNNNNNNNNNNNNNNNNNNNNNNNNNNNNNNNNNNNNNNNNNNNNNNNNNNNNNNNNNNNNNNNNNNNNNNNNNNNNNNNNNNNNNNNNNNNNNNNNNNNNNNNNNNNNNNNNNNNNNNNNNNNNNNNNNNNNNNNNNNNNNNNNNNNNNNNNNNNNNNNNNNNNNNNNNNNNNNNNNNNNNNNNNNNNNNNNNNNNNNNNNNNNNNNNNNNNNNNNNNNNNNNNNNNNNNNNNNNNNNNNNNNNNNNNNNNNNNNNNNNNNNNNNNNNNNNNNNNNNNNNNNNNNNNNNNNNNNNNNNNNNNNNNNNNNNNNNNNNNNNNNNNNNNNNNNNNNNNNNNNNNNNNNNNNNNNNNNNNNNNNNNNNNNNNNNNNNNNNNNNNNNNNNNNNNNNNNNNNNNNNNNNNNNNNNNNNNNNNNNNNNNNNNNNNNNNNNNNNNNNNNNNNNNNNNNNNNNNNNNNNNNNNNNNNNNNNNNNNNNNNNNNNNNNNNNNNNNNNNNNNNNNNNNNNNNNNNNNNNNNNNNNNNNNNNNNNNNNNNNNNNNNNNNNNNNNNNNNNNNNNNNNNNNNNNNNNNNNNNNNNNNNNNNNNNNNNNNNNNNNNNNNNNNNNNNNNNNNNNNNNNGACUGCAAGUCUAUCUUGGAAUACACACACGAUCCCUGAAGUUGAUCAAACAAGUCGUCGAUCCUCGACAACGGAUAUUUGUUCUUGAUCGUGACCUUAUUAAGUUCACAAUAAUCCACACAAAGGCGAAGUGAUCCGUCCUUUUUCUUGACGAACAAAACGGGUGCUCCCCAAGGUGAAACGCUCGGUCGAAUGAAGUCUUUGUCCAACAAAUCCUGCAACUGUGCCCUCAUCUCCCUCAGCUCCGUCGGUGCCAUCCUAUAGGAUGCCUUUGAGAUUGGGGUAGUCACAGGGACGAGAUCUACCACAAACUCAAUCUCCCUAUCAGGAGGCAUACCCGGUAGCUCAGCUGGAAACACAUCCUGGAACUCCCGCACCACCGGGAUAUCCUCGAUCCUAGGGGUGUCAUCCUCACCCCUCUGCACGACACUAGCCAGGUAGGCUAUACAACCUCGGCUGAUCAGCUGCCUAGCUCGAGACGAGCUGAUCGUCAUCGCAAACAGCGAACUCCUGCAUCCACUAAAUACCACCUCCGUCUGCCCCGGUUCUCUAAAAGUAACCGUGCGAUUCUUGCAAUCAAUCGUGGCGUAAUACUUGGUUAACCAAUCCAUGCCCAUGACCACAUCAAAAUCUCCAAGCUUGCGCAAAGCUAGCAAGUCUACAGGCAUAAUCCAAUCUCCUACCCGAAUAGGGCAACUGGGGCUAUACUCUCUAAUAUCCAAAACGUGGUCGGGUACAACAACAUGUCCCGUGUGCAACAAAGGACCAAAGGAAUGCCAUGCAACUCGGCAAACAGCCGAUCUAUAAAUGAAUGCGAUGCACCAGUAUCAAAUAAAGCACGAACUCUAAUGCCAUCAAGUAAAUAAUACCUGCAACCACAUCCUCGGCUGCUGCCACCUCCUCGGUCUGAGCGGCAUACAUACGCCCACUCAGGGCCUGUCGAGAUCCCUCGCUCGGGCGCUGGACGAGUGGCCGCCCAGGCUGAUACUGUGCCGAUGGAGUCCCCUGGCUGGCGGCUGGUAGAGCCGGUGCCGAUGCAGUCGACGGUGCCGGUGAAGAACCUCUCAGGCAGUCAGUACGGACGUAGCCCUCCUGGCCACACUGGAAGCACCUGCCCGCCCGCUGUGGACACUGCGGUGGAAAGUGAGGACCACCGCAGAUCACACACGGGGAAGGCCGGCGCCGAUCGGAUCCUCCUCGAUGCGCUGCUGAGCCGCGUCCACGCUGCUGGCUCCUCGAAUGCUUCGGCGGCCUCCUAGAGUGCGUCUGGCUCGCACCCUCAGCCGCAGGCCUCUUGGCCUUCCCCUUGUCCCUAGCCUCUCGCUGCUCCUGGAUAUCCGCCGCGCCGCUCUCCACAAUGAGCGCGCGAUCCACCACCUCCCGGUAGGUUUGGAGGUUAGAGGAUUGCACAAACCGAAAGAUAGACGGUCUCAAUCCUCGCUCGAAGAUGCGGGCCUUGUCCUCGUCGUCCCGCACGACGAAGGGCACGCAAUGCAGAAGCCGAGAAAACUCCCUCUCGUACUCGGCCACAGUCCGGUCGCCCUGGCGCAAGUUGCGCAAGUCUUGCUCCAUCUUCCUCUUGACGCUGGUUGGGAAGUAAUGAGCCAAAAGAAGCUCCUUGAACCUCGUCCAAGUGAUAGCUGCCAAGUCUGUGCGGGGGUUCUCCUGGAGAUCCAACCACCAGCGGUAGGCCUCGCCGUCCAGGUGGUGAGUGGCGAGCCAAACUCUGUCCCUCUCCUCCACGAAGGUAUCGCGGAAGAGCUUCUCCACAUGCAUCAACCACUUCUCCACGAUCCAGUGGUCGACCUUCCCGCCAUUGAAGACUCGGGGGCUGCACCUCCUGAACUCAUUGAGGCGCUCCAUCAGUCUGUCUCGCUCCGCCCCCUCAACCAAAGUAGGAAAAGUAGCUCCAACAGGAGGCCUCUGCACAGGUGGUGCCGCCAAAACCUCCUCCUGGGGUACGGCCGCAGGCGCCGCACGCGAAGAACUGGGCGCGGGGGACGGCGCUCUCGGUGCAACGUCCACAACUGGUGCUGGCGGUGUAGGGCCCUGCGUCUCCCUAGAAGCUGCUGCCUGCUGCAGAAGUAGAUCCUCCAGGCGCUUCAUCCGCGCCUCCUGUCGGCGCGCCGCCUCAGUCUGCUGUCGGGCCGCCUCCACCUGCUGAGUGACCAAGUCGGUGAGGACCGCAAGCUGGCCCCUCAACUCACAGAUCUCGCCAGAUCCGGAGGUAGCGGAGGUCUCGACCUCCUCNNNNNNNNNNNNNNNNNNNNNNNNNNNNNNNNNNNNNNNNNNNNNNNNNNNNNNNNNNNNNNNNNNNNNNNNNNNNNNNNNNNNNNNNNNNNNNNNNNNNNNNNNNNNNNNNNNNNNNNNNNNNNNNNNNNNNNNNNNNNNNNNNNNNNNNNNNNNNNNNNNNNNNNNNNNNNNNNNNNNNNNNNNNNNNNNNNNNNNNNNNNNNNNNNNNNNNNNNNNNNNNNNNNNNNNNNNNNNNNNNNNNNNNNNNNNNNNNNNNNNNNNNNNNNNNNNNNNNNNNNNNNNNNNNNNNNNNNNNNNNNNNNNNNNNNNNNNNNNNNNNNNNNNNNNNNNNNNNNNNNNNNNNNNNNNNNNNNNNNNNNNNNNNNNNNNNNNNNNNNNNNNNNNNNNNNNNNNNNNNNNNNNNNNNNNNNNNNNNNNNNNNNNNNNNNNNNNNNNNNNNNNNNNNNNNNNNNNNNNNNNNNNNNNNNNNNNNNNNNNNNNNNNNNNNNNNNNNNNNNNNNNNNNNNNNNNNNNNNNNNNNNNNNNNNNNNNNNNNNNNNNNNNNNNNNNNNNNNNNNNNNNNNNNNNNNNNNNNNNNNNNNNNNNNNNNNNNNNNNNNNNNNNNNNNNNNNNNNNNNNNNNNNNNNNNNNNNNNNNNNNNNNNNNNNNNNNNNNNNNNNNNNNNNNNNNNNNNNNNNNNNNNNNNNNNNNNNNNNNNNNNNNNNNNNNNNNNNNNNNNNNNNNNNNNNNNNNNNNNNNNNNNNNNNNNNNNNNNNNNNNNNNNNNNNNNNNNNNNNNNNNNNNNNNNNNNNNNNNNNNNNNNNNNNNNNNNNNNNNNNNNNNNNNNNNNNNNNNNNNNNNNNNNNGGACCUCCUAGAUGAAGACGUCGUCCGUCGUCGAAGAUCCCUCUGCGUCCCGGGAUGUGGCGGUCGUGGUCAACACCUGCAACGUGGCUCUCGCGGCAGGGGGCGCGGGUCAAGAAGCGCACGCCGCGGACGCCGGCAUGGGGUCCCGCUUCAUCCGCGCCUCCUGUCGGCGCGCCGCCUCAGUCUGCUGUCGGGCCGCCUCCACCUGCUGAGUGACCAAGUCGGUGAGGACCGCAAGCUGGCCCCUCAACUCACGGACCUCGCUGGAUCCGGAGGUAGCGGAGGUCUCGACCUCCUCAAAGCUCACCGCAUUGUCCGCCCCGGCAGAUUGGGAGCGAAUAAUCGGUAUCGUCACUACAAAACAUAGAAGCGCAAGUCAGUAAAAUCCACGCUAUCGCAUUCCCGCUUAGUAAGCAAUACCCAAAUCAUGCGAAAGUAAGGAAGUGUUCUUCACCACUAACUCCCGAUGUUACGUUGUCGGCCGCCAACGUAACCCUCCGCGAAGUUAGGAGUUAUACACUUCAAUUUAACUCCACUUUCUAGAGUUAUCCAAGAUACCCAAUCAAGAUACUUUCGCUUACAAAUCGAAUAGACCUCGUCUCUCACGAGCCUAUUUCCUAUAGUCCAACCGGCCUAAGGUCUGCUAGGUCCCCUAACACUCAACCCUAGGCUCUGAUACCAAAUUAAUCUGUCACGCUCCGGGGCUCAGCGGAAGCCUACCCGGCGCGUGUCCAGACUCGCCAUACGUCUAAAACAUAUAAGGCGUCUAAAAACAACAACAAUAAAAGCAAUAGUAAAAGACAUAUAGGAGUAUCAGAGCAUAAUAAAUGUCUAAAUGCUACAACAAAGAAUAAGGAUAAAACUAUAAAUCCACUAAAUAAAACAUAAAAUGAUACCAGGAAAUCCCAGAUACAAGUGCUAUAGGUAGAUACAUAGGUGGUCUCUAUACAUGGAUACCAAAAACCUCUCACUCUCUCAACUACAAAAAGAAAGAGUAAACCACCUAGGCAAAGUACCGCUCCUCGCUAGCUAGCUAAGCGAUCCCCUUGCCGCGAUCCCGUGCCUCCGCCGGUGCCGAAGGCUCUGAAAAGUAAACCAUAAAACAGGGGCGUGAGAACUAUUAAAAAAUAGUUCCCGGUGGGCAAUUACUGACUUCAGUGAAUGCACCACAAGGCCCAAAGCUACAAAAGAUGUUAGUGACUAUAAAUGUAGAAAAGCGAAAGGGUAAGUAAAAUGUAACUUACUACAACAUGAUAUCUCUACUCAGCAUAAAUGGCAUAAAUAUGAAAGCAACUAUGCAUGAAGUAAAAGUCUCCAACUAUUAUAAUGUUCACAGCGCGAAAUAGUAAAGUUCCGUAGUUUACUAUUCUAGUCAAUGUCCAAGUAGUACACUAAGUCAUCAUCUGUCCACAUGUCGUGAUGAAUACUCAAGUCAAAUCUGAAGAGACCCACCCGAAGGUUGUCUAUGGCCCUGAGACCCACCCGUAGGCUGUCUGGCCGGUGCCGAGCCUAAUGGCCCCGUGGUAGUCAUCAUCCCCACCCUAGGAAUGAGCCUGGCCCACGGCAAUCCACUUCGGCUUCCAAUCCCGCACGGCGAGUAUGAAUCGCGGUGGC